GAAGUCAUAAGCAAAGAUAGAGAAAUACUAACAUGAGGUGACAGCAGGUGAAGGUGAUAGUUGUUUAUUUCAGCCUCUUCAGUUGGUAAAUAGACUACAAGAAGUCGUACACAGGUAAUCAAAUGACUCAACCUCUGUAUUUCCCAUUAACUUGAUCCUAUUUGUGCCAGCUUCUGUCUAAUGAAGGGAAAUUAAUGUGGAUCAACACAACAUAGCAAAUGUAAUCAGUGUACGCAGCAAGGGUCAGCAAAUCAACACUGUAAGCUGCAGAGGCGACAGAAGCAAAUCCGCCCUGAAGGGAACAUUUUUCCACGCAGUGAUGGAGAUUUACUCAAACUUUUCUCUUUCAGCACAGCUUUUCAAGUGAAGGACUUAAAAAUGCAAAGAAAAACUGAUAAAAGCAUAUCAAAGCUAACUAAACAGCAACAUUUCCAAUAAUAGCCCAAAUCCCCAAACACCCAUGCACAGGCACUCAGAGCUGUCUCUCUUUAAACGGCUCUCUGUACUUAAUUUAUAGUCCUGCUUUAAACAUUUAUAUGUCCGUCCCCUUUAACUAAAUGCAAAGGCCUUGAUGUUUAACAGCACAAUUGUGUAUGCUUCCAAUCUGUGAGUGCUGAGCAUCCAUGCACAGCUCCCUGUUGUAAUGUUCAGCACAACUGGUGCACACUGUCCUGAUUUAUGAGGAGCUGUUAAAUUCAUCUAUGUCAAGUUAUGCACACUGCGCUGUAAAACCGACCCAUCUUAUCCUCGGCUUUUUAUCUGGGCACAACAGUUCAUUCAUUAAAGAGGAAGAAUUAUGAGAUCUGAUGCAUUUCAAAUGAGUUUCCCUUGACCUAAGAAUUUAUGGGAACGUGUGUUUUUUUUAAAGGAACAGAGGGUCUGCAGGGAUGUAUUGAGAUUUAAACUGAGCCCCACAUAAUCUGCACCUGAAUCCAACCUGCUUAGUAUUUACCUUAAGGCGGAAUUCAUUCAACUCAAUGUGAAUCUGUGUUUUCUAUGUUUGUGUAUCAAAGCAUCUGUUAAAGAGGGAAUAAAGCGAAGUAAACGCUGUGAAUCUGAAGAAUGCUUUGCAGCUAUUAUGUGUACGUCACUUGAACAAACGUAGAUGACUCAGAUCGUUUCUCCUUUAUGACUGCAGCAAAAUGCAACUUCUGCAAGCCAUAUUAUAAGGCGAGUUCUUGUCAUAGCAUCUGGUCUCAAGAAAUUAAAAGCAAAAAGGAGAACUCAGUGUAAUAUGAGUAAAAAUAGCUGCCACUGCAGGAAGCAGAUUAUGCUUCUGGAGUUUCUUGACAUGGAAAAAAUCUCACUUGUUGCGCUGGCAGGUUUUUUUUCUCGCCACAAGCAGAUCAAGUUUAUUUUUUAGGUUUUUCAAUUCACAUAUUGGAAUUAGAGAUAUCACGAUGUCAGAUUUUCACCUCACUGUUAUCAUGGCUGUAAUAAGAAACUUCAUAAUCUUAACUGAUUGAUGCGAUUACUUUAAAUGCCACCAUCAUAUCCAGACUCAUGAUUUAUCAUCUGUUCCUUAAAUGAAACUUCUUGGAGACAACAUUGCCCAAUUAAAAGAUUGUUUGUCAUGCUUUUAUUUUGGUAUUUUUCAGACUUCGUUUAGGUUGCUUUGAUUCUUGCAUUGUCAAACUAUGCUUUUAUUUUGAAGUUUACUACCUCUGGUAGAUCAUGUGUUACAGAACUGGCUAGAAAGUAUGAAUGUUGGAUUGAUUAGUAACCUGGAGAGGCAAAAGCUCUGUUGUUGUAUUGGAAGGAUCCCGGCUGCUGCAGUCUAAUGUCUAAUCGAUCUUCAGAGGAUCUCAAACUCACUCCUGGUGGCGCAGUCAGCAGCAUGUUAAUGUCCCCUCCUAUGUCCCAUCCUCUCUGCCAUCAGUUAAUGUGACAAAAGUGAUUGGAGUGGUUGCAAAGACAAGAAAACUAUAUGAACAUAUGUCUAUUUAGUGUUUACAUUGAGAGAGGUACCCGUUAUAGUCAUCGUGAAAGUUGUUGGCGCCGAAGGAUUUUCUGUAUUUUGUGAUCUUCUUCCUCCUUGAUCCCCAAAAAGCUUUUCCAAACCUUCUCAUAUCUCUCUUAUGUCUGAAAUUGUGAGUAAGACCCAAAUUUGUGCUCAGAGGAGCCAAGAGGAGCACUUGUAUGAGCGGAGUGAUGUGAAUUUCCAGGAGAAGGGGAGAGCUAUUCACAUCUCUAUAGGGGUAUUUUUAUAAUUUCCUGCUCUCUAUCACAUUUUAUCUAUUUUUAUACGAGUGAGUGACGUCAAUCUUUCUCAUUGUGAUGUUCUCUAUAAGCUGAAAGGUCAUGUUCAAAUAAAAAUUAAGCGAGAUUGCACCAAACGUAGAUAAGUGUGAUACCGGGAGCAGCAUCUUCAGAAGUAUGCGGCAUCUUUACUUUGACAUCUUACGUGGGUGAGAUUUGAGGUUUAUAGAAAGGUCUUUUUAUACGACGGAUAUAUAGCAAAAUCUACACAUGCUCAUAUUUACCAGUUUUAAUGUUUCUGGAAGUUAACACCAUCACUCAAAAGCUCUCCUCAAACAAUGCCGUAUCCACCUCCGGAGCUCCGUAAACCCUUUAUUGUGGCACGUCAUGUCUGUUUGAAGACACCUUGAGUACUUCUCUGCCUCACUGAACCAUCUGUGUACUAGAAAUCAUCUGACAGCUGUCACUUCACAGCUUGUUUUACUGACGUUUCAAGUGCAAUCUCAGACGCAGUUUUAUACCAACAGUAAACGUCUGCAAGUCGAAACUUUCCUCUGCAUCAUCAAGUUAAAGUCACACGCUUUAAAUGUCAGACACUAAAAACGGUUUUAUCUUCUCUCGUCUGCUCUGUAUAUGAUUAUCUUUGAUCUGAUUUUCAAUGUCACAACUUUUUGCUGGUAAUGAUAACAAUCUCACACAAAGUAGAUUUAUCACUUCCUCUCUUAUCUGCAGGAGAGAGCGGUGGGUCACCUGUAAUAAAUGAGUUUGCAAUGUGUGAAUCAGUGGAAAAACUGAUGGAUUUGUAAAAAGAUGGACUGGAUUUCUUUAAAAAGAGGAUAAUCUAAUGAUUUCAAUCUUCAUCUUUGUGUUGAGAUAAGCUAACUUUCUUUUUUAAGAUGAAAACAAAACAAAAAAAGCUGCCAAACAAACACGUAAAGUCAGUUCAGCUGCCGGAUUUAUCUUUAAGUAGACGCAGGUAUGUUAGAGAUUUAAAAAGCCUGAUGCAACAUCUGCUUCGACAUUCAUUUACACCUUUGAUAAUACCUGCAGAGAUGAUCAAACAGCAAUACUUUAAAACUGGAACAAGAGUGAGAGAAAAGAAUUCAGUAAGAGGUUAUUUCACCUCAGACUGUGAAAGCUUUGAGAACUUUGAGCCUGUGGAGGAAGUAUUUCCAGUCACCUGAAUGAUAAUAGAUCAGGGAACUUGUACGUAAUGUUCCACUAAGGAAUCGAUGUGAUACUUGUAGGAGAUGUCUUAACUGGAAAUUUCCGGAGACUCAAGCUGAACAGAACAGAAUCAGAGUCUUUCUAGUGCACAAACAGGAACACCGAAGUGGCGUAGAUGACGCAGACGUCUGUACAGCAACAAGAUUAACAAAAACAACGACAUAAGGGAUGCCCCUGGCACAUGUACUCACACUUUUCUGCCUCCUAUUAGCCUGGCCUCAUUCUUCAACUGUAGAGCUGUCCCUCUACUUGUAAUAAAUAUGGAUUUUAUUCUGUAAAAUAGGCUUUCAUAUAUAAUGGAGAUGAUAUUAUAAGAAGUUCACAUGUUAAGUGACAUACGUGCCUUCUUAUCUCCUGGUACGGUUACGUGACACUCUCUAAACUGAUUCAGUACCCGGCAUCUCCUGAAUCUUUCAGGCUGAGUUUCCCUGUGGACAGUGAGCGGCAGUGUGUGGAGUCAUGUGAGCAGAAACCUAAAGAAGCCACAGCAGAAAGAGAGAGAGAGGGCCUCUUGUGUUGCCAGAUCAGAGCUUAACUCUGCGGCAUCCUGCCAGGACAGCUGCACCCGUUUGGAAGACUCGAAGCCAUGAGGCGCCUCAGAGGAGUCUCUGAUGCAUGGAUAUCUGCUGCCUAACCUAAGAGAGAAAGCGGGGAGAGCACAGAUGGGCACAGAGAGAGGAGACCACUGUGGUGACGGCAGGUAAGCUCUCAGUCAACAGGGGCAAAGAACAAGCCUGCUCUCUUUCAGGUGUGGUGGCGGGUAAUUCCUGUGAUAAAGCAUCUAACAGGAUCUUAAAGCUGGCACUGGAUUAUCUGAGCUCUUUUACAGUGAAAAAAAAGAAACACUCUACACUGUUACUGUCUAUCUUCCCAGAAAAGCUGCAAGCUAACAACAAGUUACAGGUUGAUUUUCUAACAUCUGGGCAGACCUCGGUUUUUAGCAAGAAAUCAAAUCAACCGAAGCCGACCUGCAAAAAAACACUCCUUUCCUCUGUAGAAAUGUGUAAAAACAGGAGUUCCCACAGCUGUGAAACUUGACGGAUAAAUUGGGUGCAAAGUCACAGUGAUCACAGCAAACACAGGAAGAAAAAACCCUCCCCCAAUCAAUAAAGAGCAGUUUGAAAACAACACAAAACAAGGACAGGAGCCAGAUGAGGCAGUGAUGGAGGUAGAAUUAAUGUUGAAGAGCAAAAAAAAAAGGGUAAUAAUGAGAAAAUAAGAUAUAAAAUGCUUAAAGAGGAAAAUAAAAUGCAGGAAGAUGAGCAACAAAACUGACCCUGAAUAAAUAAAUAGAUAAAAUAAGAAGUUUAUGAGUUGUUAAAAUGGACUAAAAGUAAAAUUUUGUGCCACAUUAUGACAGAACAGAACCAAGGAAACCAAAAAAUAAAAAGGUCUUUUGAAAGUGUUAUUUAUUUUUAAAAAUUUGUUUGAAAACCAUUUAGAGCCUUUAUUUAACCAUAAUAGCAUAAAUCCAUUAUAUCAAAUGUUGAAACUGAAAAGUGAGAUAUGUUAAUUUUGAAACAGUUUGAUAAUUUCAAAACCUCUUUUUGAGAGACUUUGAGGGUUUCAUCUUCAGUACAGUGGAGGCUGUAGAUCCAUGUGAAUAUCAGGACAGAUGAAUAUCAUUGUGUCCUCACUGAUUCUUCUCUCGACUUGUUAUCAUGUAAAACAUUUCUACUAACGCAUCCUUGAAUGCACUGUUCUUGAAAAAGCUUCAUUAUAGUCCUUCAAACAGGGCUGCAGUACAUCACAGUCGGAGUCUAAAUACACUUUUAGUGACUAAAUGCUCUCUUUAUGAUGAAUCACUCUUGGAUGGUUUCCAACUCAUAUGAGUACAUUUUAUUCCACUUUAACAGCAUGAACGAGUUUACGAGUUCCUCUCAAAGAAAGUUCUGGUGCUGUAUGAGAUCUGUCCGAAAUCAAUGCUGAACUGAUCAGCCUGACAGCCUCAGGCGAACCUCAGGGCCUCUCACAUGCCUCUUUCUCGCCAUAUCUUAUUUAGUAUUUUUGUCUUUAAGAGAUUACUGCAAAGGAUUCAUGUGCUGAUGUUUAAUUAUCUGUUCACUGGCAUACAUUUCUCCUAUAUAGCUUUAAGCGUUUCUAGAUUUUACUUUAGUGUUUUAGAAGUACUGUUUUUUUUUAUUUCAGCUGCUGUAUUGUGUCGUUUCUGCACCCUUUUGCUCUUUAUUUGGUUAAAUGUGCUGCAGAAGUUUAGAAGAUGAGGAAAGUCUGUACCGGGAUAAGGUUGGGAUUGUCGGCUGAGCAGAAACAAGACUUUAAACUACUGAGAAUGAAAAUUUGACCAAAUGUUUUUUUCAGCCAUUUGUCUCUCAGAUGCUCACGGUAACCAAUGUUGUCUCACCAGUGCAAUUUCCAGAGACUUGACUGUGCAGAGACUUGUGUCGGCAACCCUCAGAGCCCAACUCUCUACAGACUAAACUCCUACUGCCUCAAAAUUUGCAACAUGUGUUUUUAAAGGUCUUAUGAGAUGUUCCAAUUAGCGCUGUCACAAUUAACCAUUAUUGAUGAUAACUGCCUUUUUAAACAAAGCAAAAUUAGGGAUGCACCAAUCAUAUAUUUGGAUUGGAUAUGGGAUGAAUGACGCCAAUCCAGCGUUCCAAUCCAGUCUUUUUUUUUCUCUUAAUUAUUUUUUCUUUUAAUACAUUGAAGUCUUACUACUUUUUGCUGUGUGCUGAUGUGCAAUUUGAUUUUUGUUAAUAAAUAAUAUUAAGUAAAUCGUUUGGUGUGUUAUGACUGACGGAUGAGCCCCCAUUUGUUACGCCCCACCCCAAGGCGGCCCUAUGGGACUAACAACCAUCCUCACCUUUUGACCCAUUAAAUUAACAAAACACCUUCAAAAGAGGAGUUAAAGAAGCCAUCUUUACCAGGCUGGAGAAACCUUCUCUGAACAGAGGGGGUGGACUCAGGCACAAUCUCUCUGGCACUUACAAUGCAGUUCUCAGCUCUCUCCCCAGAAAGCUCCACAAACAUUCACACCAGGAACCACAUGACUCAGGUGGCAUGAGUCAUGUGGUCACAUGAUAGGAGUCGCUAACGACCCUUUCAGGAUAACGACUUAGGGGGGACACUCCGAGAGAUGGGUUUCUACGACCCAUUCUUUUCAACUCCUCCCAGUCGUUACUGUCCCCCUUCUCCAGUAAGAUAAAUAUCUGCUCCUGACACUAGCACUUUUAGAACUGAAGAAGCUUCUUGGAUAAGAGGCGAAACGUCUUCUUAACUCUACACAGUCCAGUUGCCUUUUUUUUAAGUCUUCAAGAUAACCAUGACCUGGAUGAAUGAGAAUCUACAUGGACACCUUCAAAAGUUUAACACGUGAUUUAAUGUGACAAAAUAACAAAAUUUCGAACUAAACACAAAGCACCCACAACACUAUUGAGAGGCAGCAGGGCAGCAGUUCCCCACCAAAUGCCUCUCCAGACUGCAGGCAGCUCUGGGCUUUUAGACUCUCAGCGCCAGUUGAGUCUGAUCGGCACUCAAGUGAUUUCACCUGGGCAGCUAUGGAGAGACAAAAGGGGAAAAACACACGCAAAACAAACACACAGCCGUAACAAUCUGUGUUAAUUUGUUACCUUUUUUUUUAACAAGGCUAAUGUCAAGCCCGAUGCCUUCACUCACAGGGUAAGGUAUACAGUUCAUUCAUUUAACAGUAGUAUUGGAUCGGUAUCACUCAGCCCAGGUAUCGGUAUCGGAUAGGAUUGGGAAAAAAUUGAUCAGUGCAUCUCUAAGCAAAGUGAUACUGCAGUAUAAACAGGCAUCCUGUAAUAUCAUGUAAUCGAUUAGUUCACAGUGGUGGAUGGUGGUGGCUCUUUACGAUGGUUGCCACCCAUCAUAAAAUGAAGUGAAAACAAAGAAGCAGUAGCAGCCUGUGUAAACACUGUCAGCCACGCCUGAAAGAGACGAUCAAAGAUUUAUUAUGUCUCCAAAACCAGAGUUUAUGUCUCUACAUGUGUGCUGAUACACUGAACAUUUCCCUAAACAAGACAGUAAAGAUGUCAAAAUAAAAGCAUCACAGUCAAUCAUUGUACGGGGCGAUCUCUCUCACAUACUUGGCAGGUUAAUUGGUCCCUCUGAAUUGCCUGUAGAUGUGUUUGUAUGUGUGAGAGAAGGAAUGAUGGAUGGAAACUCUAUGAAGGAGUUUCUGUCAUGAGGAUAGUGACACAAAACACAGAAGUUGGUGAGUUGUGCUCAUUGGUGAACUUUGUGAAGUAUCGCGUCGCUUCACUUAAUUUAACUGAUUGUGCUCCUUUUUCCAAGUUUACCUCAGAUAUGCUGCUGAAUUUUGUUUGUUUUUUUCCACCAUUACCAUGGGGUGAAAAUGUGAUAAUAUUAAGGCCAUAUUUCAUAUUGAAUGGUUCUGCAUUGUUUGCGCAGCUUCACUCAUGGUAACUACAGAAAGUGUCAAAAGCAUUCUGCAUUGGUCUCUGAAGAGUUAUUAUGAUUCCCAAAGGUAGAGGAGGCCAUAUUUGAAAUGAUGUUUCCAUCUUGGCUUGAUGUAAAACAGGGAAAGAGGUGGAGUUUAGGUGGGCCUCUAGCACCUGGUCAACAGCUACAAUAUUCACCUUUCAGACAAAUCAGCCUCAUCUAGCAUUAUGAUUGAUAUGCAUGAUUUUGCUGUGAUAUAUUCCAAAUGGUGAGUUUUAAGCAUAUUUACUAGUUCUUAAGACUGAAACCAUUUAUUGAUCGAGGCUGUAAACAUGUUUAAUUCUGGUUUAAAAAUGGACAUUUGAUACUAAUCCUAAUGGGGAUUCCUUGGUUUGUGGAGGCAGCUUUAAGUGUGGACACUUGCAAAGCUGCAGUUUUUUGGGUAUCCCCUUGGCUGACCAACACUUAAGGGAUAGUCGCAUAUAUCAAAGUAUUUGGCUGUAUCUCGGGUGGUAAAAGGAUUUCACAAAUUUUGUGAGGGAACAUUUUUCCAAGUGGCUUUACUGGAAUAACCUAUUGAAGCACUGUCUGAGAUUCUUGGUUUGAUUCAGGUGAACUUUAAACUCAGUCAAAUGUUCGGAUGUUGUACAGUCAGAGAGGAAAAGAAAAGUAGAGAAAAUAAUCCAAGCAGAUAAUGAAAACAAGAAUAUGUUUUAUCCAACAUUUAAUUAAUAUCCUAAAUCAAGACCCCCCGGCAGUUGCCUACUUGACUUUAUAAUGAAGUCCACCCCUGCUUAUGUAAAGAAAAGGUUUAGGCGGUCUUGUUUCAGUUCUGCAUUAAAGGAGGAAGGUUCCCAUUUAAGUCUGUAAUAUUAAUUUGGCCUUGAAACUGUUAAGAAGAACGAACAAGUCUGCUCAUAUAAAUUAAACUAAACCCACAUAUUCCAUUUGUAUCUCUGCAUUCCCUUUAAAUGUCUAAGAUUAGACAAAAACCCCUGGGUAAAAGAUGAGUUAUUCAUGAACAGGGGAACUGCACUUGGCACCUAGUAUUCAAAUGAAAGGAGCCUCAGAUGGAUGAAUACUAAACAGGAAGUCAACAGCAGUGUCCCAUGAAAUUUAGACUAAGCAGAAUCUUUUGUGUGUGAACUACUGUAAUGGCUUACAAAAAUAUACAAACAUAACUAACAAGGAAACAAACAACCCAAAGUACUUUACAUCUUUGUUGAAUUAGAGCAGCGAGAGAGGAGAUUCAAAUGGUAAACUUCAUAGACAAAAAGUUAGAGUAUGACCUGUAUUCCCUGGUGUCAGGUAUCCAAAAUAAUGUGUGCUAAUUAACUGAGAAUGAAGCAUUCUACCUACACCAGGGUAGAUGACAACUGUGAUAUGAUAAUUACAGCAAUAAUGAGCCUGACUAUUAAUACAUUUUCACCUUUCAUGAACUAACAAUGUAUUAUUAUGUUUUGUAUGUGAUAAAUAUACGCAAGUUGGAUAAGACUAUAACUGAAAUAUUACUUGUUGUUCCUGUGAGGAAGUUUUAGAGUGUGUUGAUUUUGGCGCCCCCUGUGGACAAAGCAGUGAAGUGGUGUUACUUAACUCUUUUGCUGGUCAAUUUAAAUUCUCAUCCUGCUUAUUUCAACUAUUACAUGAAUCUCUCAUCCAGAAUUUCAUGCUAUAAAGAUAACACUGUUUUGGUAGUGCAGAGUUGAUCACUUUUUCUCACACCUACUCCUGGCAGCUUUUUCUGAAAAAGAGACAUGCAUUUUAAACUUUCUCUCUUUCAGACCACAUAGCUUUAAUAAAUGAAGUUAUCAUUUCUUGUACAAGUUUGCUUUCAUCCGCUAACUUUUGACACAGUUUUAUAGAGUGAAAGAUGGAAUUUAACCCAAAUGAACAAUUUGCCCAUUUCUACGCAAAUAGACACUGUAGAGUUGGGAGAAAGACAUUUUUCCGGUCCAGUACAGUCAAAUUUUAAGUUUUUGAAGGUCAUGCCAAGUCCUAUCCAAGCCGCUCACAGUUUUAAUAAAAAAAUGAUGAUGGUACAGUCAUAAAAGCGUGGUUCCUGAUGGUUGAAAAUAUGCAACCCCAUUUAUUUGACACCAUCAUAUUAUGUCUAUACCCACCUUUGCAUUGAGAUUAAAAUAGAUUUUUCUUUUGUCUGGAGUGGCCAAAAUGGCGCACUGACUUUUGUAAUGUGGGUCUGAAGUAUGUUUGUACUCACAUAAAUGAACAGCACUAAUUUAUCCCCCAGCCUCUGCGAUCACUUUUGUGUAAUUUCCAUUAAAGCAUCUUUCAGAUGUUAUAUACCGGUGUACAUUUUUUUUAACCUUUAAUAACAGGGAGGCAAAACUUCUCGGCUGAUAUUUACAUAGAUUCAUAAAAUGUAAUUUAAUAAAAAAUAUCUUCCACUGAAGUUCAGGAAAGCUCUUAGCGGCUUGUUAAAAUGACAAAUAGUGCAAAUUUAAAAGCUUAAAGUCUCCAGUUACGUUAGAGUGAGAAUUGAAUAUAAUCAGAGUCUAAGUCUCAAACUUAAGUCUUUAAAUGUUAAACCUAGCUCAAAACAACCAUCACAUCAAAAGUUUCAGCAUUAUGGACAUCUGCUCACAAACCUGUCAUUUAUGCAAACAAUACAAGUAUAGUUUCACUUUGGUUUACUCAAAAUGACAUUGAUGCUCUCUCUUAGCUGUUUCAGUCUCUACAAACUGAUAUCAAAAUGUCCAAAUUUUUAAAACUGUUUUACCAGCUUGUGGCUCAUGAAGUGUGUCUGUUUGAUGCUGAUCCAACAGCCAACAAUGCGACUGUCAAAGCUCUUCUGCUGUCAAGAUUGUGUCAGACUGAACCGUGUUAUAAAAGACUAAAAUUCUCUUCUAGCAGUGAGUCUGAAGAUAAUAUUUUGUGAUUUCUGCAAAAAAAGAGUCUCAAUAGGAAGAUAAAUCUAGUGAAACAUGAUGGUAAAGGUUACAGGCAUUUUGUGUUGCAAAAUGAAAAAUAAAUGACCAUGAGUCUGUAAGAAAAACUGCAACAACUCGUGGUGUAAGAUAGGACACAGUGUGUAGAAGUUUUACUCUUAAACUAACCAACAAGAAACCUUUUUUCCAACCUUGACACCUUUUACAGGUACUUUUUCCAAAGCUACUUGGGGAAAAUUGUCAAUUUUUGCACAAUAACAAGAGGUCACAGGGUUCAUUUGUCAGAAAAAUAGGUCACUCUGCUCAUUUUGGGCAUCUCUAUAAAUGACCAAUUUUGUUCUGCUGGCUCGAACAGACAGUUAGUGGGCAUAUUAAGUGUAAAACUGUAAAACUCCUCGGAGGUGAGGCCAUCAACAACACUGGACAGAGUCCUGGCAGCUGCAAGUCUUUGUCACAGUGUUGUUAGUUUGUCUUGGGGACUCUGUAAUGACUUCGAUAAUGAGUCUGAAUAUGCAAAUCUCCUAAUAUUGGCACAUGUUCGCCAGAGAAGGAACCCGUCCUGCUGAAUGGGGCCAAGCUUCAUAUUUUGCACUGCUUUUUAAUGAAAGCGGUUUAGUUUGGCAGACAGUUGCUUCUGGAUUGUUGCUGCUGUUGUGAUGAUGAAGAUGGUGGGUGCUCUGUACUGGGGCCUGUUUCCAUGGCGCUGGAGUCUCUUGGCCGAAUUUGAACUCAGUUGGACCAGUUUAGCCUAAAACUUCACACUCCACUGUGAGGAAUACUUUGAAAACAAGUGGUCGUGCCUCAAAUGAUAUGGUGAAACUGCUGCUAUAUAACCAGGCAUCCUUCAUACCCUUGAGCAGCUUUGUGGUCAAUAGUGAAUAAGAAUUGUGUUUUAAUCAUGUUUUGGUUUGUGAUUCUCACUUCUCAUUUCUCAUGUAUGUCGAUGCUUUAGUGUCUUUUCCCACCUUUCUGAUUCUUCCUUGUUAGUCCUACUUUUGUCCAAUUACCCCAUGUGUAUUUGGUGUUCCAGUUCAUUUUCUAAGUCUUUCCAACUCCUUCUCACCCUCUGGACAUCCCCUGUGACAGUCAGUGUGUUUUUCAAAAGCAGCAGCAAUCGGUGUUAAAAAAUUAGGCCAGUGUGAAUGUGCAAAAAUAUGCAGUUUCUCAAUUGUCCAUUUAAGGUCGGCUGCAUAAACUAAGUAAAUCUCAUAAUGAAAAUGCACAUUUUAACAACGGGGUUUAAGAUUUGCACAACGUAAUCAUCUUUUUUGCUAGCUGUUUGCAAGGAGGAGAAAGAUUCAACUAUUUUUUUUCCUAUUCUCUGGGUUAGUCAGAAGUUAGCUGGAGUCAGCAAAUAUGAUGACUGCCAUUGUUGAGCUUGGCAAUGCCACUUUGGAAAUCAACAAAUGACGUCAUUGAGACCGUGUCCAUGUUUUUGACAAUCACCAAGGGUCUUUUUGCCUGUUUUCGCCUGCUUUGUUGGGUCUUUUCCUUUCCUUGUUUAUACUGAUUUCCCUAUCUAACUGGUGUAAUUCACAUGGUACAAUCAAACUGAGGCAUAUCCAAUCAAUUCUUGGUUUUUAAUCAGGACAAAAUCUGGGCUCUAAAUGAGGCGAACAGCACAGAAAGGUUGGAUUAAGUUUCUCAUUACUUAUUGGUGUAUUUUGGGUGUAACUUUAUUCAAACCAAUCAGUGUGUCCUCCCUUUGAGAAACAGACGCAGCCUUUCUACUUCAGUACACCAGGCAAAAACCUAACCCUAAUGGCUUUCUCCUACUGUGCCUCUAAUGAUGCAGAAAGCACACAAAGGCCUCUGUUUAAGUUAUACAUGUAUGGACUGAUGUUAAUCUCCUGAGACAAUUCCUCUGAACAGCAGAAACAGAAGUAACAGUUCUGGACAGGAUCUAAUAUCAGAUGACAUACGGUGUAGUUCACAUCAUAGAGGAGUAGCUUUUAAUCUUUAUUGACUUGUUUUCACUGCUGAGUCAAACGGCUUCGGUUUGGUCUCAAGCAAUACAGUAUCUGAGGGUUUGGCUGGUAGCAUUUAAAAAGGGUGACCAUACGUCCUCUUUUACCUGGACAUGUCCUCUUUUUUGGGGGCUGUCCGGCCUUGUCUGAGGGAGUAUAUCCUUCAAAUCUCCAGGGUUUUGUAUGGAGGUUUUUGAGUUUGUGCCGCAUGGAUAUACUAAAAUAGAAGCGCGUAAAAACACUCAACCCGACCCGAAAAACUCUCAAAAUUAACUAUGCCCGACUCUGUGACUCCGCCCCUGCGUAGUUGUGUCCUCUUUUGGGGUAUUCAGAAUAUGGUCACCCUAAUUUAAAGUUAGCAGUUAUGAGCACUGAAAAAAAAUACUGCGUAGUUGUGUGUGAGCAUGUCUGUGUGUGUGCAUGUUUCUGUGUAUAUUUGAGUGUGCAUGAUGGAGAGCUUGAUAGAGAGGUGGAAAAUAAAGACAUUUGUGCUGCACACCAUAACACAUUGACCCCUUCAAAUUAAAAAUCCCUUGUUUAUAAUUUUCCAGUAAAUUCAAAUUAAAGCUGGCAUCUGCAUUAAAUGAGAAUGACUAUAAAACCUCAGAGCUCCUAUGAGGAGUUCUAUACUGAUGCACCUUUAUGGCCCCGCAACCGCAAAUAAGACCAUCAGCCAGAGUAUUGAUCAUUUCUUUAUAGGGAUUUUUAACGCUGAAACUGUGCGGCCUUUGUUUGCAUUUUUAUUUGUUGAUAUACUGCUUCAUCCACAUGGAGGCUGCCAAGACUAACACACAAUAGAUGUCCCUUUACUGCACAUUUGACAAUACCUACUACUCCUCAACAUGUCUGUUACAUGCACCUGUGUGUGGCGCCCAAAAGGGUUGAUGUAUAGACCAAAUUAUCCAGGAAGAGAUAAAUAAAUCUGUACCUCCACUUUAUGGGUGUCUUUUAUUUCGUCGGCACGAUGAUAAAGCUCAGUAAUCCGUUAUCAAACAAAGAAUUAGAGCCUUGGGAGAGGAGAGAAGAGUGACCUGUAUUGACUGGGGAAAAAAAAUAAAAACGGGGGCACCUAUUGAUUUUUACCUCACUCUGUCAAGGUCAUUGAAAUGUCAGUGUAAUUGAAGUUCUUCAAUAGACACGGUGAAAUAUUCUCAGUCACAUGACAGCCUGAGGAGAUAGCAGCCAUUGUUGUGUGUGGUGAGGAUGUAUUAUGAGGUCAGGAGGGGAUAAAGAUGAUAAAGAGAGGAUGAAACAUUUACAUCAAUAUAAUCUGACAAAAUGCUGAUUCAACCUCUCACAUGAAGUGUAACUGUGUGAAUGUAUUCAUUCUCUCUGCUUGCUUAGUCCUUUGCAAGGUCACUAUAGAUCUUGAGUUCAGACAGGCAGAGAGAGUCUCCCUGUGUGGCUCAGUGGAGAGUCAUAUUUAAUGAUAAAGUUUGAUGUCUCUCUGAAAAAUGUUUGACUUUGCAUCUUCUCUGUACUUAAAGUUCACUGGUUCGUUGCAAUAUUUCCAUACCACUGAUCUCAUUAUGGUCAGCUUGAAAUGACUAAAGAUUUUGCUUUGGGGAUUUUCAUGAAAUGCUUUUAAUUUUAACUUUGAAAGAAAUAAUCAUGACCGUAACUAAACUGAAUACACAGAUGCGACAAUUAAAACUCACUUUAGUCAAGUUAAUGUCAGUCCCAUUAAGGUAAGGUUAGAGAAGUGUAUCAGGAAAAUAUACUUUAAAGUAUCAAACAUUCUUGUCCUUGUCCACUAACCGUGAUCAGCUGCCAGAGGUUGGAAGUUGUUAUUUUUCAACUUAAAGUUCCACUCCCAUCGUUUUUUUUUUUUUUUUUUACAACUUGGUUCUCAGUGGUCUUUAGAUUGUGAUUAUGAAGUUUUUACCAAAAAUCACGUUACCUGUGUCAUUUUCAAGGGCUUUUCUUCUGCAGAGCUCCAGUAGAUCAUUAGCAAUUUGCCACUGAGUCAUGGGCGGAGACAGCGCUGCUCUGCACACUCCUCUUCACUUCGCUAUCUUGUAGCCUAACAUUGCCGGUGUGGUAGAAGUGGCAGGUGAGAUAGGACCAAUUUAGUUCUUGGACACUAAUGUCUUUGGAGACAUGAUGAAAGAUAUCAUAAUUAGCUUACAAACAUCGCAAUCUGCUAACACACAUGCUUGUUCCGCGAUCGUUCCUCUGUUUUUCUCCUCUAUAUGCAGAGUGUGGCCUACAUAGCAGGGCUCUGGGGGCGGCGCUUGGAUUGGUUACGUAUGAAAUCUCAGUGUAUCUGAACCUGCCGUUUGGGUCUGCCAGAGAUUCACGUCGAUUUGAAUGAAGAAAUACUCAGAAAAGCAAUUUUGGUUUUCUCAUGAUAUGUCCUGUAGCAUCAGAAAAAUGCCAUAUGAACAUAUAAAAAACAAGAAAAACACGAUUUUUAUCAGAGAGGGUCUUUAAACAUAUUUCCUCAAUGUUCAAAAUUAAAGUAGAAAUAAUUUUCAGGAACAAAAUUAGUGAAUAAAUGCAAACUAAACAUAUGUGGGUGCUCACACUCCUGCCACCCAUGAAUAAGUUGGAACCCCAGUUAGCCCAACCCAGGUGAAAAAUAUCUGUAUCAUUCACAGGCCAUUUCAAGGAUCCCAAAAAUCUUAUGGCAAAGUGUUGUGCCAUGUUAUAUCAUAUAUUCUAUUGUCUCUUAUUGUAUUGUAAUUAAGGGUGCAAUAUUUCCUCCUUUAAUUCAGUACAGCAAAAACUUAGGGCGCCGUCAAAGAAAAAUGGAAGUUAAGAAAGUUUCUAAAACUUUAAAAAGUUAUUACUUUACCAUUUCUGAUGUUUAAGGCAUAAUCAAAGCUGCCAGACCGCCCAGAUAGAAAAUAGACCUUUUACAGAUAAUGAUCAGCUCUUAUCUACAUGAUAAGUUCUUUUACUUUAAAUAAAACAUGCAGGAAGUAUUUAUCAAUGAAUAAACGGAGUAAUCGGAAAUUAUUUUUCAUGCUCUUUACUGUCAAUUUAAGCAUCAGCUCUUACCACUUCUAUGUUUUCCUCAUAUGUCUGACCACUCAGUGAGUCAUCACAUCUGAACAAUCUACCUGUCUGCACUUCAACUCCACUGGUGAUCCAUUUGAGCGUCAUCGUAAAUGUUCGCGCACCACUGCUCAUCUCUUUAAUUACAAUGUAAUUCCCACUGUGUGCACUUUGAUUUAGCAUUUGGAUGCCGUUGACAAUAUCUUUAUUUAUCCCGGUACGCAAUAUGUCUCACAUCUGUUUGAUAAAUCCAUCUCCCACCUCCCCUCCGCCCCUCUAUCCUCCCCCCUCUAUCCUUCCCAUACCUAACUCGUCUUUUAUCUCUCUUCUUUGCGCAGGCAUCGUGUCCUCUGGCAGUCUAAGUAGCUCAUUGUUGUGGGGAGUGUGUUCCCUCAUGGGAGCCAUAGCCAGUCAAGAGUGGAUUGCUUCAGUGCGAUGCAUUUUUACUUUGUCUGUCAGUUGUGAUGAAGGAUAAGAAACAGUGUGUUCUUUUGAGACGCGCAGAAUCAAAUAUGGGAAUUAUGAUAAAAAAAGACCAUUUCUUUACAUUGUUGUUAAAGGAGGAGCGAUAAAGGGAAGAAGUUAUACCGAUGCCCAAGGGGAUGAAAGACCUUGCAGAAUGUAUACCAGGGUAAUAUAUAAUAAUAAAUGUACCCUGCUGUUCGUCAUAGUCAAAAAAAUACUAAGUAUGAAAUAUUACCCUCCUGUGUGUUAGUCUUGUUUAUGGUCUCGCUUGUUGAUUUGUUGCCAUGGCAGUUUUGCAAGGAAAAAUUAGCCUUACCUAAUCAACCUCGGCAGAAAACAAAACAAAACGGUUUCGACCUUGAUGAUAGAGUUUCACUCAUUUAAGAUGUGCUUCAUUGCAUCACUUUUCAUUGUACAGCGCUUUGCUCUACAGACUCGUAUACAGCGGGAUGCUGAUCCAACGCAAAAAUCCAAAAUUUAUGAUUCAGACCAUAAUCGAGGCACACAGCUCAAUAGUGUUUACAUUACUGGACAGUUGCAGUUGCAUGAUUGCAGAGUCAGUCACUAUUUAAAGGGCUAACUUACAGUGCAUUAAUAUUUCAUAAAGUAGUUUGAGUAUGACAAAGCUGGGCGAAAAGAGUUGAAAUUCCUCGACAUUUACAUAUCAGUUAUAAUAAAAAGUGUUAAAGUAAGAUUUAUGUAAAUAGUUUAAGACAAUUCAGUCUUUGGUUACAGUCUACAGUUUCUCUGGAACAACAAAGAAUUAAUGGAGAAAUUAAAGAGUAAGAAGUCGUAAAGGAUGAAAUUUUCCCAUCCUAUAGUUGGUGUUCUCACUGUUUGAAGGACAUCCUGUUGGCCCCUUGCUAAUGCAUUUUGCUAACUGUUUUGAUAUGUAAAAGGUCAAUCGUAAGAUGACCUCUGUAGAAAACCUGAUAGAAAUGAGCUGAAAGGGGACAAUGUUGCCAUCUGCUGUGGCGGAGGUGGACAUGCUCCUGUCAAUAAUUCAAUUCUUACACGGUGCUUGUUCACAAAACCAGGUUUGAUGCCUAAUUUAGCUAUAACUGUAGCUCGACUUAACUCUGCGUGCAAGUGUACCAAAUAAGAAGAUUUUGAGGUCCAAUUCAGGACAGCGACUGUGUCAGGCAGGAAAUAACAUCUUUCCUCCCACUGUGGUCUGAGCGGUACUUUUGAACUAUCAAGAAUGAACGCAGAAUUGGCUUGACCUACAAUCUUUCUUCACACUCUAGGAAAAGUUCUGCUUUUGAACAACCACAAUAAAAUAAUAAAAUAAGACAAAAGGAAAAAAAGCCUUUCAGACAAAUUGUACCAAAUUCUAAUCCAGUGCAGAAAGAGAGGAAGGCUGAGGCAGUGACAGUGCAGAGUUAAGGGUGGGACAGUGCAAGCUUGAGGCAGGGAAAGAAAUAAGAGUGGGCAUGGAUACACAAAAGACGAAUGGGUAAUAAGAGAUGGUAAAAAAAAAAAAGAGAGAGAGAACAGUCAGUCAGAAAAUUCAAUACCCAGGCCUAGAGGGUUGAGAAGGUAUGAAAGGUACUGCUUGGAAGACAAAGAAGAACAAAAGAGUUGUUGUCGUGCGCAAACCACUUUGUUUCAAUCGACAUCCUUUUGUAGUAAAAGCCUGACAAACUCAGGUUCAUACUUAUCAUGCGUCACAGGAGCGUCUUGUCCUUGAGAGCCAUAGUUGUCUGAGCAGCUGAAGUGUUGAGCGAGCAGAGCUUUUUCGUCUGGGAUCAGGCGUCACUAAAUUUUCCCAUUUUGACACUCUGUACCUUUAGUUAAGUAUACCCCGAGGUGUGGGUCAAGCAAGCACAUGAGGACUAAGUCUGCUGCCUCUAACGUGUUCAAUUUCUGCCACAACCCGAGUACAUGAACCCUGAAUGACUGUGAUACAUCACUUCACUGUGGUAAAAAAAAACAAUCUCAGUAACCAUUUGUAACCUUAGAGAGAACGGGCACAAUAACAAAUAGGACUCCAACUAAAAAACUGUUCUUUUAAACAUUUACUUCUGAUUAAACAAAAUGAUUCAAAUGAUCUCAAGCUGGAGAAAAUAAGAGUCCGUUAACUAGAAUAAAUUACACCUAGAAAAGUAACUACCUCAGUGUGGUUGGUGUGUUUUCUUGGUGAAGUUUUGGCUCUGGCUGUCAGAAGAACUAAUGACACAUGGCUCUGAGAUGGUGAAUUUGUUUGGGGUUCGUUGACCUUAAUUUUUUUAGUCUUUUAAAGUAGCUCAACACAAGCUUCAUCACAGUUCCUGAAACGAUGAGUUUCUCUUCACAGUCUGCGAUGCUCUUGACUUGUAUCUACUCGUGAUUGUUUGCUGUUGGAAUGAUAGAUUUUGACCUGUGGAGAAAGUCAACUCAACACCACCCACUCUACUUCGACUUCUCCUACUACCACUUCUACUAAUUAUGAUAAUAAUUUUAAAAGAGAACAGUUAUGAUAAAAAUCUGUGUUUCUACUUAUCAAAGCUACCUUUGAGGGCCCCUCACAUUAAAAGGAGCUUAAAAAAAAAAAAAGAGGUCACCAUGAAGCUAAUUUUGCUUACUACAGAGCUGCGAGAGCCCACCAGCAUCUCUCACUUUGUCUCUGAUCUCUCCCCAAUCCCUCUGCCCCGAAGCAAUCCCCUCAGCAGCCAGCAAGGUGCAUGUGACCCCUGAGGGCUGGCCAGCCAGUGAACUCCUCAUGAAGGCAGACUCCAACACAAAGGGGGCUUUAACAAUAGUUCAGUCAAAGAAGAAGAAGAAGAAGAGCAGCUCCUAAUCACCACACUCUUGGGCUUCUGGAGAGCGAAGGUGCCAGACUCUAACAUGAAGCUAAAAACCAUCUCAGGGAGCAGAAAUCAAUGCAACACACUCAGCCAAAGAAGUGUGUAUGCUCUUCUUUUGAAGAAUUGUAGAGAUCUGAAAUACUGGAACAGCCUAUCUCAACAUUUUCUAACUUUCAGAUCAUUGUCUGGGGAGUGUGAGUGAGUACAUUACUGCAGAGAACAAAGCAGACACUUGAUUGAUGGGUCUAAAGUGUUCCCUGAAAUAUAAAACACUGGGUGACGAAGCAAACAUGCACUAUCAGAUAUCAGAGGCUUAUUGGAAGUUUUUGAAGCGAGAACAAACGUUUUUUUGAGGUACGCCUUGUUUGGGUAUUUUUCAAAACAGUAUUUUGGGAUAAAAUUAAAUGUAGGCGAUGCAAUAACUUUAUAUUUCAGUCAGUAAUGCCGAAAAUAACGAGGUUCCUCUACCUUCAAACUGUUCAGGGGAGUUCCACUUAAAUUCCUCCCCACAGGAUCGCAUCAGGAUACAGCUUCCACAAAAAGUAGAUGAAUUAGCAAUAAACAAUAAAAAGCAUCACCUCCAGCUCACUAAUGACUACCCAUGAUCCUCCGCUCCUUCCUGCACAUAUUCCACCAGGGAGAGGGAGAGUGAUGUGGGCUGUGCCUGAAGUUUUCUGCUUACCCUUAUUGCUUUUGCUGCCGAAGACAAUAUUAUUAUCUGCAGCUGCAGGCCUCUGAGUGCACAACUUGUAAAUAACAAACCAGGCUGGACAGAAGCCUGUGAGGCCACUGCUAAUCCUGGUAUUAUUCCACUUUUAUUGUUGCUAUUUGCUCAUUAUUUCUCAUCUCCUCUGGCUGAAGACAGCCAGUUAAAUUACUUUCACCCCAUUGUUUUCUUCUGUCACAGAGGCCAAAUUAGCAUUGAGGACAGGCAACAUUUAGCAAUGCCUUUAUUCCUUUUUAGCUCUCCUUUCCUCAUUCUUGACCCCCUCUAGAGCCCACAAGCAACACAAACUGUCACUGUGGGUGUUGCUAAAUGCUCAACAUUCUGAACAUAAUUAUGAAAAAUGUUUUUUAUUAUGUUUUCAUUUGCAACAUCCUUCCAUUUAGGGGGAAUGAGGAAAACAGUAGGUGGUAAUCUCCAGAUUCAAGCAAUAACCCUGCUGGUUCCCCGGUGGAGGUUUGGGGAUGAGAUCAUCACAAAGCUAAACCAGAUUGAUGUUUUGCUCCAAAUCCAAUUGGAGUAGUUAUAAUCAGCCGUCUAAUAGUAGUGUUUGAGCCUCCAGAGAGCUGCAGUAUUCUGUAUUUGCUGAGAGAAUGGAAACGUUGUGCUCAGGUUUGACUCACUAACAUCCCUCUUAUGGGAGGAAUGACUCUGACAAAGCCUGGGGGCAAAGCUGGUUGUUCGCUUCACUGUGCUCAUUGUUGCUCUGAAGACACCUAAAGAUAUGCGGUGGAUGAAACGGCUGUGAAGGCUCUCGCUAUGUGGAACAUUGCUCUCUGUGCGCUCUGAAUAAUUAUUCCUGCACCAUCAUAAUGCACCUGAUAGAGGUUCUGCUGCACAGAAAAAACUGCUUUUAAAAAUUCAGCCAAACCAAACCAACAUGAGAAAUUACAACUAUGUCAGAACUCUGAGAAACUUUUCAAAGCAUCACAAUCAGGGUGAUGUUUUUUUUCAAUCAACCUCCAUAGCUAGUUGUUUUCCGAGGUUACGAGCCACGAGCGUUUCCAACAGCUACAACUUUAUUGUGGGAAAAAAAAUAUUUGAUGAUAAAAUUUGACUAUGGUGCUCAAAAAUUUACUUCUACUAGAUCUGCACCCUUUUGAAUGUGAAGACUACAUAACUACAGAAGAUCUAAAAUGCUAUGGCUCAUUUUUAUUGGUUAGUCCGAGGCCUGUACGAUUUGGCAAAAAAAAAUGAUCACAACAUAUUUUGUCGUAUCACAAUUUUUUCUAAACUGACAGUUUCUGUACUAAAAACUAAAGAAAGUAGAGAUUAGUUCAACAUUUUAUUAACAUAUAAAGAAAAAAAAUUGAAUAAGAUACACUUAGAAAAUAUAAAAAAACAUUUUAACCCAACAGUACAACAAAAGUAGAUAAAUACUAAAUAACAGUGAAUUAGUUUACAGUCCUAAGUGUUUUUGCAGGUAUGAAAGACCAAAAAUAAACAAAUAUCUCCACCAUGUUCAGUGUUGCCCCAACAGGUGAUCCACACAUAGGAAAGACUUGUAUAGGACAUAUUGUUUUGCACUUAAAGGGAUAUUCCGACAUAAAAUUAGGUUAUGGUCAAACACACCGUAACACCAAGUUAGACACCCCGUCGAGAGAUGAAUGUUGCCGACUGCUUGCUUCACAAGUUAUACCAACUUUACACUUUACAACCGCACGAUAGCAAUACACAGCAGUCUGAGGAGCAACAAAUCUCAACCAAAACGCCACUCUAUAGCCACAAAUAAUGCUCAGAACAGCACCCAACUUCAUCAACAGUACAUCUAGGGUCCCAGCCAUAGCACUAGCCACUAAACAUCUUUUUAGCUUUGUUUAAUUUCUUUAGCAAAGAGGCUAACGCCUACUCUCUUCCAGCAGCUGCUUGUUUGUAGGGAGACCUCAGACGAGUCCAUCACUGAUUGCAGCAGGGUGACACAGCUCAAGGAAGAACAUUUAUGAUCAUUUCUUUGUGGAAAUGCAAUCAGACCGAGAGGCUAAGGCAGAAGAGCUACCGCGUCUGCAGUGCAAAAUGAUUAAUAUGAUGAUUAUUACCUCAUGAUAAAGAAAUGAUCAUAAAUGUUCUUCCUUAAAGUUGGUAUAAGAAUCAAGCAGUCAGCAACAUUCAUCUCUCGACGGGGAGUCUAACUUGGUGUUAAAGUGUGUUUGACCAUAACUCAAUUUUAUGCCGGAAUAUCCCUUUAACAUGGUCCCUUGCAUGCAAACAAAAGGCAGUAUGAUACCAAAGGACCAAUGAGCAAACAGCUAUGUACAGGUAGUGCUGGUGGGGAUUGUGGUGUCAUAGCUUCACACUGUGUUUACUUUAUAAUUUCCAAUGCCCUUUUAGAGGACUACUAUAAAUGCCAACCUGUCAAAAUGGCUAGUGGGAGUGACUGUGUUUAGACACCACAGCUGAAAUCCACCUGCAUUUAUCAGGUGAGCAGGUGCAAAUGUCAAGCCCUGAUCACCAUUGAUAUUGUAAGUUACACUUUUUUUUGCAGAUAAUGGGAAUAAUGUUGGAAAAACAGUUUGGUUAGCGGUUUGAGAUCAGAUGUGACUCACCUUCAGUGAUGUCUCUUGAGUCAGCACUGAAUUAGGCUGAGGUCACUACCAAGCUGAGUGCUAUUUACUGCGCCUAAAUCAUUGACUGUUUACUACUGUAGUAUAGAUUUCACUAAAUGAAACAUACAUUUAACCUCUAGGCAGAAAAGUCAGCUCAGUCCACAGCAGACAGGAUAAUUAUGUUAAUUUAAAGCAGAAACUCAUGGCUAUGGAAAGCUCUGUGACUCUCUGCUCUUUGAUAUUUCCUCUCACCAUUCCUCGUCUGCUAUAUUUAUCCAGCGGAGAACGCUGCAGGAGCCCGCUGUUGUCAGCUGAGCUGUCAAUCAUGAAGUCACAUCCCCUCUUUUCAACAUCAAAUAACAGAUCAAAGAUAAACUUCAAUGGAAAAUGAACAUUUGCACAUAAAUCAACAUGAUAGAAACUACCUAUGAUGACAAGAAAGCAUGUUUGAAAUAACAUAUAUCUGGCCUGCAGUUUUAUCUCAUAGUCCAACCCAUAUUUUGUCUGUUAUAGAGGUGGAAACUUUGAGACUUAUACUGCAAGCAGUCACCAGGGGGAGCUCUAAAAGUUCUGGCUUCACUUUAGUGGGGCUAUUGGGCUGGUCAUAUUUUUAUGGUCUAAAUUCGUCCAUUGGCUCAUCUGCAGAGAAAAGAUUACCAGGGGUGUUACAUUCAUGGCAGAUUUAUGAGCAGGAGGAUUAAGUUUUAUGAUGCAACGUUUUUAUGAAUUUACUUACUCCCAGUCAUCAGUGUGCUAUGUAAGAGCAGUGGUGGUAUGUAAUGUAGAGAGAGGACAUGGUAUAUUUUGGGGUUAUAUUAAAAAAUUAAUAAAUAAAAGCCUAGGGCUGUUAGAGGUGAACCAACCAGGCCUAGCUACCUACCCAGAACCUACAACAUUAUUUCUUAUUGUGUGGUGGAUUCCUCUUCUUUCAGUCUCUAUUAGAUAUGCAAAACUGAAGAGAAAAGGGUUAAAUUGUCGGUCUCCAGUGGAUGGGAGUCAUGAUGGGUGACGAGCUGUGAUGACAGCCUUCAUUAGUCAGCAGGUCAUUAAAUUUGGAGAAAGAGCAGAAGAGCUCUGUUUAAAUGGAGCUCAAUAAUCCCUCAGGGAAAACAUUCAUGAGGGAGGAAUUUCUAUUUCCAGAAAACUGUUACUCUUAUUUAAACAAAGACUGAGGAGGGAGGUUGUGGUGGUAUCUUAAAACCCUUUUCAGCAACUCCAGUCUUACUCAUCAGCCAUCCAGGGAUCUCAAAAACAAUACGAUAUGAGCUUAUGCAGUCAUGACAGUCACAGGUUACAGUUUCUCUUACCGGCUAAUGGACUAAAUCCAAACAAGAUGGAAAACCAUAAUGGGGGUCCUCACUAUGUGGUCACAGUUCUAGAGAAGCACCUUCCACAGUUCUCUGCACUCAGGUACAAGCUUCACAGCAAACAUUAUUGAUUUCCCAGAGCUAAGUGCAGAGCACAUCUGAAGCCUUAGGCUAGUGCUAACUGCAGGACUGUGAAGUUCACUACAGACAAAGAGCUUGGAUGCAAAAAGAAAGCUUGAAGAUCUGCUUGGGUAGUUUGCAUGUGUGUACUGUUAGCUGCAAGGUUUGACACUGAAAUAAAGAAGGAGGAGGAAGAGGAGGGAGAUUUGGCUGAUGAUAUCCUUCAGUUUUUUUUUUGCAGCACAGGUACUUGUGUCUGCUCAAAUCAAUGGUACAGAGAGAUGUUGAAGUACUGAGAAAGAAUGUGUUUCCUGGCACAAUAUCUUCCAAACACAUUGAAAUGCCAUAACAUACCAAACGUUCCUGUGAAGCAGUGAUCUAUUCAGAAAAAUUCAGACGCUAAUAGGUUUUUGAAAGAACAAUGAAACAGACACUGCAGUAUAGUUUGGCUGACCUUGACUAAAUGAAUCAUCCUGCAACUCUUGUGUAACUCGUUCAGCGUCAACUUUUUAUCAACGGGGAGAGAUAAAGAGUCGCAGGUUUAUCCAUAACUUUCCACCAGGUUUUGAUCUUAUAAACUCUCGCAGGUACCUGCACUGACAGCCAGAAAUACAGUUAUUUACAGCUAUUUAACUGCAGUGAAAGAGAUUCAGUUCAUAUAUACAGCCAUUGUGUCUCAUGUAUAAAAGAGCAGUGCUGCCACUUUACAUUCUGCUCCCUGUCACAGCCGCGACUUUUAGAGAAAGACAGAAUCCUGGAAAAAGUGGUUGCACCUGUCACCUUCUUCAAAGGGUCUUCGUGCAUCUUGUCACACCUUUCCCAUCCCCCAUUGUGUGAGGAGCACAGGCUGGCAGGUCUCCAUUGAUCUGUACGAGGGCUGCGAUAAUUGGGCCAUUAAGAUCUCAAAAAGACACCCAGCAUGUGGUAGAGAGAGAGUCAAACAGCCUGCCAAGAAAGAGGACUUCCAACUCCUUGGCAUCACUUGUUAAGAUUUCUUUGCUAUGCCAUGAAUUAUGUGUUCAAACAGUGUGCUGAUUUCACUUGUGAUACUUUGAUUUAUCAAGUGCUAAAUGCGGCCAAGCAUGCAAAUGAGACACAACAAAUAGAAACACUUAAACUGGCAUGCACUGUUUGCUUUAAGUAAAUGUUUCCAUAUAACUACAAUUAACUCCCCUUAAACUAAGGUGCUCCUUUCCCUAAGUAAAUGUAAAACUAAUAAAUAGUCAAUUACAGCAUAAAACAGGCCCGAUGCUUUGAUCCUGAGCUUUAGGUUGAGCAACAAUCAAAGCUCAAUUUGGGAAUUUAACUUGACGAUUGUCCUUGUCCCUGUUAUCAAGCACCAGGAAAGAAUGAGUUUACUGGGCUGUCUUCUGGUUAACCCACUAUUUCAUGUACCAAAACAACUGACAACAAUGCAGGUUGAAAGAUAAAUAAACAUCACACCUUUUACAGCUCUGUACCUUUUGACAGGUUUGUCUUUUUUAAUGUUUUUUCUUCUCCUCAAUCCCCAACUUUAUUAUCUGGGUAUGUUUGUCCGACUCUGAGAAGUUUGAUUUAGUGCAAUUUUCAAAGGUGUUAACAAGUGCUCUCAAAGUCUUGUUUCAUUUGGCCCAAUGUAAUAAAUCACUUUUUGGAAAAUGUGAAUGCAAUGACUGAGACCUCAUCACUAUUUUGAGUCGUCUAGUUUUAACCUUUUUGCUGAAAAUAGAAAUCAACUACCAAGGGAGUGACACACAAAGUGAUCUUGUAGUGACAAAAAUCUGUGAAAAGACUGUAACCAGAUAUAACACACUGAUAAAUAAGUGAAGAAAAAAAAUCAUAAAACUAUAGAGAUACAGAUAAUGAAACAUAGACGGAGAAUGGAGUUAAAAGGGAUAAAAACAACAUCAAAAAGAAAGAAUAAAAACGACAAGAUGCAAGUCUUAAAAAAUACCAAAUACACAAAUGACAACAAAGAGAUAUAAUAUGACUUCAAAGAAGUGUUCAUAAAUGCAGAAAGAUACAAAACGACAACAAAGAGACACAGCACUACCACAAAGAGAUUCAAACCAGGAACAAAGCCUGUAAUUAAAAAGAUAACAAUUACUUAUUCAUAUUGAAAAACAAUAGGGACAAAGGUGACUUCAAAGAGCUGCAAAACAACCACAAAGGGGUGCACAACUACCUCCAAGAGAUACAAAGUGAACCUGACAGGGUGUAAACCAGCUGCAAAGACAGACACAAAAUGACCCAAGAGAGACACUGUACAACUUCAAAGGGUCACAAAACAACCGUAAAAACACAUUAAUGACUUCAAAGAGAAGAUAGACAAGCACAAAAGUCUUUAAAAUACACUUAGGGUUCCCAAACAAGCACAAAGACAAGACAAGAACAACAACAAAGGCACCAACAAAGGAGGCUCUUUCAGUCAGGGUGUCUUGCCUCGAUGAGAGGAGUGGGGGACCUUUUACGUCAGCGGCCGGGGUCCUGUUGUUUUUUAAUUCGACCAUAGGCGGGCGUAAAACUCAUCAGAAAAACUGGAAGUUAGCAUCAGACUGGGCUGAAGCAAACAAACACAUCUGGCCGGUCUGGCAGGGAUUUCAGCAGACCAAUGAGAAAACAUGGAGAUAAUUUGGACCAGAAAUCGAUAGCAACUGCCAACACCAGUCGGUCUCUGAGUCGUGAUAAGGUUUCUUUCUGCUCCAUUAAGUAACUCCACUCUGGUGUCCUUCACAGCUCAAGCUCAGAUACUCAUCACCUCAACUGUAUUAAGUACUUGUAUAAGAAAAUCAAAUGCAACACACAGUAAUGCAAGAUGUGGACAUUAGACACAGAAAACGCUGAACAAAAUGCAGCAUUUCUUUGUCAGCGAUGAACAGAGGCAGCGGAUUGUAUCUCUGGGAAUCAAAAGAAAUCAUCCUGUAUGGACACAAAGACUUGGACAGCAAUCUGCAUUUCAGACAUUGAUUUGUCCCUACUUUGCAUAAGAAGUGUCACUUUCCUCUUUUACACACACUCUUCUUUACAAUUACCUUGUAUUUUGAGAGUUAUAAUGAAAUUCUGGGUUAUUACGUUUUUUUUUUUUCCAUCAUUGCUUCUUUCAGUUAAAAAAAAAAACAAAAAGUAAUUGUUAUAAUCUUGAGAGAACAUAGAAAAUUAGAUGGGCCAUAACAAAGACACUACUAGGAAAACAAUCCCGCUAUAUUCAAAGAGAAUACUCAAGUGAAUGAAACCAAAAGUACUUUCAAAGUACUUUGAAAAAUAACUGUGCAUGCAUGAAAGUAGCUUAUACAUAAGGUAAAAUUCAAAUCAGACUACACUUUGAUAAUAUGGGUGAGUCAGCUAAGCAGAAGUUGAAGCAGAAAACAUUUUCAUCUUUUUGUUCAUUACUCACUCGUAUAUUCCUCUUCAUCCUUCCUUGUUAGCUGAUCAUGAAGGUUCACUCUUCAGCCAAACAUAUAUCGCCACAUCCUCCGACCACCCCUCAGUCUGCUGCUGUCAGACUCUAAAUCCAUUCCUCUCUCUCUGCUCCUGUCAGUUUGUCAUCUCGAUGUGGAUCCCUCCUUCACCACCCGUCACCUCCAGUCCAUCUCAUCAGUGUCCAGGUUGAGCUCCUCAGGCCUCAUCACAUCCUGCAUGCUUCCAUCAACACCGGAAGACUCCAUUCGGUGAGUGUCCUAUAUUUCUCCCCGCCUUACUACCACUUACAAUGGCCCAAGACGUGGCACAUUUCCCAUCUUUUUCAUGCAUCUUUAAAAAGCUGCACUCUUACAAUGGCAAAGACCCUGGAUAUUGUAGAAAUGCAGCCUUAAGUUUUCAGAGAUCUCAGAGACAUCCGCCAAUGACUUUCUUUUCCAUACUAUCGCUGUGUUUACUGUCCAAUUAACUAAAGCUGAACGAAAAAGAUAAGAUGGACAAUUGAAGCUGGAAAAAUUGUUCUAAUCAUUUAUGUGUGUGUGUGUGUGUGUGUGUGUGUGUGUGUGUGUGUGUGUGUGUGCUUGCGAGAGAAACAAACAUCACAAGCGUUUUUAAUUCACAUCUAAUCCCCAACUGUUAGUAAAGUUUUUGUGUUAUGACACUGUCUGCUAUCUUCAGAGCCAAGUAUUCACACUGUAAUUAGUACGUUGAGAUUAAUUUGAAUAAACUAGUUUAUUUAGGCCUUUUUGAAAAUGGACUGCAUUUUAAAGUCUUUCCAGUCUUUAAAACAAUCAAAAAUCUGCACUUCUAUUCCAAAUUCACACAGUUUCAAGAACAUAUAUCUAUAUAUUUGAGUGCUAUUGGUAUCAGGAGCUGGAGAUCCAAUUCUGCGAUUUUCUUCUUUAAAUGGAGUGCAACCUGCUCCAUCUCCUGAGCCAAAACUUGAGCCACAACAUUUACUGUAAGGCCAAGGCAUCUUAAAAAGUAGUUCAGUUAUAUAGUGUUCUGGCUCAGUAGGAGGCACAUAAACAGUGCUUGUGUACAUCUGUUGUGGGAACUCUUAGUCACAGUUUUAUUUUUUUUUCUGCAGUGUUAAAGUGUGUUAACACCCCCCACAUUUACUAAUGAGUUUAACACACAAGUUUGCCACUGAUCCAUGCUGUACUUAAGUCUUAUUUCUAAGUUGAGUUGUCCCUGAAACUGAUCAUUUAACCACAAUGGCCACUGCUGAUUUUGCUUCUUUUGCAAAGUUUGCGCACAGUUUCAUGUGAUUCCAAGUGAGUGACAUAUUGUAUGUUACAUUGAUGCAUGGGUUGAUGGAAGAUGGGUGAUGCCUGGACCUUAUAUGGAUUGAUGGAUGUAUGAGUGAUGCAUGGCUGAUUUUUUGAUGGGUGGAUGCAUGAACGGAUGGACUUUAUUGAUCGUAAAGCAGUGAGCUGAAUGUCUGUUAUGUAUGUGAUAUGACAAACAGCUCUAUCACUCAUGCUAUUGUGAUGUGGUUGUCAGGUAAAUCUCACCUGUCUCAACCAAAACUUUCCCACACUGUCUUUUGGCAGCUUAUCUUCUCCUGAACAAAGAGGUUUUACUUUCAAUCAGAGUGAUGAAACUUGAUAAUAAGACAAAGCAGUCAAAGCAGAGGGUUUGCCCUUCAAAUCAAAUCUCUAAAACACUGAUGGGAUGAAGGUUUGCCCUGUUUUUUCUUAAGUUGAAAUCAUGACAGAUUCAGGUAAUGGACUCUGUCUUCUUUUCAUCAUGCAGAAAGCUGAAUUAUGUGUUUGAAAAGCAAGAAAAAGCAGGAUUUGUCGCCUGUCUGCUAGACUAAAUAUCACGUCUUGAGGCCAUUAUUGCAGGCUUAACUUUUCAUAAUUACAGCAUAAGUGUAGACACAAACAACAGUUAAUAUUCUGACAGGUUAUAGGCACUGUAGGAGGGUUUUUUAUUGAAUGCACUCAGUCAACCUUUGUUUAUGAAUAACAAUGGCAGCGAUUAAAUCACCACCAUAAAUAUAAUGUGAAUUUGUUAACAGAAAAUCCUCUUGACAUUUUGAUUUGCCUGAAAUAAAUCCAUCACUCUGAUACAAUAGGAUCUGCCUGAGAGGAACGGUGUAAGCUCACACCAUGUGUUCUUACCGGAGUGAACAGAUCAGUUUGAAUAAAUAAGAACACAAUUGAGUUUAUGAAAAACUCAACAUAAAAACCCCUUAAAAAUUGUGCACUAUUAUUUGUUGAAUUAAUCUUUAUUGAGUAAAUGUUUAUGUGCAGUCACUACCAGCUUUAAACCACAAAGGAUUGGUUUAGCUGGAAACUAAAUGUGUUUAAAAGUCACUAGAUUGAUAUAGACCCUCUUUUUCUGUGAGUGUCUUUACUUAUCUGGACUGCGCGCUUUAGGCUGCAUCCUGAUGAUAUGAUCCACAAUUUUGGCAGCUGGCUCCCACUAUUACACUGUUUAACAGGUGGCCAGGAUGCUCUGUAAUUGGCCAAGAGAUACUGGGAGAAAAUAGUAAGGGUGUAAACACAGUGAGUCAUGAAACACUUCUCAAAUGUCUUGAGAGUUUAACUCACUCACUUUGUUGAUUUAAUCUUGUUGAUUUGUGCUUUUACAGUCGGGUUUCAGUGCUUCAGCAAAACAGUGCUACCAGAACAUGAAGCAGCUGUGCUUGUUGGAUAAAAGAGGUUAUUUUCACAUGGUGUUGACAUGCCUCCUGUGACUAGAUCACAAGUGGACACCACUAAGCACAAGUGUUUACUGUUUUCAUCCACACGUGUCUCCACAUGUGUUUGCCGUGACCAUUUGUGAUCAGAACUCACUUGCCUGCUUCACAUGAUAAAACCAUCCGUGCAUCAUUUCCAUUUGAAAAGACCGAAUAUAUCCUAUUAGGGAGAGCAUGUUCUCUCAGUUCUGAACAAUUCCUCAUCAGCUAAAAAGACUCGAGGAAGACUAUGGCUCUCUCGACAACAGGCAUUAAAGGAGGGAGUGAAAGACAGGCGAAAUCAAAACAGACUGAACUGUGACUGUGGAGAUGUUUGACACAAAUAUGUCACUUUCAUAUUCUCUGUCUUUCCAGAUUUUUUUGCUUGUUGUUGCUUUUACAUGCCAAUAUGUACAUACUUCCCCGAACCAAGAGGGCUUCUCCUCCCUAUUUGGCAACUGCUAGACUACAACAAGGGGUGAUACUUAAGGGAGCAAUGCAUUCUGGGUGCAUUUAGACCUGCAGCUGAGAAUAAUACAUGUGUGAAUGAAAUAAAAGGCAAUUUGUUCAGAACUUAGUGACAGGCAGUCGUAAGGUAGUGGUUUUGUAAAAAUGCAUGCAAGGCAAAUGAUUUGAACGUCCUAGCUUCUCAGGAGGCGCACUCUUUCCUGCAUUACUACCAAUGAUUGGAUUCGUAAAUAGUGCUUCAUAAGGUGCCAAAUCAUUCAGAAUAAUGAGGUUUCUCAGUCAGAAGAACAAGGUGUUCUGCAGUGUUCUCUGUGCAUACGUCAUCCCCCUCAGCUCACUUUCUUCUUUUAUAUACUGUAUGGAGGUCUGAUCCUUUGUUCUGAGACACUGAUUGCACAUUUCCUUUGAACAUAAAGUAAUAAUGCAUGAUAGUUGCAUUAAAUUUGUUUUUUUUUUUACCUCCUGUUCUUACUGAGUUAUAGAUUUAUAUUGUAUAGAGUUUGUGUCUUCACAUAUCUGUAGAAAUGCUUCUGAUGCUACCUGACACUGUGAGCACUCAAUCCUCAGAGGCUUCACACAAAUAAUCUUCAGCUUGGAAAGCUACAUAGGGGUUUGUCUCCCCGGCAGCUCACGCAUAGAUGAAGUGAUAAUUAGUUUAUAAGGUGUUGGAUUUAGGGGGGAUAUAGAAGCACAGCUGAGGCUAAUUGUAAAGGCAAAGCAGUGUCUCAUGAUGGUAUCACUUUCAGGCUGAAGGUCAGGACAUGUGCUGUCAGACCUCUUCCUGUAAUAAAUAGUGUGGCCCACAGGAAAAUGUCUAAAUAGCCUCUUUUUUUGUCAAGGUGGUUGUCCUCUGGAGCAAAGAUGAAUGUUGAUGAAUAUUCACUCCAGGUACAUUAUAUUUCAAAGGCUUCAGACUCACUGCUUGUAGUUAUAUUGCUGUAGAGUUUUUGCUUUUUGAAUUUACACUUUUACCACCCCAAAACAUCUUUUUAUUCAGAGGACUUAUUUUCAGUUGGUAUAUUUGCUAUUAAACAUCCAUCACACAAAAUUAAAAGAUACAUUACUCUAUUUAGUACUAUUUAGCCUUAAACUUGUCAAUCAGUCUUUGAAAUGAUAGACAGACAGACAGACAGACAGACAGACAGACAUUGAAUUGAGGCCAUAUCGCCCAGCCCUAGAGAAUACAGACAUACACACACACAGUUUAAUGCACACAAACAAAAGAGACAUAAAUACACACACACACACACACACACACACUCGUAUGUAUCUAUAUAUGUAUAUAUUUUUAUCAUAUUGUUCUGAAAUCAUCAAACUUGGUUGUAAAAUUUCAGAAGAUGUUUUUCCAGAAUAAAAGUAGAAACAAUCUAUCUGAACAAAAAAGGAAAUCAACAGAAAAACUCUCAAAUAAAUAUAUCAAAAAGAUGUCUGAAUUUGUUCAGUUUCAUUACUUUUUUUUUCAGAGAACCUGUCGAGUCUCAUUUGCAGUCUUUCUUUUUUCUUUUGCCUUUGGUUUAUUUUUAUUAUUGAAGACAAACAGUUGCUUUUGUAAGUCUGCCUAGCCUACAUUUAUCACUCAUUUUGAAAAAAAAGUAAAUCAAAUUAAGACUAAAUAUUGAAAAAAAUUGGGAAAUUUAAUUUUGUCAUUAAAUCUUUUAGAAGUUAAAGAGAUAACUUCAUAAAAAACUUCAUUCAUAUUUGAUAUAAAUGUAUGCAAAAAUCUGAUUAUUCUUUUUAUGCCUAAUAUACAGUUAAUUACAACCCAGUUUGUUGUAAGUUAUGAAAGCUGAACGGCAAAAAUCUGCUGUGAGUUAAAGAUGCAAAUUCCGCCAAACCUCCCACCAGACUGUCCUUCUGUGAAGUCAUUCUGUCCUUUCAUUGUGGGAGGAGUGGGUAUUUUUAUGUCUGGCCCUGUCCUGGCUUGAAUGCCAAUGUAAUUGAGGGAUAGGCUUUCAUUGGAGAGGUCCUAUCACUACAGUGAAGAGACCUGGCAGCCGUAAGUACGCAGGGAGACUGACACAGCCAAGCCAUUUGCCAUGCCAGGCAUUUCACAUCAUUGUGGAUUCCAUCAUCGUUGAGCCCCAGGCGGACUGGUUGGAAAAUAUCAGCCACAGAAAUAAUUAGCUGAGGGAGAACUUCUUGUGACCAGCGACCCAUCAGCGGUCCUGCCUCUUUUGUGAUUGUGUCUAUCUGCAUUUUGAAUGAAUAUCUUUUUUUAUAUUUGGGGUCUUUCACUUUCAUCCUGUACUUCUCCUUUCAGUAAAGGUUUCAGAGCCUGUGUUCAUCAGACAACACUUAUGUUGAGCACAUUAUUUCUAUAACUCCAUUUUGAUUUUAUGUAUUUUAAAAAGCUCUAAAAACUGAACACUAUGAAAGCCACACCCAGCUUGAUGUUUGUAGAUAAUAAAUUCAGCAACUUAAUUUUUCUAGCACUGCAGUAAAACUCACAAACUUCAGAUUGCACUUUUUAAAGGGAGCACAGGUGUCUGCAUGCUUGAUCCGUGUGACCUUAUGCUGACUCAUCCUGCUGUAAACUGGCCAACACCUACAAACCUCUUCCAAGCUCUUAGUCAUGCACUGUUCUGCUGGUGAAGACUCAGGAUACAGUUUAUUUUAUCACCAUUUGAGACACAAGGAUUUCACUUUCUCACACAGACAGAAGAAACAUAAUGUGAAAUGAUUUUUUCCCAACAGAUUUGUCUAAACUGCCACCGUAACAAAAGGCUUUUAUUCUGUGCAGUUUUAAUCUUGAUACCUAAAGUCAUACUAAUCUGAUGAUAACCAGGAUUAAAGAUUUAAAGAUUAGAUUAGAAGCACAAUGCGGCUGGUGUUAUUUUUAUCACCACACGAGUUCAAGUUUCAGCAUGAUGUGACUGCUUCGCAUAUUCACAUGCGCAGAGAUAAAUAUGAUGAUUUGAUCUUACUACAGCAAUUUGAAAUAAUUCACUCACAAGCCCCCUCUGAGAUGCUCUCAUUAGUGAACGUCAGGAAUACUUAAACCUCUCCAAAGGCAAAAAUCCAAGGUGAACUGUCCUCACAUCAUCAGUAUCGCAACAUGCAGUCUUCCUGUGACAUGGACUUUGAUUAAGUGAGUCAAUUGGCCCACAGAGGACACUUUUCUCCUGUUGACCCCUGCUGAUGUGUCAUCUGCAAUAAUCUCAGAUUGUGUUUGAUAAGACCCGCUCCUUUCGUCAAGCAGAGGCAGUGAUCUGCUCUCGCUGACACCCUCAUCUCCUCAUGUGACAGGAGGAUUACCAGAUGAUUUGAAAUGAGGGCCAGCUGACAGCCGUCAGUAAGUGUCGAUGAACCAAAGCGUGAGGUUUCAUUCAGAGGAAGCAAUCAGGAGACAAGAAUGAAGGAGGGAAACUGCAUUAUGGGUGAAUGUUCAGGGCGUGAGUCUGUCACAAAGAGAGUUACGAGUCUGGCUCUCUUUGUUUCAGUGGAAGCAGUAUUACAUCUCGAAAAGCUGGAUUUCAGUUUCUGAUAUUGACCCAUCCUUUGAACAUGCAGCAUGAUUAUUUGAUGAAAGACAUUAAUGCACUAUUAUGUUGUGCACUGAACAAAGAAAAAGAGCCACUAUGUUAAUAUAUAAUUCAAACAGUUCAAUCUAAAUUUUCACAGACAUGAUGCUAGUAUGCUUUUUUUAACUCUUAAAGUUGUAUGUAUUCAUUUAUAAACUUUAAUGUGACGUAUUUUCUUCCUUUCUGAUUUUUUUUAGCUGGUCUCUGACCUCAUUGUUGCUUUUGUACUGGGUCACUCUUCAGAAUCAGGUCUUCAAUUGACCUUCUGUCCCAAAAGAGACAUAAAGACAUUGAAAAAAGUGAGAGAACUGAGUCAUGAAUGUAGCUGUCGUACUAUUAGAUCAUCAUACUGGAAAAAGUAUGAGCUUUUCGUCUGAGUUAAGAUCUGGUUCAUAUCACAGAUGCAGAAGAGCAUCACAAUCACCCUCUGACAUACUACUAUCAAACCAGAGAUACAGGGUUCUUGAUGUGCACUGGGGCGCUCUUUAGUAUUCCACUUAAAUUCAAUAAGUAAAGUAAACUGAAGGUCUCUAUGUACUUUGAUUGUUGUGUAAAAAGCUGUGUCAAACGAUUCUUCUAGCUUGUACAAUUAAAAAGAGCUGCUGUGAUACAAGUCGAUUUCCAGCCUCUGACAAUGAAGUCAUGUUAUCCAAUCAAUCAGGGUAAAUUAAAACCCACAGACAUUAGAGUAUCGAUCAAACAACAGUCAGAGAUGAACAGGAAGAAAAGAAGUUUUGAAAAAACAGUAAUACAAGGAAAAAUAAACAUAACACUAAUCCAAGUUAUUAUAUAACAUUAUAUCAUAAAAACAUGAUGACACCAACACCCACAGGUUCCUUUAAGUCUGAACUCUGAAAUCUUAAAAGUUUUCUAUGUAUUUGGUAAAAGUUUAAUUAAACUUUACAACUUUUACAUCUGUUUUCAUUAGUGCACUUUUACCUUUUAUUUAAUAGACACGCAAUAAAGCAGGUUCCAGCUUCCUUGAGCAAAGGUGAGAUAUAGGUAAAGCAUUUGCCAAUACUCAUCUACAUAGUUUGGUUUUGAUUUCAAAGGUGUGUGAUUAAAAUUAGACAAGUCAUAGUUGAUGGAUUUUAGCAGCAGCGAUGAGGAGAAACACUCUGAUUAAUCAUCGUCUUUAUUGUCUUUUUUGUUGUUUAUCAGCUUCACCAUCUUCUCACUUUCCUAUUUAAUUGCCAGUGUUGGGGCUAAUGCAUUACUGGCAUGACGUGAGUGUGUGUGUGGUAACCAGUAGUGAACACAGACUUUUCAAAUUGAGUCAAAUUUAUACAGUAAGCACAAACAUUUUGCGACUUGUUACUUAAUGCAAAAUAGCUGACAACUACAAAUAAUAAAUCAUGUGACUCAGCAAGUCAUGCCAACAUCAGCACUGUCGCAUCCUUGGAGACAGAGUAUCACACACAGUUAAAACAAUAAUGGCUGAUAAUCAUCUCGAGCUUUCUUCCCUGGAAAUACCAGCAUCAUUUCCCCUUUCAGCGUCAGGGUUAGGGAUAAAAAUAUAGUGUGGUGAAGUACCGUCUGAAUGCAGGAAGGAAUAUUUUACCCACUGCCAAGACGAGUAACUGAUCUCACAUCUAAGUACCCAAUCAAUCAUCACGUUUCUACGAAGCUUGUUUCCUACCCAAUGACCCAGGUGUAGCUCAUGCAGCCUGGCAGACCAACAGCCACUCCAUCCAAACAGCCAAGGCUUGAUUGAAAAUCAUCACCGGCUCCACAAUCUGUAAGCCUAGACGGACCAAACAGACUGAUGUAAGGUAUGAUGUUGAAGACAUGCUCCCCAUACUAAUGGGAGUGAGGCUGCUGCUUUCAGAGAGCUGAUUAGCAAAGGAGGCAGGGUCCAUGGACAAGAGCACCAAACUGAUUAAAGCGAUGCUAAAAUUACUCUACAAAGUAACGUGUAACUUUUGGAGUGCAGCAUUUCCGUCAUUAAUUUUAAGAUUGAAGUUUUUACUUUAUUAUUGAGUCAUUUAUAUAUUAAGCUCAGCUCACAUGGACUGAUAUGACACAGUGAGUUCAUACAGUCUAGAGUCAGAGGGCAUGACAUGUCAAUCUGAUAAAGCAAAAUACACACUGAUUCACUUCUUUUACAGGCUUUUCAGACUAAAUUAACAAUCUUGAAUACAUCAAAUGUAAACAGCCAGUCCAGUUUUUGCUCAUCUGGUUACCACAUUAUGGUUAACUCUGCAUGUAGCUUUUGUGAUAGAACAACAAAGUCCAGGCACACUGAACCAAUCACAGCUCUUUACACUGUUGAUAAGGAGGAUUUUCCCCUCAGAUUAAAUACCUCUGCUCCAUGUUACAAUCCUUAUCUGUGUUCUGGUUUUGCUGACGUCUUAGAUUUGUUGCAGUGCCCGGGCUAAUCCCAUUUCUCUGUUAACCUGCUUAUCAUGAUGGCUGGCAUUUCACCACUUUUGGCCUGUGCAGUACAAAGCUUGUUAAAGGCUGUUUUGUAUUUAGGUGAGGGUAGAUCAAUGAUUCAUUCACACAACAAACACUCCACAUAACUGAAUGCUGAAAUUAAUCUGUUUCUGGCCCGACCAGUGCGAGUGAGAAAUGUGUUGAUGUGUGAUAGAUUUUCUGUCUAGACAUGUUACUCUCAGUUAAACUUUUCACACUCAAUAUUCAUCAUAUUUCUCCAUCUGUGUGAUGUUAUUUCAGGAUCAGCUGCUGUGUCCAGCAGUCUGCAUUGAGGACAAGUUGAUUAAACUCUUCAUAAACUUGUUGUUUUGUUGUAGCUUUAGUUUUGAAAGGCUGCUGAGGUAAAGACACAAUCAUUAAAGUCUCGUCCUCUGGGGUUAAAAAGUAAGUCCAAGAUAAGAUCAAUGUUAUAAUGAGGUUUAAAAAAGCAUUGGUUGCCCAGAAAGUGGACAAUGAAUAAAAUAUUCAUGUGUCACAUAAAGACAAACUUAGUUUAAACAGACAAUUGAAGAAUUUAGCAAAACUUGCAUAAAGACUCACAUCCAUAAUCACUCUUUUUCAUCCUCAGCAUCUACAGUUACUGAUUUCAGUAAAACGUUUAUUUUUUCAUUAGUUUUUGCUCUCUGUUCAACCUUUUAUGAUUAUAUUUUUCUGCAGUAUACUUCUAUGUUCAAUAAAUUUUUAAACAAAUGAUUGAUUAUCUUGACAGACUUUUAUUUUGGUGAGUGUUAGCCAUCUAUAGACAUGGGUCACUUCCUGUUAGUCAUGAUUAAGGAAGUAAGCUGAACCUGUCCACAUGACUUUUUUAACCUGUUGUCAGUCCACACUGCAAACAACACAGAGACAAUGCAGUAGGUGGGUGAACCUGUCAUAAAAAAGACUCAUGAGAUAGUAUCAUGCAUCACUCACCAGACAUUCAUAUGAAUUAAGUCACUCCUGGUUUUGAUUGUGUGUAUAUUUAGGGAGUGCUUCUUCACUUUAAUGAGAUAAUUUGGCUGCAGUGCUUUGAUCUGUUGUGUUGAUUUUUAAUCUGUUGUGCAGUUUACUGAGAUAAAGGACCAGACGGGUGUACCAGAUUAGAGGGUCAACCUGGUCUGUUGAUCUGAUGCCUCAUUUGCACUUCUGUACAAGGAUCACCACAGAAGAUGAGUGGAAAUGAGACGUAAAGUCAGAGUCUAACAUGUGACAAAGCUGGCUCUCUUUCACCAAUAUUAACGAAAACCAUCUUUUUACAAUUUUAAGAUACUGAUAUUGUGUGAUGAGUGAGCUCAUGUUGACUGAAGUGAACUGUGGUGUGUCCCCAUGAUGAGACCACUGACAACAAGAUUGACUAUUGUGAGAUAGUAAUGUCUUAUGUCUGUAUCUGCCAUGAGUGGGUAGAUAGGUGUAAGUUUACUCUUUUUAUCAGUAAAUUUUAUGGACUAGUUUUUGUUGUCUUGCCUUUUCUUAAUUUUACAUACUGUGUUGUUCUAAAUGUCAUGUUUCCAUAAAUAUCUUGAUAAUAUCGUUCUUGUGAUGUUUUAUGGCCGUGAUAACCUUGAGGUAAGAAUCUGAUAUCAUGACAGCCCAGUGAAAACUUUCUUUAAACUCCUAACCUUCAGUUUGCUAAUAGGUCCCUUACAAAUGGGGAAAAUGCUUUACACUGUUCCCUUAAGGAUAAGGCUGUGGAGUUACAGUAUUAUAACUCAAGAGUCUGUGUUCAGGUUAGUGGGGUUGCCUUCAGUUUUCAGUUUCUCACCUGUAAAUUCCAGCAGAUUACCCAUACAGGAAACCAGUGAUGACAGCACAGUGUUUAAAGACAGUAGAUUAUGUUUGUAUUUUAAAACCCUGCAAAAAUACAGCUGAUCAAAUCAAUAGUUUACAGGUAUUUAAACAAAUAACCUUACUGAAGGAAGCUGUGUAUUUUCACAUUAGAAACAAAGUCAUACACAGUGACACAAUCAUCCUCUGCAGUGGCUUGUUGGUGCUGGUCCUGACACCACAAAGUUUUUUCCAUUAAUCAUUGCUUCUCUUUAUAUCAGUCUGACAGAAACAGACCGCUGGUGGUUGUUCAUUUUUGUGCAGGAGAAACGUCAAAUGACACACCGACGCCCCCUUUUGUGUGACCUCACACAGCGCCUGAAGCAGAAAGCAUGAGUUAAUAGAGAACGUUCAUAACCUCCUUUGUGGAAUCAGAUAUCUUUGUGGUCAGGCUUACAAUGUGCUUUUGUAUAAAAUGUCACAGUGGAAUGUCAACUCACAGUGUGGGAGUGAAUCACACACAACCAACGCUCAGAAAUUAAGUGCUUACACUGUACUGUCCAAUUGUCAAGCACAACCUGAGUGCUCACACUGCAUGAGCUGUGUGGAGACAGAGCACUGACUGUCAAUAAAGCUCACUUUGAAAAAUCCCACAGACAGAAGUCCAGUAGGUAGACUUAUUACAAACCAAAGCUGAAAAUGUAGAAGUAGAAUUAACAGAUUUGGUAUCAGAUAGCCUUAUAUUGUGCAGUUGGUUGGUGAGCAAGUAAGUCUGAUUUGUGUCACUGUAAAUGAGCAGAUUUUGUCUACCCUUGUUUUUGAGUAGUUUUUAAAAUGAGUGCUUUAACUUAAUUUCUUGUGUGUGAAGUCUCACUAUAUUUUGCAUAGCAUCUGUUGCUGAGUGAGAAAACGCUUAAAAGAUAUUUGCUUUCCGUCAACUGUUAGCUUAAGAUGACUCUCAUUAUAAGUACUCAUAAAUUAAAAUGCUGUGGUAGUAUCCAUUUACUUUAGAUGAAAAUAUGUUAGUUUAUAAAAAUCUCUUCCUGCUGACUUCUGACUGUCAAAUAAAAUAUUAAAUGUGAACAUUUAAUGAGGAAAUUGUAUAAAUAGGUCUUAUUCAUUUUUCGGCUGACACCUUCCCCCUCGCACUAGAUUCAGGCGUCAGCACAGAAAGUUGUCAGUCUUGUUACUGACGGUGUUGUUUGCUUUUAUAUGUUUUAAAAAGGCAUCAAGAACAUUAACAAAAAAAAACUUCUCAGAUGAUGAAUCAUUCUGGUUCAGUUCAAGUCCAUUUGUAGUCGCCCUGUCCCAUUAAAAAUUCAAACUUUGUUAAAAUAAAUGACUCGCUGAAAAGCAGCUGUACCAACAAUCACGCCGGUCAAAUGAGUUUAAUUCUUGGAGCUGUCACAGAGAGAAAAGACUCUGGCUCAUAACUCCUGCGCUGGUUAUGUGGGUGUUGUCAUGUUGACAAACAGUUUUCUUACGCCAUUUAGCAUAUUUAUUCAUUCAUUUGACAUUUACUGUUGAGAAAGCAGAUGGUCUGAGUCUUGGUUACAAGUUUCUGACACCCCAAGGAUUCACUGCAUCGAUUAGGCCAAUAUGUUUGGCAGAGCGAUUGAGUGUGUGCCGUUUCAAUCAAUGACAUACCAACACUAUUAAAGCAGAGGUAUUAAAUGCUAAAUCACUCUUUAACGAUGGUAUUUGCAUGUGCCUAUAUACUUACCCAUGAUUCCUUGCAUUUACUUCAAUGGGCAUAAAGUUCCAGAUGGUGAGGGUUUACAGCAUCCAGAGGAUUCAUAUAGUCUCAGAGAAGUCCUGCAUGCAAAAUUAACUUUCACAACUUUCCAGAGUCUCUAAACUUCCUCUUUUAUUCAGCAAGGUUAAAUGGACCAACGUCAGGGUGAAGCUUUUUAUGGAGCUCCAAGGUUAUUCCUGCAACUGAUACACUUGAAAAUUACCAGUUUGGACUGGCUGGAGACUAUUUUUUCAAAAAAAAUCUCAAAAAUGUUUUUCCUGUGGUCCAUAUAGGUUUCAUUAAAGCUCCUGGAAGAAACUUUAAGUUAGCCUUGACUUUGGCGCCCCCUGUGGACAAAGUGGAACAUUUUAUUUUUUGUUUAGUUUGUCCAGUAAAUGUGUAAUGAUAUGGAAAAAACUAUCACUCACUCUAAAUCUUUGUCACAGAAAAUAGUAAAUGAAAGGUUAUUUUGCUCUGCGCUGUAAAUUUCCUUGUCUGAGAGUUUCUAAAAACUUUUGUUCGUGCUGUCCACAUAAAAACCAAAUAAUGGAAUUCAGUCAGGACCACCUUUAUCAAAAGUAUUAAUUACUUACAUGCAGUAUUUGUAUUCAGUGGAUGUUCUGAGAUCUCCUAGCCCUUCCACCUGCUUAUGUGGAGCGCCGUAGCUUGCAGAUAGUAGUGAUGGGCACGGCAGUUCUUUUAGAUGUACUGAAUCACUAGAAUCAGUUCACUAAAAAGAUUUGUUCAAAAGAUUCGUUCACCAAAUCACUGAAUCAUUCAGCGGGAGGAGCCUGCGACUCCGACCUCCUGAACUGAUACACAACUGUAUGCUAUUUAUCAGGUCUGCUCGGUAAAUUGCGGUCAGUGAGUGAUUCGUAAACUGAACCUUUAGAAGAAUUCACACUGAACAUGCACUGUCCCUCGCAAACCACUGCAAUGAUAGGAUGCUGCGGGUUUAAUGCACUACUUGUUACAUGCUGUGUCCUAUUGUAUGCCAGUUGUUGUGGUGGCAAUUUAGCAGUAAAAAAAAAAGGUAGUUUUGUGCGACAAAAAUGAUUCCAGAGAAUGUAGUUCAGUACGUUCACUUCAAAGAUUCGGUUCUUUUGAACAAACUGUUCACGAACAACACAACACUAGCAGGUAGAAGAGCACACCUCCCUGCUGUUUCAUGUGCAUACAUGUAAAGCCAGGACAGGCAGAGCAGCAGCAGUAAAAUCCCCCAACAGAACAGAGCUGAAAACAGUGACGAUACAUUUGACACUGGGAAGAUCAGGCAUAGGGAGCUGGUGGAGGCAGUUUGGAGGAAGCCACAACCAAAGCAGUUUGCCGCUCUGUCUGACAUUUGCCAACUGGAUAUGAGAAAGGUUAUUGGCUAAGCUCUCUACUGCAAUGGGUUGGCAUUAGGAUCAGUGGGCUGAGCUUGACUUUCCUGUCCUGACUCCAGUACUGCUAUGCUCUAUUUUUUUACUGACCCUUUAAACCUCAUAGCAUUACCUCCAAAAUUAAUUGCUGCUUUUCAAGGAAAUUUUUGUGACCUUUGCUUUAUUCAAUUGACACCAAACAUUUCACUCACAUCACACUAUGACAACAAAAUUUGUUUUCCUUAGUCACCGUUUUAAAACAAAAAUUGCUUUCUGGUAUUUUUCCCUCCAGUUACACAUCACACUGUGAGACCUAAAAGGGAGAGAAAGUGACAGAUAACCUAGAGCAAAGAAGUGUAUCAUUGUGAGGAAGUGGAGGGAAAAUCUGUCCUGAUGUUACUCGAAUUACCAGAGAUCUGUGUGAACAAUACUGCAGACUAGAUUCUCUGUUUUGAAAGUGAUGCUGUUUCUUAUAAAUAGCUCCAAUGUGCACUCAUCUGUGUGCACAGAUUAUAAUCCCGGCACAUGGGCUGUAAUCCAAAUUGCAGGAGUCGUAUUUUCUUCGGGGACUAACUCACCUGGCAGUGUGCCCUUCCCCUCUGUUCCUCCCAGCUGACUGGCAGCUGUCCAGUGACGAUGAUACAUCCAUGAACUCGUGUCAUCUCCUGAAUCAACAGUUAUGAGAAACAUCAUACUGUUAGAGAGUUGAACUGAAAAUGCACCAAUUAGGGCAAAGGAGCUAUAGACAAAUACUGCUCAUUUAGGUAUUUCCCACAUAUUUUAGGUGUCAAGUGUGUUUAUUUCAAUGAAAGGGAUUUUCUAUUUUCAAAUACCACAGGAUACCGUUCUGUUCAAGCCUACACAUUGUUAAAAAUUAACCUCCCUUCCAGUGAUUCAAAGCCAAAAAUAAAUCAAACUCACAUCACUCAAUUAUAAUCAAAAAUUUAAGGGAGUGACAAGUGGAUUCCAGCAGUGUUUGGUGCUGAUCGGGGGAGUCGGGGAGGGAUUGAGAGAGGGAAGAGCAGCAUGGGCAGGAGCUGUGACCUGUGGUAAUAAGCAUGUGAUGAAUCCAGACCAACGCCGGGCAUCUCCAGGACACAGUGGUACACUCAAGAUGGAGGAAAUUAAAGCGUUGUAAUUAUGUUUUCCCUUGGGGUAGCUGCAGCGACAGCCAGAUAUUCAUCAAAGCGUGCUGCAGCAGGUGCGGCUACCACAUGCCUGCACUGAUUCAUCAUCACAAGCUCUCUCCGUCAUCUUUCUGCUGCAGAGCUCUUUUCUUUCAUUGAGCAGUUUGAUUUUCUGAAUGCAUUGAUCAUUGUUUCUAAACAUGCACAGGCUGCUGUGGUUGGCUGGAGGGCUGCUGUCCAUGCUCUGUGCCCCAGCUUGCAGACAUAUUGAGCUCUCCCAGUGAGCAGAUGCCUGCGAAAUCUAAUUCAGGAGUCUUGCCAGUAUGGAAAACAGUCUUGUCUCUGCCCCAGUUUCCUUACUGCUCUGAAAUCAUUGAUGAGGAAAUGCUAACUCACGCUGGCUGUGGCCAGAAGCAGCUAAUGCUGCAGGCAACAGCCCGUGCCUGACCCUUCAAUCACACUUAAUGCAUCAAAAGCAUCAAACUCUGAUGAAAGGGCAUUCAUCUCAGAUGGAAAAUCAUCAUUUUUCCUCAGACACUUUGAGAGGGAGCUCAGUUUCCUGGAAUUAUUUCCUCGCCUUUUCAGAUGAAUUCAAUUUACAUGUGAAAAGAUGGAUACGUAUGUAUGUACAAUGGGUAUAUGCAUUUUUAUAUUUUUCUUUCCUCCCACCGACGUAUCCGGUCAUGUGUGAAUGGGGUUAGUUGUUACUGAUGGUGCUUAACAUAGCAGCCCCUGCCAUCAGUGUGUGAAUGUGACGUGAAUGGGUGAAUGUGAUGUGUAAUGUAAAAGCACUCAGAGUGGUCAAGAAGACCAGAGAUGGCCCAUAGAAACACACCUAUUUAGCAUUUUGAUGUGACUGACUAUUAAGGCAUUAUCCCCGGCUACUGGCCAAGCAUGCUUAUGUGGGAUUUUAAUACUGUCUCUGCAAUAUUGUAGGACGUCAUGAAGAAGUAUUCAUAAAUAUCUCAAAUGUGGACAGGAUUAAAAAUAUCGGAUAUUGAUAUCGGAUAUUGGUCCCAUUUCAGCAAAAAAACGAAUAGCGGAUUAUAUCAGCCUGCAUCUAAAAUUUCCGAUAUCAGCACUCCGAUACAAGCAGUCCAUUCUAGACUCUGCUCCGUCACCUCUAUCUAACAGUGCCCAGAUCUAGCAUGCAGAGCUCACUUAAUCACAAUGACAGUGUGUACUAAGGUACUAACAAAGAAGCAAGGAGUAGGGGUAAUGUUGGCCUUGUGGCAGUAGUUUUUGUUUAAGUCAGAAAAAGUUGUUGCAGCUGAGUGCAAAACUUGUCAUGCACAAGUUUGUGCUAAUAUCAGAUCAAAAUCGGUAUCAGCCAAUACUGAAAGCUACAAUAUCGGUCUCGUAUCAGAAGCAAAAAAGUUGUAUCGGCCUAUAGACCCCUAAUCUGUAUGGCCUAAUUAUGGAUGUGAGUUGAGACUUGAGACGGCUGAAUUUCCCUAUUUGUCUGAAGAGCCAAAUUAGUAUUUUGAGUCCUUGCGUAAAAGGUUGUAGUUAGCUUCAGGAAAUAGAACUGUAAUGAAUCCCAACAAAAAUCUGCAAUCUGUUGGAUUUAAAAUCUCAAAGGUUUUUGUCACUUUUGCAGCAGAGCAUUGAAAGUAAAAUAUUUCAAUUACGUCUGCUGUCAUUUUGUCUCGUUCUCGCUUGCAGUAAAACAGAAGCAAGUGUGUUUUUUGAUGUUUUUGCUGUUUCUUUUAUCUAAAUACAAGAGUUUAAUAGUCUUUUUAACCUUUAUGGUGUCUGAUUGAAAUAAACACAGAGCUUUAAUCUUCUGCAUCAGGUGAAAACAAGAGGCAGCAUUUUUCUGCAGUGGCAAAGAUGAAGAAAGAGUGGGAGGCUGAAAUCACUCAAACAAGAGGGUGAAACUUUUUGUCAGAAGCCUUUGCAGGGUGGAAACAAUGAAGAAAAGAAAAAGGGUUUAAAAAAAAAGGCAUCCUUAUUUUAGACAGUUUUAUUUUUGCAGUGAUUACGAAACCCGUUCCUUGACGAGCAGGCAAAGCUAUCAAUCAUACUGUAUGUUGCAUAAAUCUAACACGUACAACCUGAGGACGUCAAAACGGUUCCUACAAAAAGAAAUCACCAUGAACACGAUCACGUCUUACCUUUCAGGUACUUCCUGUACCAUGAGCAAUCAGUGCUACACCAGCAGUACUUACAGGGUCCUUUUUAUGCAGCUGUUGCUUCGUCAUGCUACAUACAUGAUGAAAAGUAAAUGAUGGAAAAAUGCUAUCCAAGAUGUGUAUAGAGGUUGUAAAAUAAAUAUGAUGUGAAGGAUAAGGUCACUAUGAUGUUUAAACUACACAAGGACAGCAGAUGAAUGAGGAAUAGAAAGACACUUGUUUAAAUCGUCUUUUGACUAUAUUUGGAAAUGAUGACGAAGAUUCAAGAGGACUGAGGAAGCGAGGAUGAAAGACUUGAAAACCCAACAAUCGUGGACCAUUUCUGUGUAUCUACUUGAUUAUUUUUUGCCCCAUUCUUGCAAGAAGUAAAUGUACUUUCUUUAUAUAUCCUGAACUCUGGCGUAUGCUUCUUGUCAUUUAAAAGAGAUUUUUCUAGCAUUUAAUAACAUCUUUUCUGCGUAUUGAGUCAAAUCGUCCUCAUUAGAGAACGGUCUGGGCUGAAUCCACACACAGCAACAGAACCCCCUCAGUAAGACGUUUUACCGAGCUGCGCCACGAAUUUCAAGAGCUUCCCCAAAAUGGAACACUCGACAGAUUCACAACAGCAUGCUACCUCUCAGAACAAUUGGUGCUUUCACAAAACUCUCCUGAGUACCAGGAACGUUCAAAGAUACUCUCUCCAAAUCAUCCUUCAGCCCUCGCCAUGAAAGAUCUCACGUUUGGGGAGAAUACAGACAAGCCACUUUUCCAGCAGCUCCCUCCUCUUUGAUCCUCUCCGCGCAGUCUGCUUGCACAGGCAUUAGCAAAAUGCUCAAUCUAAUACGGAUCCAUUAGUCUAUGGCUGAACACUGGCUGAAAACAAAUCAAGGAAAUGGCUACUUUGGCAGGCAAGACAGGUCUCAAUCAGGAGCGGCAGGUGUGUUUGAGAUGGAUGUUGCAGAGAGCAGCCAGAAUAAUCUCAACGGGCUGAUUAAACUCAUCACCAGAGUUAUUUCACAGUCUGAUCGGGGUACUGAAGAUGUUUAGCCGUGGAUCGCCAAGUAUCUGAAGUUAUCAUGCAACAGUACGGCAACGAGGCUCCUACCUUAUCAGUGUUUGACAUCUAUUCCACUUUUUCUCUCUGAAAUCAAUUUUACUCAUCUGACUGUGUUUCAGCUGCAGAGAACUUGAAAUUGAAGAUAAUAGAGCAUGCUAAACCGUUCCCUCAUACGCAGCCGCUGCAGCUUUAUCUGGAAUAACUUUAUUUUUCAAUAUCCUGAUGAUUGACAGCAUGACUGACAACACCUCAUGAUUAGGAGGAUUUAUUUCCUGCACAUGCUGCACACAAAUGGAGCAUGAUUUUUGGCAAAACAAGGAUUUGGCAAACAAGAAUACCUUGAGGACUUUAUUUUCUCUCCACAGCAGAGGAGACGGGGAUUUGAAGAGAGGAGAGAGAUUACUUUCAUCCUGUGCAUUAAAAAUGUUCAGAGUUCAUUGAUUUAAGGAAUUGGGAUUUGCCAAGUAUUUUUAAUUAACACUUUAUUUAUUAAAUUUUUUAGCUGCAACAUUUUAAUGAUGUUUUUCUCUCAAACAUUGUCAGGUUACCACGUUUUCUAACACAUAUGUGGCAGCACUAAAGAACUGAUCUGGGAGCUUAUGUAUUAAAAAUGCUCGAUGAAAGAGUAGGGAGUGUAAAUGAACAUAAAACAUCUUUUUCAUGAUUUAAAAUGAAAGUAAAUAGCUUAUCGCUGUUGGUUCUUUUUGAGCCGAGGGCGUGUGUGAUGUAAUCUCUGUGAACAGGUUCUGAUAUUUACGUCAGAGAAUUUAUCAGAUAUGGUCUACUGAGGCAGUCUCUCCUCCUAAUAUGAUAUGAAUAAUAAUAUAAAUUUGUAGAAAAACUCACCAGAAAAGAAAUAAAAAUCAAGGUGAAGAAAAAGUCAUUGACAUUGGUGCCAAGACACGGUCUCUAUCUAGAAUAUUGCUCCGAAUAUGUAACAAUAGCAUUUUUGUUCGCUGUAUUGAAAUUGUUGGCAUGCCAACAUAACAUGCUCAUUUAACUCCAAGUGGCAGCCUUCAGUGUUGUUAAAUGACAAUGAAAAAAGUGACAAAAGUGAAAAAAAAAAAAGGCAGAUCCUUGAAUGUCCACUUCAGGCUGGCUCCAAAAGCCAAGGCCUCUCCAAUGAGGUCUAGUGUUGCGCUGUCCAAUUUAGAGCAAAAUCAAACAUCCUCUAAACCGCGGACAAAACGUUGGUUUUCAAUUAGUUGUUUGCCAGAUGGCUAAAAGCUUUUAUCUGUUUCUAAGUUGACCUAAAGUUAGAUUGAGUUAGGAUUUCCUGUACGGCGACUGCCAUGGCUGAGUUUCAGAAUACCCCAGAAAACGAUGGAUGAUGUUGCUAAGACUAUGACCAUUUUUUAUAUAGCCUGUGAUUAACCCCAUUGGAAAUCAAAAUUAAUUCUCAAAUCAGUCGAAAGUGUUUUUGAAAUAUAAACAAUGGCACCUUUAGAAUAAGCAUUAACACUUGACAAGGAAAGAAAAGAUGUCCAUAAGCUAAAUUACUUUAAAAGAAAAAAAGUAUUCUUAAAGUUUUCCAGUUUUGUGAUAAAUAUUUGAAAGCUACUAUCCUGUCCAUUAAAGCCAAUGACCCUGGAUCACUGAGUGCACUGCGUGACUGUACACUGGAUGUCAGAAAAUUUCUCUCAGUGAAAUUCCAGUAAAACUAAAAUCCUUGUUAUCGGGUCCCAGCAGAUGGCUGAACAAAUCUUGCCUUCUGCCGGGCUCCUAGGGGAUCAUAAGCCCGUUGCAGGGAACCUUGGCUUCUGGUUUGACAGCAAUUCGACUUUUGAACACCACACCUCUAAGCUUGUACGGUCAUGUUUUUUUUAUCAUUUCAGAAAUAUCUCAAAGAUACAAUCCUUUUUAAUUUUUAAAGACACAGAGAUGAUUUUACAUGCUUUUAUUUCUUAACCGCUCAAUUAUUGCAACAGUCUUUUUACAUUUCUUAAUCAAACUUCCCCAGACAGACAACAGUUGUUGCAAAACUCAGAUGCCAGGCUUUUAUCAAGAACUAAGAAAUUUAAACACAUUACCCCUGUGUUAGCAUUUUUAGUUUGGUUGCCAGUACAUUUUAGAAUUGAUUUUGAGAUAUUAGUUACCUUUAAAGCUCUUAAUAGUCUCUGCCCAGGGUAAUUCACCGACUUCCUCGGGGUUCCUAACCAUUCCAGACACUUGGCUGAAAAAAAAGGUGGUCGACUAUAAGGACGAUUAACUCAGUGCACUCAGUUAAUUUGUUUUUUUAAACUCACUUUUUUUCUGAUUUUACAUAACCCGAAUUGUCUUGAUUUUACGUUCAAAUAUGUAACUAGUUUGAUGAUCUUUUGAACAAAUAUUUUUAAAUUUGCAUUUUCUGUUUCCUGUCUUGUAAAGCACUUUGUUAUUGAGAUUUUGAAAAGUACUUUAAGAUUCUUCUUUUUAUUUAUUAUCCGCUCUUUAUGAUCACAAACUGUUAGACCUGGUGGUGCAUCUGUAGUUGGACUGCAUACAUACACUUCAUUUGUGUAUUGAAAACCAUUUUGAAUACCUGUACUGAUUUAGAACCAAACCCUGACUUACACUGUGCAGUAAGUGCACAUUUAAAAGCCAGACAGUCAUUUACAUGUGAAUGAAAGGCCCCACAUCACUUUAGUGGAGGACGUGAGGCAUUUAUUGCAUAUGGCCUUUACAGACAGCUGUUUUGACUUGAAAAAUAGUGUUUUUACUCAGGAGGCAGCUUUUAAGGGAUUUUUUGCUUCUAUUCAUGCUGGAGCUUCAGAUAUAUGGCUAUAAUUUGGUUUCAGCAUGUGUUAGUAUUUGACACAUCUUUAUAAACAUCCCCAUAUCAGGCAGGUGGUAGGUCUAAAGUGCUUGGUCCACCUGUUGCAAAAGCACCCCUCUUGCUUGCUGUACUUGGUUUGUUGGCUUCUUUUUUUUUAGAUUAUCUUGUUCAGCUCACACUCUGCACACAGAUAAAAUGUUUGUCACGGCAGCUGCCAGAUGUUGUACAACUGACUGUUAAGUGCCCACAGUGAAUAAGGCAUACAUAAUUAGCCUGUGCUUUGAAAAUGUGCUGCGGUUUAUUGUCGACUAUAAAAUCAGUCAAAUUAGUUAAAGUAAUGCAAUGAAAAUGAUUGAGUAUCUAAAACUCUUGGUAGUGCUUUGGUUGAUUAGUUCUCUGACUCCAUCAUUUUAGAGACCAGUGUGCAAUAUUUCAUUCUGAUAGGGAAUUCCUGCUUUAUCAUUUACAUGAGCCCUGUAUGAAGUAAUUCAGUACAUGCAGCAUGCAUUUUAAUCAGUAUUGGAUGAUGUUGACUUGCAGGUCGUCCUGCCAGCGUAAUCCACCUGAUCUAACAGAGGAAGAGUCUGUGUUUGGUUUGGUUGAUGGUUUUGUUGGAGCAGGGUGAUCUAUCAAAUAGUGCUACCAAUGAAACAUCACUUAGCAUCCCUGCACACGUGCCUUUGUGAUGGGACUAAUAAUUAGAAUGUAGAGCUUGCUUUGGUACUCAAAACAAAAUCUUUAAUUGGGAUUUCAGGAUUAACAAAUCUCAAUAGAGUGUUGUACCCUGAUAAUGCAAAAUAAGUGAGUUGUGGUGGAGUGAAGUGCUCUGAUAAUAAGGUGUGAUUCAGCAGUGUCUAUUGAUAGCCUGGGCUCAGUAGUGAUGGGGGGUUUAGUGCUGUUGUCUCAGCAAGAAAGUUCCUGCGUCGAGUCCCUGGCUUGUUACACAAGUCAGGUUAAUCAUAAAUGUUGUUUGUCUUUAAAUGUUAGUCCUGUGAUAGGCUGAAAUCCUUUUAAAGAGUGUACUCAACCUCUAACCCCAUUGGAAUAGGCUCCAGCCCCCUUGUGACCUUGAAUAAGAUAGAUAGUAGAGCUAGUGCGAGUGAGGAUUGAAAGCCUCAGGUAUUGUUUGAUGCCUACGGUGCAUUGUUCAGUGAAUAUCCAUCUUUACAAAACACCUUAUACGUGAAACUUUUCUUGAACAUUUCAUGAGCAACCCAGUGGUAUAACCUUUUGACUGCCAAGAAGUUCAAUAAUCCCGAGAUCUGUGUUUCUAUACCCAGUUAUUGUAAUUUAUUGGAGAUUUUGGUAAGUCCAAACCACUUCCUGUCUCACGAAUCAAAACAGAUGCAGAAGUGCUAAAAACUUCAGCUCCUUCAGAAUCCACUAGUGGCUGGUUUCAAAACCCCUUGGAGUAGUAGUUCAGUUGUGAAAACAAAUCGGGGGGAUGUUGGAUUUUAUUGUUUGGGACAGAUAUUUUGCUCUGAUGACAGUACAUUGGGAAACCAACUGUGUACCCAUUUUAUUGUUGCUAAAGCGCAAAGAUAAUUAUUAUAUUACAUUAUCCCUCGGAUUGAGCUGCCCAUGUCGCUUGGCCAUGAUACUGAAAUCACAACAGCGUCACCAGCGCUGCUCACUGAUGUCUUUUUUUUUUUUUUUUAAAGGAAAAAAAAAUGUCAUUUUCACACCUGCCUCAUCCAGAGUAUUUUACUAAAUAUGUGCAAAGUCUGUCGCGGGGUUCUCAAACAAUCAAAAUAUAGUGGAAAAACACAUGCAUAGCCGAAAACAGGGUGAUGGUAAUGUCUAUUUACAACCGGCCGUCCAAGGUGCCAUAAAUAUUUACAAAAGUCAAAAAAAUGGUCAAAUACUAUCUACAAAAUGUACAAGGUAACAGGGCAAGAAAAUGCCAACAGGGCAAGAGUUCCACUAUGUCUCAAGAUUCUCACUCAAGAGAAAAUAACAGAAACACAACAGUAAUACAAAAGUCAGUUUGGCAGUGACCUUCCAUACAACAAACUCUCAAAGAAAGGCUCAGGCAGCCUUCUUUUAAACCCCCCUAGACCCUUCCAGUGGGCAUUAACAAUUAGGUCUACAUAAGUUUGGGGGAAAAAAAAAACAAAAAAAACCCAAUCUAUUCACAUUUAAACCAUUUAAACCCCCUCCUUGGCUAGGAGCCUCAAACACACCCAUUCUAAAAGCCAUUUCUAGGAUGGUUGUCCUCAGCACCAGUAUAUUGGGACAGCCUUACACCAGAAUUGAAUUUCUUUUCUGAGUGGCCCACUUUAUUUCUUCUCCAGUUAUAAGUGGUAAUGCUGUAACACAACCGGCCUUGGUUGGCUGUGAAAUGAAACAUGGCACCUCGAAAGAUUGUAUGUGUUGCAGGCAUGGUGUAUCUUGGCAAACUCAGAUUUUAUGUGUCUGACAGGUUCAGGAUAGAGCCUCUGGUGUGUAAUGAUGGCCCUGGCCCUGACACUGAUCCAAAAUACUCACCACUGUAGGCUAUGUUCAGGUCAGUUUUUGUCAGCCUUUUGCCUCGACCUGAAUCUGUACAUGGGAAGACAUAAAAAACCUGCCAAGAGAGAGAUCUCGGUCUUGUGACCACAGAUGUCAGUGCUUUGAGUCUCAAAGAAUUCUGCAAAGUCUGCCUUGUACCUCAGCUGUGCCCCAGACACGGCACAAAGCAAGAAAGUAGGAGGCUGUUCAUCCGGCUGCAAGUAAAAAAGGAACAUUUUUCUUCUUUUGCUUGCAGUAAGUCCAAACAUUAAAACAAUCAGUCUGCAAACAGUGAUGUGCCCUAAAGCAAGACACUCAGAUUCUAAUGGCUGAUGUUCACAUACCACAGAAGGAGUAACUUUCCAGACAUAAAUAUUAAGGCAUCUUAGAGUGCAUGUCGAGGCUAUUACUUGAAAGUAAUUUUCACAAGAUCAAUACAAUAUUCAGUUAGGAGUUUUCCACCUUUAAUGGAGAUUGUUGUGCCAUUAAGCAUAAUGCUAAACAGGCUUGACUGCUUACUUUCAGCUCAAUACAGGUGAAGUGAACCUGUUGGUGAGUAAUCAAUUUCAAUGAUUUUAUAGCUGCUACCUUUUGGUAAUUUCUGAUAUAAUAAAUCUUCCCAGUUAUUUUUUCUUGUUUUGCUAUGUAAGUGAGAGGUUGUAUGCCUCAGGUGGAAAACAAAUUUCAGAAGGUUAUCUUAAUAAUAAAGUGGAAUCAAAUCAAAUACUAAGAAGAAACUGCUUCCAAGAGAUGAAUUUUUUAGAGAGGAAGACAGUGUGCCCUAUCCUCCUGAAUUUGAAUGUGUGCGAGUCGGAGAGGUUUAUUGCACAAAGUGUGCUCCAGUGCAGAGCAAACUGGAUCUGGAAUAGCUCAUAACACAAUGUCAAUAGUCUCUAUAGUCAUGUCAACACUUCUUUUGCACAGGCAUGAUUUCAUUUCGUUUUUUAAGUACAGAUAAACAGAACAAUUCUCUAUCUUUCAGCACUUUGUCCAUGAGUAUUAAUAUUGUUCUCACCCUGCAUUUCUCAUGCUGUACUAAAGCACAUCAUAAAUCAGAGAGAUGCUCUUACUGUAGCUCAGAGGGUUUUUAAAGGCCAGGCCCUCGCUCUGACUGUCUCUGUGCAGUGAUGUCUCAGAACUGAACAAGACAAAAGCUUGCUUUGAGCUAGUUUCUUUUUUCUUUUCAUUAAGAAAACUGGAGGCUUCCAGGUUCAAAUCUUGUCACACACCAAGUAUGAACAUCUGGAAGUUUGUAAAUUAGGCUGGAUAGCAGGGAUGUGCCAGUUUACCUCCUGUCCAGUGAGCAAUUCCCCAUUGAAACAAUGUCAAAAAAAUAUAUGAUAUAGUAACUAUGGAAGACACAUCAACCAAAUGGAAGAAAACAGACAUAAAGCAAUCACAAACAGCAAUACAGUAAGUGCCCUGGCCAAGAUAGACAGCAGCAUGGUUUACUGACAAAUAGUAGCUAUACUUGUAAACAUAAUACAAGGUAAAUGUAUAUAACACAGUCGUUUGUCAAACAAAACAACUACAUUCAUUUAGCUGCAGCUCUUAUUUAAUCUAUGUCAAGUGAAGGGAGAAGUAAAUUUAAAUGCCUUUUUGCCCAUCUCAAUUCUGACCUUUGGACCAGACAGUAAUAAAGGUCCUGGAAUCCAAGAGAGUAAGGUCCUGUACUCCUCUGUUUGAUACAGGUUAGACUGUUUGGAGAGAGCAGAUCUAACAUAGAUUAUGAAUUACAAAUUGACAGUAUUUUAGCCUACACACAGGAAGGGAGGGAAGACCAACCACAUCAGUAAGCACAGUGAUAUAUGCCAAAUAGAUAUUCAACAUUGAGCAGUAUUCCACCAAAGUGACCAAAUACGGAUGGAAACCUUUGAAAAAUAGUUUAAAUGUGACACUUUUGUUGAAGUUGAGUCGAUGUCUGUGGAGUUUUCCUUGUGUCAUAAGAUCCAUCACACUUCCACACGCAUUUUUAAGAUGCAUCUAAUUAAUACAGUAGCUACAACAAUAAUGAAGGUAAAGAGGGCAUCAGCCGCCAUGAAAUAAGUGCUCUGUGUGGCCUGGAACAUCUCCAUAACAGUCUAGUACUCAUUAUAUUCACUUAUUAAGAUCAGUCAGAAUGAAAGUGCCGUUACAUCUCAAUCAAGUAAGGGAUCCUUGUACAGCUUAAGAGCCCAUGAGUGUGCAGUUUUUCUCCUCCUGCUGUGGAGGAUGUUUAAAACUACUCCCACUGUGACGUCUGUGGACCUUCUUAUUAAUGUCACACGGCCUAUGAAGUGAAGUAUUCAUGAAUUGUGUAUGAAAAAUAAAAGAUGUUGACAUCGUGUCUUUGCAAAGAUGGUAUUUAAACUAGCUGGAAAAUUCACUGAGAUAAAUGUUUAAAAAAAAGACUUAUUUCUGUUCUAUUCAAUGUUCAAUCCUGAAAUGACUGAGUUAAUGAAAUUUAAAGAUAAAAUUGUGAUUUUAGACUUAUUGAUAAUAUAUAUAAAAAGAAGGUGGUUAAUGUUAUGUCUAUGGUGAUUGUAAACUUCUUUCAACCGAAUAUUAAUAUCAAAAUCCUGCUCAGCACUCAUCAAGGUGCCCUUGAGCAAGGUGCCAGUUGGGGUGCACAUGUGCAGCCCUGACAUCUCUCCAUGAGCGCUUGUCCAUUGGGUCCAGAUUGUGUGUAUGUGUGUGUAUUUCAGCCCUCAGUGAGGCAUGUUUCAACUACAGAGUGACAAAAAUGACUUUCCCUUCAGGGACUGAUAAAACAUUGUAGCAGCUUGGAAGUGGCGGUUGCUUGGACUUCGGACAAAGAUGUUGGAGCAAAGGCUCAUGGGACUGUUGCCUUUCGUGUUAAAGAAUAUGUUUGUAGCAGCAUAAUCAAUGUAUAGUUCAUCAGAUGGUUAUCCCUAGUAAUUGUGUAUUUUUUCAUGACAUUUUUAUGAGCUAAAAUUCAUUGAGAGAUUUGAGAGCAUAGGAGAGGAUUCUGUUUGACUUGAGAUCCUUCUCUGGUUGUCAACUUGUUUGCGUCUUUAGCUGGAAGUGUGUCAGGGUGAGAAAACCCCAUCUGUUUGUCCUACACUGUCAGGAUUCUUUCUAACACUCCACUCUCCCCCACUUAACAUUACUGCUUAUAGAAAGAGUCUCCUCUUCAUGCUGAUAUGAACCCAAUAAUCUUUCCUACUAAAAAGGGCUGCAGUUCUGUUGGAAAGUGAUGUGAGCUAACCUUGUAGUCUGUGUUUUGUAUAAUUAGUUGAAUUUCCUCAUUAUCAGACGGUUUGUCAUUUGAGCUAACUCAAAGUUGAACUCUUCAAAUUUCCAUUAAAAAAAACUCACAGAAGUCACACAAGGCCGGCCCAGAUUCCUGACAUUUAACACGAUGGUGUCUGAAUAUGUGACUCACUAUUUUAACCCAAGGCAGAGUUUGACUCAGCCUCACGAGUCUCAUCAUCUAAGCCUAAUUGUGCAGUUCCGUUUAUUAUUUUUUUAAAUUUCCGCUUUAUAUUCAAGAGCUCGGAUGUUGAAUUGUGAAGCUGUGUCAACGGAAAUCUAAAUCAGAACAUGACUAGACGUUGGUUAAAAAUAUACUUCCUUGUUUCGCUUUGGGCGAAAUACAAGACAUAAUCUGUGUUGCCUGUUCUGCAGACAACGGCAACAUGUAAGGCGUCAGCUAUAACCUCCUUGAUGUCGAGCAGCCAGUGAAACCAGGAUCACUAGUGUUCAAUCUGCUAUGAGUCAUGCCUCCAUUUGAAAACAGCAUUUUUAUUUUUCCUGUCUCCACAUGUUGUUUAAGUCCAGCCAAUAGGAAAGAUCGUUUUUUUAAUGUACCAAUUAUUUUCCUUUCAGAUCCUUCACAUCGAUGGGACUUAAAAUUAGAUCAUACUUUAUCCGGUUUCAAAAUUAGACCUUAAUGUCUUACACAAGAGUCAAAUGAGGUCACACAGAUUUUCCAAAGAGGAUAUAAUCAGACUUCCUAAACAUGAAUGAUAUUUAGGUUUGUCUAAAAAUAAAGGGAACGGUGAAUGCAGGAUUAUUUUGUCUUUUGUUGCACAGGCAGCUGCAGAAUCUGCAGCUCGUGGAGGAAACGCUCAAAGGAUGCUCCAGGAGUUAUUAUCCGUUCCCAGCAGUCAGUCAGUGCUUAUUCUUCCAACCAGUCGAUACCUGUCGCUGCAGGUGUACCCGGUGUGACUCGCUUGGAGGAGGAUGUGCAAACAACACAAAAGCAGGAAAUUAACUGAGAUAUGCUCUAACACACCACCCAGUGAGUUUUUUUUCCCCCUCCCUUGGACAGUUCAUCAAUGACAGAGAAAUUAGACCCCCUUCCUCCCGUCUUCAACUCUUCUUUGAUAGAUGUGGAGUCUAAGUCGUGUUAGGAAGCGUUGGUAAUAAUUGUUUAGUGACGAAAUCUUCUCCUGCGUGGUGUUUGUUAUUAAAAUGACUCUGGUGUAAGCUGUUUUAGCAUGUUCAUCAGUUUAUAUUUAAAUUCUUACAUAUUUCCAGAUGACAGGUGAGACAACAGGGAAACAAUGUCCAGAUUCGAGUGACUGAAGACUGUGUCAUCACGGCGCUGUGUUCAAUUACUGUGCCCAUAUUGCGUGGCUAAUUGACUGUGUGCUGCUAAAGGGGAAAAAAAAGAGCAGCUUUAAUAGGAGAUUUUAAAAAAUGACAUCCUGUAAAUCUGCUUCUUGUGAUACUAAUGCAACUUCUUGUGGAUGCUGCUCUUUCAUGAUUUUUCCUUUUUCUCUUACCGUGAAAAGUUGCCUCUACAUCAUGUGUGCUUUUGCAUUUUCCACCCCCGUGCCUAUUUAAAGGAAGGGGAUGGAGAAAGGGGAACCAGGGUACUAUCAGAGGCGUACCAACACGGAUUUUCAACAACACUUGUCUACCCUUUCUGCUAUCUAAGCUUUCCCUUUCAGUUUCAAUGGGACAUAAAUCCUACACGUGAGCAUAAGAAAUGGGUUAAGUCCCCUAUCUGCGGUCAAACCCCAUUCAAGGGGGAUUUUGGUUGCAGGCAAAGCACUGACUUACACAUGUGUGAAGCAGAAAGACUGCAGGAGAUGGAGAGAAAGGGAGAGGAAGAGAGAGAGACUGCAUGAUUGAGAGAGAGAGAGAAACUUUUUCCACUCUAGUCCUCAAUUGGUUCUGCUGCUUGUUGCCUAGUAACUGCAAUCCCCUUUGAAAGGCACUCUUCCUUGCUCAAAAUAUCACUAAAGAUAUAUUCACAUUCUGUCUACCAGACUCUCUUAUCAACUAUGGGACAAUAACAUCCAUUCUGGAGAAACAAUGCAUGCGAGACUUUCUUUUUUAAUUCUCUUUCUCUUUAUUCCCCCCUCAAAGAUGGCUCUGUUUUGUGAGGUUUUCAGGCUAAGCUCGCUCAGUCGUCUUUGUGCGUAAUGGAAGAUAAUAACUGCUUUUCUGACUGAAAAAAAGUGGUGGUUUGCUGGUAUGUUGGCUGUAAUUGCUACAGCAGUGGGUGACAUGUUGUUGGCAGGAGGCGAUCUGGAAAUUCUUAAUAACUCACUUUAAGUGGUGUGGUUGGGUAUAGUUGAGUGUUGUAUGCUAAUCAGCUGAUUACUGUCAAAUCAGCCCUCGCGGCUCACUCUGCUUUUACAGCGGGUCACUGUAGGAAUUCAUUUACCCUCAAGCCAUUUGAGGGAAAUGCGCUGCAAGGGAUGGAAAUGAAUUCAGAGGAGUGGUAUGUGGAGGAACAUUCAAUAUUUAUAUUUGUGGAGUAAUACUGUAUGAACACAUUCUGCCUUACAUGUAACUCGCAGCUUCCUCACACUGCAGGAGGGGUCAUUAAGUUUGUCAUGUGUGUCAGCAUGUGUGCCACAAAAGGAGUCCUCUGAAUGUCUCUCGUGUUGAAAUACAAGCAUACUGCACUGCACGACAAGAGGGUGAUUUUCAGAAGUAAUGUUUUUGAUUCCAUGAGUGAAGUAAUUCUAUAAGAGCCUUUCUUAUACAUGAGGUUGAUUCUUUAUGGAAUCUCAUUAACUACUAUAGAGAAUAACUUUUUCAUCAUUGCACAGACGUUUUUCUUUAUUCUGUUCUGUAGAUCUGUGCAUUAAAUAGCAGAUUUAUCCAUUGUGCCUAACCCGGCCCUUCAGCAACCCCACUAUGACCCUUUGAUCAUUCAGCAGAGGAAAAGCAUAUUUUAUUAAAAAGCUUGAACUCCCACAGAUUGCUUAGGCAAAGAAAUGAAAAGGAAAGGAAUGAAAAAUAUUUUAAAUGCAAAACUGUGUUUUUUUGAGGGGGGUUGUUUUAAAAAGUGUCCUGAACCGUAACAAUGCUCUUCACAGCAGUUAUUAAUUUGACUUCUGACCUCAACCCCUCGUAGUUUAAACCAUAUUUCCUAUCUGUCUUCAGUUGUAUUAUAAUGGAAACAAACAAUCUCUGAUUUACAGAGUUCACAGGUGUCUGUCUCAGGGAUGUCCUGAAGUGCCAACCAAUAAUCCCAUUAUAAGUCAAACAAGAAAGUUAACAUUCUGACUGGCUGACUUUAGUCAAUAGGCAAGGAAACAAACGGAUUAUCUCUUCAGUCAUAAAACAGUGAAGAUGAAGAAGACGCAGACUUGCUGUGAACUAGCUUAAAGCAGCUCUCUAAGAGAUGAUUCAGCACUUUUAAAAACUAAAACUCCAGACUCCAGACAAAUGCAAUGUUAGAGCUCAUACUUCUUCUCUAAUUAGCUAAACAUUUUUACUUCCUAACUGCUCUUUUAACACUUUCCUUUUAAUCAUGUAGCUUAUGAUCUACCGGAAGUAGGUCGUACUUCAAAAUAAAAGCGCAGGGUUACAAUGAAGGACAUAAAACAACCUUAAAACACGACAGAAAAGCGGUCAAAAAAGGAUACCAAAUGAUCAUUUUAUGAGACAGUGAGUCUUCUCUAAAACAGUUUCAGUUCCACAUCCAGAGAUGUGGAUAAAUUAUAAAUUUGAUCAUAAUUAGAAAUGAAUAAUGACAUUUAUGUUUACUGUGUUUUUUAGUAAAGUUUGUAAUAUUCAUGAACUUACAAUAUAUAUCAUGUUGCUCUUCCCUCACUUAUCUUGUUGUUUUGAAUUUCAAGUCUUUAAAAAUUUGCUAUCGUUUCAUUCCCCGGAUAUUUCAUGGUCACAAUAAAUGUGAGGUGAAAAUCCGAUGUCAUGAAACUCUGAAUUCAGAGCAUUAACUGAUGAGAGCAUUAUAGCAUCUGCAAGUAUCUGGAGCUGCAGUCCAGCCUAGUGGUGGAUGGCUGCGCUACAGGUACGUUAAAACAAGCACUUCAGGCCUAAAUAACAAAUAAUAAUUAUCAGUAACCUUUUUAACCAUCUAGUAAUUCUCAUGCUGACUAAUGAGGAUGAUGAGUUUUGAUAGUGCAGUCUGUUUAUCUGUUUAUGAAUGUCUGUUUUAUUCAGUAGAGGCAGACUGAGACUUGCCAAAAAUAUAAACUGCCUAUAUCAAGAUAAAAAUAAUACAAUCAAACAAAUGUAAACAUCUCAAGUUUGAGAUACUAUAUAUUCAGGAUUUUGCCACCUUUUGUCAGCCUGAAAAAGACACACAUAUUUUAAAUAUGAUGUGCUUUGCAUUUACAAGAAGGCUAAAUAAAAAAAAUAAUAAAUGGAAAGCAUCAGAUUGAAAAUAAUAUUUUUUGUACAAAGAAGAAAGCGUUCCUUUUGCUGUGAAGGGAUGUUCGUAGGUCUGCUUAAUAGUCAGUUAUGUGAACAACUUGUUAUUUGCACGCAAUGUAACUAUGGUUACACAAAGUUCUUGUCGUCUUGGGUGUGAGAUUAGUUUGUCCCGAGCUGACUGAAUCUAAUCCCUCCAUAAAGUGAGCUCCGUUUAACUGUGAGUGUGACUCAAAGUAGAGUUCAUUACAGGGCGCAGCUGAAGUGAGGAGAGACUGAUUUAGGAAAGUGCGCUGUUUUGGGAUUAAUUUUCUCAGUCUGUUUUCUUUUAACAGUCAAAUAUAUCACUCACUGUCAACAUAUACCCGCGUCAACAUAUACAGAGAAAAAAGUACCCAAAAAAAAUGGUCAUAUGGUCUGACAUUGACCCCUUCAGUAUAUUGAUGCAGACAUUAUGAAUUACACUAUAAGAAUUGACAAAUUUUCUUGUGAGGUCAAUAAGAGACAUCAUUGUCAAUCUGUUCCAUUAUCUCUAAAUACAUCACUGUGUUUUUUUUAAUAUACCUCUCUUUAUGAGGAAAAUUCUAGAUUUUGGACACUCAAAUUUCAAGCUGCUCCAGUUAGACAAAACACACAGAAAAGCCCAGCCUGGGACUUCUCUUUCUUUAAAAACUUUAUUCCCUGAAACAGUGACUCAAUAUGCUUGUUUUUGACUUAGAUUUAGUUACAUCCAUCAGUGCUCUUUGCAUGAGGUUGGAUUUAUUGCCUUGCUAAAAGGUGACUCAACGGAGAAGAGGAGAAGCUAAAAUUACAGGCUGGAAAACAGCACCCCGCUGCUGUACGGCUGCUACCACACUGACCAUUUUGAUCAACAGGGCCAAAAAUCCAUUAACAGCGCUGACUCACACACACCUCCUGUAGCUUUGUUAAAACUCUGCCCCUUACCUUUACAAUUUUGCCCUGAGAAAAUACAAAAUGAUUUUUAAUGGAUAUUGAUUUUAAUAAGGUUGAAAACUCUCUGUGCUUAAACAUUACUCUAUUGAUUUGGCCAAAUGGAGAGAAUAAAAAGAUCCAGUGUAUUUUAGUGAGAGAAACUGGAAAAAAUUAAACACCCCCAAGAUCAAAACAUGUUAAAAAUCUAGUGCUUAUUGCAAUAAUUGCCAUAAUUGUAUUAUUUAUCAAAUUAUCACUGCAGCAAAAACCUGAAACUAAAACACAUUUCACUUAAUAUGAAGACUCUUUUUGUAAAGUAGGCUAUCAUAAGAUUUGCUGUACUCGAUGUUAAAAAUGACUGAAAAUUGAUUUUUAUUACAAUAAUUCAUUACCUUAGGGGCAACUGAUUAAAUAUAAGAUAAUCAGGAUUCCUGUAUGCGAUGGUUUAGGGGCAUCAUGUGAGAGAGGCCACCACAUUUUGGCUAUUAAAGCUGAUUUUUUUCCCUACUAUUGGGCCAUUUUUUCCCACUGGCUGGCUUCUCAGUAUUCAUGUUGAAAGUCCUGCAUCCCCUUCUCCAUCCCCUUGAGGUAGUUCAGGGACAGAGAGGUUGUUUAGUUGAAUAUGUUAGUUUAGACAUCCUGACUUAUUGAACAUUUAUCUGACACAAGGUGCUACCAUUGGGCCAUUCCUCCUUGUUAGAAAUGAAAUUUUACCCGCUUGAGAAGAAGGGAGAAAUGGUAGAAAAGAAAUACAUAACUGUGCUUGGCUUACUGUCACAGACGUUUAUAAAGCACAUUUGCCACAUUGUUAUAUCUAUGAAUUACUGUAAUAUGUUAUAAUGUCGCUGUCAUUUUUCUACAGAUGUCAAUAAGUAGAUCAGUGAAACAGCACUCCCCUUGACGUCCUUACACAGAAUGGACGAAUUAGGUGGUUAAAAAAAGUACUGCAGUGCAACGAGCAAUAUGUGUUCACUGUUACCUUUUAAAUCAAACCAUGAAGACAGAUAUGUGCAAGAACCAGAUCCAAGACAAGUAGUGCUGCACAAUUAUUUGUAAAUUUGUGGAUAUCCAGUGUCAGCUGUUGCAAUUAACACACUGCAAAAAUCUUAAGUUACUGCCACAAAUUAAGAAAUUGUUUUGAAUGUGUACAGUCAUUUACCUGGGAGAUGGAAGCUUGAGUAUAAUUAUUUUAAACUGCAGUAAAAAGAAGCUUUAGCCAGCUGUGUAACAACCUCAGGUUAAUUAGAGACUAUUUGAUGAUGAAAAAAAGAUUUUUAGAUGUAUCAUACACUCACAAGGAAUAUGCUCUAAACACAGUCAAUGUUUACAUCAUUUUAUUUUACAAAGUGCUGGCCUAGCAUCAGAUUUGCUGUAAAGGACUGAACCUAGUGUAUUGAAAAUAGAACAUACAUUAUGUUUGACAGGAGGAAAUUGACAUAAAGUCAAAUACUUAUAAAAGAGACAACUGAUAAUUCUUAUUGGAUUUAAGUACGUUAAACAUAUCACCUCGACAUGGUUUAAAUUCCUGUAGUUUUUCAUAUUGGAAAUAAUACCACAGAAAGACACUUAUUGCAAUUUAAUUUUUUAUGAUACUAUGCAGUCUGACAUGUAGGCUGUUUUUAUGUAAACAGGAUCGAAAGAUUGUCUAAAUCUGGCUAGCUAAAUGGUCGCCUGAUGUCGCCCUCUAUGCAAUGAUAUCACAAAUCUUUAAUCAUUGGCUUUGUUUGUGUGAUUACACCAACAACAGUCCUUCUGGUGUUUUAUUUCCAACAGAUUCAAUAAACUUUGCUUCCUUUUAGAUCUGAUUUAAUUAAACUAACAUGGGAGUAUGUUUCCCUGUGAGUGCCAAAGUGACAUCUGUGUUCCAUACGGGCUUGAGGGGAUUCUGGUGGCUGACCAAUCAACAUAAAAAGCAAAUGGGUUCAAUAAUUACCGAGCACCCCUAAAAUCAUGGUAAUGAUCAUGCUAAAAUGAUGAUUGUUCGUGAUCAUUAAUUAUGACUGCCCACAUCAUCGCCUGCUUCCUGCACCGUGAACACAGUUUAAUAAUUCCACACACAGAGUUAAAUAAAUUCUGAACCAAAACUCCAACAAAGAUUAGAUCAGAUGGGGUGCUUUGGAACAAGCACUAAUGAAAUGGGGGUCUUUAGUCUAAUGUGUAUCUAAAUGGGUUUCUUGAUGUGAAAACAUUUGGCAAUCCCUCAUUUCGACAAUGUGCAAUAUUGCUGCUGAUGCAGUAAAAUUGCACUGUGCUGCUGAAUAUGUGACAAUUUGUUACCCAGAGGCUGAAACAAGAGUUGGACCUCUGGUUGAAUCAGUCUUUCUGGCAUCAGCCAGUUGAAUACUGUCCUGCAGAUCCAAUCUGCUAACCUGUCAGGAGGUGUAAAUUGCAUGGGUAAAUGGCAUGAGUGUCUACAAGGUGUCUUGAGUGUUAGCUGAUCAGGCAUAAUUGUGAUUGGGAACUUGAUCAAAAGCAACAGAGACCCUCUGUGGAGAGGGAGUGCUGCUCGUUUGCAUUGCUACGGGCUGCACAUCAGAUGAAGUGAUAUCCUGGUUUGAAUGAUUCAAAGCCUGAUAUAAACAUAUGUUUGAAAAGGCCGUCGAUUGAAGUAUCUAUGAGAAUGAUUGUGGGACAGAAAGCUAAACUAAAUGAAGACAAUUUAUUUUUCAGCUAAUAAAUCUGUACACACCAUGAAGAGCUAAAAGAGAGGUUAUUUUUGUACAGCAACUCAUUAAAACAUGCUUAGGGCUAUGUGAUGGUAUCACAAGUUUUAGAAAGGGGGGGUAUGAGUGUUGCAGCUUCAAAAAUAGGCCAUCCAAUCCAGAGAGGAGUUACUGAGUGAAGUUAUUCAAUCGGAUGAUGACUGAAUUGUACAAUACAAACACUCCCCCACUUCUGAGAGAAGAAACGGUUUCAUUUUCACACAAUUAAGAUGGAAAUUGUUCAACUGAUACCCUCUUAGUGGCAGUAAUUUUACAGUUAGUGCCCUACCAAAGGGAAGAAAACCUCAGCUCAUGCGGCAAAAGCCCCAGCUCUGCUUUUUGUAGGAAGAUGAUUUACAAAAGAAUGUCUCUCUGAAUAGUGCUUUAGGGACUUUUGGCUGAGUAUAGUCAGAGGAACACUUUUUACAUUUCAAGUAUUCAUAUAGUGUACUUAUACAAGGUCAGUGGAGUUUUUCAAGUACGUCAAAUACACAGAAAUUAACUCUUUUAUGUGGCACACUGAUUAGCUGAAGGUUAAGUCUUUUAUACAGAAUGUUCCUGAAUGUAAAAGUAAAAUUGUAAAGUGUUUUUUAAAGCUCAUGCCUUCAGUUUGGCCUGAAAACCUUUUUAUCAGAAACCUACUAGGACAGUCUAUGCACCAAUCUGAUCCCUCUUUAAAACGACCUUUCUCUCCUCCAAAACAGAGGCCUCCUCAUCAGUCUUUUUAAGAAAUGACAGAACAAAUGGUUUCCUAACACUAAAAUGUUAUAGCAAAGAAAAAAACAACAACAGCAAAAGCUAUUAGUUGUAAUUUUUAGGGGAAUAUAAAAGUCAGGAAUGUAACUAUCCAUAAACACAGUAAUAAUAAUUUUAUUCUGCUGUUCUCACUCUGUAAAGUGUCCUUAAGUGUCCAGAAAGGCACUUAUAAAUAAAAUGUAUUAUUAUUAUUAUUUAAUUAAACUAGAUGGAUUUUUGGUUAACCAUCUUUUAGAUAAAACUGCUGCCUUAAAUAUCUUUUGAGUUAAAUGAUCACAUCUAAAGCCCCUGUGAGGACAUUUAAACAGCUUGUGAAACAGAUUGAAGUUGAUACUGAUGCCUUUCUAUGACCUACAAAAGCAAACAAGAUCAUCAGCAACAUGACUGACAACUUUGAUUAUGUUUUUUUUAAUGCCUGAAACCUCUGCAGUGGGUAGGGAGAAACAGACUAUUCUUACAUUUUCAACAGCAAACAUUCAAAAUGAGUGAUACACUCAACUGUUUAAAGAAAGCAGAAUGAGAUUGUUGUCAGAAAAAGAAGUACCUUGGUAUGUAUGGAACAAGAUCAGAGAAAUUGUAAGAUGCACACCUUUGCCCAAAGGGGGCGCCAAAACUGACACAAACCAAAAGUUCAUCAUAGCAGCUUCAGAUGUAAUUAAAUGUGGUCACAUGUCUGAAUUAGGCACUUAAAUUAUCAGUAUUUUAAUACAAUGAUAAUUAAAAUAACCUGCAGUCAGUUAGAUGGAUGACUGGUCUGCUGAUGGACAUGCUUCUGUUCAGUUUUUCAGUAACACACUCACACACUCACAAACACACACAUAUAUUUAACACAGUCAUCUAUCUGACUGCCGUCUCUGGAUGCCACAUUUGGCUGUUGGACAGAGUUUUAAUGUCUCUCUGCUUUAUAGUAACAGUUUACUGAAAAAUAAAUAAAUAAAAGCAUCAUAACUUGUGGGACUUGAGUGCUACUUUGCCCCAGCCAGUAUGUCUCUUCACCUUUCACCCCUCGAGCGCUGUACCCGUGGGCUGCAGAUGGCUGACUUGUUUUAUAGAUGAGUAGAGCCGUCCACUGCUGUAACAGAUGUUGGCAAACCCUGAAUAUGAAACUCUGCCACUUAUUUUUCAGUGAGGUCAUUUUGGUAGUUUAAGGUGAUUUACCAAGGGAUGGUGGCAAACACAGCAGUCUGGUCCAAGUAUAGUGAGUGAUGUGAGAUUAUCAGUGUUGUCCCUACACAGAUUCAAGUAAAGAUAAGAAAAAUGGCCAAACAAUACUGUUACAUGUUGUAUAUCAGGGUUUAUUCAAUACUGGGGGAGGCCCAAGCUGGGCGAAAACUUUUAUUAUUUGCCAUUUAUCUUGUUGCUUGGCUUGUUUUCAGGUGAUGGACCUGCUCUGGCAGUAAACAGGGCAAGGCUUUAAAAAGACAGAAACAAUGUGUAAACAAUUUGUAUGUUUUGAACAUAUCUGGAUCAUCUGUAAAAACAGUGUAAGGAAAAGAUAUCAAUUAUCCAUCAAGAAAAGUAUCAUGCAAUAGAGAUAUACAGCGAAUGCAUUGCAAGAGCUUUUCAUCUACUGGCAAUGACAACAAACCCAUCGAACUAUCAGGCUCCCUUGUUAUUUGUGAUGGCACAUCUCAGCUGUGACAGAAAGUUUACGGUCACCCUAGAUGUUCCCAUUCAUUCAAAUGUGUUGGCUGACCCAUACAAAAUAGUCUACGGGAACACAUCAACCAUCUGGGUGCCGACAACAGUCUGUUUAGCACUGCAUCAUGCAAAGGACAGUGAAAAAUUGACUCUGCAUUAACUUCUAGUUCUGACCUGGACUGUUUUUUUCAACAGUUAAUGAAUAAACUUAAUCAAUUCAGUAGAUUUAAUUCAUUUGACUUAAUAACUAUUGUUCUAGCUUCAGAUACAGCUUAUUCAGGGCACAAAACAUUGGCAAUGCUUUUCUUCCUGUAAUUGUGAUAUUUCUAGAAACGUAUACAUUUACAUUUGUGAGUGUACACAUUGUGUGAUUCAGAGAACAUAACUGAAAAUUGCUGCAGACAUUUCAGGGCCAAUCUCUUAUUUUCAAGAAAAACAGUAAACAUGGGCUUUAGGUUACAAUAAGGAGAUACAGCCCAUAAAUACAGCUUUAGUCAGCAGUAUAAUAAGAGCAACAUAAAGCCUGUCCAGUUGUGUUAUGUAGUUUCAUCAGGAAACAUUUAGUUCUAUCAAAAAGUGCUUGAGGGAUUUCAUCUUUUUGAAUUAAAGCCUGCAGAUAAAUGUGUGUUGUUGGAAAAACUCAGUAUUGAACUUCCUCCAUCUGUUGAGGUAAAUACCUAACAUAAAGUGUGGUUUAUUGUCCACUGAAUUAUCCUCAUAUUUACUCUAAUGUAGAGUGUUUGUUGGAGGGACAUAUGCAGACUACAAUUAGAGGGUUUAAAUGGACCGACACGUGAAAAUGUGUGAGGUUUGCAAUAUUUUGGUCAAUUAAAAUGGGAAAUCUCAGUCGUUUUACAAAAGACUGAGUUCCAGACAACAUGGAUUGCCAUUGGUUAAACCAUAAAUACCUAAAUUGCACAAUCUUAUAGCUCCAAACAUGUAUAAACAUCGUCAAAAUUAUUGAAGCUGAGUAUGUGGAUUGACACAAAUUGCAGAAAUGACUUUUCCCUGCACUCCUGUUUUUUGCCAUUGUUCAAGGUGACAGUGAUUGUUAGAGACAGAGCCUCACAUCUUGUGAAACCCCCAAAAGCCUUUUUUAAAAUACUGUUGCUAUGCUGGAACCAGACACAUCCUCCAGAACCAAGGAUUUAUAAGGAAUUAGUGUUUUGAUACAGCCUGUCAGUCACAUACUGCUGCAAUUCACACUCUUUCCUGUGUGAGGUACAUUAAUUGGAGUUUUGCAGUUAAUGAGAGUUAUGCCAAUUAUCCCGUAGUCAUUGGAAAUAUUUUCAAAUGGUCUUUUUUUUGCAAAAGUUAAAAGUAGCUUUGAACUUUUUGAGGGUGUCUCCGUAUUUCCCGAGUUACCAUCAGUAAAGUAUACUUUAGUAGUUAAAUUAAUAUUUUCCUAGCAUAACUGAUUGAUUUUGCUUUUAACUUUGUGUGCUGUCACUUGAUAGGUACAUUUGAAUACUAGUAGCAUGUGUGUGUGCGCGUGUGUGUAAAGGAGGUGCCACUGUACUCAAAGUGGGAUAACAAGGGCAUUUAACCCCUCCACUGUAAUUUCUGGAGUCAGAGUUGGUGGACCUUUAGAACUCACUGUAUAUUAUCUGUAAGUGAUAAGUGCAUAAGCAAGGCUGUGCUAAGAUUUGACUGAGCACGAGUCCGAUGGAGGUUGCUGAGUUUAGCUUUGUAAAGGCUGGGGGUCUCGAUGGGUGUUGCACCUGCUCUGACAGUUCAAGGUUUGUCAUAUCUUGACAAAUGGACUUGUUUACAUCAGACAAAGCGUACAGGGGACAUGGCACCACCAAGACAGAUGGCCUUCAUUUUUUUCACACCUUCCCUCUCAUCUCCCUAAUAGAAGCAGCGCAGGCUGUCAGGUGCGAUGUCGAGGAGGCCUUCAUUUACAUCCCAGAUAGGGAUCAAUAACGUCUCUAUUUAAAAAGUCAAUCAUUCUCCGUCAGUGAGGCGGAGUUGUGUGUGAUUGUUUCAAGUGGGUUACAAUUGAUGGUCAGUUUCUGCAAGUGGACAGCUCAGAGGAGAUUCGCUUUGGUCGAAGUGUGGAUUGAAAAAUGUUGUAUUUAAAAGACACACUGGUUGGAAAAGCUGCUGGCCAAGAACGGUUUGAUUCUUCAGUCUGUUUGUGUUAUUUAAAAGCUAGUAGCAGAGAUGAAAGAGUUGUAUGUGUAUGUUGAAUGGUGUGAGCUGACAUUAGUGACAAUUAGGUAAACAUCUUUUCAAAAUGGGGUUACCUUAACUCUGCUUUAAAUAGCGAGGCAUGAUUGAUUGAAAGUGUAUCAUCAAACUACCUGCGACUAACUCGUACAAGCAUGAGAAAGAUGCCUUUUUUCCCUGUUAGAUAACAGAAGUGUGUGAAAGUGCCCUCCUGCUCAUCUUUUCAACAAACACACUCACAAUAAUGAUCAAUCAUCAAUCACUGUUGGAGUUCACAGCACAAAACUGAACAUGAGUAAAAGAAGAGUUAAAACUUGAGUAUUUUAUGGUGAUUUGUUGAGAAAUUUACUGUAGACUACUGAAACUAGUGUUACAGAAGUCUGUAAGAUGGCUACAGCUCCCAUUUUCCAUUUUUUUAGGGUAGCUAAAAUGUCAACAUGGCGCUGUAAAGAGCCAAUACAGUAUCACAUUAUAUAACAUUGUGAUAUAUCAGUGCAUCAAUGUUAUCUUAUCUUAUAUGUAAGCAUGUUAGACAUAGAUGGUAAAAGAAGUUAUUUUUCUGCUGUGAUUUCAUGGAAACUCCUGACUGGGGACCCUUUUCUCCGCGGAUUUAAGAUUGCGCUCUCUGAAACAAACAGAUUGCCAGAGUAUAUCCGACAGGGUCCCAUCACACUGUCCAUCGGGUGCUCACAGUCACAUAGAGCAUCCAGGGAGCUGACACAUCUUCAUAUCAUAGCAGUGUGGGCUACCUGUCCAAGCAGCAGAAACCUGUCCGCCUCACAGCAUCCACAGAAAGGAGGUGGACCGGAGGAGAGGCAGGCUGUGUGGUUAGUGUUCGCCAGGCAAGAAGAGUAGAUGGACGCUCAAUAAACUGAGCUGAGGUCAUCAUCAAUCUCUCACCCAAAGGGAGAGACGCUUAGGAGUCCUCUGGCUGAGGAUGAUGAAUGUUGGCUACUGGAGGAGAGGAAGCUGCUAUAAUAUUUGGCAUUGUCUGGGGCGCUCUGUAACUCCACGUUGGAGACAAGUUUCAGUAUGUUCACAAGCCAGCGGGCACAGCUAUGAAAUCCUCAAUGUCUGCUCUGCUGCUUAUGCAGAGGGGAUUUAGCAUCGAACUGUUUGUACGUCAAGGCAUUGCAGAAAAAGAAAUUUACGUCAGUUUGGUGCACACAUAAAGAAGAAUUAUAUAAACGGCCUCGAAUAUGUUCAGGGUUCACAUUGUGGCUCAUUCAAGAGCAGGGUUUCAGUACCUUUGUGUUAUUCAACACAAAAUCCAUACAAAAAAGUGAGUAUAGACAUUGCAUUCACUGUGACUCAAAAAUGAGCCAUCUAUUCUGAGCCAGUGGGAGGGUGGAGAGGAAGCCAUCCCUCUGCAUUUUGGAGGGAGACGUCUUGAGGGGAGUCACGGUGAGAUGGAGAAAAAUGACCCUUCAUCUUUGAUAGCACUGAGAGAGAGAGGGCUGACAGAUAUCCAAACAGCUUUCCGAGCAGAUCCGGGGCUCAGAAUCAGUCACGCAGGCAGUGAGUGUGGUGCACAGGGAGGACAGUGACCCCUGCCAACAGGGCCCCCAAGAAAAAAGGCUGUCAUAGACAGAGACACUUUACACUUAAAUGAUGUCUGCCUGCCUCUAAGAGUCAAGUGCUCUCUGCAUGCUUGCAUGCUACUUCAUCUUCCUCCAAUAACUAAAGUCCUUACCCACAUUGAUUUCAGGAUCAUUGUCGUAGCAGCUGCUGGUGCAGAGGUUUCAGGUUCUGUUUGUCAGAGAACAGCCCCAUAAUAAAACAUGGCUACUUUUUGGGAGUUAAUUUAAACUCUGUCCAGCUUGGUGCCACUUAAUCUAAUCAGAGUGCAACAGAAAAGACAAACUCAACUUUCCAGUGAAUAGUGUGCUUUGACAAAGAAAACUCAAGCACUGAGUUGUCAGAAACAAUAAACCGUCACUCAAUCAAGCUUUUCUCUCGUAUAGCCAGCCUGUGACAGGCUCUACUUGUAACGCAAAUUGUCUCUGUCAAAGCAAUGAAUAACACUGCAACAACUUUGUACCGCUCAUAUCAAAUAGUGUUGAAGGCGAACAGUGCCAGACAUCUUCAUCAAGCUUCAAUUUAAUCUAAAUUAGAGCCCAUAAUGUGAAGUGUUAUCCUCUCCAACAAUUACACAUCACUCUGAGAUUAAGAAAAGUAUUUUUUCUCUGUUUUCUAUGUGAAUAUUCGAACUGCUGAGUAAUGCAGCAGUCAGCUUUUUACACGGAAAAAAAAAGACUGUUUCAGCAUUUCCAUAUAUUUUUUUAAUCCUGAUUACAAACCUGUGAUCUCUUACCAUUUUCUGAAACAGCAUGACUUUAAUGAUGAAGACUGAUGAAGACCUCAUUUAAAGUUAUGUAUACAGGCAGGGAUUUAUUAUGCUAAUAAAGAGGAUAUUAUGGAUGCUAUGAGUAUUGUAAGUUGGACUCAGAAUUUUGAUAGCAAAAACAACGAGAAACAACUGUUUUGGAUUGUUAUAGUUUCUUAGCGGCGCCGUGGGGAGUCUUUCACCCAUUCUUUAAAAAACUGCGAGCCCUCACUUGCCCUCACUUGGGUUAAACUGAACAAAAAACUGGCUGAUCAAUAAAACCUGCCGAGAGACUUUAUAAUCCUGUGCCUUGUUAUAGGCAUUACUUACUUUAUAGCAAACGUAUUAUAGAGAAAUUAAAAACAGAGGUCUUGCCACAUUAAAUUAUUUGCACUUGUACAAUCGUUUCCAUGCAAAUUUUAAGGACAUUCAGAUUAAAUUUCAAUAACUACCUGAAAUCACUUUAGUUUAGCCCCUCAGUUACAAACAUGAAUUAAUUCUGUGUGACAUGGCCAUUGAGUUUAAACACCUGAAAAACACCUAUUCAGCGAGACGGAUUUAGACGGUGUUAUCCUGUCUAUGUGCUAAUUAAUGUUGUUAGCACACGUGCAGAUUGCGAAACUAAUGAGACCACAAAGUGUUUACAUUCAGCAUCUAUACCUGCAAUGCAUGUACAUCAUUGUGAUGUGAAAAUCACAAGCCGAAGGUGCCGGUGGGUUUUCAUUUAAUUAGAAGAAUCAUCGCUGGGCUUGUGGCGCAGAUUAAACCUAAUCUUUCAUAACAACACAAGUUAUUGACUGUGUAAUUAAGUCGAUUGUGUUUGUUAGUAAAGUAUAUGCAGUUACAUGUUGUACUUCCUGCACUCUCACUCUUGCACUUGGUGUCAGAGGACUGAACGUUGUUUAAUGAUUUGAAAGCAGGAAAUAGACUUCAGGAUCCAAAUUAAAAAUAGUGGACCAUAAAAGAAGUUUUUAACACUGAACAUUCGCUCCAUUUAUCCGCUACUAUUCCUGAAAUCUCUCAUAGAGCCAAAUAUAUUGCAGAAAGAAAAAACAAUAGGCAAAAUGAGUUUUUUUUCACCAGAAUCAGUGUAAAUUUAUCAUUCCUUUGUCCUUAUGCUCAAUCAAGGAAAGCCAAGGUCUAUAUUCUUAUGCCGUAAUUGUUAAUGACAAGUAAUGUCAUCGUGCCAUACAAGAAAGAGAAUGAAGGAAUGAACAACAUGUACCCAAGGAUAAAAUGAUUAAAAUGCCCACAAUACAGGAAAACAGAUUGCUUAGAAAUAUCUUAAUAAAAAAAAAGGAUUUUAUAGCAUGGCCCAUUUAAAUAAGUUGUUUUUAGGAGCAUUAAAGGAGAGACUAAGUCAGUUUUUGCAUUGAGUCUCACUUUUAUUCUAAUGCCUUUUUUAUUGCUUCACUAAAUAGUUUAUUGUCCUGAUACAUUUUAAUACCGUCUGUUGUUUUCUUGUAUUUCCCAGAGAUUAAAAACAGUCCUUUUAUCCUGGGUCUCCACCUCUUUACUAAAAAAAGAAAAAAUACUUCAGUUAUACAAAAAAAAAAAAAAAAAAAACUCUUCAUGUGCUCUCCUGCAGUCCAAGAUGAGUUAACCCCAUAAAAUAGAAGUGCUGCCUGUACAAAACUCAACCAAUCACAGCUUUAUUCUCACUUUUGAAUGCUGUUAAGAGGAUUCAAUACAGAAAAUGCCCUUUAAGGUCAAGCCCAUAAUUACAGUCCUUUUACCUAAGUGGAGAGCAUGUCACAAAUCCAAUCAUCGCCUGAAUGAGGGAUACCCAAUCUUAGAGUGAAAAUGAGUUGGUUUCAGGACUGUGCAUUUGCAUUAUUGCACUUACAUUAUCCACACCGAUGCAAGGAACACCUUUAGUGACCAGCGUCCCUGCUUAACAUAAUUGAUAUCUCUCUGUUGCCAGUGCUUAUCUGGAGGAUUCAAAUAAGAGGUCGAAUAAUGGCGUAUGCCUCUGCAAAUGUAUUCCACCCAGUACUGUGUGCCUCCUUACUGUGUCACACCAAAGACUAACUGUUUCAUCCCCCAUUUUAAAUCUUCAAUAACUCUCAUGCCUGGAUUUUGGUUAGACAACAAACACCACCCUUUGUGUUGUCACCUCUGGAGAACAACACUCUGGUGCCAAAGAUUUGCUUUUUUGUUGUCACUGAUUGUUGGUAGGACGCCGGGGUGGUCAAAUGAUUGGCUGGCGUGCAGGAUUGGCAGCAAACUGUUUCCUCAACGUUCAGUCUUACGGGGAAUGCUUCUCUCUGUCAACAAGUCCAAAACCUUCCAACCUCUCCAAACAAUAAUCAUCCUGUGGGACACCACCAACAGCUUCCUGGAAAGAGAAGUGGCUUUGUGUGUGCUUUUGGUAUGUGGCAAAGUCUGGCUCAGAACAAAUAUUUACACACAGAGAAAAGCGUAGUUGGACUUGGUUUUUUAGGUACUAAGCCAAACAAUGGCCCAAAACUGAGAAAGAAAUGGCAUUAAAAUCUGCUAGCAGGAGAGUUUGGUGCCAUCGAGGACAGAAUAACAUCACUGCACAUUCAUUCAAAAAGAAACUUUAACUAAAUGAUUUAAAGUAGACAAACAAGAGGCGCCAUAAAGUGUACAUAUUAUUAAGUAAUUUACAAAAAGAUAAAUGCCAGGCAAUUUUAAUGCAUUUGUGCUGUGGUGCCAACAUUAAGCACAAGGAGAAAUAUCAUCACAGAAGGCAAGAAAGCAUACUUGAUUCAUUAAAGACAAAAUAAUGAUAUUGUUAUUAUUUUCAAAUAUUCCAUUACACAAAAUAACACUGAGAAUAAGUGGAACCAGACCAAGAUGUGAUGAUAAGUACUUAACAAUCUGGAAUGUAUGUAGCACCCGCCAAGUGGCACUUUUACACUUGUCUUUAUAUAUAUCCAGCAAGCUGUGGCAGCCAAGUGGUGGCUUGCUGUUUUUGAGCACCAUCAUCUAAGGAACUUACCACAAUGCAAUCAAUGUAUUGCAUAUUGGUCACACUAAUGUAUAGGACACAAUUGCAUUUAGGAUGAGAAAAAGCCAUUAGAAGUGUGUCCCAUGUACUGAAUUUUACGGUAAAUUAAUUCCUCUUAAUUUCAUUAUAAGAUAGCUUAUUUAUAGUUACUCUAAAGUUCUUACAGUUUAAAAAUAGUACUCUGUGAUGAAUAGAAAAGGAAUAAACAAGGGAAUAACUCAUUCAAUUGGAGACUAACUCAUUUAAAAUCAAUUUCAGGAUUUCCUCAUACAUCUAUUUAGACAUGUAGAAGUCUGUGGAAAUGACAUGACAUGUUGCUCAGCAAAGCAGAGUGUGCCCUGUCUUCAUCUGGUCUCAAAAACAGACAGAAAUCUCCCUCAUGAAAAUGAGUCUGCUGUCUCUGCCAGGAGGGCAGCACGUGUGAGGUUGUGAACCUCCAAGGGACCCCUGUUAAGACCCCCUGAAUUGUUGUAAAAUUAAGUCUCCCCUUGUUAAUUGAGUGUUGUUAAGAACCAGAGUGAUAAUGAAGGAUUACUGAAUGUUCACACUUGGGUAUUGGGAGCCAUACAAAAAAAUGCAAUGCAGACUAGUUUGCUGCAUGUUGCCAAAAACAAAAUUACAGUCUGUUCUCAUUUUUAGGUCAUGAUUAAUUUGUGGCAGUGCGGGUUUUCUGCUGCGUGUUAAUUAAUGCAAAAUAAGCAAGACCCUUGAAUUUAUGAAUUCAUGAAUAAAAUCAUCUCAAAGGAAGAAAUGGUCAUGCCUGCAGUUGUACAUUCAUAUUCAAUCACACCAAAAACCAUGAUUGCCCGGAUAUGACAAUUAUUCAGCUUGCCUACUUACUAGAAUUAUGUAAGUUUGUUGCAUAUGAAUAUUUUGUAAGCAACCCUGAACCUGUCUAAAUCUUUCUCUGUUGCAGAUUAUUUUCACCAUCCACAUUCAAACCAACACAUUAAUGUGCUGCAUCACAUUCAUUACUCUGCUCCCCUCUUGAAGUUAUUUUGGUCAGCUUAAUAUUUCUUGAAGCUAGUGUGUCAUGCUGAUGCCUUGCGGGAAGAAUACGGACAAAAACUCAAAUGACUCACCUAUUUACAGGCCCAAGGUUGUCCCUUUGAAUUUGGAUCACAGCUGUUAUGGUGAGGUGAGGGCAUGCUGAAUAGCAAGAUAACGAAAAGCCAGUUUGUUUAUGUUUUGUGGUCUGUAGGGGGAGGGAGGGAGGUAGUGUGGGGGUCAUGCUGAGCAUUAAUGCUCACCUUCUUCAGUGAGUGAAUUUUGCAGCAUCCCGAGGGCUCGUCUCUCAGAUUAGCACAAUGGGGAUUAUCCCGCCCAGCCUGUGUUGAUCCUUCUACUGGCUGAGACAAGCAAUGCAACAGCACCAAGUACAAGGAGGUGUGGGUGGCAGCCAAGUCAGGAAGUUAGCAGAUUAACUGUGGUCUAACACCAAGGACAAAAACACAGACAGAUCUGUAAUAGCAGUCGAAUAUAAAAGAAGGUUAUCAAACAAAAUAAUAAGUCAAUACACAGCCUGAAUGGUCUGUAUAAUAUGAAAGUCUGAGACAGUCAGGGUGUCAGAAUGCUUAUUUUCUGCAUUAAGCAUUGAUUUAUAGGGAUGGCUACCAAGAAACUGUAGAAAUAUUGUAGCUAUUAUUUUUUGGUACUGGAUUGGUCAACACCUGAAGGACUGUUAAAGGGAUAUUCCGGCGUAAAAUAAAUUUAGGGUCAAACUCACCGCAACGAGUUAGACACCCCCUCGAGAGAUGAAUGUUGCCGACCGCUUGCUUCUCUAGAUAUACCAACUUUAGUAACGACUGCAAGAUAGCAAUACACAAUGGUCUGAGGAGCCAUACACAAACCUCUUUUUGACUUUGCUUAACUUCUCUAGCAAAGAGACUUAACACAAGUCACCUACUCUCUUCCAGCAGCCGCUUGUUUUUAGUGAGACCUCGGGCCAAUCCUGUACGGACUGCUGUGGGGUGACGCAGCUCAAGGAAGAACAUUUAUGAUCAUUUCUUCAUGGAAAUGCAAUCAGGCUGAGACGCUAAGGCAGAAGAACUAUCACGCAUGCAGUGCAAAAUGAAUAAUAUGAUGAUUAUUACUUCAAGGAAAUGAUAAAAUAAUGAUAAUUAAUGUUCUUCCUUGAGCUGCGUCACCCCGCUUUAGCCCGUAAUGGACUGGCCUGAGGUCUCGCAACAAACAAGCGGCUGCUGGAAGAGGGUAGGUGAGUUGUGUUUGGUCUCUUUGCUAGAGAAAUUAGGCAAAGUUAAAAAGGUGUGUUGGUGGCUAGUGCUGUGGCUGGGACCUUAUAUGUACUGUUGAUGAAGUUAGGUGCUGUUCUGAGCAUUAUUUGUGGCUAUAAAGUGGUGUUUUGGUUGAGGUUUGUUUAUGGCUCCUCAGACCCCUGUGUAUUGCUAUCGUGCGGUCAUUACUACAGUUGGUAUAACUAAAAAAGCAAGCAGUCGGCAACAUUCAUCUCUCGAGGGGGUGUCUAGCUCUGUGUUGCAGUGUGUUUGACCCUAAAUUAAUUUUACACCAGAAUCUCCCUUUAAGCUGAUGGAGAAAUGCUUGUGCUGCUGUCAGUGAAUGUCAAUAUUGUGCCUUAAUACACACCCUGGCUGUCACCCAAACAACCAACUCAAUUAUAGCAAGCUACAUUUUUUUCUAUCAGUGAGAGUUUUUUUUUUUUUUUUUUUUCAGGCGAGGAUUAAAAAAUAUUGUAUUUAAAAUUCAGCUGUUAACUUUCAGAAGCUAAUUUUGCCAGAUUUUUAAGAAUGACAUUUGAGUCACUCUGUAAUAGGUAAAACAGGGGCAUGACAAAAUAUUUUUGUAGCAGUAUGUAGUCAUCCUGACUUGUGCAAUACAGUUAUCACCGUUGCCAAGUAACAAUAUUCCAGUUAAAAAUUAUGCAGUGCUCUGGACAGAUUUCCUCUCUGUCACUACUUCAUGACUCCUCAGGAUGACGCCUAUCACAUUAAUCAUGCACUUAACCUUUUGGGGGGAUUUCAUUCUCCUCAGUAAAUCGGAGACCCUGGUGUGUUACAUGAUUGUCUUGCAAUUUAUAGAUUGUCACAGAAUCACUGUAAAGUAAUCUGUCGCCGUUAUGGGCAAUGACUUUAAUUGUACUUCAAGUUACCCUGCCAAUCUCCCUUUUUAUGUAAAACACAUUAGUUAGACUGUAACAAGGCAGACAUAAGGGCUCCGAAUAAAACUGCCUUUACAGGUGAAACUUGGAUCUUGAGGAUGUCGCCCUGUAGUCACUGUAUGGUCAACAAGUGGUCAGUUUAAGCUUCCAACUUAAGAUACAUGGUCACCUAAAGCUCAUGUAUAAACAAAGAACUGAUGUUUAACUGUGUAACCAUUAUAUGCCUUUGCAUUUAGGAUCUAAAAUAUUUAAAAGGGUAUGAAAACAUUCAAGGAAAAUGUAGAAAGACUGAAAAUGAAAGAGUCAAAAUUCCUACUGUCUCUCAAAUCUGAAAUAAAGGGUGUCUUGUGUGAACAUUCAGCCAUAGAUCAUACACAAAGGUACACAAAAAUAAAGUUUUAACAUGAAACAUCUAGGGGAGUAAGAUGUCUCACCUGCUGACCUGCACCCCCCUCUUGCUCGUUGACAGCAGCAUUUACAGCAGUAUUUACAGUGUUGAACCAUGUCCUGUAACAAAACUGUACUCCAACCUGGUUUACAUUCUGCUGUCGUGCUUACGUCUGUGUGGGACACCGCCAGCAUGUUGCAUAAAGUUCAAAGUGAAUCUGAUAUCCAGAGUCUAUCACUGUGUAUAUUUUCCUGCAGUGGAGUGACAGGCCACUCCAUUACAAAUACAGCCCGACUGUAGAAAGAGAAUGAAUGAGUAACCUCAUGAAACAAGAGCUUGCUGUUUGUUCGCAGAUGAGGAGUCUUACUGUAUGUUAAAGGGAUGACGUCUAUGGCCCAUAUUUUCCCAGUGUAGUGCUCACAGUGUCUUUGUAUAUGAAGCCUUUCUUCUCAUGUAGCUCUGUAUGAGCCAUCCUGUACUCUAUACAAUGUGUAACUCCUCAUGUGUCAGUAUGCAAACUGUCACAUGUCAGUGUGUCAGAAAUUUCCACUUCCAGCGAGGCUGACUAUGGUGAAUGUUGCAUAGCGUUAAUAGAAGGUUGAAUGCUGCAGUAAUUGUAGGCUCAAUUGAAAUGCAGUGAUUGUUCGUGUCAGCAAGGAUGACUGCUCUACCUCAGGAGUAUAUUUAAGAGGUGUCACACAGGAUCCCGAUUGCUUCUAGGAGACUUUGUUGACGAUGAAAAUAAUAGCUUUGGAUGGCUUUUGAAAUUAAAAUGCCAGGGGCUUUUAUUGGUAACGCAGCACAGUCAAAAGUCCAUGACAACAUGCCCUUCUCUGUCAUCUCGUGUCUGUAAGUAGUGCAGGUAAUAAUUUGUACAGUAUUAUUGUCAUCGCCAGUUUUUUGUGACUUGUAUCCAAAGAUUUUUUUACUGCAAUUAUGUAAUUGCUCUUAUGUUGUAAUGGCUGUCACUUUCUGCCUGUGGUCUUUCCUGCCCAAGUGUCUAAGGGGGAUUUUGUGAGAUGGCUUAAGCUGCCUGCAGAAUCAACCACCUCGUCCUUUCUUGAUCUGGUUGACUUUUUUUUUUGCUUCUAGCCAUGCAGAAACAGAGACCAUUUAUUGACUAUAUAGUAGGUUUCACCAGCAGCCAGUCAAUGCACGGAGGUGUGAAAAGAAGCUUUAGGGAUUUUCUACUGUGCAGUCUCAGACACAAAGCCUUCAUGGUUCUGAAUGUAAACAUACACCAAAUUUACAUUGUAUAUUAGAUAUGGAUAACAUUCUGCAUUAUUGAGUCAGUGAUACCAGGUAGCCAUUGUGUCAUUCUACAAAUACUGGUGCAUGUAUAUCAAAUUAGAUGUUACAGUUCCCUGCUCUUCCUGCUGACUCUUCUGACAUAUUUUCCACACUUGUCUGUGCGUGGAGCACCAGCUCUCAUGAAUUUUAAUUACUCUUAGUAGCAGAGUCAUUGUUAUAUUUAAAAUAUGUUCACUCUUGGUUCUUCUGCCUUUGUGCUAACUUUCCUCACUGUCUCGCUUUAACUCCUAUUUGUUGGGAGUAGGAAUCACUCGUGGCCCCACAAUAUGAUACUAUCACGAUACUUGGUCCACGAUACGAUAUUAUUGCGAUUUUUUACAUUUUGCAAUACGGUGAGUAUUGCGAUAAUAUAUAUUGUGAUUAAUACAAUUUUUUCAAAUGUUUAGCUAAUUUAGCAUUUUGCUUUCCUUUAUGUUUGUCUUAUUUACCCUGUAUUUGUUGCACUAACUUUCUCCCGCUCUAUGAUUUGAAAAAUUGAUACUUGGCAAAUGUGACGAUAUGAUAUAUCACCAGACAAAAUAUCGCGAUACUAUGCUGUAUCGAUUCUUUUCUCCCACCCUUCCUAUUUGCUGUCAGUGCAUUGGUGUUGCAGAUGCACUCUUUUGCUGGGUAGUUUACCCCUUUUUUUAAAACAACAGAACACUGGUGUAAGUAUGAUGUUAAAAGAGUUGAUCUGUUGUGUUAGCACAGCUAAAACUGGGCCUUUAAAACACCUGUUGGACUGAAAUUGCACAUCAAAUUCCUUGAAGUUGGACCAACAAAUUCUGAUAAUAUGAUUGUGCUUUUUUGUGCAUAAAUACCUCAAGAAGUCUAAAACUGGUCUAGGCAUCCUGCGCAUACUCCAUAGUUCAAAUACGAGGUUGUGGACCAGAAGCCAAUCAUCACACAUUUGUAAAGAAGCCAGUGUUAGAGGUACAGAGCUGUAAAGUUGUCUAUUAUGAGUAAAUAUUAAGUUUUAAAAUCUAAAGGUUUGAUUGGAUGUAUUUGUAUUGGAAAGAGAAAAAACUUUGAUAUAUUGAGCAGCCUGACCUUACAUAAGAUAUUUUGUAAUACACAACGUGUAGGACACCAGAUAUAUCUGCCAGCCGAUAUUAACUACCGGUUUCACACAUACUGCCUCCGCGAUCAUCUGCCUUCCCCCACCCACUCUUUAAGAAAACAAAAAACAGAGCCAAGCAGUCCCGGAAGCAAAUGAAAUGACUCAGUCAAUAAGAACAGAAUGAUAGUAUAUAUUGUUAAGCCUUUAUACUAUAUAUAGAUGUGUUAAUCUUUUUAUCGCUGGUUGGCAGGUGGGGAAUCAUUUAAUCAUUUUGAUAUGCUUGGUUUGCUGUACCCACAGUUUAGCAUGGCAGCAGUGGUUUUGUGACUACACUGCAUGGGUAUACGAUUGUUGACAUACGAUUAAUGCUUUUACAAAAUGAGACAAAUGAGCGUGCCUGUUUGUGUGGCGCCGUUUACAAGAAUGCAUGAAUAUUAAUAUAUAGUGGGCCCAAUGUAUCACAGUGUGUUUCAUGGGAGGGGUUGAAAAUCUUGUGUGGCUUCCAACUGUACUGCCUAGACAUUGAAUAAAUGUGUGCAUAGCUAUAGCUUUACUUGAUGUAUGACUCACUGUUGGUUUUCAGCUCAUUGAAGCACAAACACAGAAAUAAUGACUUCUGCUCAUGGCGGAUAAAACUAUUACACCCACCUUUGUGCAGAAUUAUAGGCUUAAUCUGCAUCUUAUGGUGUUGAUACUGUGAUGAUUUUCUCUUGGUUGGAGUGACUUUUAGUACAAGUGCUGGAAAUUGAUUUUUGAAGUGCUUGUGGUAUUAACAAAAUGCCACUUUAAUCAUAAAACUACAAAUCUCAGUCUCUGUUCCUGCUGGUGGAUUUUGGUCUAUAAAAUUAAGACGAGCACUCGCAGUUGGUUGAGUUUGCAGAGAGAUGAGCAAUGAGUCACUCACACCAAGGCUGAAUCCCAUUGUGUGGACUCAGGACUACAGGGCUAAACCCAUGCGAACUUGGAUGACACAUUUGUGAGAUCUGAAGGCUGUGCGUCCACGAGAGGCUAAGUGUUUGGGUUUGGAGAGAAUGUGCCAGUCCAUGUGAAUCAUGAUGUCAAGCAAAUUUGAUUACCGCUAACCGAAUGAGGAAUAUUUCAUGACUACAUUAUGACGUAUAAAGAGAAUAGAAAGGAUUGCAAAGGAAGACAAGGUAAGCAAAUAUACUAUAUUAUUCGCACUCAAAGGAAUACUGUUCUUGUUUAAACCUCUGCUUGGAGGUUAAAAAGCGAGUGCAGGUAUGUUAUUGUGGGCUUCAAGUGGGCAUCUACAGUAACAAGUGUUGUGCUUGGUGAGGCACGUACAGAAUAACACCUCCAGGACUCUCAACAAUGACUCAUUUCUGAACCACCUCCAUCUACUGUAUACCUGCUCUUGGCCCUGAAAAUAUACAUAAAAUCAUUUAGCCAGUUUAUUAAUUUAAUUUAAUUUAAUUUAAUUUAAUUUGAUUUAACCAGGAAAGUCUGAUUAAAAUUAUACUGUGUUGGCAAGUAGACAAUAAGUUUUCUGCUUCAUGAAGGAGAGGAAAGCAUUACAGCAAAUAUAGCCUGUCAACUCAAAACUACAUCAAGUAACACACAUUUCAAUAAAAUGAGUUUCUUUGAUUGACUUACUCAGAUACACUACAGUAGUAGUUUCUACUUAGCACAUACUCAGAGUUUCCUUGACAAAAAUAAUGAAGAAUUUUGGUGGAUGUUUCUUUCACAAAAAUUCCAUCAGGCCAAAAGGCAUUUUUUACGACUCUUGCUUGUUUCUAUUGGCGCCGCUCAUGCCUCUAUAACCUGGCCAAAUCUCUCAAAUUUAAUUCUAUUGAUCAUACUGGCGUUUAAUUUCAUUCUUAACCCUUUUUUGCUUUUUCUAUCAUAUUUGACACAUACUUUUAGAUACUAUUAUCAAAUCAAUAUGAUCAACAAAUUACUAAAUAAAAAAAACCUAAAUACAGUCCGAUAAAUGAUAAAAGUGUCCUUGUAGUUUUCAGUUUCCAAAAACAUCUAAUGUAUCAAACAAGAUAAAUAAAUAUAUUUGUUAAAUUUUAAGGAAAUUUGUUUUUUUUUUUUUGUUUUUUUGUUUUGUUUUCAGUAGAAAGUGAAAUAAACAUUUCAGCUCCAAAAAAAUUUGAAUUUUCUGGCCAUAAUUUGUGGUGUCAGGCAUCAAAGGGUUAAAUGUAAAAAGCAAGCCAAUCAGCACAGUGCCUCAUUUUCAAAGCAUUCCCACUCACUCUGAUCACUGGAUGGGUAAUAAGGUUGGAAACUAUGAGAGUUUAAAUCGUCUGUAGAGGCUGAAUUUGUGUUUCAUAUUUGCAGUUGAAUUCAGCUCCGGUCAGUAAUGAUUGCUAUAACGCUCUGCUACCUGAAUGUUAAUAAGCAAAGAGGACUUAUGACAUUACAAAGUGUGAUGCAGUUUGGAUUCAACAAACAUAGUUAGGUUAAUUUGACUCAGCCUGUGCUGCACAACCAAAACCUGAUCCAAGGAUGUUAAUCUGCAGGGACGACCAAAAGCUGGUGGUGUGUGUAACAUUAGCAGCACUUGUCAAAUUAAUUUGACUACAGGCUUUCUGAUCCCCUGUUAAGCUGUGCUUAAGAAAUUGUGCUAAUGUCUGACAUUUUUAGAGGUGUUUCUUGCCUUCUGUUUUAACAUCCAGGAAAUAAGUCACUUUGUAACUCAAACCGAAAAUGUCUGAAAACUCUUUGAAAGGCCUCGCUGCUCCUUUUAUACACAACAGAAAAUGUCAGAGCAUUCUUCUACUGGGCAGCCUACUGUUAAAGCCCAUGGUUUAUUAAAUUCAGUUGCGAUUGAAAGAGUUUUAUUUGUCUGCUCAUGGUUUUGGGAUUUUAUGUCAGCGCCACAAUCAACUAACAGCCGAGAUGAGCAAAGGCAAUUUCAGCCACUGAGCACCAGGAUCAAACUUAAGAUAGUUUAACAUUCUUGGAGAAGUAGCUGUUGCCAAACAAGUGCACCCACAUCACAUCUGUUUGCAGCUUGUUAUUGUUCCUGUGCCUGUGUUUGACUGUUAUGUGUUAAACCUUUAUUUGUCUACAGCUUGUGGACCUGCGUUACGAUGCCAUCUGUGGUUGCUAGGGAGAUUUGGGACGCAGCUGCACACUCUCAGUUCAUGACUUGCUGUUAUGCCAGUGUAAUUUUGAUUCCACCAUCUUUGCUCUGACUCUGAACUCCAGCAGCAGACUGAGUCUUAAAAUGCAGUUCCAUCACAACGGCAAACAAUGCAACACAUAUCAAGUCUUUGUCUUCCUCUGACAGAAGAGAGAGUAUACUUUCUGAAAGGCUUUAGAGAAUAAAGCAUCUUUAAUGGAGACAUUUUGUGAUACAAGCACAAAGUAUUUGAAUGCAUUUUGUUCCCGAGUGAGUCAGUAGUACCUCAGUAGAUUUACAACUCACAGUUGUUUUUAUAAUCAUUAAUUCAAACACAUAUUUUCUGCAUUUGAUUUAUUAUUCAUUUGGUAUUUGAAAUUUUCAAAGGGCCUAUUGUCAAAAUGAAAAUGUGCAAAAGUUUUAGACCGCAAGUGGAUUUUCUUUUUGGAUAUUUUUGGUCCAGCUGUCAAAAAGUGUAACAUUUUAAUCAAACGCCGAGAAGUGCUGUAAAAUACUUGAAUAGUAAUCCUCUACUGGAGGAAAUCACCAGAGCAGGAAUGGAGUGAAUCAAUCCAUGACAUUCGAGUAGACAGCCAUCCAGUAUUUGGUCUUUGUGCACAGUAUCCAACUACCCUUUUCUUAUUGACAGGAACUUCGAGUUCCUAUUCCGAAGACCCAUGUGUCCUGAAAGGAUGAGUUCGCGCUUUUUUCUUUUUAUUGGAAAAAAAUAUAUACAUUUUCAAGUCCUUAAAAGGAGUCCAUUUAUUUUUAUCAUAGGUUUCCAAAAUGCAUUAACCAGGUGGUUUUAUUCAAAAGCAUUUCCAGGCAACUGCCCUCAGAAUUUCUAAAAUCAAGUCACCAGCAGGAUUUGUGUAAUUGUUCUGUUUACCAAGUCGAUGUUUCCAACCACCAAGAGAAUUUUAGUAAUCCAACAUCUGGAGUCUGGUUUAAAACGGAAACAAACUCAGCUAAAAUUAGCAGCAGCUUGGCUCACACACCCUUCUGGUGUCCUGUAUCUGUGAAGAACGUUUGAAAGACACUGAAUUUUAAUGUGGGAGUGCUUUAUCAAUGUGUCUUUACUAAAAAUGUUUUUCCUAAUAAAAAUGAAGCAGACUCUUAAUUCAUGAUGACAAAAUAAAAAUAAAAAACUGUUUUGUAUGUGAAUAAAUCCUCAAGUUUAACCAGAGACCUGUCUGGUUACAUCAGGUUUCCAUUUUUAUCAGGAUACAAGUUAACCUGAUUACAUCAUCAUGUUUCAUCCAUAAAAGGACUCUGUCAACUAGACUGUGUGGAGAGUCUAGUCAUGUCAAGGUGACAGAGUAGUUCUGUUGAAUAACCUCAAUAUUGACUAAAUAAAUCAUCUUUACCACUGUAUGGGGUCUUUGUCCACAGAAUCAACACGACACCAAUAAUGCUUUGAUCGGAAUAGGGUCAGAGGUCAGGCACAGCCAGUACUGUUGACUCUAUAUGAAGAUGGACAAUGUCAAUCCACUCUCUCGCAUUGUACAAAAAGGAAGCCAAGGUAUUGGUGUUAUCCAACACUGGUGAUAAUAUCGAGAGCCAGACUAACUAACCAAUAAAACGGCAAAGAUCCCUCAGGUCACAGCUUAAUGUGAUGCUUGCGUCAACACUGAAAAGUUCUGUCACCAUCCUUUCCCUACCCUGGUAGUCUGGUUCAGCACUCUAGGAGCACCAUUUGUCAAUAAAGCUGUCAACAUGACAACCUCUUUUUAAAGCUCCAGUUAACUGAUUUAAACUGAGCUUUGUGAAAAACAAACACUUGAGCACAAUUAGGCAGGAUAUGAACAUAAUACAGCAGGAGAAAUCCUAGUCUAAAAUGUCAUGUCAAGUUUCAGCCAAGACCCAUCUGUUUACAUGGAGAGGACAGGACAGACCUCUUCUGUAGCCAUCUGCAAAGGGAUAAAGUUGGCCCCACAGUACAAGAUUUAGGGUCUAAUUUGCCACCUCCAAUUAUUGGGGGUACGGCCUGAUUAGAGGAUUGACACAACCAUCUAUGUGUCCAUAUAGUCCUCAGGUGUGUGGUGUCAGCAUGACUAUUUCACUGCUCCCCUGACCUGUGAUCCGACAUUUCAAACAUGUUUAAUGUCUGAUUGAUACUGAAAUGGUUCCUCUCUUCCUCUUUGUUUGCAGAACACGCACCAGGACCAGCCAGCUGACAUUGCUGAUCAUCCUCCAUGUUUGUACAGGUAAGUCCUCUCAAGUCAUGUUUGGUCCUGCAGCUUUUGUGUGAGUUCUUGUGUUUUACUCGAGGAUUGUAAUGUUAAAAAAAUCUGACAGAACUGUGGGUUUGUGUGUGUGGUUCUUCAUGCUUCUCGAACAAGUAAAGAUCUAAAAGUCAUCUUGGCUUAAGGUGGAUGUUUUGGUUUCACUAUAAGGGAGUUGUCAUUUCAUCCUGAGUUUUUACAGUCCGUUUAACAUUGUGAGGGUCCUUUCAACAUUUCAUGUUUGCAGUAAAUAUCAAGUGCAUAAAUGACGCUAAACUCCAAAUUAGUUUCCCCUCCUUGCUUCCCCUCCCCCUCUUUCUCUUUUCCUCACCAUCACUCAGUUCCAGUGAUCACCUUGCCAACCACCUCCCUCUGAGACAUUCAAGCUGAUGGUUUGAUCAGACAAAAAGGGAAAUUACUAUCAUGGGACUCAGUGAUUGAUGGCUCUGGCUAUCCGUCAGUACACCGCAGGACAGGGGGAGAGGGUUCAGCCUGGCAUCCGUAAUACAAAUUCAACACAAACAGGGCUGACACUUAUCUGCAGUAUCAUUUACAUACGUCUUUCACCAUUUAAUUCUAUAUGAACAUGUCAAGCUAUUUUGCAUUAGUGUCACGCUUGUCCUUUUUCUCUGUGUUCUGCAAUACAUCACAAUGUGACUAUCAUCAUCAUCUGAGCUGGCAGCGGAAAGAGAGGGUGCUGGUCAGCAAGUCUGUAGAAAAGAGAGAGGUAGUUUUUAUUGCAUGAAUGACGGGCAAAUGAAUUGUUUUAGUAGAACGCAAAACAAUAGAAUUAGAGUUGUAACAUGAUACGAUUCAGGAACAUUUUAGAGUCCUUUUUUGGGACUGCAACAGAAAUAAUUACUCCGUUUACCUCAGGAAGGAAAUAAUUGGUCGGUGUAGGUUUACAUUUUUGCAUAAUAGUUUUAAAAUCGCCUUAUUACUGGAGAGAUGCAUGAUUAACUGUUGCUGCCUGCCAAUUAUUUUCUCAUAAGUUAGUAAACAAUUAUUAAAGAGCGCCAUAUGACAUUUGACCCGCUGUCUGACUUUUCCAAAUAUCACCUACAAAAAAAACUACAAUUGGAUUAUGGAUUUUCAUCCAAAAAUAUUUGUGUGACAUGUUAUUGAGUCAACAAAGAUGCUGGGUGUGUACUGAUUGAAAUUAUAGUUGCAGCAAUCCUUCUCUGAACAACAGCUUUUAUUUCUGCGGUGAGGUAAGGCCAAGAACACAAAGCAGUCUUUUCUCUCUCAACUUUUCUGUUGUGGUGACACGCGCCUCAGGAAGAGAAAAUGAUCACCGCUUCUUUCAUGUGUUGCACUGCAUUGUACUUUAGCUGCUCUGAAAUAUCUAUUAGACUAUUGAGUCAUUUUUGUUUGAGCGUAUUGAACGGCUGCAAUUAACGUCUGCUCUGAAAGUCGACCUGCCAUUGAUUAUUGGAAUGACUAAUUGAUGAAACUUUCAAUGAAAUGCACUAUUAAAUAACAAAUCAGGUAUUGAAUUUAACACUACUCUUAAAUCUUAACAUGCCAUGAAAAUCAUGAUUCAUGUAAGACAGACCAGUUAGUUUCACUGUGAACUUUAGUAACUUUGUUUAGUAUUACUUUGCUUCUUUGUUUCGCGGUAGGGGUGAAGACAAAGAGAUUAAAAGGAGAGCACAGAGCUUUGGAUUGGGGCUGCUAGGUUAUGGUAUGACUCAUAAUUACAAUUAUGUUGAUUGAUAUUGAUAUCCAUGAUAUGGCACAUGCAUCACAUGCAUUUAAGUAACUUAAAACCCUUUAAACCUAAAACUGUGAUUUGAGCUAAAAACUUCAUAAUCACAGUUUUAGGACCACUGAUAACACUUUAAGAAGUAAUUACAAAAAAAAACAAUCAGAGAGGGACUUUAAGGCUUCAAUACUUGGGCUUGUGUUUUAUUAUGAUUCAGGACAAUGUCUCUCAUGUUGUAGCAUAGCAGUCGUUAGCUUGUCAGCACUCUUCCAUGCUUGUGCUGUUUCUACAGCGGCUCUGAUCUCAUGCUCAGUCAGACACACACAGAUCCACUCACAUCCCUUGUUCCUCUCCCUGCUCUCCUCUCUCCACCUGUGGCAGCCUGAUAGUUUGUUCAGCUGUUUCACAAUGCGCUGAUGAUACAGCGGUCCGUCAUAAAUCCUAGUAAAACACGUAACACGUCAACAUUGAUCUGAGCUGCUCAUGAUAGAGUGAGAGGUGUUUGAAGAGAGGGUCACGCCCACACUCUGGAGGUGCUGUUUGUUCCAUGUAUGAGUCAUGAGGAGGUCAACACAGCAGGCCGUUUUAAUGGUCUUUUUUUUUUAUGAUCACAGGGAGCCGUAAUUGAUAUUAAACCAGUUAAUAUUCAGACAGAUAAACAAUAUCUUCCCUUUAAAUACUCACACAAGCCUGACAUGGUCUUGCCUUGAGUAAGUUCUGGUUUUCUGAUUGGACUGACCGUCUUUUUUCUCAGCUUCGACAGUAAAAUCCUGCUGACUUUCUAAAGGUUAUAUGACGAGAUGAUUUGCACAGGAAGCCAUGUUGCUAUAAUUUGUAUACUUGUUGCGUCCUGUGACAUUUUUGUGGGCAUGUCUCUCCGGAAAGAUAGUAAGUCUGUGAAAUAGCAUGAAAACAUGUACGAUAACAUCACAGACUAAUAAUUGACUACUUAAUUUGUUGUUGACCUUGUCGUCUAUGCUGACAAGCCUCUGCAGUCUGUAAUAUUGUCUUUUACUUCCUCCAAGUUCAUAUUAAUUCUACCCAUGUUUUAUAUUCUGUUUUUAUGUUCCUGUUUGUUCCUCUUUAUCUCGUCUAAUGCCUUUGUGUCUUAUUCAAAGCCUUUUCUUUGUACUUGAAAGGUGCUAUACAAAAACAUUUUGCUGGCCUUGCUUUGCCUUGUUUGUGGCUUAUUUUUUUGAAGGGAGGAGAGGUGCAACACCGACGCAACAUCUUGGCUCAGCAACCACCGAUUUGGUUUUUGUCUGCAAACUGAGUCGGCAAGAACUUGUCAUAGUCAUUUGCUCCAGGAGACUACACAGAGCAGCACCCACAGCUGCUGAAUUCAACUCUUUCUCUCCCCUCCUCUCUCUUUCUCUCUCUCCUUUCCACUCUCUCGCCCUUCCUUUGUGUUUUUGGUGUGAGGCGGCAUGCUGACUUGCACCUUAAAAGGUCUUUUGGCAAGCGUGUGAACAGAAAAUUGCGCCCAAACCUUUGACCAGAGUCUCCCUAAACAGUGGGGCUCUGCCUGCAACCAUGAAUAACACUGGGUGUAUUUGAGGCACUCCUGUACCUCUGCACCUAAGCAUCCUGCAAGGGAAAACAAGCUUAGAAAUGCAACAGUGCCCCCACUUGGCUGACAGUGGGACCACACCAACAGGCGGCAGUCAUUCUUGUGGGCACCUGAAAUAAACUGGGAUGGAAAUUUGUCAGGGGUUGAAUUCAGGAGCAAAGUGGCAGGAGAUGCUUGAGGUGAUUUGUGGGCAUUUUUAGACAGCUGUGAAGAGGUUGGCAGUGUUGCAGGGUGUGCAGAACGUUCAGCUUUCCAGCUAACAAGGCGUAGAGGGGGGCCUCGGAGGAAAUAGAGCUAUCCCGGAGGUAAGAGGUGAAUGCUGACACUGUGGAAAUUGAUUCCUGCUUAAAAUACCUGUGGCUGGUGUGUGUGGUGAAUAUGUGAACAGGAAUUAGAUACUGUUGCAUUGCUUUUCAUCUGAACACGCUUGCUGUUAUGUUGUUUGGGGUUCAGUGCAUUACUGUAGAUGCAGCACUUAACUGUGAGCCUUAAAUCUGCAUCAGGUUAGGAUUGCAUGCAUAUAUAAUGAAUAAUGAACCCGCUGAUGAAAAUCAUGUCUUUGCGUGUCAGUCUGUUUUUGAAAUGCUUGAUGAUGGUCACAGUAAUUACUGAAUUCUGCAGUGUUAAUUAUAAUACUCACAUGCACCAGAAAAUCAUAAUGAACAACAUUUAUUUCCCUAUUUGUGUUCGUGCGUGCGUGUGUGUUUGAAGUCGUGUAUGUGUGUGACAUUUGAAGGAUGACUAAGCUACAGGGCAGCUCACCCAGUGAAGAGGAGACAUUUUUUUCCUCCAACCAUUUGACUCAUCUCCUGCUACAUUUAGAUUCAGGCAGCAGACAACAAACUGAUUAACUUUAAUUUUCGAUGAGAUUUGAUGUUGUAUUCUGAUGUCUUAACAGUGACUGCAAGCAAAGAGAGCUGCACUUAAAGUUCAAAUAUAGCUCGUUCCCUUGUGCUGUCUGAUGUGGAAGUAGAUUUGUUUACCUCUUCUGAUUGGAUGGUAUUUCAGGACAACAGAAAUUAAUUCUAAGAAAAGUCUGACGCAUCAUUUGGUGAAAAAAAACUCUCCGGGGAAAUGGCCAGACAGGUUUCAAUAGACCACACUGAAUUUGUAUUUCCUUAGCUUUUUUAAAAAAGUGCUCACUCACUUACAUUUCUCUUUUAUCAGUGUAUUUAUCUUACAUCAGUAUUUGGAGGAAAUAAGGAGGCUGGCAUUAGAGGAAAAGCUCUGAUAAAAGCUUAGAGUCCAAGUUAUGGACCUGCUCUUCAUUAUUAGAAGUUUCUAUCCUUAUUUAAACCCAUUGCACCACACUGUUUAAAAUAUAUGAGAAGGCUCUAUUUUUAACUUAUUUUGGCCAAUGCUGAUCCAAAAAUAAAUAUAUAUACACACCUGAUUUUGCUUCUCAUCUGUACUAGAAUCUUCUUGUUACCCUUAAAGUGACAGUAUGUUUGUUUUGUCUGAUUCCACCAUUCAAGAUAAAUUUAAUCCUCUUCAAACAGAGACAUUCAAAACAUAGUCACUGCAGUAUUUUUCAGCUUUGUCGAGUGACUGAAGUUGAGGCUGCUGACGGGUUUCUGCUGACCCUGAUUCUUUCUGGUCUUUACAUUUCUCAGUGCUGUUUAGGAUCAUAGAUGCAUAAUUCAGUUGAUUGUGUUAUAAAGUGUUGUUUUGUUUAUCAUUCAGUCACCUGUGCAUUCCAUGAAUUGCCCAUCAUGCUGUAUGUUUAUGACACUUAAGUAUACUUGCAUUCAACCAACAUGUUGAAGCUCAUUAUUGGGGCUAAGUUGUCAUAUCAUGUACAUAAUUAAUAAGUCACCUGAGCCCUAUGAGUGCAAAUUUUUCUAUCUGCCAGCAAAGAUUAGGAACUCUUUAAUGAUUUUAUCUGCUAAUACUAAUAUUAUACUGAUAACAUUAUGCAUCCCUGAGGAGUGUACUUGACAUAGCAAAAGUAAAGGUGCCAAGAAAAACUGUCUCAGAUGUCACCACCACCUUUUUUUUUAUGAUAGCACAUUUUCCCAUCACAUAAUAUUACAUCUAGAAAGUUGCUUGUCAGUGUUUGAUUUCAAGUCUGUGAUUAAAUAAUCAAACUCAUUGUUUUUCUUUAUCUUGAGUUGUGAAAAAAACAUGCAUCUGAAAACAUGGCUGGCCUAGAUAAUCAUGUACAGUAGAUUGUAAUGUGCAAAGAAUAAUGGGAUCGUUUGUGACUUUCUGUUUUUUUUUUUGUUUUUUUUUCAAACUCAAAUAUUUCCGUUUUAAUAAUUAUGGACAACUUGACAGAAAUUUCAGAGUCCUUCGUGGCAACGUUUCACUGCACCAAAUGUUUAAUUGCUUACCUUUAAAUGAUCAAACAUUACCAUAAGUACAGGAUUUUUGUAUUUUAUUGGUUGGUGGUGUUAAAUUGUCUCAUUAUUAAAUAGAAAAAAAUAUAUCAUAACAUAAUAAUAAUAAUAAUAAUAAUCUUUAUUGUCCCCAAGGGGAAAUUUGUUUUCACAGGUCUUAUUCAAACACAACCACGAGUACAGACAACACAUAUCAUAUGACACAAAACAUAUUACAAGGACAGGCCAUGAGAACCCCCCCAGAAUACCAAGAGACCAUCCUAGCGGAGAGGCAGUUUGAGCUUGUUUACUGCGGCGAUGGCUGUUGGGAUGAAACUCCUACUGAACUGGAUUCUCUUCCACCUGGGUGAUCUGUAUCUGCGGCCUGAUGGCAUGAGGUCGAAGUGAUGAUGUAGAGGAUGCUCAUUGUCACUUAUUAUUGAGAGUGCCAAGCGGGUGAUGGCCUUAUUGUUCAGAUCGGCAAGGGUGGGUGUGGGAAGUCCGAUAACCUUGGAAGCAAUACGGGUGAUAUUGUGCAGUUUGUUUCUAUUUGGCAUGGACAGUAUGGUGAAGUAACAUGGUGAGCAGUACAACAGAAUGGGUUGGAUAAUGCUUUUGUAUAGUAACAGCAAAAGAUGAGGGCAUUAUAUAUCAGCCACCAGCAACCUGCAUUCUCCUAACUGGCAGUAGAAAAAAAAUGACAUCUUUCAACCAAACUUUUCAACAUUCUUUAUAUUCUGUGAGGUUAUCAACGCACAGAUGGUGAAACAAGUUAGUAUUCGAGUUAUUUUGAACAGCAACUGUUUUUCUGCAUAGUCUGCAGAUUGUUUUUCUGAAACAAUUAGCAAUUCAACAAAAAACAACUGAGACUUAGACAACUAAGUUAGCUUAUAUUGUUGUGAUGUGUGAACACUGCAUGUGCUCUCAGUGGGCAUGCUCAGCCAUCUGCCCCGUUCAGCUUGAGAAAUGCUCCGUAGAAAUGAUGGGAGUGGACUCACAUGGUGUGUUCUGAUCGCUCUCUGCAAAAUGAGUGACAUACUUCAUUUUGUCAUUUUGCAAAUGAAAGUAUUAUCUUAAAUGGCGUUUAUUUCACACCCCUACAGUCGACUUCUUUGGCCAACCAAAUGCUAGUCAUGUUUACCUCAUCAUACCAACUAACCAAUAUUAAGUGUUUUUAGUAGGGCCCGACAAAUAUGGAUUUUUUUGGGGCUGAUGCCGAUACUAAUUAUUAGGAGGGAGGGGGAUCAGAUUUUUAUUUUUUUUUAAUGAAGUUAUAAAAAAUAUACUUAUACUGUAGAUAUCUACAGUAUACUAUAAACUGUAUAUAUACUGUAGGCUACUGCUUUUCACGGCAACAGGAAGACCGAUUGAUCAAACUCGGACCAGAAAAGCGUUAUUAAUAACCCCCCGCGCCGAUCGGUGCCUCCGCGUCUUAACUCACGUUACUCGUUUCCGGUCCGGUCUCAUCAGGAGACAUGCAGCUGCCUCAGUAAGAGAAGUAGCUCGAUCACUAAUGUGUACUGUUAUUUAUUCUACCAUUACUGGCACGGCUAACAGUGUAGCAAGGCUAAUAGCAGAUGGCUAACUCUAACUUUAGCUUGCAUAUUAUCAAUCAAUCAAAUCAAAUUUUAUUUAUAUAGCGCCAAUUCACAACAGUCGUCAUCUCAAGACGCUUUUCAAGGAACAAGAGCAGGUCUGGACCAUGCUCAUUGUUUGAUGAUCAAGAACCAACCUAAGAUGGGUUUUGGCCCAUCUCAACUAACAUGAGUUACAGUGGCAAGGAAAAAUUUCCUUUUAACAGGCAGAAACCUUGGGCAGGACCAGCCUCAUGCUAGACAGCCACCAUGCCGCUGCUGGGUUGGGGAGGAAUGUAGAGAGAAGAGGGGAGAGGGGGAGAGGACAGGGGGAGGGAGAGAGACAACAAGAUAGGGGAAAGGCGAGAGAGAAUGAGUAUGGAGAGGGAGGGGGAGUUGCUGUCUGCAGCAACAGUCCAGAGGAGCCAAAGAGCCAAAGAGUUGGAGGAGCUCAGGGCCCAGGGUGGAUGCAGCUGGGGUCAGGCAGUUCCGCAGCAGACCUGUUUGCAGCAUUAGUCCAGUGGCAGCUAAAAGACUCAGAGACACUCAGAGAGACAGAAAACUGGUCAGUGACUUAUAUGGGACAUAAAGAUCUAAAGAGGAGAUAGAGACAGACUCUAGCUCAGUGUGCCAGAUAGCCCCGGCAGUCUAGGCCUAUAGCAGCAUAACUAAGAGCUGGUUCAAAUCAGCCCUGACUAUAGGCUUUAUCAAAGAGGAACGUUUUAAGUCUACUCUUGAAAGUUGAGAGUGUGUCUGCCCCCCGAACCUCGAGCGGUAAAUGAUUCCAGAGAAGAGGUGCCUGGUAGCUGAAAGCUCUUCCUCCAAUACUACUUUUAGAGACAUUUGGUACAACGAGCAGACCUGCAGACUGUGAGCGUAACGGUCUAGAUGGAAAGUGGACGGACCACUCUCCUCCGUGCGUCCCUGAGCUGCCUGCUUCAGAUCCGUCACUCUGCUGUGCUGUGAGGUAGUUAGUGGAUGAAGAUUGUCAUGAGGUCGCUGCGCCAUCUACUGGAUGAGUCAGGGGGAACUUUUAAAGUGGCAGAACAUUGUCGAAGUGAAACCGAAUUUUAUUCUCCACAUUUUAUUUCUAAAAAUAUCGGCAAAAAUCUGCGAGUUUUGGCUGAUUACCAAUUAGUCUCAAACUGGCUAAAAGUAGCUGAUAUAAUCGUCUCGCUGAUCAAUCAGUCGGGCCCUAGUUUUUAGCAAUACCGUUGUAAGUUGAGUGUUAAUUGUCAGUGUCAUGUUUACGUUUGUUAUAAGUUUGUCUGCAGGUCUGAAAGUAUUGUACUUUUAUUGUUCAUGAAGUUGCAUCAGGUAAUGAAAGUUAGUCUAAGAAGAAAAUAGGCGAAAAUAAAAUACUCUGGACCCAAAGUACAUUUUAUAGGCUGAACAUGCCCGCUGAGAUCCCCCAGAUAUUGCAUCCCCAAAGUGUUGGAAUAUUUUUCCAUGGAUGGCAUGUAUAGAUAGAAAGGUGGCCAUUGGUUGGAAAUCAAAUCUGCCGUUUAUUAGUUUUGUCUGCCUUGCAUUCAAAACAAGUGAAAACAAACACACAGAAAAAAUAGAAUAAAGACACUGGACAUAUACCCAGUUCUGUAAAUAAUGAACUACUUUGCAUAAAUCUUCAGCACAGUAAACAUUACUCUCCCCUGAAGAUUGUGUGACCUCCAAAGUCUGGCCUCACCUUCGUUGCGUCUGUCUGAAUAUGUUUGGAAUAUUUCUCUCCAUAUGAUUUGACAGAUAGGAAACAAACAACAGCCCCCAGGAGGAGCUUCCCAUGUGAGCAACUUGCUGUGUGGAUACACAUACCAAGACACACACACACACACACACACACACACACACACACACACACACACACACACACACACACUCUUACGCACACCGUCUCCCUCACUUCAGUUCUCAUGCACACCUAAUCACACAGACACGCGAUUCCCAUGUGAGCGUCAGCAGAGGUGGUUUCAAUCUCAAUCAUUUCAGGACCACAUCUCUUCAUCUGUGUUCCUCUCAGUCUCCAUCUGUGUUUCUGUCUUUCUCCCACUCUUUCUGCCACCUGAGUGACCCCCCAGGAAACCCCCACCCCCUUAUUUUCGUGUUGCUGUUUGGUGUGUUACCGCUAAGCCUUUAGACACACAGCCCUCUGCUCUCUUUGAUAAUCUUACACCGUGUCUUCCUCGCCUCCAAUUCCCCUUCAGCGCAGGGUUGCUGCCUGCUUCCUGCCUGCUUUAACUGGCUCCUGACAGGCUGAAUGACUGACUGACUGGUUCAUUUGUAAACAUAUUGAAGGAGACGCCCUCAUCUGACUAGACAGGAAAUGAUGAUGAGUGAUGUCAGUCCACUUAGCGCCACAGUAAUCUUAUGACCAUCCGUUAAAUUUAACCACAGUAGCCGGAGACGCUUGCAAACGAAUGAUGAAGCUGAUACAAAGCCAGAGUGAUAGCAUAAGACAUAAAAUAAAGGAAAAUCAACAAACUCAAUAAAGUCAUUUUUGUAUAUUUCCUGGAGUUCAAACUCAUUUCUGAAUUUCAUGAGGCAUGACAGAGAUGUAACAAAUGCUGCUUAUGUAGAAAAGGAUGCCUGGAGCUGCAACAUAGCGGAACAAGCAGCCAGUGACCAGAAAUGACCUCCAGCCCCAGAGAGCAACUGCAGUGUUGGGAGCAAAGCACGCACUGAUUCGUUCUCUGUUGCUCAGACUAUGUGCUGUUGAGUUUUUUUGGUUGAACUGUGGCCCAGGCUAUAGCACGAGAUAAAGCAACUCUGCUGCCGAGGAAAGGCUGGCUGCAGAGUUUCUGCUGCACAGAGCGUGAUUGACGGCUGCACUGAUGAGAGGAACUGAGUUGUAAAUUUUGAAUAACUUGCUGCUAGCUCCAUGUUUUGGCUCACAAACGCAGCAAGGGACCAUUUCUUCAGGUGUAGCAGACUCGCACUUACAAGCGCGAGCUGUAAAAAAACAUUUUGCUUUGCCUAUGAGGGGUGGGAAAUACGACCUGAAAUUAAUAUCACAGUAAAUUUUUUAGCUUUUUGCUGCAACAGUGAUAUAUGCAGGUAUAAUAAACUGAAAAAGAGACUGCACGUACAUAUGCAUAUUCACUUGCUAUGUGCCCUCUUUUCUGCUUCUAACAGGCAUGCAAUACCAUACUCGACUCAUGUAUGUAUAUCAGUCACUCAGUAGUAGCGUGCAGUGAAUUCAUUUAGGUUAACCGCACUAUGAGACUUUUGAUUAAGUCUCAUUUAUAUUUCAGUCAGACUAACGCAUUGAUGAUUGAUUUUUUGACCAACUUGUAAACCUACUGAUUAUUAGACGGUGUUUUUUUUCUAAAGUCCCUAGGUGUUCGAUUCUCAGUAUGUUAUGUCUAAAAAUCAACCAUUUUCUAACAUGGCUGUGUUGAAAUAAAGGCACUCUAAAAUCAAACUCAAAACGUUCCUUUUUAGUCGUGCUUUUAACUAAAUUUUAUAUCACUAACUUUGUUUAAGUGUUUUAGCAUUUAUUUCUUCUAGUUUUAACGACAGGAUCGUCCUUUAUUGAGCUAUUUUGGUGCUCUUAUUUUAGGAUCUUUUACUGUUGUUGUUAUUUUAUUUUAUUUGUUAUUUCUUAUAUUUUAUUCAGUGUUACUUUGUUUUUAGAUUUUAACCUAACCUCCAGUGUUUCCUUAUCUUGAGUUUUAAAAUGGCGUUUCCUCGAUGCGCACAUUCUUGUUUCUAUGAAAUCAAGCCCUCUUUAAGUUCAUGCAUUUUAAAACUGUUUCUUUUGCGUUUAGAUCGUGGGGUGGGAAUGAGGGGUUGGGUUGGAGUAGAUUUGGGUUUUCUUUGUUUCUUUUAUUCCUUUUUCUGUGUGAAGCACUUUGUGCUACAUGGCUGUGUAUGAAAAGUGCUAUAUAAAUAAAGACUGAUUGAUUGAUUGACUGUAACAAAAUAAUAGCUGGAGAUUUCAUUGUGCAGUUUGUCAGGACUGACAUUUCUUUAUCUUAAAAUUAAUGAGCUAUAAUGGUAGGAUCAUAAAAAAGAGCGGAUCGCCAUGGCCUCUGACUGUGUCUGUGGUCUGAAGAUGGGCGAGCUGGACAGACAGUCAGUUCAAAGCUUUUUAAACUGCAUCAUCAACCUAAUUAAAAGUUAUGAAACUGAGGUUUUGACACAGAUCUAGAGUAAAUGUCAGAUACUCAACUGAUUCCACCCUGUAGCUUGUUGCGGUUUUGUCACCAACAAGUACCAGCAAAAAAAGUCAUCAAUAGAAAUGAGAGCGAUGCAUGAAGGCAGAGAGAAUUGGCCGUCUCAGCACACUUGUUGCACAUUUUGCCUCUCAACUUACUUAUCCAGCUACAGGAGUGUACAGACCGUACUUUGAGUAACAAGCCAGAUGCACCAGUCGACUGAAACUGGUUCACUGCCUAUCCGAAAACCUGGCAGGAACUUGAGAGUUGGGUUCAAAUCUGAAGCUGAACAAACUGUGUGUGCGAACUUUGAACAACUUUAUGAACUAUAAAUCACUUUCCUGUUGAUCCGUCCACAAUGGGUUAACUUUUAACCUUUAAAGAUUUAGCGUUGCCAAAUUUUAGGAGAAUUUUUUUGGCUGAGUUUAGCUUUAAAAAUGAAACGGCACAUCUGCACAUCAUCCAGGGCCUGCAUACCAGCUGUAGAGUUGAUCUGGAAGCUAUGAGGCAGAUGGGGUUCUAGUCAGAUUUCAAGCUUUUUGGCACGCAGCAAAGAAGAGACUGGCUUCAGAAAAUGAAUGCGGCAAUUAAGGCCCGCAAAAGAAGCAAUCAGAGUUAUUUAGACAAGGGAAAAUGAAAACUUAACUACCUGGUGAUAUUAGAAAAAGGUUCACUAAAUCUGAUGCUUUUAAGGCCUUCUGGGACAAACCAGACUUUCAGUGUAAUAAAACGAUGCAAAAGAGAGGGCCCGAUGGGUUCUGCAGACAGUGAAGUAACUAUUUCAUCAUGGCAAUAUAUGGCUUUAUUGAUUUACUCUUUUCUUUUGCAGCAUCUGUUUAUCGCUGAGCCAUAAUCCUGCGCAUCCCCCGUGGGGAUUUAUUCAUGAGAUACACUUUUUUUCUGCAUGAAACUUUUAGCUAUGCAAGCAUGAGCUGUGACACUAAGUGCUUUUUAAAAAUACAUUUUCUGAAAACAAAGACUUUUUUUUUCUCUUCAAAGAGCGAUCAAAGCAUGCUUAAUAUGUCAGAAUCAAUCAGCACAAAAUGAUGAAACGAGCUGCAAACAAACAGAAAAGCACAUAUGAGAGCGACCACGUUUUGCUUAUGGAGCACAUUAUGAUGCCAAGUUCAGAUCCUGUGUAGCUGAAGGAACCUGCAGUUUGAUUGAUUCGCCAAAGGUCCCCAAUUAUCAGGCUUGUGUGUUUCUGUAAUCCAAGAGCUUCUAUAGAUGCAGCAGUCACCCUUUUCACUUUAACAACCAUCCUGUCAGUUUAGAGUCUACAGAAAAAAAACAUCAACAUAUGAAAAUCUCAAGGACGAUCAAUAAUCUAGUUGCCUUACCUUUCUCAGACACAACAGAAGAGGAGGCGAAAUUGGUUGACCGCGGUGUAUGAUGAACCAUUUUCCAGCCCGAUUGGACUUCAGUGACCAUCAGAAAAAGCUCUUACUCCGCAUCAGGUAAUGGUUAGCUGCCCUCCCCAGUAAUAUUAGAUGUCAUUCAGCGAGGCUGCCAUGGGGACAGCAAUUACCCUUGUGCUAAUGUCUGCCUCCCCGCCCCCACCCCCCUCUGCCCACUGGCUCCAUGAUUUCUGCUACCCGCUCCGGCCAGCCACUCUGUUUACAGUGGAGACCUCAUCACACACAGAUCCUCUAGAUUAGAUCAGAACUCUGACCUGCAUGUCUGAACGGGCUCAGCCUCCGGCUAAUGGCCAAAGCUGGCUGCAGAUCAGACAGAAGUACACACACACAUAGACAAAAAGCAGCUACAGGUACACACCUUUAAAGAUAUAAACCUUGAUGGUCACAGGAACAUCUGUUUGAAGACACACAAAGACCCGGAUCCACGAAUACCGUCAGGCUUCAUAACGAUGAAUUAUUUCAUAUUCAGAAAAAUCUGCUGACCAUUUUCUUUUCCUGCUUACUGUCAGUGUCAAGUGUCUGAUGAAAAUCCCUCAUUUCUGAGCAACAUCGUAAAAGAAAGGUAACUCUUUAUUUGAUGCUUAUCUCUAUAACACAUUAUUAAUAUAUGUAUAAUGCCUUAUAAUCAUGUUAUAGCACUGUAUGACUAUAGUUAUAAACACUCGUAAAUGAUCAUAAUGCUUUAUAGCAAUAACCAUAACACAUAAUAAAGCAUUUUAUCAUGACUUACAAGGUCAAGUAUUAUAAUGUGUUAUGCUUAUUGUUAUAAAGCCUUGUGAUAAUUAAUGUGUGUUUAUAAUGGUAGUUAUACAAGUUUAUAAACAAAUUAUAACACAUCAUAAAUAUAUGUAUAAUGCAUUAUCUAUGUGGGCAUUGUCAGUUAAUGAGUGUUUAUAACUAUAGUUACAAAGUAUAGUGGUACAGUAUACUGUGCUAUAACGUGAUUAUGACGCAAUAUACAUAUAUUUAUAAUGUGCUAUAGAGAGUGUUACCAAAAGGAUAAAUGAUAAUAACUGGCUAAUCAUGAGACUGGACAAACAGACAAUAUUCUGUUUGGGCUGGUGGAUUUUUGCUUUUUCAUUCAAGCCAUGAGUCAGUCUGUUUUAUGUAUUUACUGCAACCAAGUGCACAUUGUAGGCGUCAGCACAUCUGUGUGUUUUGCCAAGCACAGAGCUGAAGUAUCAUGGAGAAAGCUAAUUGCAAAGGCUUUGCAGUUUGAAGGUAUUUUUUAUGCUUAUUACACCUACAAUUCAGGCAGCAACUUGCAAUAUGUGCAAAGAUCGUGUUCUGAGCGAAGCAUAGCAAAAUAUAAUGGAGUUGAAUUGAGCAUUUUAAGAGUCAUUUUACCAAAGAAUUCAGUUUAACCAAAUAAAAACAGAAACCAAAACAAAGCGGUACGUGUUGUUGACUGAAGAAGUUUCCAGUGAUGCUUUAAAGUGUGUAGCAUAACAGAGAAAGUUCUUGGAUUUGCUCCUCCGGAUAACAAACACCUGCAGCUUGUUGUAACUGUGGGAUUCCACUGCCUGCUUGGACCCUUGGAACCCAGGCGCAGUUUACCACUGUGCAGUUAUUCUUUCCAACUCCGCUGUGCCAAGAGUUUGAAAAAUUGUGCAAGCACUUACCAACAGAGUAAAGAGAUAUAGCAGCAAUGGCCUUUACCACAGAAAUGUUGAACUCUGGUAACUGCAUGUUGUCAUUUACCAACACCAUAACGUCAAACCUUCCACAGAUAACACAAAUUUAAGUUUUCUUUUCACAUUUAAUGCAGAUUUUGUCAUGCAGGAAUUCACAAUGAACCACUAUUCCUGUUCAUUUUUGACGAUUUAAUUUCCAAACUGCAGAUACAAAUUUAUUUUCCUCAAUCAAAUAAACAAUGACACAGUCAGUUUAAAUCAUAGACUGUAUAUACUGUGGACAACUUGGUUCUGCCUUCCGCCAUGAUACAGAUUUGAAGCUGAAAAAGCUCUCGGUAAUUCCACAUUUUUUCUUCAAUUCCUGAGCCAUCAUUACGCAGUAGCAUUGUAAGCAUUCGGCAUGAGAGUCACAGAAAGUUGCUGUGAUGACGCUCUCAUCGCCUCUGAGUGAGCUAUGCAAUCUCUGUACGCCCAUGGGCUGUAUCAAGUGUCAAUCAUAGAAAACAUGAACCCCCUAAUAACUUUUAAAAAUGGAGCUGCCCAGAAAAAAGAGGACUUGAGCACAAACCAGUCUUACAAUAACUACAUGUCAACAUCACAAGCAGGGGGGAGAAAAAAUUAUAUUGUGUGUAAUAAAUUUCUAAAGUUUGUCCACAGCUCCAUAGGGAUUUCUGGAGGAGGUGCGAUUCAUGACCUAUACUGCAGCCCGUCACCAGAGGGUGCUGUUCUCAGGUGGCUUCACCCAGUGAGGAGGUAGACGGCGUCCAUUUUAUAUACAAUCUAUGCUUUAAAAUGAGAGUUUAUUUAUUAGUCACAUUGGUUCACAGUGUCAGCAAAGCCAAAAAAAGCAUGGAUCAGUGCAUCCUUGAAGUAAACAAGACAAAAGCUGAAGCCAAAACUUUUUCAGAAACAGUCCAUUCCUGUUUCACCACCGUGUGCCUACAUUAUGUAUAAAAUCUUCCAGCUCUAGUAAGCCUGCGUGUUACAUUUCUUAGUCACAUUCAAAGGUUACCUAUAAAUGUUUAUGCCUGCAAAAUCAACACCAGCUGUUCAAGUCUCACUUGCUUAUAGGAGGCUGAAAGAUGUACUGUAAUGUGCAUGCAUGACUUAAAAACAAAGUGUUGUUUGUACAGAGUUUACAGAGAGGCUAACACAUCAUCAUAGUGCAACUAAUUGAUGUUCAGAAUGUUCCAUACAAACAAACGUAUCGCACUGAGUAGGUGCUCCGCAUCGCAUAUGCAGAGGACGCAGGGGAAAUCAGCCUCUAUAGCUUGUACUGAUGAGACAGAAGCUUAUGGGCUAAACACUUCCUUUCCAGCGAGCUCUCACGCACUAUCUGUUGUAGCUACGGCAUCCUGAGCACAAAGACGCAGCAGAUGGGGGGGGGGGGGAGAGUAUAAUUGCACUGUUUCUUCUGAGACAAUGGAAUCAAUUUUUAUUCACACCAUCAGAGCAUGAAGUUCACAUACCGGCACAUGCAUGUGUGUGACAGAGGAUAACAACCCGGUUCUUUGACUUCUUGCUUCCCUUUUUCUGUGAUUCACUCAUGUAGCUGUCAUUCAGGCUUUUUAAAUCUCAGCUUGAGUCACAAGGGUCCCUGACAGAGUCAAGAUUGAGACCCCAAUUUCACCUGCAGUGAGAGCUGCCACCUUUGUUCAGAACUAGCAGUGCAUCCAUCUGCUUUCCACACACUAAAGGAGGCUCUGUAUUUGCUGUCUUGGGCGUACAUGAAAGGAAAAAAGAAAGAAAGUGGGCCUCAGAUUGCUUUGUAUAAGAUGAAUCCUAGUCAGCAAGGAGAGGGAUUACCUCACAGCAGGGGGUCCAGGUCUCAUUCAUCUCCCUCAGGCCUUUCUGGAGCUACGAAUAUUGAGAUGCAGUAACAGAAUUACUUCAUUAUUGGAUUCAAAAAGGGAGAAGGUGUUUAAAUAUUGGAAAUUCACUCACUGAAAUAACAUAGAAGAAUUUAUUUCAAUGACUUUGUUUAGCUACAGAGGUUCAGUGUUCAUAUGAGGGUGUUAGCAAAGGCAUCAGAUUUAAUGUAAAGUGGGGAGCCAAACAUGAAAAAUUCAUCCUGCUUUAUAUAAAUCUGAAGAUCUACAUGUGUAGCGUAGAUUAAAAUGUGCAUCUUUAUAGAUUUUAACAAUUCAUCAGCGUGAUGUCAGGCAAAUAUGUAAAUGCAAUGCAGCUACAGCACAUAGUGAUCACGAGAGUCCUGUGUGAAACUUUUACGUGAUGAAGUUGUCCAAACACACACACGUUUCUGCAUCUAUGUUUACCUUAAAUGUAAAUUGAUACAGUUAAGAGUUACAGAAGUGCAUUUGGAGCUCUGAACAUAAAGCACUUACAUACUGCCUCUUCAAGGUGCGAUAUUUAGGUCCCUGUUGUGUCUCAUCUGCAAUGUGUAACUCACUGGGCGCAGUGAUGGACCAAAGAGGCUCUGUCUUUCAUCCUCUAUCUGAGGUAGUAACAGAGGCUGAACGGCGGGAAGAAAGUGGCGAUGUGUAGCAUCAGAGCUGGCAGCACAGAAAAGCGCAGUUACUCUUUGUUUGACGGGGUGUUGUCGUUGGGGGAUAUACUAAAGGAUGGGAUAUUUCAAGGACAAGGACAGCAAACUUAUUGUGUUUUGUUGUUUUUCUAGUCUACAAACUGUGUUUGUGUGUUUAUUGGGUUUUGACAUGUUUGGAGUCGUUUUUGGGUGUCCAGGUAUUUUAUAUUUGUUCACCUUCUACAGAGACCAUAGCUGCGUUUACAUGGGUACAAAUAAUCGGAAUAAAAAUGCGUCAUGUAAACAUGUUGAUCGUAAGAUUCUGAUCCAAUCCGGCUCACUCAGAAAGAAAUUGUAUUCCGAUCAAGAGGGGUGGAUUAUGCCGAUCGUCAUUCCAAAAUGCAUCCAUGUAAACACUUACUACGAUCAUGACUCUCUUACCUGACUCGAUCUUCACUCUUUAGCCUUUGGGUUAUUUAUUGAGGCCAGUAAAGGAGGUUUUGUUAUUAACGCUCUGGCAUAAAACACAACCUCAAGUGCCGUGUCUGCUCCUCCGAUAACAAGGCGUACAUUCAGUGUAAUUAUGUCACAUCUGCACGCACAGUAAAACCUUUGACAGAACAGUAAAAUAAGCACGCAAGGGAGCCAUCUAGUGACAACAUUUAACAGGGGAGAAAAAUCCUGAAUUGGAUGGAGUGAGCCACUACCGGGUUUGUUGGUUUGUUGACGUACAGGCGUAAAAACAACUCAUCUCUAGCGAAAUCGGAACAAAUCUGUGCAUGUCCAAAUGCUCCUACUCUAAAUAAAGGUUGGUGCAUGUCAUGAUAGGAUUAUUUGGUUUGGUUUGGUUGGAUCAAGAAAUUUUGCACAUGUAAACAUGGCCAAUGCCAUGUGAUUGGAGUUCUUUCAGAGUUUUCAGAAAACUGAAUCUGUACCAAAUCAUCAAAUUAGCAUCAGAGAUGACUGGUGUGAAUUUGUAAUGUGUUAAUUAAUUAAUCAUAGAAAAAUAACAUGUAACACUAGAUAAACACACUCUGACAUGACAUCCCUGAUCAGCUGUCUACAGCAGAGGUGUAAACAUGAUCAAAAGUUCCGGCUUUAAUUUUAAUUAGCUUUAUUCUAUUUAAUCCAUGUGAGACAACAACAUCAUGAUGAUCUAUUAAUAAGUCUGCUCUCAGUCUUGGGCUUACUGUUGUGUCUGUACACACUGUUGAUCUAGAGACACACAUCCAAACUGUAAAACCAUAGAUUAGGGUGAGACCUUUUCUGUUUGUUAUGCUAAUGAAGACAGUCAACAGACGGUGAGACACAAACAAGAGGUAGGGCAGGGUACAAGUGUGCGUCUGUGUCUUUAUGUGUGUGUGUGUUGAAGAGAGGCAAGGUGAUCAGUGGUUGUGACUUUUGUUUACUCCCCUUUUUUUAUCAGUGGAAGAAAUUGUUUUUUUUUUAUUUAGUGGGCAACUAAAAAAAGUGAUAUUAUUCGAGGAGAUCUAAGAGCAAACUCCAGAGUUUAGUGAGACUCUGUGAGGCAACAGGGUUAACCCCCCUUCUCUCUGCCAGAAUAAACAUGACAGCGUUAAAUGAGGAUAUCGUGGUCAUUGUGUCUUACUCCACAUUUCCGAUCUCCUUUCAGCCAUUCUGUCUCAUAAAGGAAAAAAAUGCCCCAAACCAUAACUUUCAAAAAACAACGUCAACAAAACAGCAGUAAUGUUGUUCCAAAAACUUUGAAUUUCAAGCGAGUAUCAGAAGUCGUGGUCAAAGUUAAAGGCCACUGAAGUUGAAAUUGCUUUUUAUUCUGUAUUAAUUGUGAGCUGAAGCUAUCUACCGGCUGAACAAAAAAUCUUCUCUUCUAAUUUCAUGAAUUGUUUUGGUCCGGCCCUGAAACUUGGCGCAGGCACUUCCACCCGACAGUGAGUGAGGAGUGAGCGGUGCAGUAUAAUGUCAAGAUUCCAGAAAAAAAAAUCAGAGAGAAAGAAAGACAAGUGAAGGCAAAGGUAAGUUGACAGUAUGUGAACCAGUUCCUCUCUAAGAAAGGAGAAUCUAGGCUGUGAAUGUGACAAAUGAAACCAAGUUCAUGUGAGAUAAAGUUCUUUUGCUCCCCUGACAUUAGUUACCUCACAUAUUAGAGUGACCCUCUGAAAACUGAUUUGACACUGAACUCAAGUCUUGAAGUUUUUUUGACACACCUGAGAAUGUUUGAGUUGAUGGACUUUUAAGGGGUGCAAAACAUUGGAUACUUUAUCAUACAAUCACUAGGCUGUUUUAAUCACUAAAAAACUUGACCUAAGGUUUUGUUUUUUUAAGCUCAAAAUUAAAGAUGAUAGUGCAAAUUUAUUCAGUGAAGGUAACAUAUAAUCCAGCUGUACUUACUUUAAAGCUCCUUUGGCUUGGUUUCUUUAGCGUCAAGGCUGACACCUACCCCCUCACAAGGGUUUUGACGAUAAGAAAUUAUGAUAUAACAAUCAUCAGUCUCGUUGCCUGUGCUCUUGUUUGCCUUUGGAUAUCAAUGUCAUGUAAACUCUACCCCUCACAACCAGUUUUUCCCUCGGCUCCUCCUCUCCCCUCCCUCUCUGCUUCAGCAAGCCCCGCCCACAAACAGACACUUGUCUUCACUCGUAUCGUUUCAAUUAAAUUCAGAUAUAAUGCAGAUAAAUACUUCAGAUAUUUACAAAUGGGGUUUACAACACGCAGCAGGUCCCGUUUGACAAGAAACACUUCUGUUACAGACACUUGACUUACUUUGUUAAAGCGGUUUAUCUGUCCAGCAGAAAGAUUACAGGGUCUGUAAGAUCCUGAAGCGUCCCCCAUCAUUGUUGACCUAGCUUUUUUAGCUCUUGUCCGGUCUACCUCCUUUUUAAGCGCGCAUUAUUCCGCCAGAGUCUCCAGUAUUUACUUUGUUUUCUUGCUUGUGUCAGCAGUCGUGGCCAAAGGAGGAUUCAUACAAUUUUCCGUACUUUCCGGUUGGUUUCUACAGUCCGAUAUUGUAGCACGCUAACUUUGUUUGGGCUCGUGAACGACACGGGGGAGCAGCAUCUGCCUCACAACCAAUCAGGAUGGUAGAGGCGGAGAAUACGGCUUUGUUUACAGUCAGAAAGAGCGGGCCGCUCCGAAAAUUUUAAAAUGUCGACUACACAGCGAUAACAAAACACAGCGAUAUCGUUAUAUUACUAAAUGUCAUCAAUAACUAAUAGCUAUUGACUGAUAUUAAAAGCUUUUUGUAUAAACACCACAAAAAAGAUGCUUCUUUAACGGAUUCCUGCCUACCCCACCUUUAAUCAACAUAACUCUUUCAUGAAGUGAUUUUUAUUGUCUCUCAUCUUUGUCACCCUAAAAACUCUUUUCUGAUAUCGUAAGAAAACCCUCUGUCUAGUCUUACUUUCUCCUGUAUUUUCGACACCUCGGAGCACUUCAUCAAGUUGUUGUUAUGUAAGUGAUUGAGGAGGUGAGGAAAGGCUCUAUAGCGUGUUUUACUUUUCUGCGGCUUUCAUUUAUAUUUCAGUGGUAAUUACGCUAAUGUUCUCACACAAACCCAGUAAAAAGAUGAGAGUGCCCUUCACAUACCUGCCUAUACCCUCAAGUCUGCUUGUGAUUUCAUCCCCACUUAUCAGUCAUCGCCCACUUUCGAAUUACUGAACUGUCUGAGAGAGUGUUUUCUCCACUUCUCCGUACAGCUGUGCGUCGGCUAAAUGAUAGCUUUGUUCGCUUCAUUUCCCCUGUUGCGUAUAUCUUUGAGCUGGGAACCACAGGUGCCCUUUCAAGUAAUCCAUUUCCUCGUCCCAUAUUUGCAUACAUGCAUAAUUCAUGGCAAAAUGGCAUCCCAAAGAGAGGGUCCAAUGAGAGAGCACUAUUUUUAGUAUGCACCUGGCAUCAGUGCCGCCCAUCCUGAUACCUCAGGUUCAAUUACAAAGGUUUGGUGCUGUAGCAGCGUUGAAGGGCUGAGGUGUGUGGGCUGAGGGAGGAUGUGUAAAAAUAUCUAGCAGACUGUUCCCCAGAGUUGAAAGAGUUUCUCCUGAAUGCAAUCAGGCAAAUGAAAAUAUUAACAGGGCCUCUGAACAAAACAUCAAUCAGUAAAGGCAGCAGUGUGAGAAAAGAGGGUGCCGGCAUAUCAGGAGGGGAAACGCAGAAAAGCACAUUUUUAACUUCCCAGCACAACAAAGAAGAAUAAACAAAAGAAAAUACAGAUGAAAAGAUUUUCUUCUAUUUUUCAUUUUGACAAGUCUUAUCUCUCAGAAGUUUGUCCGUCUGUGUGUGUGUGUGUGUGUGUGUGUGUGUGUGUGUGUGUGUGUGUGUGUGUGUGUGUGUGUGUGUGUGUGUGUGUGUGUGUGUGUGUGUGUGUGUGUGCCUGUUCUCCCUAACACACUUCUCCUCUGCUCAAAUCAAUUACAUUCAGUUCAGGAGACUCUGCAGGCAUGACAGGAUUAAAUUGUCAAACUCAACAACAACGGUACACAUAUAAAAAUCUUAAAGCCGAUUUCCGCUGUGUGCGGUUUAUAGACGGUGUUAUAUGUAGAUAUGAUAAAGUCUAUUCAAAGAUAAGUCAGCCUUACAAAGCACUGAGUUUCAUCUCACUUGUUUUCCCUUCUCUGUCUCCCUCUGUUUUUGUUUGCCUCUGUUAUUGCCCUGACACUUCUAUACACUCACUCUCACUCAGUGGAUAAAAUUCAAAUGAAUUCAGAAAUAUCCUAACCUUACUGCAGCACACACCGGACAUUUCCCCGGGAUGCAGUGUGGACCUAAUUCGCCCCCUACUUUCAGUUUUGAGGACAUGAGUCGUGUGUGAAUAAAGUGGGAUGGCUUCCUUUUGAAUGUCAUUAUCUGAGCUGAGUCUGUCUACCUGCUCCACAGGCCACAGAUUUCUCUCCAGUUUCAGAGCUGGGCUGAUAAAACUUGUAGAUAAAGUUACUUCUAAUCAAAUCUAGAUUGAACACAUUUCACAUUAUUUCAUUCCGUCAUGCUGUAUUUCCAAGCACUCCCGAAUUACUCGGUGCAUAAAUGUAUAUUGUCGGCGCCUGUGUACCUGACGACGGUAAGUCUGUUACAGCACGAGGACAGACUCAGAUUGCUAUCUCCAUGAUGGAUUGCCAAGUGCAGCUACUUUAAAAUACUAUUAGGACAUAGUCCCCAGCUUGCUGAAGGGUGUUCACUAAUGUAUUACUCCUCCUGGGACUGAGUUUCUGUCUGCUCUAGUUUUAAAAGUUUGCUACAAAAGCAGCAACAAAACACGACAGAGCUAAGAAAGCUUGUGCUCCCCAGUACAAAACCCAUCUGGUCACACUUCCGUUGCUGCAUCUUUAGUUGCCUUGUUGUGGCAGAACAGUUUGGUUAUGCAAUUAAAGCAUGUAAAUUGAUAGCACAGCAAAACAACAGUCCCAGUUUAAUUCCUGCUUAAUGACAUUGCUGCUAAGCCGACCCCUUCCUCUAGAGGUGUACUACAGGAAAAACCUCAUUAACUUUUUUUGUGUCCCUCAUUAUUAUUAUUUUUUUCUGCCCUGAGAACAGCCGAGACUUAUCUGCUGAGUGAUUAGAAGCGCAAUGAGAACAAUUUUUUUGUAAUCAGACCAACCUAAGCAACGCGGCCCGCACAAAGCCCAGAAGGGACGUCCCCCUGAGAGAUGCAAAUGAUCCUGUUUUUCUGAGCAUAAGUGGUGAAAGAAUGAGAGGAGACGGGCCUAUAAAUGGUGGUCACAUUUCACGUUGGAGUAACGACUGCCCUAAAUACACACACAGAGCUUAUUCUCUACAGGCUGCUCUGUGUGUGUAGGUGUGCGUUUGUGAGUGUGUGCACGCUCUGUUUUUGUUUCGCCCUUCCCCGGGUCAAUAACUCAGCCAUGACAUAAAUGAUUUAUGCCGGGCAUCAUCUGAAAAUGUUGGUUUCAGCAUGGUCCAAGUAUUGAUCAGUGUGUAUUGACUGAAGGCCGCGGUGUCAGACUCAAUUGGGGAAACAUGAGGGUGUUGUAUUAAUACAGUGUUGUUGUUUUUUGCUCAUUAGGCUCAGCGCCUCUGCUUCUGACUCUAUUGUUGUUUGACAGGAGCGUUCAAGUGCUUCGACUGCACUCUGUGAUUUAUCUGGAAAUUCAUUUCCAAUCAGCAGUGACGCACCAUGGAGAACAUUCUCAAUAAAGUUGCUUUUGUGACUUUAAAUCAAUGUUAAUUUUUGCAAUUCAGUUGUUGUCUUGGGCCUCUUACACACUGCAUCUCUGCAGGAGUGCAGGAACAGAGUUGUGCCAUCAUUAAGCCUUUAACUUACACAUUGCACCCUGAUAUAUUAGUGUCCCAGAGUGUGGUUGAACGUUGUAUUGUAGCACUGGGAAGGGCAAGAGGCACAGCUUGUUUACACACAGUGGGAGCACCACAUACACACCGAUCUGCCUCGACACGACACGCCCACUCUGUCACCCCCUUAUUCUGCUUCUGUAACUACAGGGGGGUGGCAGUGUGCUACUGCCUCUGAAUUUACGAUUGUCCGUUUUAUUCUCAUUUUUGUUAGCUCUUUUUAGUUUAAUCUACAAAAAUUCAAAUUGAUUGUCAGUUUCGCGCAUGAACAUGCUGAAAUGAACAUAUUUAUUGAAUUUAGCAGCUUGACUUUGGGGACGUGGAUGGGGAGGGUCCGAGAGACCUCCAGAGCUUCAUAGUCACUAAACAUAGUGUUGCAACAGCUGAAGUUGGAUUCAUGACUCCCAGUGCUGAAAAAGCCAGUGUUUCUGACCAUUUGAAGUAGUAUUAUUACAGAUUAAAAAGACAAAAAAAAAACCAAAAACAAAAAUAGGAUGGAUACCAGCAGGAUAAAGUUUGAGAGAGGUGCAAAUAUUUUAGAAUGGAGAAGAAUUCAUUCCUGUGUAUCUGGGUUGGAGGAAGGCGCACACUUUAGGCAAGUAAUCUUCCGAAGUUGUAUGUGUACCUCUAAGUUUGCAAAGCUGCAGAUUUUUUCUUUUGCUUCAUUAUAGAAAAAAAUUAUUUGGAUUUUCUGGGUAUUUAAACUAAACAUCAGUUUAGCUGAGGUAGCCUCUUAUGGUAAUAAUUCAUUUAUUCUCCAUUUUCCAAAUGAAUGAACCUUCACCAGUACGUUGUUGACACCAGAGAAUUUCUGGAUGAUUGGUUUAGGUUUAGAUUUUGCAGACCUCACAAAUAAGCGAGUAAAGUAGGUAGCGUGUUGUCAAUUUGUAUGAUUUCCUCGUAUGAUCUUCUUAGUUUGCGGGGCCUCAUUUCCAUCUUUUCAUCGCCACACUAGAACUUGCCUCUACAUUGACUUUCUGUGUAAUUCAGAGCUUUGUCAUUGGGUUUAUCGUAACCAGUCCUCUAUGAAGUUGUUUUUGGUGUUUCAUUUAAUCUGACGUUUUCUUGUUCAAAAACCUUUCUUUCAUGUCUGUGUUCUUUGUGAUAUUUUUAACCUGUUUUUUUUGUUUGUUUGUUUGUUUAUCCCCCACGUACAAAUACGUGUUGAAGCUCCCUUUUUUCUGGGGUUUUUCUUUUAUAUGUGUGACCAGAUUCUCUUCUGCACCAAGCAUUGGUAUUUUUUUGUCCAAGGCUUACUAGCUUAAGCCAUAUUUAGGAGGAAAACGACUGUAAGCCAGUAUUACUCUACCUAAAUGUCACAUAACAGGCAUCAGGAAUAAGUACUUUUGUCAGAAUGAGCUGGCAAAUACUGAAAAUCUUGAGUCCACAGGGACCGCAGCGAGUACCCACAUUGAGUAAUUGACUGAAUAUUGUUUUUAUCCCACCACUGCUGCAUGUACAGCCAUCACUGUCUAGCUUCGGGGCUCACUGUGUGUCAGCUGACAGACACAACUGCUGCUGGGAAAAAUACCAUCCCUCCCUCUUUCCCUCUCUCUAUCCAUGCAUCCAUCCAUCUUUGCUUUAAAAGCUGCCAAAAUAUCUAUCUGCUGUAUUCUUAUGAAGCAAACAUACACCUUUCCCAAACUGGAUGAUCAUGAUCUCCUGACCCCUAAACCAAUAACUGACUUUAUCGUUUUUUUAGUCUUCCAGUCGUGUUUUUGUGUUUGUGUGUUGGCCCUUGUGAGUGUGUGCUCUCGUGAAUGUAAGUGAAACUUUAAAGUACCCUGAUCCUGGUUUCCAUUGACUGGGCUGUUCUAAGAAGACGUGCUUAUCGCCAGCCCUCAGGGCACCUGUGUUAAUCCCCAGGAAAAGAUGACAUCAAAUGGAAGCAGAGCAAGGGAUUAUGGGGGAUGUUGUGGAGCGUGAUCAACUGCCACUGAGCACUAGUGCACGGGAAGGAUUCCUCCUCAGGUGAGAGCGAACAAACCCUAAAAUGCUUUGGAGUGAAAAGAUGAAGAAGAAAAAAGCAACCAGCACAUGAAUUAACCAUAAGAAGACAUGGGAAAGCUUCAGUGCUGCCGAACCAACCAGGCUGUUGCAUUAAUCAAACCAACAUGAGUAAGUUAAGGAUGGAGGGGAAUUUUCCCCCUGCAGCCAGUCCCUCCAGUCUGCUUAAUUCAGACACUUCUAACUCCACUUCCUCUUUUAAGUCUCAGAACGUGGCAGAUCAUCCACUUAAAUGCAGUCCCUGUGAAACUAAGUUUUCAUAUUUCACAUCGAACCGCGGUUUCUUUUGUCUGUUUACGGAGAUAAAGCUGUAUUAGAUCAGCUCAAACCUGACUUUCAGAGUCCACUGGACAACUUUCAUUUCAGACCUUCUGGCUGACUGAAGCGGACUCAGAAUAAUUCUUCUGUUUGGACCAUAUUUGAUUUCUGUUGGAUAUCCACUUAUGCCACAACCCAUCCUGCCUUUUCACAGGUGUUUCUCAAUUGGAGCUGUCUUGUGCACAUUGCAGUGUUCCAGCACUUUUCCAACUUAAAUGUUUUCCUCAGUUUGAGGAAGAUGGAACAAGUUUGCAGAGCUGCAGCUAUUAGUUUGCCAAAAAAAAACAGUUACAAAGAAGAUUGGUUUCCUGGAGUUUGCAUGCACUAAAAAAUUGAACUUCUUGCAAAAGAAUUUAGAAGUUGUGUUGCAGCAGUUCCUCUUUUUACAACACUCUUUAAAUGAGCUUUAUUUGUUGACCUUUCUGGAUCCCGUGUAUCUAUAGUGUUCCCUUUGCAUGGUACAAUUAUAGUCUACGUUUGUUGAUGCAGUAACAGCCUGGUUGAUAUUGAGCCAAUGCAGUGAUUUCCACGACAGAGUCACGGUUGUUUGUUUGCUGAAAGGACAAGGAUCACAUCCUGUAUUAGUUUUUCAGAGAGUUCUUGACAGUCUGAGAAUCUUUACACAACAUUAUGUUCUAAAAAAAUGACAUCUCUGUAAGGCUGUGUGUUAAAUCAAUUAAUUGGCAUUUGUGGUUUAAUAAGAUUUACAAAACUAAAAUCAAGAUUUGCCGCACCCCGUGGGCACCCAUCAUUCACUACCCAUACCCCAUUUAGUAUCUCACGGCUUUUUCAGUGUUUUUUUGUCCCUUUCUCAACUUUUGUGAAAUAUUUUGGCAUCCAAUUUGUAUUUAAAAGAAAAACUUUUUAUAAAAAAGCAUUAAAACUAAUCCAAUACAGGGUUUAAAUGAUUUCCCAAACCAUCCAAAUCUAUUUUGAUCAGCAUUUUACACAGUUUUCCAACUUUUGGGGGAUUAAAAUUUUCUCACAGCCUUUAUUACUUUCAGAUUUAAGUAAGACACAUUUCCUUGAAUACAGUAAAUAUCUGUUUUUCAGCUGGUAGUGCCUCAAAAAAAAGUCUAUAUCAUUUAUCUCUAAUUUCCAGGUAAUGUACCAAGUUUGCAACAUUCCUCAGCUUUGUAAAAUAAAAAACUUUGAAAGACAAUGGUACUAGAUCAGAGGUACAGUGUUCUCACACUCGACUGAACUAAUAUUUUUUUGUGUGUUUUUACCUGGAAAUUGGUUGUCACCUUUUUUUCGUCAUUCAUAAACUUUCGUAAUCCCCGAGGAGAAAUUCAAUUUUUCACUCUGUUACUCACACGUAGACCAGAAUACGCUCAGACUUGCCCAAACAGGAUUCUAUGAACAUGCACUAAUAGAGAGAUGUCAGGGUGAAGUCAUCAAAUGUGGAUUAGCACUCCGAGAAAGUAGAAGGUUCAGUGCCUUGCUUGAGGGCACAUCAGCUGUGCCCAGUCAGGGAAAUGGCGAUUCUCAUGCUACAAAUCCUGGUCAGUGAUGGCACUUAAACAAAUGACCCUCCAAGUUCUUAAAAUUAUGGGAACUAAGUGUCAAAAUUAUGUUCAAAUGCUAAGAACGUUACAGAAAUACUAAGAGAGGUAGUACUUAAAAGGUGAUAAUAGUAAUUUGGGCUGCCUCAUUACUGUGUCAAGAGUGUAUCUGCAGACUAAAACCUGCACACUGUUGAUAAUCCUCCGUUCAGGUUGAUCUAAUAGGAAGAAACACUUUUGUUGUUAAAUAUUCGUCUCGUUCUUUUCUCUAAUUACACAUUAAUGGGCCCACGCUGAGUUCAUUUGUCGCAGUGUGAGUAAGCAGUAAAUAAUGGCUCUUUAGGGGUAGUUUGCAGGAGACUCGCCUCAUGAAGAAAGGGCCUCGCCUAUUGAUCUCACCUUGAGUUAUUCACUCGCGGUCAGAGAGAAAACUGGUGCAUGUCAGCUCGCUGUUGGACUUUCCGCUGAAGGUCUUUAUUCCUGUGCUUGCAGUAAUCAGGCUAAUUCGGGUGCAUAGCAGCUCUUGGACUUCUAUCAGACAGGAGGGAGGAGGAAACACAGAGGCAAGUUAUACCAGGUCAUGUAUUUUUAAACCCAGACAAUAAGCCAGGUUCAGAUUGAGUUUGCAAAUAAUUAUUUCUGUUUCGUUACAAGCAGCCCUUGGAUGUUUUUUUUUUUCCUGUUACAUAUUUGAUAGCGUUUGCAGUGUUCUUUUUCUAAGCGGUGUUGCAAUCAGCCACGGUUCUGUUUCCAUUUUCUCUCAUCUUGUCUCUUCUAAUGUACAUCCACACCUGAAACCGUCUGUCUCUUUAACUCACUGACAUCUUAAGAUGAAUUAUCCAAGAAAAGGCUUUUGAUUUCCAUUUUACAACAACACAUGCAGGCAGCUUUUGAUCCAAUGCUCCUGUCGUCAAUACUUUGUCAGUGCCUCCCAAAACCGUUACAAAUCACUGUUGUCAAAUCAAGGAUGGAAAAGUUUGAUAGAUAGAGUCACCUAAUGAGGAGAAGUAUAAGUCUCAUUAUCAUGACAGUAAUUUUUAGUUAGGGUUGAAAAGAUUCAGAGUCCUGCCAGAAUGAAAACAAAGAUGAUUUGUGUCUGCAGCAAACAGAAGCAAAAUGCCAGAUGACAUUUGGGCUUUUGCUGAAACAUCUGAGGCCAUUGUUGUUUUUCUUGGGAGGACAGUCUCUUUUCAACUUGACUCAUGUACUCUACACGCUUCACUAACUGAUUUCCCAGAAUGCCUUUUGACUUCUCCCUGAGAAGCAGAGAGGAGUUGUUGAAUAUACUUUUGUACAACAUGUAAGAAUAUAAACCCAAGAAAUCAAAGUCAAAGCACUGAGUUUUGUGGCAUUUAAUACAUAAUCCAAGACUGGAGUGUCGGGAAAGAAAAACAGACAUGACUCAUUGCUCAUCCAAAAAAAAAAAAACAGUUUGACUUAAAAAUGAGUAACUGUCUCCAUAAACUAAAGCGCUCCAACUGUAUUUAAGCUUUUGGGUGGAUGUUUUCUUUGUGUUGAUUUUGGCUCCCCCUGUGGACAAAGUGAGACCUCAUCUCCCGUCCUGCACAAAAACAGUUUUUGACCUAAAAUUUCAACCUGUUCUCUUUUAAGAUUAAACUGAAUCACUGAAUGUGAGUCAACGUUAAUUUCAUCAAGAAUUUUUAAUUUAGUCAUUUGCAGAAAAAAUGUUGAUUAUAGUCAUUUUUUGGUCUUUUUGUUUCUUGUUGUUUUAGUGAAGAUUUAGUCAGAAAAACUAAGUUUUUAUGCUAAUCUAAAUUCAGUCAAGGCAUCCUGGGGCGGCAGUAGCUCAGGAGGUAGAGCGGUUGUCCAAUAUCCGGAAGGUUGGCAGUUCGAUUCCCCCCUAUCCAGAGUCUGUCCGUUGUGUCUUUGGGCAAGACACUCCACCCACCUUGCUCCCAGUGUUUGUCCUCCACUAGUGUAUGAUUGUGAGUGCUGUGUGGUGGUGGUCGGAGAGAUCGUAGACGCAAACUGGCAGCUGUAGGUACUAAGUUAGUUUACCACCACCAGGGUGUGACUGUGUGAGCAAAUGAAUGAUGUAUCCGAUGUAAAGCGCUUUGAAGGUCUCUGAUAAAGCGCUAUAUGAAAUGUGAUGCAUUUUUAUUAUUCUCAGACAGUUUUAUAAUAGUCGGGUAUUAGAAGGAGGUUGGCGCUUACUGUUGGGUAGCUAGCUUUGCUCUGUUAAGGUCAAUGAUAGGACUGCUGAUAAUUUAGCUUCCUACUAGAGACUGCAAACAGACUUUAUUUAUAGUCUGCUUUCAUAAUUCCUUAUCGUCAUCACUGGUAAUUUCUGUCAGUUUCCUCACAAGCUAAAAACUCCUCACUGGAGCUUUAAAAAAACCAUAGGAGCACACUCCUUCCUCCUCCUCCUCUCCCUGAACAAUCUAAUGACAGAAACAGACAUGAUUACUCGGAGUGUCAAGGGUUCUUAUUGAAGUUAUGAACUCUUGAAAUGUAUAGUGCCUUAUAAGUCACUCCAUAUGGGCGCCAGUACGACCCAGUAAUUAGGAGGAUGAUCUUUCAGCUAAGGGGAUCAGGGCCAGGCCCCUCUGACAAGGACAGGUUUAAGAGUCCUUUGGUGAAUAGUGUCAGGUGCUGCUCUGACACUGCAGCCUGACCUGUGAGUGAGAAGUCUUUCUGCUUUGAGGAUUAAUGAAUUAUUACAGCAGAAAUCACUUACAUUCAAUUAAUUCACAAGGAGAGAAAAAUGCCAUCUUCAGUGAUACUUUAACAAUGAGAACUAUCAGAUUGACAACAGUUUAGAUAAACGUUAAAAUACUGUAAUUAUGUGAGGAUUAUAUAAUUUUGUUUUAGCCUAUGAGUGUGUGAUAAAAAACACUCCAGGAAAUAUUACAGGUGAAUGAAUAUUUAUAAUUAAUCGAUAUAUAACAACAAAAGUAUUCUUAUCAGGCACAUAUAUUGUUCACAGAGGCAGUAAGGACAAGGAGGCAGGCAGGUAGGAGACUGUUGUUUGAUUUUUAAUGGGGAAGGAUUUUACUUUUCAUACAAAAAGAUACUUAUACCAAAAUUUGUGGCACAAAAAUACAAAAGAAUACAGGAAAUAAAGGAUGACACUCAAAAUUAUGCAGCGAGGGGAGCAUUCAGUGUUUUAUUUGUAACAUGAAAUCAAAUUUUCACGUUCAAAAAUAUUAUUAUUGUUGUGAGUUAUGUUUUUUAAGGAAGGAAAAUAGGAAUUAGCCAUUGGAAAUAAGAGUGUACAACAGUUGCAGGUCAGUCAGACAGCUCACACUGUAAUGGUUCGAAGUUUUUCUUGCAGCAGCGGAGCAUUGGUAGUGUUUGACAUGUAGGUCCCGACCUCAUCACUUCUCGUCCAAGCCUUCAGGUGAAUAGAUGGAUAAGGGGGUUGGUGAGACUGAAAGUAUGAGUGUGCAGGUGUAGGGCAGCAGGUGAGACUGGAAAUCUUGAAGCUUAAAUGGAAAACCAUUUGAACAGAUGCAUUUGUCGGGUGAUUGUAAGAAUGAUGCAUGUCAAGGGUUAAAUCAGUGCAACGUGCGUCAUCUGCCUCAACUAGUUCACAUGCGUCACUCCAAAGAUGGCCAGUCAUUUUUACGUUUGAGUGCACUCAAAUCACUUUAUUAAUCUAUAAACAUACACAAUACACACACAAUAAUCUAUAAACAUACUGUACAAGUAUGAAGAAAAUCUGAUUGCUUAUUAUGUAUCACCAUAUUGUAGCAGAAUAACAUUAAUUAGUUUCACAUGAACUCACCUAACAAUCAAUAGAGAGGGAGGAAAUGAGUAGCAUUGAGACAUGUCCCACUUAUUCAUACUGUCCUACUAGACAAUCAAAUGGGCUUUUGAAUUGAAUGUAAUUGCUGGCAGUCUGUUCAGCAAGCACACUGUCAUAUGGUUUCCUCGAAAUCCACUGUAAAAGUUCAAUUUGUGGAAAUAUUGAGGAAGACAAUGGACUGAAAUAGAAUGAGGGAAAAAGUGUUACUGGCAUAUCAGAGGUCAAGAUUCCCAUAUAGGAAUAAAUGGGUUUCCAGUUGACUCACCUCCAUACGCAUAUUUAAGUGGAAAAUAGGCGUUAGCAUCAAGUUACAUAGAAGUCUGUCAUUCCAUUAUCUGCAAUGAAUCAGUAAAAGAUUUCGAGAAUCUGGAGAAAUCUGUCAAAUGAGCAUACAUUUCUUGUAUUUCUUGUGUAAAGCUCCAAUAGGGGUUUUUGGGGAGUGGGCAUAAGUUAACUUUGAUUGUUCUCCGAGUUCAAGAUGUAAAUAGAUAAGAGUAACAGUCAGAUAAUUAGCUUUGGUUGUCACCACAGACUGUAUAUACUAUGGACAAAUUGGUUCCGCCUCCCACCUGUAUAUGGAUUUGAAGCAAUUCUGCGUUUUCUCUUCAUUUCCUGAAACCAACAUUGCGCAGUAGCAUGGUGCGCAUUCGGCGGGAGAGUCGCCGAGAGUCGCUGUGAUGACACUCGGCUCAAAAAGCAUAUCCCUCGGGUAAGCUACGCAAUCCUUGUACGCCCAUAGGCUGUACCAGGUGUCAUUUUAAAAAUACUGUACCGAAAAAAAGAGGACCUGAACACAAAUUAGUCUUACAGUAACUACAUUUCAACAUCACAAGCAGGGGGGAAAAAUAUUAUGUUCUGUGUAAUAAAUAUAAAGUUUUUUGAAGGGAUUUAUGACCUGUACUGCAGCCUGUCAUCAGAGGGUGCUGUUCUCGGAGUGGCUUCACCCAGCGAGGAGGCAGACGACGUCCAUUCUAUCUACAGACUAUGGUUGUCACCAAUAACAGAGCAUCCUGUCAGUGGUUGUUUCUCAUUCAAAUAUCACUCAAUCAAUAAGCUUAAAAUAAUAUUUUUGCUUACAAGUUUGAAAACUGCGCCCUCUACCUGCUAAGAUAAACAGAAAACAGCUGAAAUCCUACCCUACUUGUCCCAAUGCACCUUCUUGAGUCUAUUUUUAGCUGUGGUUGUCCUUUAGCUCAGCAGUCAUUUAUCACGACUUUAGACAUCUACCUGUAGGGAACCUCAAAUAUGUGCUGUACUGCUUAUAUGAGUAAAUCAAUAACUUUGAUUUUUGGCUGAAUUCAAUUCAUCAGCAUGUCAUCUGCAUUUUACUCAAACAUUUCUCAGAACAAACUCUCACAGAGCAAUUUUGUUCCAAGAGCGACUAUCUAUUUAACCAAGAAAUAAAAAUCUAAUACUCGCUGUAUUAAUCUACUUAUGUAAUUAAACCAGGGGUUGAGUAAGCUUUGAGCAGCUAAGUGGAGCUGUUUGUUAAAGAGCAAAACGAUGAAGGUUGCCAAGGUCAAAUACAACACUUGGCUGCAUCCCACUAAUUAUUUUCCAGAAUGUUCAUUAGCUUGGGAAGAGACUUGUGGGUAUGGCUGUCCUCUCAACCUACUUUACAGUCUCUCACAGGAACAAGGCUCAUCCAAAAACUGCGUAGUCCUGGCUUCGACCCAAGACUGCAACACAGUUGGAAAGCAUAGAGAGAAGCAGGGCAGAGAGAGAGAGAGAGAGAGAGAGAGAGAGAGGCUGUCGGCAUCUCUAUUGGAGCCUGUGAGUUAGUGAAGAGAGCUGUUGUUUCACAGUUAAUCACCAUCUUCGCUAUUUGAAAGGGACGAAGGGGCAGCCAGAGCUCUCCUCUGGGCACCGUAAAGGAGCUGCACCACAGGGUCCGUCAGGUGUCUUUGGAGACAGAUCCAAAGUCCAAAUGGAUUUCAAAAGCCCGGGGACCAAUGUGUUUACCUCAUCAAGCAAGCAACCGAGUGGAGAGCAUAAACAAAAUGAGAGGAAUAAAAGAACAGGUAGGGUUAUCAUGUGUGCGGUGACCCUCAGGUAAUGACACUCCUCGCCUCCCACCUGCACCUUGCCAGUUUUCAUACCCUGCCCCAUGGUUAAAAAAAGGAAGGUGGUGUGCUGAUAAAAUUCCUUGUGUUCCUGAAGCUGGAUUUUCUCCAGGCACAAUUAUCUUCCCAAAGCAGUCAUUCCACCCUCUGUCAGGAGGAUGUGAAUUGCCUCAGUAAGUAAGACUGCUUCUCUUUUUUUUUUUCCCCCUCCUUGCACUGGUUGUUGGUUACUGCUCUCGGGGCUGUCAGAAAAUCGGCCCCAGGCUUAACUUGCAUUAUAAGCCUGGUUGAUGCAAUCUCUCCCUUCCAGAUUGCCCUAAAAUGGCUGGUGGAUGACUUCUGGGACCAGACUAGGGCACUAGAUCUUGAGAUUUGACUGCAAAUUAAAGGGAAGGAAAGAAAUAACGCAGCCAUUUAGCUUGACUCUGAAAGGGCAGAGGUGGAAGAAAAAUAGCAUCUAGUGUUAGUGAAUGAAAUCUCAAACUUUUGAUAUUGUGUACACUACAGAGAGUUUGGUAUUGAUGGUAGAUGGGCUUAUAUUUUCUCUUUUCUGGAGUUUUUAAUGUUUAUUUUGACUCCGACUGAAUAAAGCUUUUAUAAUACCUUGGAUAAAAAUGCUUCUAAUACCAAACAGUACGCCAAAAAGAGCUUUUGUCUCAAAUUACUGUUAGAGAUACCCAUAAUCAUCUCUUAUAUUAAUAGCUCUCUUUCUAUCGAGUUUUAAAAUGCAUCAGUUUUAAGGUGCUUUGCAGUGUCUUUGAAAAGUCCAUAUAAACAACAAACAAGUCAUUUUGUAAAGUGAAUCUUGUAAUGUGUGGUGAUAAUGUUCCUCUGAAGUCCAUGCAAAUGUGCAAAAAGCCACAAAGACAGGGCACAAAGAAACCCUCUUUGAAAUCACAGGGUUUUAGAUGUUUGGUCUGUGAUGUUAAUCUGACUGUAAGUAGCCAUUUACAGAGUACAAAGACAAAGCCUGCUGUCAGUGUUCACUGCUGAAUUUUCCAUCUGCAUGCAAAGGAAGAAAUAAUGAUGCCAUUAUAUGGUGUAACCAAACAGUGGAACAGCUUGAUAUGUUGUAAUAUCCUCUCUGAAACCUCUGUUAAGACCCAUUUCCAUAAAGAAGCAGGGAGCCGCACUUAUUAAAGACAGAACAUGAUUUCUUUGCUCUGAAAGAGACCGAGGAGGUGUCUUUGCACCGUCUUCCACACAGCUCCUCUGUGCUAUCUGUUUCAGUGCUGAGGGCUUGUUUCUGUUCGCCCGCAGAACGGAGGUAUUACCACCCCUCGUUCAACAAGCUCCUGCACACAUGACAGUUCAUUUUCUGCAUGAUCUCCCAAAAGUCGAUACGAUCUUGUAAAGACAAAUACCAGAUAGCACUGGCUAACUGAUGCAGUUUGGCGGUAACACCAUUAAUCAUGCUCUCCUGGGAGGCUGGGGUGAGGUCCAGGUCUACCCAGCAAGUCAUCAUGAAUUAAUAAAAUAAAUGAAUUCACAGUAGGCAGUGCCGUCAUUACCCAUGGUUCUGUGGGGUCUGGGAGCACAGGUCUGCAUUGAGCGAGCAGGGGAGUAACUGGAGACUUUCCUGUUGUUGUGGCUGAUGCGUCUGCUCAAUUAAGAGGACUGAGACUGGUGUGUCAGUCUCAGUUAAAGCCCCGUGUAGAUGUGGUACUCGAUUGAAUGAGGACACACGCUGUCAUUGAUGCAAAGCUUUCAAUGACCUGCAGUGUGAAGGCUCCGCAACCUUAUUCCUGUGAUUGUGUGAGUCUUAUUAGUUUCAUGAGGCUCCAAAGACUGUGCUGGGACCUUGCAGAAUCUUAGUUAGGUCUCAGUAUGUGUCUCAUCUCAAUGUCUUAUUGGUGUUUUGUUGCACAUGUGAAGAACCAGAGUGCAUAAAUUCUCAUAUAGUUAACCUAGUUGAGUCAAUGAAAGGCAUGAAAAUGAACCACGUUAUCAAACAGACUGUACAAUAAAACAGACUGUUGCUCCUGGUGACUCGCUGCAGUCCAGCUCUUACGCCUUGCCCCCACCAUAAAAACACAUAGGACAUGAGUUAAACUGCUAAAUCGUUUUAUUAUUAUAUAUUAUAGACAUUUUUCUAUCACUGCUGUUCAUUUUUUGAGAUAAGUUUGAUUUAAUUGGUUGAGAUGUUAAGAUGAUUUCUUUGCAGACCCAGUUUUACAGGAUCAGCGACGUAAAGAAGUGGUAGAAGGAAAUGUAACAAAAGUUUAUAUAAGUCAAUGAACUUUACAUACGUGAGUGUCUGUUCAAAUCAACACAAAAUCUGUUUCACUGUGGGCCGUGUCGACCUGAGGGAUCUUUGACAGCUUAUUGGUAAGUGAAACGUGUGAUUUGAUUAGCAGAAAGGGCAUGAUGUACACAUCCCACAGCUCCAUCAGUCAGAUAACUCCUGAACAAGCCUUCGCACAACCACUGUGAAAUGACAGUGCCCAUUUUAGCUUCACAUCUCAUAAUGUGUGGAGAUGUUCACAUAAACAGUGAUGCCUGAAUGUCAUGAGCUUACCGUACGUGAGAAUUACUGCAUCAUUGUGAACGGAGAUAAAAUGAUGUGUUUAACUGUUUUUAAUAUGACAUUACUAACUAAAGUGUUGCUCCUCUACCUGACUUGAUGACUUUAAUUUCUGUUACUUGCAAAAAUAAUUCCUGAAUGUAGAAAAGUUAUAAGAGUUAAAAGAGUUUUUUUUUUCUUGCUUAUUCUUAUUUUUCUUUGUUUCCUGUGUUAGGUCCUGUCUUAUGUUAAAUUGGAAAGUAGUUCAAGAAAAGAUGUUACUUUGAAAGACAAAUUUGUCUUUACUCUCUCACUCAGUCACAUUAAUUAAAUGAAAUUAAAUACAAUAAUAUUUAUUUUGAACUGCACUGAAUUAAAUAAAUUGAAUCAGUUUGAUCCAGUGUAGUCUGAUCCAGUCUUGUCCAAUCAAACCCAAUCCAACCUGUCCUUGAAACGUAACCAUCAAAGAUCAAACUGAAUAGCCAGUAUAUGUGCAAUGUUUUAUAUAGAUUAUAGACCUAAUAAUACGCAAUCAGACACUUGAAAACACAGUAGUAAAUAGAAUUUAAAAAAAAAAAAAACAUUACCAACACCUAUUAAAAACAGAUUAAAAAGACAGGCUAAAAUACAGUUUUAGACUUACAAUAAAUAUACUGGAAUCAUAUUUAAAAGACAGAAAAAAAAAUAUUCACAAACUCUUGCCACUAGACGUGGGAGGUUACAGCCUGUAGGACAAUAACUCACCUGUCAAGAGCAUUUGAACUAUAAUUUGAUGUCAGAAACAUUCAACUGACUGUUGUGCUCAGCAUACAGUGUACAGCAGGUACCCAGUAGGAUCGCACAAUCCUGUCAGAUGGCUAUUUGAUCCUACAUGCGCCGUGACAGUCAGAACUGCUCUUUGUAUUUCAUUUGAUGUCUUCAGUAAAUGUCGUGUAUAAAUCUAGAGAGAAAUCAAAGAGAAAGAUUUCUGUAAAGUCCAUGAAAAUGUAUUUUUUGAAUCAAAUAUGGCCUCAGAUUAUCACAGGGGUCACUUUUCCCUCGAAAUGGUUUUCUAUAGCAUUUUCUAGAGGGCAGCAAAUGCUGUAAAAUGAUGUCUGAAAUACCUCGAAGAAUUCUGUCCUUGGCAAAGCUUAAUGCGUACCAUACACAAGACAAUCUGUGAGUAAGCAAAGUUUGAAUCAUUCAGGUGUAUAAAUAGAAGUAUGGCACAUCUAUCAUGCUUGUUAGUCAGUUUUGUAAAUAUAGAAUGCAGUGAAUGCUGAGUCAUUUGAGUCAGGUUGUGUUCAUUAUUUAUCAUACCACUGACUGUGUAUUAAUGUGAGUACUGAGCCUCAAUCUUCUCCCACUGUGAGAUAUUAAGCCAAAAUCCCCCCUAUGUGGGCACUGACAUAUAGCGCUGGUAGAGCGAUGCAGAAGUGCUUUGAGUGGUGUCUGAUGUCACAUCCUUUCUGCUAACAAAAUCACACAUUUAUCUUAACAAUUCAACAUCAGCGAUGCCCAAGGCCAGUACAAUUAACAUGUCCAGGGAAAGUUCAAUAAUCUUGUGCUAUAAAUCCCAAUGUUUUGGUGUCUGACUAAUCAGGAAAGCUUUGCUUGCUUGUGUCCUAGUACGAGCGUUAAUUUUAGAGAUUCCUCUAGUGGACCAAAAUGUAAACUACGCUAAACAGUUUGUUGCAUCUCCAUGUUUAGUUAUUUGAAUUUCAAUCUAAAACUUUACAGUUUUGGAACAUCAGUCAUCAUUAACAGUGAAGGCACUGAGAUAUUUGCUUUCAAAGCCAUGUUUUUUUCCCAAUUAUAAUAUAUCAUUAAACUGUAAUAUUCAACUAAUUCCUCAUUUAUUUUCACAUAUAUAUGAAGAAUUCUGUCCUUGGCAAAGCUUAUAUAUGACUAUGCUAACUAUCAAAAUAAAGAUCAAUACACCUGUUCAGAGUCAAAAAUAUACUAAUUAAAUAAUGCUUAAUUAGAAGGUUUAGCAUUUGAAUCUUACUCUCUAUUCUGUCUUCUUAUGAUAAAAUCUCAAACACAUUUUAUCCUGUAUUGUCCCAUUUACUCCUGCUCCUUCUUUAAGCUUUUUGAACUGCCCAGUAAAGAAAGUGCUACAGGCUACUUUCUAUCAUUACUAGGCCAACUAAAAAGCUCAAAAACCCUUUGUUUCCAAGCUACUAAUGAUACCCAAAAUCUCAAAUGUUAUACGUGCCUGUUUAGCAGAUCAAUGCUGCUAAAUCUAUGUUGUUAAAGGACCUAUAUAGAUAGCUAAAUCCAUGUUGAGUGUAUGUGUUUUUCUGCAAAUAUGCUUGGUCCUGGUGUGCUUGGAGCUGUUUCAGAGCACAGCGCAGAGCAUGCCAUGAAAGUAGAGCAGCGGGCGUGAGAUGAUUUUGCAGGGGAACCAGAGAGUCUGCUGCUGCUGCUGCUGCAGAGUCAGUGUUAUGUCUGAGACGAGGCUGUGGCUUUUGAAAGAUAAAUUGGACUUGGCUUAUUGAUCCAGCCUCCAUUGUCAGCUGUGCUCUUGUUGUUGACAUAUUAGGGGAGUGUUUCAUGUAUUCAUACAGUUGUGAUGUUAAUGAGUACAAUCCAAGGCCAUCUCUUUUCUUUUCUCUCUGACUUGGAGUCUACACCCUGACAUUGAGCUGCAGCUGAAUAGCCUCCAUUGUAUCUCUACUUAUCACUGAGAGUGAAUUGAACAUGGUAAAUCAGUCUGCAAUGGAAACUGAAUGAAUCUGUUUUCACACCAAAAGAUAAGCAUUAUAGUGUUAGAUGGGAAUGAAAGUUUCCAUUUGGAAGAAUCUUUUGAACAGCUCUUCAGUUGUUGGUGAUUCAUGGCCGAGAGUCAUGAUAUGAUAUGUAAUGAAGAGCUGAUAAGAGUUAAGCUCUCCCACAAAACUCAGCCAGCCCACACUGAUAUAAGACAGACAGAGGAAGAGAGAAAGCAGAGGAAUAACGCUCGAGCAGAAAAGACUUUGGGAAUAAAAUGGAGUCAACAACCAACAAUCUAAAUGCUUGAAUUCAAGCAUGAUGUUUACAUGAAAUAUAUAAUUAAACACAGCUGCUUUUCUGAUUCUCUCGGGCAAUCCUCAUUUGCAUUUGAGAGAACUUGAUUUAGGAAGAACAUCCAGCACUGUAUCAUCUGAUAUACAUUUUGAAUGUCUUUGCAUGAUGUAUAAUGUGUCUAAGAAUGGCAACUCAGGCUUUGAUUAAUAAUUCAUCUGUUAUUUUCAAAAACUAUCUUCUGUUGCUUGUUGUUUCAGCUACAUUUCUUUCCCUUUUAUGAUGUUCAUUUAUAAAACAUCACCUCCUUAUUUUACUUUGAGUAAAAUGAAAUGUUUACAGCUGAUACUGGGUUUGUUUGAUGUAAGUCUCUGACUUGGGAGCAGCUUGUGAAUUGGGAGCAACAAUUCAUGGGAGGACUCAGCAAACACGAUGUAGAGCCAUCAACACAGUUGAUAACAAUGUCAUUAGCAUUGUCAGAUCCUAGAAAACAACAAUGUAGCUGCUGACACUGAGCAGUGAGUCACUCUCAAUAAACAAGAGCCUUACAAGUGCAAUGCACUUUAUUUAUCCUCAGGCAAAGUAGAUAAUUGCAGCCACAAAGAACACUUAUGGACCAAAAUACCCAAGACUGACAUCAUUCAUAGUAGUGAGUUAUCACCAGUGGAAAGAGUCUCUCCAAAUGUUUUUUCAAAUCAGAACUGAAAGUGUCUUUAUUUACAAUCUGUGAAUAGACAGCAGAGUAUGUGCUGGAAAGUGUAUGAAUGUGUUAUUACUUAUUUCAAUGGAGCUAGUGACAGCAAUGUAUUAGAGUGAACCCAGUUCUGAUCUCAAGUGCAGUCUUACUUGUGCUUCAGUUGAAGUAUAAAGUUUUUAUUCUGCUUUAUACUUUCAGAACUACAAAGAUGUCAGAUAUUUCUACUUUUCGUUGGUUCUGCAAUUCCUCUGUAUUAUCAAAAAGAUCUUGCACAGAAAGCAUCACCUCAGGUCGAAUAAUCAAAGUUUGAGCUUCACAACAGUUUAGAGAAUAGUUCAAAUCAACCCAGCCAAUUUAACCAAGUACUGAACUGCUGCUUUAACACAUAGACUCCAUAUAUAGAACAUGAGGGUAGUCUUAUGGUGGCUUUUCAUAUGCAUCUCAGCUCAGACCCCCAGCAAACAGGCACAGUGCAUCCUCAGAUGGUCAAAUUAGCUAAUGACGGCUAAUACAAUAACUAUUAGCAUUAUUAUGAUCAAAAUAGAUAAAUCAUGCAACAACCAGUGUUUGAGGCAAGUCUAGAGUCCUCUGUGUUCAAGGCUGAGUCAAAUCCAAGUUACCAGAAUAUCAUGGCGUCUGAGUUGAGUCCUUGUUACCCAAGACUGAGUCCAAAUCAAGUCCUCUUUAUAAUUUAUUAUUUACCAUAAGGGGGGCUGUUUUCUCAGUCUGGAGUCCUCACUGUAGGACCCUGGACUGGCUGACUGUGAUCUUUUAGUUCUGCAGAAAACAGAUUUUAUUUAUGAACAGUUUGACCAAUCCUGUUGGCGUGUCCAGAAAUCCGGAUCCGUUUGUGAGGCAAAUUUCACGGCGGACAGCAGGAAUCGCAAGAACUCACAAGAACCUGCAGAUUCACGUACAAUCGCGCAAUAACAAGUUGUCUCUAGCCACAUAGGCUAACUGUAUAAACAGUAGAUUAUGUCCCUCCAAAGGAGACAAUCUACUUCUAGACUUCAGCAUCCUCUCAUCCAUGGGGUCAUCCAAGUGAAAUGCUGUCUAUAAACCUUUCACUUGUUCAUCCCCGUCUGUUUGCAUGGUCUAAAAUACGAUCCGCCUGAAACACAGAGUGUUUUAUUUUGAAAAGAAGCCAGAUGUUUUAUUUUGUGUCUGUGCCCGACUUCCUUUCCAGCAUAGGUUAAUCUAUGCUGAAUUCAUCUGGCAUGCUCCGGUGUCUGGAAAAAUUAGAACUCUUGUGAUCACCUGCAGAGUCCGUAACGGAAAGAAGCCGGUGGAAAUUGACACAUUAAUUUGAAUGGUCACGAUCAGCGGAUACGCCCUUUUCAUAGCCAUUCCGGAUGCUGUGGAAAUUGGGGGUCAGAUGCUAACAUCAAUGUUAGCUUGGGAACAAUAAUUAUUAACAGUCCGAGUAGAAUAACUGGUAUCUCAUUCAGGGUGCAACUUUUCAGAUAUCUAUCAACUCCAAGCUUGUCCUUGUCCUCCCCAGGAUGGUUUUGAAAUAUGUUGAACAAGUUGCACUGCCCCUGCUCACAUUUCCUGUUAAGUCUUUGAAGGUGAAACUCGCGUUACGUCUCUUUUGGCAAACUGGCAGGAACUGUUGCUAAAUGUGGCGGCACAUGAAACCCACUUAAGUCUUAGUCCUCCUCUCCAUCUUCAGAGUCUUAAUGCAGUAAGUGCUCGAGCAUGAGUCCAAGUAUGAGUCAGUUGUGCUCCAGUACAAGUUGAGUCAGUACUCCUAAAAAUCAGGGCGGACAACAUCACUAUGAAAGGUACUGCUCCGCCGAAUUAGUUUGUUUUCUUCUGACAUUUGAAGUAGAUUUGCCUUAAGUCAUCGUAUUUCAUGUUCAUGCUCUCCUCUUCUGUAUUUAGGUUUUUUUUAAAGUUUGUUACGUUCAUCACUUUGGUUUGUGGCUAUUCUUAUCCUAUGCUACUUUAGCACUCAUUAGCUAUAAAGGACAACAGUCAGGCUUUACUUAUUGUAAUUAUGGACAGGUCAUCACCUACUGUUAAAAGAAAACACUUACCUCAAAGAUUCUCCAGCAUUUGCUAAUCUAACAUUAACUGUCAUAUGUGAUAAGAUCAGAUGUUCUGCUUUUGUCUGACAUUUCUGUCUGUUCCCGCAUUAUUGUCAGAUGCACUCGUUUCUAUCUCUGAGAAGAUCAGGUGCUACUGAAGAGUCAAAACGAGAGGGCAAUUAAUGUGUCAAGCUUUUAAGAAUUCAAAGAGAGCUGUAAUAAGAUAAAAGUUUGCUAGGUUAAAGAUAAUAGGAGAGGUUAGAUGAUAAAAGCGCUACGCUGUGAUCUUGGUUUGUAUUCUCGAAUCCCUGGUCUCCUCGCCCACACGCCUGCCUUCUUCUCACAUUUUGCAGAUGAAAAUCCCCAUGUAUAAUGUAGACCACAUAGAGGAAGAGAUGUCUGCUGCCAAGAUAUCUGUCUUUACUAUGAAUUAAGCUUAGGAAUCGUUUAAAAAUGGCAAGUAUAGCUGCAUAGAUGUAAAAAAAAAAAAAAAGCCUAGGGGAAGAAAGAGACCUCGGUAUCACCUACAGAAGAAUAAACGUACAUUUAGCAAAAAAUAAUAAUCCUACUACACUUUUGCAUAAACCACUCCUGAGGGUAGCAUGUGAUUCGAAAGGCACCAGUCCAGACCUCUUGCCUGUAAUAACUUUGCUCUACUUGAAGCUGCUCAAUGUUGAACCUGCAGUGUAUCCUGUAGGGCAUGGAGGUUCACAUGGAGCAGCCACACUCCUCCGUUCUGUUAAAUAUUUGCCCUAUCUUUUUUGUCAGGCUCAUAUCUUUUCAAAUAAAGCUCAUCGUGAAGGGAAAUUCCUUCUUCGCUGUACAAUUUUACAACUCACUUAACCAAACACACAUCCUCUUCCUCCCCCCUCUUCCCUCUCCUUCCUUCCUCCCUCCUUCCUCCCUUCUCUCCCCGGCUUCCUGUGCUCCUCGGAAGAGCCUGAUAAGUAUAAUCAUAAGUGACUGGUUCAGCAGCUUGAGCUGCCGGAGCUACCGAGACCGAUGUAUUCUCAUGAUAUCCAGGCACAGCUGUAAAUGCCAGCACACAAUCCACACAGGACGCACUCACAUACACACACACACACACACAUACACGCAAUUAUGCACAUACACCCACACUCCAGGUACUUUAUUUGGCAUGCCAGUUGUUGUUAAAAUGCAAUAAACGGGGGCAUAUUUAGAGCAGAAGGUAGUUAGAGAUCAUUUAUGCAGCACUACAGAGAGGCUCCUCUGUCUCCAGGGAGAAAAUCUUUGCCUAACUGUCUGCGUAUAGUCUUACUGCGGCACUUAACGUCUUUAUUUGCACACAAUGAACAUGCCCUCUGUGUUUGUGUGUGUACAUGUUUAGAUCUGCAUGAGAUGUCGAGUGUAUGUAAAGCAUAUGUUUACAUAUGCACAAUAAUUACCUCUCACACGGUCGGCAUGCAGAGCUGCAAGCCUCCCACUAUGGCUUUAAACAUCGUUAGCCAUCAGCAGCAUGGGCAAAGAGGCGAAAGCAUGACUUGUUUACAGAACAUACAGACAGCAGAUUGAAAUUGACUGCAGGGCUAGUAGAGCAUUACCACGGUUGUAACCUAUUUCAUUUCUCACUGAUCCUCACUGAACAGGGAAAGUGAUAUUUAAUUGAGUGUAUGGCCAACCAUCAGCCAAUGGGAUUCAUUUUUCAAUGAAAUGGAAGUUAGAUUGAAUUCCUCACAAGGUGUUGCAGUUUUUGGACGAGAUAUUGAUCACACGGGGGACGUGAUCGCACAUGCUGGCAGCGUUCGAAUGUUCUGGAUCUGGUCAGCGCUGCUUUAUCGAGGUAGAGCGCCACAGGAGACCUUCCCCCUCUUUCUCCUCUGCACAAAAUGAGUCACCAGGGGCAAGAUGGAGAGCUCUUUCCCUCAACAUGGCACCAACACUUAGUAUCUGUCAGUGGCCAGGCCGCAUAUCCUCAAGCUCAAUUAAUCAGAAGCCCACCUUUGGAGGAUUGUGCCCUGGCCCGCAUUUAAAGGUACCUGCGGCCGUCUGUGCCAGUGGUAACCCUGGCAGGAGACAAGUGGAGCAGGUUGGCCUGACUUGGCAGGGGGGUUGAGAUGGUGUUAAUACAGACUUUGGGAGAUGAUUUCCUUUGAGAGAGAUCCAAUCCAGUGUCACAGCGUGGCGCUCAGGAAGUGGUUGAGCCGCCGACUGAUGAAGUUUCUAAUUCAAUCUGUUCCAGAUCAGCAGGGGGGUCAGUGUUAGUGCCAAAGAGUAACCUUGCAUCCUGUUCUCCGGUCACUGAGGAAAUGUUAGGCCUAUUGAUUAGAGACGCCAAUAGCCAAUCAAUACAGAGAGAAAGCAGCAGCUCAUUUCUACUUUCCUUGAAAAGUUGUCCGCAUUUAGUAUCUGCAAGAGUCAGGCAUUUACAGUUCAGUCAAAUAUGCACCACACCUGUGAGUUUGGAUGAUGUAAAACAGAAUUUCACCCUCAUUAGAGUAGACAUGUCACAGUGAUUUAUCCUGUUACAUUACUCUGAUACAUUGCUGCCACCUAGUGUUUACUAUAAGGGCUAUUGGUUUAUGAAAAAUGCUCUGGCUCAUUUAUGGUGAAAGUCUUUCAGUUUUUUAGUUUUUCUCCUGGGUAUUUGUUCACAGUACUUUUUGAGGUUCAAAACUUAAAAUGGGAUGUGAAAAAAACACAUACCCACCAGUGAAAGCUAUGGGAAACUUCCAUUCUGCUUUAGUUUUAAUUUAAAGAGGGGCUUUUGUGCUUGACACGAUAAUAAAUCAUUUCAAUGUUAUUUACGACCUCUACAAUUGUGUAAUUUUUCGCUCUCACAGUGCUGGCAGGGAGGUUUUAUUCUUACACCGGGUUAUGUCCGAUCUUAAUUAACAAAAUCUGUGAAGUUGUUGAAUCUAAUUUCUUUUUAUAGCUGAUAUCAAAUUAACUUUUAUUUCACUCUAAUCAAAAGAACAGUCAGAGCAGCAGCUCCUCUGACCUUGAGGACACUUUGACAGUCGUCAGUAUUAUUAGGAAAAUGGGAGAUGUGUGUGUAUCAGUGCAGACGGACUACCAGCCAUUUAUACAAGAGACUGUUAAAUUCGACUGGUUAAUCUAGUGUUCAUUAACACAUAAAUAUCUCAACUGACACGACAGGAUAUCAUCAGCUGUUCUUAAAGUUUGUGGAAGAUGGCAACAUUCAAUUUGACAACUUCUAAAAAAUCUCAACAUCAGUUUUUUACAGUUUUGACACUUUAAUCAUCACCACCAGCCCUGUCAACAUUUACAUUGCAGUUACCUUCAAACUACUACAUCAUCUGUGACUUUAUCCACUCAUGCAGCUGGCUUAAACUUUAUUAUGUGAUAAAAUGUGAUUUUGUACUGUUAUAUUACAUUAUACUUUAUGUCUUUAAUUCUAGCAUGCCAAGAACUAAAGGCGCAUGGACUACUGUUGAAAAAUUGGGAUUUUAGCAGACUCCCAACUAGGGCUGUCAGAAUGUAACAGUACUGACAAUAAAAGCCUUUUUUUUAAUGAAUAGAGUAUUACUAUUGUGCUAAAAAUUCAGUAAUAUCAUGACUAAAUGGUAGUUGCCAUAUGACAUAUAAUGUAGGAAGGAUGAAGAAGCAAUAGCCGACAGCUAGCAAGCCAGCUGCAGCAGCCCUUUGAGAGAUGAUUUCACACUUUUAAAACUGAUGUUCAAGAUUUAUUGUGAAUCCAAAAACAAUGUUAAAGUUUUUGCCUCCUCAGGUCACUAACCAACUGAACAUUUAUACUUUCUUAUGGUUCUUUUAACUGUUAAUUAUUCUGUUCUGUAGCAUACGAUCUACCAAAAGUAGUACACUACAAUCGUUCAGGAAGCCAUUGUGUUCUCCAAAGAAGUUUUGCUCACAGGGUUGAUAGUAAAUCAUAUAUGUGAAUAUUAUUAAAUUGGAUGAUAAUGCGCAAGUUAAUCUCAUGUAUUUUUCAUGUUAGUCUUCAUACAGCCAAAAAACAGUCAGACCAUGCCACACAAUGGAAUGCUCGAUAACUAUAAAUGGACGAUAACUACUCCAAAAGCUGCUCACACCCUCCCACAUUAACCUUGUCUACUUUAGCCGCCAUUCCAGCCGCUGCAACUUUUUAACCGUCCUCCAUCUCCUCACCUGUCUUUCCCUCUUUGUUACGGACUGGAUGGGGUGGAGUCACGUCUCUGGCGUAGGACAUCGUCUUAAAGGGUCAUGAGCCCAUAGCCUAUCUACAUACAUCAGUUAUCAUCGUACAUUUCAGUAUCAGUAAAUUUUCGAUUUAUUACCCAGCCUUAAUGGUGGGUGGCUUGGCUACAGUUCAGACACAACAUGUGACCAGGAUUGUGGACCUACAUUAAUAGAAAUAAAUAAAUAAAAGAACUAGCCAUCUCACAAAGAUAAUGAUGUUUAAUCAUUUGUUUGACAUUUCUCUGAUGCUGGUCUAUAGGAAAUGACUUUUUCCUCUGUAUGUUUUAUGAUGUUGCGUUCCCACCUUGAAGAUGACAUGUCAAAGGAGCUUUUCAUUACGUCGCUUUUUAAAUAAAGAAACUAUUCAUCAGAAUGUCUAUGGCUACACUUCCACAUCCUUAUAAAACUGCCGGUCUGGUUCCACCUCUUUGUGCCCUGAGACACACUGACUGCCACCACUCCUUUAUCAGACUCGUGUUUCAUCCAGACGUGUCAGAUUAAUCAAAAAGAAGUGUAUCUACUUUCAUCCUCAAGCACGCAUAAUACAAGUGUCCCUGUCUGCAGGUGCAAAGUAGCAUCAAAAAGAAUACAUGUUUGAAGGUUUAAGCAUUGCGGUUCCUUUGCUCAGUUCUGUUCAAUUAUUUCUGCAGUGAUUUGACAUCUCAUUUAACGCACUGAACUUGAGUAUGUUUAUGAAGUUUAACUACUACUAGUGCAUAAAUUCACACCAGAUCACAGAGUGUCAUGUAGGAGUUGUUUUUGCUUUGAAAUAAGAGGCGAAGUCUUUGUGUGGCUGGUUAUUACAGAAGCAUUCAUAUUUUAUUGACCUGCUCCUCUUUUAUAUUCAAGCCCUCUGCGUCUUCUUGUUUCUGUUUCUUGUCAGCAGAUUCGGUUCGACCUCCCCCAGCACUGGAAAAAACAUCGAUAGAUCUCCUGUAACUUUUUUUCUAGUUUGCUCUUCCCGUGUCCCUCUCCUCCACCUGUGUGUUCAAAGUUUUUCUUCAUCUGUCUCCGAGAGCGUGAUGUGGGGGAUCGCCUUCAUCAGGAAGGUUUUUCUUUCUUCUUCACACAUCUCCCUCAUUUCCUCCUUUUCCUGUCUGCAUCUUCUCCCUUCUCCCGCCUUUACAAACUCGCACCAGUUUCCCCCUCCAUCUCUCCCAUUUGCGCAGAUGUCUUCCCUCAGCUCUCGUUUCAGUGGUUGCUUUAUUAUUCUUUUCAUCCCUCUCUUCUUUCAUCUGCCUCUCUUGUUCACUUGUUCGCUUGCAGAGAUUUUUGAAGUCUUGGGGUCAUCAGGAAACUUUUUAACUGUUUGGGUUCUUCUCUCCCGAUUCCCUUCCUUUCUCUCUCUCUGUUUCCAGCUCCAUUCAGCUUUUUUCGUCUCUGCAGAGCCCGAUUACUGCUUGUUCAAUCUGACCUUGUAGUCUCCCACAGUUGGGUUUUUCAUUUUGGACAUUUUCUUUGUGAGAACAUCUUUGGUGGGUGCCUUUUUCCCCCCUGUAUUUGUUGUCCUCCUUCAUAUUGUUGAUGCUUCACUUGGAAGACUUUGUGUCAUUUCUCAGUGUUUUAGCUGCUUCUUGAUAGCCCACAGUAUUUUAUCUUUCUACUGAGUUUUAAGCUCUUUUAUUUUGUUCCUGUAAAGUAUUAAUGCUUGGAAAUACUUUUGUAAUCAUAAAUGAUUUUGCCAUUGAAGAAUUUUGUGCUUCCAUCAAAUUUUUGUUAAUCUUUUAAAUCCAAUAGAGACCUUUUUUUUUUAUCCAUUACCAUUUAAAGUUAAUAAAAGGCUGGAGUCACUAGUUUCUCCAUGAUAGUACGUUCUAUCAACUCUUUGGAUACAGUAUCUGACAAUAUCUCAAACUCUGCUGAUCCACAGCUGUGAUUCAUUACAAUUCAGUAGACCGUAAUGGAUUUCAGACAACAUCAAAAUGUUGUGUACCCAUGUAUGGGCCUUUAAAGGUCAGCUAAUCACCAAUACACCCCUGACUGGUCAACAGACUAUUACAAAGAUGGCAGCCUUCCAUUAGCGGAGUCAGCUAACAACAAAAAUGACAUUAAAUCACUAUAAUUAUGAUGUUGAUCAUCACAGAUUACCUUUGUUUUUGAAUGAUUUGAUUAGUUUAGUUUCUAGAAAUGAGUGUAUCUUCUCUGUGGGAUAGAAAAGCCUAUAGGUGGCAAAGAAACACUCAAAGUUCAACUCUGGGAGGCAUUUUGGUGCUCUCCUGUGGCCUAUCUGCGUGUUACUUCCUCUGUUGUCGCAGUGCUUGCUGCCUCUUACAACGUGUUACGUUAAUGUUUUGUGAGUCAUCUGAGCCAAGUGGAGGGCAUCCCUAAGGAAAGCAUUGUGUUACAGUGAAUAAUGUAUACGGCUGGAACUAGUUGGACCAGUUUUGUUCUGGAUUCAUUUUUAGAUUCUCAUCACUACCCCUUGGCAAAUUGGGCGUUUUUUCAGUCUAGCAGGAUUUCUGACCAGCUGCCAGUGCCUCUUAAAGCAUUGUUUCACCUCAAGCAAAGUAAAAUUAAUUUACAUAAAUUAUGAAAACUAUUUUGCCAAAAACAUUUCUGUCAUUAACACAAAAAUAUAUAUUUUUGACCAUGCACCUCUAGUUUGUUGUGGUUCCUAUUUGUUUCGUCUUGUAAAAACAUCGUCUGCAUAUUGUAUGAGUUUUUAUUGACCCUUCUUUCUCUAAAAUACAACAUAUUUCCAGAUGGCUGUUUUAUUCCUAAGAGGGGAGUAAAUAUGUUCUACAUAGAGUAUAUCUUGGUGAGCCAAGGUGCAUACUGUAAAACAUGUGAAUGGCAGCAGUUACCAAGGAGUGUUUGAUGGUUUUACCUCUAAUUAGGGGUGUUUGUCAAAGCCAGUCAUCAUUUGUGGUAAUUGUAGUAAGUCAAAGAAAAGACGUCUUUUGUGCCUGCUUUGUCAAGAGAGUAAAAAUCUUCAGCUUGUCAAUAGUGUCUUUGUGUCCCAUGAUGCAAUGUGCAAAGCAAUCAAGCCUCACCUAUCAGACGGCUUCAUUUCUUCAGCUGCUUUGGAGAAACUUAAAGGGGCCAAAUAUCUAAGAGGGCUUAAACAUUGUUAGUCUCUACCAGACCAUAACCCCCCCUUACUAAUAAGUAGUAUUUGCGAAGCCAUUUGAUCUGUUCAUCGUGAGUAUUUUGUCUUUUUUUCUUUGCUCCGUUUUGUUGCUUGUCUGUAAAAUGAGGUAAGAAUAGAAACCCAAGCUGAAACUGCCUUUGGUUUUUCAGGGCAACCAACUAUGUCAAAUAACAGCAUGGGUGCUGGAAGUACAACAGAUUCUGCUGUUGUACCCAGGAGACACAGAGCAUGUAUUUAAAGUGUUUUCCCGUCUAUAGACCAUACUAAGAUAUAGCGGGGAGGAAUAAGGUUGGAAAAUGGGCCAAAAUUUCCAUUUAAAUAGGAUUCAUCUUCACACUAACAAUGUGUAUGGUGCUUUUACCUUGGAAAUAUGAAUAAAAGAUGGGAAAGUUCUUAACCCUUGGGUACAAGGGUUAAACCUUGUUAGGUUCUUAACAAGGGUUAACAACUUCACCAUCUUUUAUUCAUGUUUUACCAGGUCAGAGCCAAACUAGCCCCGGCCUGGUGAGACAGGGACAAAUUUAUAAAUUUUCUACAGGGUCUCCAUGGAUCUGAUUCGGUUCUCCAGAACAUCCCUUAGAUGCUGAUUGACUCGAGCUCUGGGGAGUUUGGAGGCCAAGUCAGCACUGUCAUGCUCCUGCAGGCAUCCUUCAUCCAUUGCUCUGUAGUCCAGCUCUAAUGCUUACAUGCCCUUUGUCAGUGCUCUUGGCACUGGAUAUGGGUCAGCAUGGACACCCUGACCCCUCCUACACGUCAGACUGUGAUGCACUUUGUGUUUAGACAACUUUUCUAUGAGAACCAACAUUAGGGUUUUUAGAAAUUUGAGCCCCAGUAGCUCUUUUGUUGAACUGGUCCAUAUGGGCUAGUGCUCUCUCCUGCAUUAGUGCACCCUGGGUUCUCAUGAUCACAGAUUUUCGUUCUUUGGAUCACUUUUAGAAGGUGCUGACCACUGUUGAGUGGAACACCACACAAGAGCUGCAGUUCUGGGUGUUAUCAAAGUUGCUCGUGACCUCACCUUUGCCUAUUAAUCCUUCUUCCACACAUGAACUUCAACAAUAAAAACUAAAUGAUCCUUCUACCUGUCAGUGCUCAUAAUGUUGUAGCUGAUUGAAAAUGAAAAUGACUCACUUUCUCUUGCAAACUUCACCACUGUUUCCUUUUAUGUCUGGGUAGAUCCGCUGUCAUUUUAUUUUCUGUCGCUUUUUUAAAGCUGCUGUGGAAAUUUCUGGUUUGUGUCGAUUUUGGCACCCUCAUGGGCAAAGUAAUACCUCCUAUGACUUGUUCAGUACAUCUGAAAGCAGUAGUGUCAGACAAAAACCUCAUCCUGUUGUCUUUUAACAGUGAAAUGUUCCAGUCACUGUGAGUAAUUGCCAUUGAAAACAGUUUUGAAAAGCUGUUUUUUGAGGUAGCUACCAGUCGUCUAUUUUGACACCAACCCCUCACAGCAGUUUCAGGCAUCAAAAGAUACAACAGAGAAACGAUCAGCCUUUCUUGCUGACGGUCUCAUUUGUUUCUGAGGGUCACUAAGAAGCAUCAGUACCGUUUCAGUCUGUUUCCUCACCCAGUUAAAAACUCCUCCUGUAACUUAUGAAACAAAUUUUAAAAAAUCAAAACUUUCUUUCUGCUUUGAAAACUAUUGUGCAGUCACAGCAAACGUUGUUCUGCCCCAGCAAUGACUGUGAGAUAAAAUCAUUACGUGCUGCCAAGAUCUGCAGCCUUUCUGUUACCAUUUGUAAUCUUGCUGCACUCUCUCUCGAUGUCAGCUUGAAAAGUUCAGUCAAGGAUACAGAAACAAGUCAUAGUUGUCCCUGGGCCAAAAUUUGUUAAGAAGACGUGACAUCAAACGAUGAUUAAUGCUUUAAUUACUCAAAGAACUUGUGCGUGAUUUAAUGAUAUAAAUGGCGUCUUCAUGUGUAAUGGAGCUAAUGACACAUAGACUCAUCUGUUUGUUAAUUGAACUUUUAGAACGUAUUAUAGAGAGACAAAUCAAGAAAGGUCAAAGAAUUAGUCACUGUAGAAUUCAUCUUAGGAGAUGAUAUUGAACAGGGGAUCUUUAUUCCUGUAGUUGUGUGUAAACAGUGAUACUUCAGCAAAAUGAACAUCCACAGCGUGACGUAGGUGUACAUGUCGGGGUUGGUAAGAUAGAAGGUAUACUGUCAGCUCUUUGCUAUGAGUGAAAAUCUCCAAGCAGCUUUCCCAGCUUGUUUACACAGACAUGCUGACAGAUGUACAAUCCUCUGUGUGGAAAUCUGCUGCCUCUCUCUCUGAGCCGAGUCUCUGAGCUCACACUCAUCUCAGUGCCCCUCCUCUCCACUCCUCUACCACCCCGACAUUCUCACGCAGGUAAAUACCAACGGUAUCCACUCUGAUUGCCACGCUUGCGGAACAGAAGUGACAGGUGAAGACAGCGACUGAGUGAAGAAGAUUACACACAAAAACCUCCUGUGAUGAGUUCAAAGCCAUCUGUUGGGGUGAGGAAAACCUCGGCGACAAAACUUUCAGAAAUUAAUAAUUACUGCAGACGGAGAGUGGCAGAGCUUUGACAAAUUCCCGACUCUACUCUUUAACUUAAAGAGAGAUAUGUGCACAAUCCUCGGUGAUGAGUUCAAGUGGAGGAGCAACUUUUUAAAGGCCCAGCGUUCAAUAAGUUCCUCUGUGACUUUUAUUCUCUCAAUCCACACCAGGUGUGUUUGAUUUCUUUGCAACAUUUGCAGACAAAAGUGUGAUUUUCAAGGGACGAAAUAUGCAGACAAAGCAGGAAAUGUGGACAGAAAUAUUAUUAAAAUGAAGCUGAGUAAGAAAACAGGAUUUUAAUGAUCUAAUUCUGGGUUGUUGUUUUUUUAAUGGCUUCAUUUUCUGUGUUAUGAAUAAAUAUUUAUCAAGCAGUGAAGACGUAUCAAAUGAAAAUGCUGUGCAACAGCGAUAUUUGCACCUAAUCCGAAAGUUUGGGUUAGCUCAGCAGUUAUAAUGCUGGUAGACCAAUGCAUCUACAACCACAUUACUGAAAGUGUCAAAGUUAAAAGUCUGUUCAAUAAAACCCUUCUCUUUUAAUGCAAGACUUAGUCACGACUUGGAAUGAAAUUUCUGAAUACGGUGUUAAGCAGCGAGGCAUAGUUGGCACUUUCAGCUCUUCAAAACUUAACAAUACAUUUUUAUCCUGAAAGUUCAAAUUAUACUGUAACCAAAGACUGUAAAGUCAAAGUUUAGAGCCAGGAAAGGGAAUUCUUGUCUUCGAACUUCUGUACUUUCUCUUUAAUGACCAACAGGGGGCAAAUCCUCUGGUUUGGAGAUAGUCUGAUAAAUUUGUGAACAUAUGGCGAUACAUUUACCUUACUUUAUUUUCUCCUUUUCCAAAAGAGGUCCACAGAGUCGACUUUAGUAUGGAGUUACUUCCAUUUUGUAGAGUGAGGGUCCCAUUUUAAGAAAACAAAAAAAAGAAGAAUUGGAAAAGAACGCAAGGUGUCAUUUGACCAAUCAGUCUGUAGAGUUGUGCAAAAGCAUCCACUGGUGGACGUCACGACAAAAUUACAGGUUUAAGGCUUCCAACUGGUACCCCAAAAACUGAUCAUUGUCUUGGCUUGUCAAUUAUGUUAACUCUUUGAUAAUAUCGUAGGAUUUUAUACGAUUAUUUGUGUUUUCAGAGUUUUAUCUGAAGUUUAUCAUCAAUUAUACAACCUGCUGUCACUUACUUUUCAGUCUUUUCCUCGUGGUUUCCACUCUGCUCAAAAAGACUCUCACUUUCUUUGGAGUACAGCACUAAAAAGUGGACUCUUCUUACUUAAAUAUUUGGAGUUUAAAAAUGGAUAAUUAUCAUGUCAGUGGACAACUCUACUUAUCUGUACAGUGACUCAGCCAGUCGUCACUCACCACUACAGCAUGGCGAUAGAAGAUGAAAAGACAAAAUAACCACAGGAAAGAAGCACCAAAGGUACCAGACAGCUGCAGCAGAUGACUUAAGCCUAAUAGACUGCAGGUUAUAUAUACAGUAUAUAUGGACAUAGAUGAAGCCUUCUGCCUAACUCUGUCUGCACAUUUUCUGGAAGCUUGCAAAUAUGGACCAAAUGUCAGACCAGCAUUCCUCAGAGAGCUUGGUAAUAGUUGAGUCAUCUGAUGGCAUCACACAGUUUAUUCGGCUGCACAUCCAUGAUGCGAAUCUCCCGUUCCAUCACAUCCCAAAGAUGCUCUAUUGGAUUGAGAUCUGGUGACUGUGGAGGCCAUUUGAGUACAGUGAACUCAUUGUCAUGUUCAAGAAACCAGUCUGAGAUGAUUCCAGCUUUAUGACAUGGCGCAUUAUCCUGCUGAAAGUAGCCAUCAGAAGUUGGGUACAUUGUGGUCAUAAAGGGAUGGACAUGGUCAGCAACAAUACUCAGGUAGGCUGUGGCGUUGCAACGAUGCUCAAUUGGUACCAAGGGGCCCAAAGAGUGCCAAGAAAAUAUUCCCCACACCAUGACACCACCACCACCAGCCUGAACCGUUGAUACAAGGCAGGAUGGAUCCAUGCUUUCAUGUUGUUGACGCCAAAUUCUGACCCUACCAUCCGAAUGUCGCAGCAGAAAUCGAGACUCAUCAGACCAGGCAACGUUUUUCCAAUCUUCUAUUGUCCAAUUUCGAUGAGCUUGUGCAAAUUGUAGCCUCAGUUUCCUGUUCUUAGCUGAAAGGAGUGGCACCCGGUGUGGUCUUCUGCUGCUGUAGCCCAUCUGCCUCAAAGUUCGACGUACUGUGCGUUCAGAGAUGCUCUUCUGCCUACCUUGGUUGUAACGGGUGGUUAUUUGAGUCACUGUUGCCUUUCUAUCAGCUCGAACCAGUCUGGCCAUUCUCCUCUGACCUCUGGCAUCAACAAGGCAUUUCCGCCCACAGAACUGCCGCUCACUGGAUAUUUUUUCUUUUUCGGACCAUUCUCUGUAAACCCUAGAGAUGGUUGUGCGUGAAAAUCCCAGUAGAUCAGCAGUUUCUGAAAUACUCAGACCAGCCCUUCUGGCACCAACAACCAUGCCACGUUCAAAGUCACUCAAAUCACCUUUCUUCCCCAUACUGAUGCUCGGUUUGAACUGCAGGAGAUUGUCUUGACCAUGUCUACAUGCCUAAAUGCACUAAGUUGCCACCAUGUGAUUGGCUGAUUAGAAAUUAAGUGUUAACGAGCAGUUGGACAGGUGUACCUAAUAAAGUGGCCGGUGAGUGUAUAUACAGUAUAUAUGGACAUAGAUGAAGCCUUCUGCCUAACUCUGUCUGCACAUUUUCUGGAAGCUUGCAAAUAUAGACCAAAUGUCAGACCAGCAAACCACAGAAGAAGAAUAGUUGAGUCAAAGUCUGUGCAAGAGCUGUUUAUUCGAACACCCUGUCGUCUACUCUUCGUUUAAUGAACACCCAAAUGUGAAGGACGCUUGGGAGUUUGUGAGCAGUGACUGUUAUUCAUUUAAAAUAUGAAUCUCUGUUUUUAUACAUACGGGGAGCAGAAAUGAUUCUUAAAAAUAACUUCUUUAUUGGUGCACAAGUAGAGGAAAAGGUGAACGGUUGAAUAGAAAUGACGUAAAUCUGAUGUCAAACGUUUUCAAUAAGUCACAUCUCUUCAGCAGAAGUCCUGAAGUGAGAAAAGUUGAUUUAUGAAACUAAAAAAGCUUAUGGAAGCACAUUAAAUACAGUUUAUUUCUUGGAAUAUGCGACUUAUUGCGUUUUGCAUUCUUUUCAGAAAUGUCACAUUGUUAUUGUCAGGCACCUCAGAAAUAAACAAAUUCCCAUUUUACCAAAAUUUAUUAUAAUAGCUUUCAUUUUGCCAAGUUUAAAAGUUCAAAUGUGAGCUAACUUUUUAACCUUUGUUUCCUCUUUAAAACCAAGUAUGAAGUCCAUAAAGUUCAUCCAGUGUUACAAAUUUGUUGUAUUUGUUAAUACGGAUAAUUUGCCUCAUUAUGAAUCAGCCCUUCAUAUGAAUGAUGCAUUAAUUCAAAUACUUUUUCAUUAACACAAUUUAAUGUGCAUAUGUACUUUGAGUUCAUCUUUUUUGACAACUUCGGCUCUGUCCUCAUCUUAUCUGAGUUUCUGCAGCAGCCUCCAGUGAAGAGCGUCUCUCCUCGCUCUAUGAAGAUGACAUGAGCGUGCUUUCAGGGGUAAUAUUAAACACCGUAUACGUGCCAACUUAGAUUAGGCCUGUAGUUGUGUGGAUUAAAAAAAAACACCAGCAGCACAUUAGCUUUAAUAGCUGCAGUCACAUGUAUUUAGGAGAGCGCAUAAUUUGCCGGGAGAUCUGAGAGUCUCACUGGCACAGCAGCACAACAGAAGGUAGGGCCCUCUUCAAGUGAGAUGUGGGUGUUAUUUCCGGCGUGGUUUGGGACCAAAAAGGAGCACAGCAGAUACACAUUGAUGGUAUUAAACAAUUUCAACUGCCUCCAGUUUUUUAUCUGCUCCGUGAACUUAAUUUUCUUUAAUCUUAGAUCUUUGAUUUAUCCCUAGAGCUUGAUUCAGCCAAAAGGAUGAAGAUGAGCGUUUGGAACAGAAAGCUUGAAGUUUCUGCUCAGACUGGGUGGAGAAAGUGAACAGAAAAAAACACUUUGUUCCAGUUUAACAUGAAUUAAUCUAUUAACAGUCUUAAGUGUUGUGUGUUCUCAGUCAUUUAUAAGGAAGAAGAAAAUGAGAGAUCACUCUAGGAUGGAUGUUCUCAGAGCGUUAAAUGACCUUUAAAUGUCACUGAAACGGUUCUGGUUCGUUUUGGGUCAGGUUAAAUAAAAAUCAUGUUUUCAGUUAAAACGCUGACAUCAGGGUCAUGAUCAAAAGUUAGUGUGAACUGAAUGAAUGUAAGAUGCCACUCAGAUCAGUAAAAUAACCACUUUGACUCUGAUCUCACUAAAGGCACAAACCUAAAAUCACCUAGCAACCUCGUCAGUCUCUGCAUGGACUGAAAAAAUGUUGCACAUGUUAGUGAGAUAGUGCUGGCAAGGAUGAUGUAUGUGCAGAGGCUGCUCAUUUGCGUGUGCAGCUCCCUAUCCACUCACGUGAAUCUCUCAAGCUCACACGUGAAUUGUGUGUCGUAGCGGCUUUUUGUCAUCAAAAUGAAUGAAACUAUACAUACUCAUGACCCAGAGCAUCCCAGGCAUGUAGAGGAACCAACACGGGAUACUGGAUACUGAGGUCUAAGUGUCUCACAUAUGUUCAUAUACAUAUGAACUUGAUAUGCAGUCACCUUCUCAAACCACAUCAGGGUGUUAUCCCUCAUUUUCACCAGGUAACUUUAACCUAAUUGAGCUGUAUGGUUAGGGCUGGGUGAUAAAAUGAUAAUGGUAUAUAUCGAAAAUUAAUUUCCCUCAAUAUGAAUCAAACAUGGUCAAUAUGCUUUUCGAUAGUCGGCAUAUUGCCAUGUUUAGGGUGACUACACAAAUAGCCAAUGAAAAGGGGAGUUGCUCCGGGUUCGCUUCGCGCUGAACCAAUCGCGCUGAAUUAAAAUCAAGUAGCAAACAACUGUGUAGUAGCAACCUGCAGCUACACGCAACCAUAGCAAUUUAACACGUGAAGCUGACAGCACUGUUGGUGAGAAAAAAAGGAAAAUGAGUGCUACCCCCGGCAGAAAUGCAGAUAAAGGCUCAACAGAUGAUGAUAUCAUCGACAACACAGGCACGAAAACGUUGGUGGUGUGGAGGUAUUUUAGUUUUUUGAGGUCAGACAUGAAGCAGAGUAAUGUGCACUGCAAAUUAUGUCGAGUACAUGUUCUCGCAAAGUCGGGGGGAUACCUCAAAUCUUUUUCACCACCUGAAGCAGAGCCACGCGGCAGAGCAUGCGCAAUGCAAAAGGUUACAAACUCCGAGUGGAGUAAGGAGCCCAUGGCACCUGUGCAGCUGAAACAGCCGAUCAUUCGGUCUGCUUUCUCUAGUGCAACACCUUACGACAAAACGUCAAAGAGACACAAAGACCUCACAGAUGCAGAUAUUGUAUUGCAAAAGACAUGCUACCAAUAAGCACUGUUAAAUUUCAUGUUUUAUAUCGUGAUAUGUAAGGAUAUCGAUUGAUAUGAGAAAAUAUAUCGUGAUAAACUUUUUCCCAUAUCGUCCAGCCCUAUAUAUGCUUCAAGAAAAGAUGUACAGAUGUUCAAGGGAAACUUUAAGGAGAAUAAAUGCAACUUUGUGUGUCUGGACCAAAAGGAAGGAGACAAAGCAUUAAUUUCUGACAACUAAGUAUGAGAGUGCAUUGCAUUGUGCUGUACUUGACAUUUUUUUAAAAUUCAGAGGUUUCCAUGCAAUUCAUUGAUCUUCUGCGUAUUCAGUAUUUCACUCCUCUGAUAGGAUUUAGUAUUUCUUCCUGCAGUAGAAUCUCAUCUUGUCUCUGGCUUUCUAAAUUCACACCCAGUUAUCCUCAACCUAACUCCCAUAUGUUCAAACCAGGCAAGAGGCAGAAAAUAAAGAAGGUUACCUGCUUGGGAUCUUUAGCUCUACAAAUUACAUACGUUGCUCAUUUCUCACAGGACUACCAUCACUGACAACCCUUGCAAUUAUCGCAAAUUACUUGAGUUCCCAGGAUGCUUGUAGCGUGCUAGAAGAAGGGCUGUUAUUCUAGCAGCCGAACCCGACAGAGCGAUGUCAGCUGCAGAAAAACUCAGGGGAGGUGCUGCUACAUCUGCAGUAGAUUCACUGUCUUUAAAUCCUUUUUCAUACAGCGCUCAAAGAAGACUUCUCCACAGCUGCAGAAGGUGUAGUUCAGACACACGCCACUGCCUCCCACAGAUUUCCACGUUUGCUGAGAUUCAAAAGAAAGUCUGUUCCCUUUCACUUCCAAUAUAAAACAUAUAGAUGCAAUAAGCUGUAAUACCAGAUGGGAUUAAUUUUGACCCGACAGUUCAUACAGAACUGCUCCAACUCAGCAGGCAUGAAAUUCUUGUUUCAGAAACCCGACGCAUGCGGAUGUGAUUUGGGCCUGAACUUUGACAGAACCAUUUCAAAACUUUAAAUUCUUCUUCCUCAGUUGCACUGAAGUCGGCCGAUGUGUCUCAGAUCAUUUUCUUGCCGUGUGACCCAUGUGCACCUCGACUGCAGCUGUAGAAAUAUGACUUCAUAUUCUCCUGCCAGAGAUUCAGUGUGGUCCUCUUCAGAGCCGGAUUCAUGACUCAGCCAGUAAUUGUAAAACAUCCAGGUGCACUAAAUCAUCCCUCAGCUAUAAUUCUGUCAUUUACUUUGACUUCAGAUUUCUCUGGGACUUCAUUCCAGACUUACUGAGAGUGUCCUGGUUUUUUUCUCACAUGUGGUUUUUCAGUCUUUUCUUUCACACCUUUCACUGGCUUAGGAUGGAUUUCAGGAGUCUGGCUGAUAUAAGUAUUUGGUUCACAGGAGUACAAUGUUGGCUUAAUGUGUACCAAGGCUGUGGUAGUAGAGCUUGAGUCAGAAAUUUGAUGAAACAAAACUCCAGGAUGUGCAGUUGUAGGGAGUAUUUAGUUGACCCUGAAGGUCUAAUGUUACAUGAAUAAUAUAAGAUAAUAUAAGAUAAAAUGACGUUUAAAGUCCUUCGACAUGAUUGUGUGUUGACAGGAUCUGUGUCACCCUCCUGUUUGUUGUUGUAUGCAUGCAGUGCAUGUACAAACUGCAACCCACAGAGGUCACUGUUAACAUACUAACCAUGGGUUCUUUUAGUGCAGUGGAAUAGGCUGGGAGUUAAGCUCUUACAUGCCACUGGGAAAAAAGAGAUAAUUAUGUUGUUCUACAUUUCAGUAAAAGCUAUCUCAAAUUAGUUUGUCCUCUUAGCUGGAAAUCAAAGGCUAGACAAAGAGAGAAAGUAUGAUUGUGCAGAUGUGAGUUUGGAGAUUCAGAGGUUGUGCUGUGCUGCUGUAGAGGAUGUAAAAGCUGAUGUACUUGGUGCAUUUUACAUACAUAAUUGUAGAAUUAUUACUCCCUCUGGUGGUCAUUUAAGGGACAUGCAGCUCUACAGGAGUGGCUCAGUCAUGUCAUUUGUUUUGAGAGAAAUUUUUUCAUGGAUGGGACUGUAUUUCUUAAUGAUUUCUUGAAAGCUUUUCUUAUAAGGGGUUCUGGUAUGAAGUCUGUAUUUACUUCAUUAUUUCAGCAGAUUUGUUUCUAAUGAAUCUCCUGAUGUUUUCCCUAAAAAAAAUCAUUCAAAGCCAAAAACAACCAAGAUUAAUCAAAUUUAUAACCUAAAAAUGUGGCUUUUCAUUUACGCUGAGUUGUGCUUGCAGAAAAAUGAUCCUCAGUCAUGUAUCACAGUCUCAUCUUCAGCUGACCUGCUGUGCACUUAGAAAAAGGUCUUAAAGUUGUUUUGCAUUUUUUGCAUUUGGAAGUAAUUGGAAAUAUACCUACACCUCUCUGUUUCCCUCAUGUUUACUUCUUUUUAACAUUGUUUUUUUCAAAGUUAUGCCAUGUAAUAUUGAUGACAUUGUCAGAAUCUAAAGAAGACCAGUUAAGCAUGUAGAGAACAAGAGAAGCUAGUCUGCUUUGUCCACAGGGGGCGCCAAAAACUGACACAAACUGAAAGUUCCUCACUGCUUCAAGUUUAGUUUGGAACAUCCUUCCUCCCCUCCUCACUGACUCACUGACUAAUUUAACUUCAUACUCACUCAGUCACUUGUGCUUCAAGUCCAACCAGUUCAUCUGAUUUUUAAUAAUAAUCAGAAUAAUUGCCUCUCUAUUAAAAUCAGUGUGCAGUUAAGAGUUUUUAUAUUCUGUUACAUUAAAUUAAUGGAUAUAUAUUUUAUACUAUGUUUAAUCUAAAAAUACAAAAAGCUUUCAGUGCCUUUAACUUUAUUUCUGUUCAGUUUAAUUUUUGACCAACUUCAUGCCAUCAAAAAGAAAGAAACUCAAGUACUACAAACUGUAAAAGAAAAAAGUUGAAUCAGUAAAUCUGAACAGCCACUCAGCAUUAUACUCAGUAAAUGAGGUUUAUUUUUCUUUCACCAAAGUAAACUGUUGAGGUGAGGAGAAAUUACAGUUUAGAUCGAGACAAAACUGAUGUGUGAGAAGAGAGAGAGAGAGAGACAGAGAGAGAGAGAGAGAGCAGGUUUAUGUGUGUGAGUGCAGUGUUGAUGGAUGAGCAUGACAGGCAGUGUGUGAAGUGAACAUUUCCCACCACACAGCUGGUGAUGGUUACCAUGAGAACCAUCAGGGGCAGAUGGCGUCCAAAUGCUGCCUGGAUGACACUCAAGCACACACACACACACACACACACACACAUUCACAAAAACACUCUCAUUUCAUGGUCAGGGUUUUUUUUAUGAUGUGAUCCAUGUAAUACUGAAGUUUCUUAAAGCUUUAUGUGCUCUCUUAUGAUGUAUCUGUGGUUUUCUGUGGCAGAUAAUGGCUCGCAGUUAUGAAACGUUAGUAUAUUUAUGUGUAAAUUUAAACGUAAACAUCACUGGUACCAAAAUACUACACCAGAUCAUAGAGACUGCAGAAACCCCUGAUUUGAUCGUAGGCAGGUGUGUAAGUAAAUAGUAGUUUAUGAAUGCCAAACAAUCGUAAAGUGACCCCACGCUCAUGAUAGCCAUGGUCUCCUGCCAUGAAUAGACGAUAAACACCAUAGAAGGAAGUUUUAAUAUAUUAUGCCUCCAAUUUGACUCAAUUUUAGCAAAAUAAAUGGAAAUUAGACUUUCUUAAUUUGCUAGUUUUGUAGAAACUUCACACUUGACAUUUAAAAACAAAAUGCUGCCUAACCUCAAGACAAUUCAUCCAUUCAGGGGCUUGUAUAAAUACUUAAUGCAGUAUUUUGUUUUAUGUUUUCAAAAUGAAAAAGAGCAGCAGUAGAGAAAGAGGUGAAAAAGUAUCUUGUGGUUUUCUCUGAUAGAUUUAUCUUAUCCCACCAGUGAGGCUGCCUCCUCUUAUCCUGAAAUCAAUAUCUCUGUGUGAGACAUUGUGCAUCACUGUAUGGGAUUUGUGCAUCUUUGUUUAUCCCCGCACAGUCGAAUCUCAGGCUUCGUUUAGAAAUGACUCCUGGUGAAAGAAAAAUAUGUAUAUUGGUAACUCUAAACCCUGGCCAGUACGACCAUUGCAUAAUUGUGUGUCUGUGCUUUUGAUGUGUGAGAGAGCACAGCUGAGCCUCCGGGCUUUGGCUCCAGAAGUGUGGCAAUUGAUUUGGCCGACUGUACCGGGUCAGGCUGUGGAAUAACACACACGCACUCACAGAAAUGGAGGAGAAGAAAUAGAGACUGACAAACAGGGCGGGGGACAUGACAGGCUUAACUGUGAUUUAAUGGAGUCACAGAGAUGAAAAAUAUGGUGACUGGAGAUAAGAUAAACAAGAAUAAUGAGGAAAUCGUCUCAUGCGAACCCUUGUUCUCUCAAGUUUUUGCUCCCUGGGGUGGAGUUAUAACUGGAUGGUAUUAUUAAAAAGAAAAGGCAAACACUUAUCUCAGUGGGGUCGAGCUCUCUCUUGUUCUCAGCACUAUAGAGUCUGUUCUUCAGUUGAGCUCUGGCCUCCCUAAAUAAUCAGGUCGCUUUAUGAAAAGGCAAAUUUCAUAGUUGUUGACGUUGCAAGUCUCAAGGUCUUUACACACCGAGCAAUAGGCAAAGCGGCACAAAUAAGCGACGCGAAAAGGCGAAUGUUUCGCCUGCGAAUUUUUUCUGUACACACCAGGCGCAACACAUUUAUGUUAAUAAAAUCUGCUUAGCGAAUAAAGUUUGGUGCUUUUUCUUUUCUUCAUAUACAAACAUUUACUGGACUUCAAAAAAGUUGCCCGAGCUGGUUGGUUAGCUAGUUUAGCUUCAUAUUAUGCUAGCUACGUUACACAUCUAUGUUUUAGGAUUGAUAUAACAUCAAUAUACUCAACAUGUAAGUUGAAGUCCUCUUCUAUUUCCUGCCAUAUAUUUUCUCUGAGGGGAGUGUCAUGGAAUAUUUUAAGGGACUUGUCCCAUAAAGCACGGCGCUCCUGCACACUAAUGAUAAAGCGCUGAGUCAUGAUGAGUAGAUGCAGACCAGGGCUGAUGCUGCCAGUAAAGUUUGGUGACGUUAUCGACAUACCAACAUCAUUUUGAUUGGUCAGAGGUCUGGCCUUUCACCUUUUCACCUCCGCAAAAUUCGACAAAAGUGCAAAUGUGUGUAAGGACCUUAAAAGUAAGAAACACUCAGACUGCUGUCAAAACUGAGCACCAUUCAUUCAUCACAACCCAAGAGUCCAGGGAUAAGUGGGGCUAACAGUAGCAGAGCUUGCACCAUCAGCCUUUAUUCCUUCUAUAAAGAUAACAUUCACAUGCCUGUGCUGGUUACACAUUGCGCUGGUUGAGUUUUUGUGCCAGUUUAACCACACACAGCCUCCAUAUGACUGAUUUAUAGAUGAAUAUACUGCCAAACUGUGCUGCACUGCAAAACAUAUCUGUGUCCAGUGCUUGUUUACAUCCAGAUAGUCCAGCAUGAUGCGUCUCAGAGUGGUGGGGUAACAUUAAUGAUGGGAUUAAGAACUUGUUUAAAUUGGAUUACGGGGUAAGUGUACUACAUUAGUAGCAACUAAACUUAAGAAAACCUGAACUAGCCCUUUAAUUGGAAUGAUAUAGCAGGACCUAUAUACAGGUGUGUGUGUGUGUGUGUGUGUGUGUGUGUGUGUGUGUGUGUGUGUGUGUGUGUGUGUAAUAAAGGAUACACAACAUGGCUUCAUGCGGAGGCAGAGUUUGUAAUUUCAGGCUUUGGCGAGUGUGAAGUCAGUCACAGCAUGGUCAGCCUCAGGUGUGUGUGUGUGUGUGUGUGUGUGUGUGUGUGUGUGUGUGUGUGUGUGUGUGUGUGUGUGUGUGCGUGUGUGCGUGCAUGCGUGCGUGAGUGCGUGUGUGCGUGCGCGUGAAGCUGUAGUGAUGGAGUGAGUGUGUUCACAUGUGUUGUUUUAACCACAAAAAUUUACAUGCUCACACACAAACACACUGGGCACAUAUUGAUGUGUACCCACCUUCACUUCUACAUAUCAAACCAUUUUCAUAUUCAAACACUGGCAAGGACUUUCCCUGUAACACAAACACACACACACACACACACACCCUCACAGUGGGCUGCCAUCUGUUCUCACAGUCGAGCUGUCUUGGCGGCCCCUCUGGCCUGGGACACAAUCAAUGACUCUUUCUAGCUCUCUCUCCCAAACACACACACACACACACACACACACACACACACACACACACACACACACACACACACUCACAGAUAUGCACCAAACAUGUUCAGGCCAACACACCGAACCAAACCACUCAACUUUCUGCUCCAUCAAAGCUAAAGCAUCACUCAGCAUCUCUCACCCAUUUCCAAACUACUUGGUAAACUUUCUCAAAAAGGUUGAUGUUCAAAAAAGAUUAAAAUAAACAUUAUUUUUGCAUUUUUGUUCGUCCUAAUUUCUUACUAUGACUGUUGGGACUUCGCAGACGCCCUAACUGGAAAUCUUCCAAGAAAUAACAAAAAAAUUCUUGAGUAUUUACUCGCUUUUAGCAGAAUAUGUGAUUCAAAUGAUACCUUAUGAGACCUGUUUGAUCUGUAGUCUUCCUUAGAGAACAGAUCAGCACACUAACACCUCAAACAAUUUGAACAGUGUUGAGAAAUUUGUCAUAUAAAGAAUAUUUCAGCCCUCUGUAUGAUGUCUGUUUGAUCGGUUUCUUUGUCAUGCAAAUAUGCGUUAGAUAUCACUCAAUGGAAGGUUACAUGUUAAAAUUUUCUCACAGGCAUUUACUUUUUUCAAUUUUGGUUCAUUAUACUGACAGCUAACAGACUACGACUGUGGUUUUAUUCCCUAUGAGACACUCAGAGACAAAGGUUAGGUUGGGUUGGCAUUUCUGUAUUGUUGUCUGAACAAUACAGUUAUAUCAUAAAGUAUAAAAGGUUUGUUUGGAUUGCCUUAUUUGAAGUCUUUUGUCAACCAUAAUCUUUGGAAAUACCCAACUCCACCUCUGUUUACAUUUUAUGGGAAGAUUUUAGGGAUAAUGGAGGUAAAAAUCCUACACAACCGGGCUCUAAAUGAACAAAUACUGUAAACAUGGGAGCAUUUUCUCAAGUGGACAACAUUUAAAACAUGGCAUUGCAGUGUUACCUGCAGUUUCCAUCCCAUAGGCUUUCUAUUUUCAUAUUAGAGGCAUUCAAAGUCUUUCAGCCUCUCUCUCUAAAAUCUCUGAGUCUUCUUGGCUGCUGGUGCAUCCACAUGCAUCACCAUCACAGUUCCAGAUUUACAUUUUCUGAAAAAAGUGGCGGCUCUCAAAAGAAAUCCCUGAGGGUAUCAACUCACUUAGCUAUCUGUUAUGUGACAGUCAAGUGCAGUGAAAGAAGGGUAAUACUAACCCAUCUAAACUCAGUAUUGAAAGUUAAGAACGUAAAGAUGAUGUUUUAUUGGUUGUGAAAGCUCUGGAUUGAACAGGAUGGUGGUUGAUUGGUAAUGCUUGCAGAAGAGCAGGUGUUGCAAUAGUUUUAUGGAGAGAUAGGUAAAACUGGUUGCAACUCAUUGAUUAUUUGCACUUCCACAAAUGCUCACAAAUACAUUUGAGGUUGCACGGGUGAAAUUUGAGGAGCAUAUGCAACUAUGAUUGUCACACUUUCAAGCUUUGCAAAACAUUCAAGACAAAGAUGAAAGUCUACAUAACUUAGUCGCCCUCUAUUUGCCACAUUUAACAGAAAUGAGUUAGAGGCAGAGAUUCAUCGUCAAUACAUCCCUCCAUUUUGCUUUCUAUGUUAUGAGAGCAUAAUACAGACACAGUAAAGGGGCUGGGCAUCAUUCUUCAUUUACUGAAUACCUCCCUCUCUCACAGAUUAAAGCAGAAGAGAGCUUUGACAGUCAUGGACACACAGAGUCAACUCUGAUGACAAAUAAAGAGAGAGAGAGGAGUGUGUGUUAGAAAUCAAAGAGUGAGCCUGACUGGUUUUGUUGUCGUCUUUUAGAAAGAGUCCCGCACUCUGUAUGACACUAAACAUGAACAUGGAGCUUAACAUGCAAACACACUCAUCUCCUCUUAAAUGUAGAGUAAUGUACACAAGCUAAAGCCAAGUAGAUCUUUAUCAGUUCAUUUGCCUUCUCAUGAAUGUGUUUUUCAGAUCAGACGCCACCACUGUCAGUCCAAAUAUGAUUAGAUAACAGAGGCAGAGGGAGGUAAAGAGUAAUAGCAGAGUAAUGCUUGCUGUGUGUAGCCUGAGGUUAUCCUGUAGAAAUGCCAGAUCAUGAAUGUUGUACCACCGCAAACAAGCUGUGAACUAUGUGUACAAGGUGAGUGUGGAUUUUGGCUGACAGAAGGUACAAUUUGGCCGCCAUUUACAUGACCGACUUCAGCUAAAGGCUGGCUGGGUUUUGUGUUGUUUAGUUAAUUUUUCUGCACUGUAUGCUGUUAACAUUGGGAAGAAUAGGAAACCAACACAGCAAGUUAGAGCUUAGUUUCUGGAAAGCUAAGUAGUGAACUUCAGUUUAGUAUCUUACAAAUGUUUCUUUAACUUAUUUCCCGAAAGGUCUUCUGCAGGGUUCAGUCUGGAAGUCUUCAAAACUUGCAGCCAUCAAUAUGACCAAGCUCUAGUAGUUUUGCAGCACUUUAAAAAGCAGCUAUUUUGAUUAACACAAGUGGUUCAAGAGUAAAUGAGCAGUGUGGAGGUCUUGAACGUAUCUUGAGUCGAGGCGACGCCCUGCAUGAGCCCCUGUGUUGUAAGCUUCCAAUUUGAUCCAGUUUUGCAUUUUAAAAACGUCAUUAAUUCACUCUCUUUUUCUCUUCCCCUCCUGUCCAUCUCCAAUGUAAUACACAUAGAGAUGUUUCCUAUCAUCUAAAUCCUCUCUGCCCUUUAUGUCCACUCCUCUCCUCCCUGUCUUCAGCACGUGACUCUCUUUUUGUUCCCUAUCUGUUAUUUUCUUUUUCUGCACAUUGGUCUCUCUGCUCAUUCUUCACUUCAUCUUCUCUUCCUAUUGCUCUGUCUCUCUUUCCACAGUGCUCUUUGUGUUUCCUAUAAUCCUCUUUCUGGUGUGGUUUAAUCUUCGCUUUUAAGAGGCGAGUGGCUGCAGGCCUUUAGAUGGCCCUUGGAUAACUCGCUCUUCCUGUAUGUGCGUGCGUAUUUCUGUGUGUGCGUGUAUGUGUGUGUGUGUGUGUGCAAAACUGUAAGUGUGAAAAUGCCUGAGAAAUUCCUCAUGGAGAGAUGCUCACUUUUUUAUCCCUCAGUCUUGUUUUUCUGACUAAAUCUAAAAUAAACUGCAUUAACUGAGCAUUUAGAUCUGAGCCACAUGCCUUCUACCUGAAUUUGCAUCUUUUCCCUCUUUAAUCUGCUGAAAACUCGCUUUUCGUCACAGAUUUUCAUUCGUUCUCUGAUAAACUGUAUUACUGAGUCAUGAGCAAUUCAAAUCACACUGCAAGCUUUUCUUUUUUCCACAAGUAGAAGUUGUUCUUUGAUGGUUUUUGUUAGUUUGAAGAGCAUCUGGACUUGACAAGGCUGACCCCUCACUCCAUCCUUCUUUCUGGACCCCAUUAUUCUGUCUGUUAACACACACAGUAGAGUCCAGCCUGGGUUUCUGGACCUCAUUAGUUUUCCAAUUAGCUGCUGUCAUCUGUCGACCCUGAUUUCUGUGGGCAAGCAAUGACACUGCAGCCGAUUCUCUGCUCUGAUUCGUCUCAGUGGGAACAGAUGGACUUCCUGUUGUCUUUUCAGGGAAAAAGUCAAGAUGAUUCUUCCCUCAGAAAAGUUUGACUUUUUUACCCCAAAGUUGAGAAACAAGACAUUGCAAGAACAAGAAGACCUCCACCAACUUAACAGACAGUUGUGUUAUAGUCAGACUUUUGUAGUACUUUAAAACGUUGAUAAAGCGACAUAUUAAUCAUGAUCCAGUUAAGUUCUGGUACUGUAAAUUGAUCCUCUCUCUUUUGUCCCUUUUGUGAGUUUAACCUGGGGGGAUGGUAAAGGGGCUACAGUCAUCAUCACUGUGGCUGCUGGUUUGACUUCUAGCCUUCACAACAUUCACCCUCAAAACUUCUCCUGACUCUCUUGGCUGUCCUCCAAUCCAAUGAAGUCAAAUAUGCCCCCCAAAAUACUUCACCUGUCUGGCUUCUCUGACUUAGUUUCAUAGACACUCUAUUAUUUAGAGGAUUGUUUAGAAGAUGCAUACAAAAACAUAUCUGUGAGGGGUGUGUGUCCAUAUUCCCACGCAUCUGUGAGUGUGUGAACUUGAAAAGUCUUGUGGCAGUAAAGACGACUUUUAAUUCCAUCAGGUUUAAAACUGGAUUUGACAAAUUUAUUCACCAAGACAUGACUCCUCAUUACAUCUUACUGUUGAUAUUACUUUUCUGAAAGAGGGAAAGAUGAUCUUAUUUCAAAUUUCAUCCAUCAACAAGAAACUUAUUAACAGGCAUUAAUAAAAGUGCUGAUCAUCGCUUUUAUAUGUUCAAGUGCACCAUGUGGAGGAUAUCAUGAGGCCUUGAGGCAAUCAGAUGUAAAAUACAAUAUUAAUGAGUGUUUUAAGUAGUACAUCGGUCAGAAUUCACCCAAACAUGACAGGAGGGUUAAUACAGAUAUUUACAUCAGGUGAUUGUACCUGCUUUUGUGUUUUGAAUGAGAGGUGCAAAUAUCUGUGCGAACAUAUUACCACAGUUACAUAAACAAGAGCUUUAAAAGGUUCCACAGGGGGCGCUAUAGUCUGAUUAUUUUCACAACUUUCAAGAAAAAACAGAUUUUCUUGAACAUCUCUACAGGUUUGUUAAACCGAACUUGGAUCACUAUUUGAUUUAGCCUCUUUCAGGUUUUGCCAGACCCAUUUUUAAUAUGAAAGGAUUAAAUAUCGUUGGCAUUGGAUUCAUCAAAGUGAAGCUCACAAUUUGCUAAUUACUUUGAUUAUUCUUAAAUUGUGUAAAAGGUUUCUUUAGCUGCUUGACUGACACCCACAUCCUCGCACCGGUUUCAGGCAUUAAAAAAUACAAAUAGUAUCUCGUCGCUAAUGGCCUUAUUUGCUUUUUGGUGUUGUUGAAAGAAAUUAAUGAGUUUCAGUCUAUUUUACAAACAUGAAACAAAUCCCUGUAUGAGCUUUAAAAUCCUUAAUUUACCUUGCUUUAGAAGUUUAACCCAAUUUUCCAUCUGUCGCUCCGAUGAGUCCAGACGUGUUUCUGUCAGUCAAAACACACCGUGUUGCUACGUUAGUUUUCAAAGCAGUUUGAAAAAAAAAUCAUUAACCUCAUUAAGUUCAUAUCAGGUACCAUUUAGAGCCUCGGGGGCGUGUAUGUGAGAAUUUGAACAGACGUCACUCUUUGAUAUGUCUCACCGAUAUGCUUCACUUGAAUGCAAAGAAACAAAACACACUUGCAGAAGCAUGCAUGUUCAACAACAGGGUGCAAAAAUUUUAACCAGUGCUCAGACUUGGAUCCAAGUCCAUCAAGCUUAUUGUUACAUAAGCUAGAUAAAUUAUACAAUACAUAUAUUCUGUAGUUCAAGGCUGAGUAUAUAUAUUACAGUCUGCAAGUGCCUCUACCAUAAAAGUCUGAAUAUAGCUGUAUUUAGUUGAAUCAUCAUCACCUCAGCUCUCCAUUUAUCACGCACUUUUAAGUUGGCUGCAUUUUUCGAGCUUGACGAAUAGUUGUGUAAAACAGAAUUAAAUACUUAGUCUGAAAAAACAGCAUAAAUAUAAACUGUUGGAAAAAUCAGUCUGGUUGUGUGGAAAAGUUUGUGGUUGUUAAGCAGACAAAUUUGCUGUUAUUUAAACAGCUGUUACACAGUUUGGAUCAUUUGAAAGCUUGUUGAAGUGGGAUCAGCUUGUCUGUGAGUCAGAUUUGUAUCUGAGUGAAAUGUAAUGAGUUUCACUCUUCAGAUCGGGACAGUGUUUGUUCACAAUCCAGCCAACCACAAACAGACACAAAGACAAGAAAACACUGAUGACAGGGACUAAAAACAUGCAAAGCAGGAGGAUAUACUCAGUUUAUACCUCAUAAUCUAUGCGUUUUUUUUGUGUAAAAUCUAUCUAAUGAUUUAUUUUCUUACUUGAAUGAUGGCAAUGAGAAUUCGGCACAAAACGGACCUAAUUAUUUUGCAGCCCAUGCAAAAGCUCUGUGUAUGUGUGGGUCUUAAAGCAUAGAUCUGACCUGUGAAACCGGAGUACAUCAUUUUCAAUAUGUGCCACUGGCUCUUAGAGCACUACUCUAGUCCUAUAUUGUCACUAAUGGAGGGCCAGUGUGUCUCUCUGAGUGUGUUUGGCUAUAUUCCCAGUGUAAAGAUUUGAGACCUCAUAGCUUUGACUUGAGCCCAAAAGCCAGAUAGAGGGCUGAGUUAAAUUUUAGGAGAUGGAUUGUGUCUAGACAGAGGAAAACCUACAAAAGUGUGUUUUUUUAUGUCUUUUGCAUAUCUGAUUACUGAACUAGUUAAGUGAAUAUGCUUCUACUCCUCUAGGUAAAGCUAUUAACAGGUUUUUGAUAACAACUGUAAUGAUUAGACACAAGAACUGCAGCGAUAACUGGGGAUAAGGUCUGGCUCACUUAGUCCUUUAAUUUACACAAAUUUACACUAGGCACAUUUUGUGGUACUGUCUAAACAAGUACAAGCACCUUAGAUAGGCAUGUCUGAGGUUUUGCAUGAGUUUAUUACAUCCUCAUUGUAAUGUAUCGUCCACAUCCUUGGGCUCUGCCAACUUCUUUAAUGCUCAUCUCCCGCAUUUUUCCCCAUUUGCAAAAACAUAAAACCCUGUGUUUAGUUCUGCAAGCUCUGCAAAUGGUAGUUACAAAGAAAACCAUGGCAGCUGAGUCUAAGCAAGUUAUGUUGGUGCUGGGACUAAUAAAUGUUGAGCAGCAGUGAUCAUAGUGAAACUAUUGCAAAGAGGAGAAGAAAGGAGACGCUGAAGGAGAUAAGAUGCCGCCAAACCACUGAAGACAGCAGAUCUCGGGAAAGUCGUAGAUGCAGGAGAAACGAGACUAUCAGGGGACCAAUCAGGGCUCGCGGUCUUUGUUGUUUCAAAGCAAUUCUUUUGAUGUAGUCACAUUUGUUUAGGAGCAUCAUAGGUUUCUGAAUACAGAGCUGUGCAGCCCUAUUGCGUCGAUUUGAAGCAGCUGACCAGUGAAGUUAGUUUUCUGUGAUAAAACGAAAGACUGAGUUGCUUAAACUCCACCAGGUCCCUUUCAUUAUUCUUUGUACCAAUCUAAAUCAGCACAUCUCUGCUGCUGUGCACAUGUAUCCCAUCACAAGAAGUUAACCAGCGAGAAUUUUUGCAACAACUGUUCCGAGAAAACUGAAACGCUUUCCUCUAAUGAUUAUCUUUGACCGUAAAUGUUUUUUUAAAUGUUCACAUUUCUCACCAAGGGAGAGGUUGGUGUCAGACCACUUUUGAAGUCCCCUGAUGAAUUACAUAACUACUGCUCUGGGUCUUAAAAAGUAUUUUUAAAACAUUAAAAAUUCAGGCUGUUUUCACUUUCUUAUGGGGGGGAUUAAAAGCAAAUUGAUGACACAAAUCCCCCCCGUUUAUCUGCGGCUCUUCGCACAGCAUUACCACAUGGUUAUCUUUAGCAUCGCUUGUGUUUCUGCAUCCUGUCAACAGUGACACCAAAUCUACAGGGAUUUGUAGAUGCAAAUGAGGAAGCUGGGGAAACGAAGGCAUGCAAACAUGUCACUGAGCUCCUGCUUUGGGCUCCGUUUUCCUGCUCCAGGUUGUGUUCAGUCACUUUGGGAAAAGGUCAGUCUUGUAUUUCUUGCCCAGCAGAGGAAACGGUAAGAAAAAGCUCUUUUUUCAUAAAUACAGGACUACCUUUGAAGUAAGCUGAUGGAUUCCUGAGCUCCUAUCCAGGCUCUGCUGAGAACUUUUGAUUUGUUUAAGACGACCAAGCCGACAAAAUCACCCUCAUUUGCAAUAUUCUCCUUAAGUUAGUUUGCAUGUGAAGCUUAUUUACAUGAGUUCCCUCUGGAAAGUGUCCAAGUUGGACACUUGACCACAUAGAGCCUCUUAGAAAAAGGAAAGAAUAAUAAAAGACUAAAGUUUAAACAGCCAGAGUGUUGCUGUAACUCAAAGGAGACCAUCUCCUGGAAAAAGUUAACAACAGAUGAUGCAGGAUGUUUUAUUUCAGAUCAUCUGUAACCUGUCCUCCCUCUUCCUCUCUGGUAUCAGAGCUGCAUUCACUAACUUCCUAAAGUUUGUUCUUAUUUUUCUAAAAGUUGUGAUGGCUUAAAGCUGUUACCAACUUUUACUCAGUUAGCAAACAUCCUCAAGAGAGCCAAACCUUCACUAUUAAUGGAGCAGGAAUGUAGUUUUCUUAUCUGGAGACAGGACGAUGAUUUCAGCCUGUUUGUCAAGUUUGAACCUCAGCUUCCCCUCGCUGUAACCUUUUGGCACUUUUAUCACAGUCACUAAAAGUCAGUUUUUCAGAAAUCCAGGGAAAAUAAUGUGAUUAGUUCCAGCUCUGUCCCUGUAAAGCUGACUCUAUAGUGAUUGGUAGGGGAUGAGUUGACCAAAUCGUCAUGGUUGAAAACUCUAAGGACCAAAAAACCUCUCACUUCAUCUUUUUAUGAGUGGUUACAUCUUUUAGGUUGGCCUGUAUGCCUUACUCCUGUGAACACAAGACCUACAUAAGUCAGCAUGGCUUGCAUUUAUAUCUUAGACUGUUAUAAACAAAGGACAGACCAACAUCUAUCUUGAUUGAAGCUGCUACAUUUGGAGCUCUCUUGGCAACUGGCUGCAGUACAGGUCACUAACCUCGCCUCCUUCAGCAAAACAGACAAGAGUGGGUCGAACUGAACUUGUCAAACUACAUUUUUUCAAUCACAAGAUCUGUCAAAACUGUAGGUUUUAAUCUGAUUUAUGCACAACCAGCCAGAUUGCUUCUGAACAUGCCUAGGCUCCACCAGCACAAUAUGUCAGCACCAUAGACUGUACAUAGAAUGGACGCCAUCUGCCUCCUCACUGGGCGAAGCCACCCUGAGAACAGCACCCUCUGGUGAUGGGCUGUAGUAUAGGUCAUAAAUCCCGCCUCCGCCAGCAAUCCCUAUGGAGUUGUGGACAAACUUUAGAAAUUGAAUACACAGAAUAUAAAUGUUUCCUCCCCCCUGCUUGUUGACAUGUAGUUACUGUACAGCUCAAUUUUUAAAGUUAAUACAAGGUUCAUCUUUCUAUGAUUGACACUUGAUACAGCCUAUGGGCGUACAAAGAUUUCAUAGCUCACCGGAGAGAUAUGCUGUUUGGACGACUCUCCCAUCGAAUGCGUACAACGCUACUGCGCAAUGUUGGUUUCAGGAAGUGGAGAAAAAUCACUGAAACACCGAGAGCUUUUGGACUUCAAUGCGGAACCAAUGUGUCCAUAGUAUAUACAGUCUAUGGUCAGCACCCAUCUAGGCUGUAAUUUGGCUUCACUUGAAGGAGAUGGAGGCGUGCAGUUGGUGAUUCAUAUGGGAAGUGAGACUCUGAGUGUCUGAGUUAGUCUACUAAAGUGUGAGAGAAUGUAAUGCAAACACUUUGGAGAAUUGCAAAAAGUCUAAAUGUGACGUUAGGUUUAAGUAAAGAAGCUGUAAAAGUGUAAUGUGCUUGUUAGCUCCAUGGCAACUUAAUGUCAGGUACUAAAUGAACCAGGCUAAAAAAAGCCAACAGUUUAUCCCUUAGACAAACUAAACACAGCUUGCAGCUUUUAACUCGCCUGAUUCUUUCAUGUCUGUUUUAGAAGAGUUUAAGUGGAAACAACCACUUCUGCAGUAAACUGUCAACAAAUAAAUAUAAAUAAGACAGGAAGUUUAAAAGAUGUGUCUCAAACAUCCUCAGUCUGACCUCCCUGGGAUUUGUUUUAUCACCCAAGUGUGUGUGCAUGUGUGUGUUUGUGUGUGUGCAUUUGUGUCUAAGGUUUAUUCCUGCUUGCACGAUAUGUUGCAUAACUACAGCUUCUCCAUCUCUCUACUGUUUUAUUUCCAUUCACUCUCCCAGCAUCUGUCUCUGUUUAUCUCUGUGUGUUUUUCCUCUCAGGAUGUUGAUUUACCUCAGUUUUACUCUGUUUUAUGGUCUUUAAGGUCUCUUUGAUUGUUGUUUGCCAUAAAGGGCUGUUAACAGUCGGUAUACAAAUAACACACGUUUGCAUUUGAGUACUCCCAAUCUGGAAUGAGGUUUGUAAUUGAUCUGGAACUGAGACGUCAUUGUGAACAUUUUAAAUUCAACAUACAAACUAUAUUUCUUCAUAGUUUUUGUCUAUCAUAGGUAGUGUUGCAAAUAUGAUAAAGAAAAACCUAAAUCACAGACAUAAAGGUUUUUAAAAUUCAGACACUUAACUAGUUGUAGUUUGUUAUGAUACCGUAAAGAUACCUUCAAGCCUGCCAUCUGAAGACAUCUUUAGUCCAGAAUUAGCUGUCUAAUCUAAGAAGUCAUGCACACACAGCUUUUCUGUAUCAAUAAUUCACCCAAACUGGAUUUGACAGUAUGGGAUGAUUGUCACUGAUUCUCUAUUUACCUUUUAUUUUACCUCAAUCAGUCUCGUAUGGAUAAACCUGUCACUAUAAACAUAAUCAAACAUACACCCACCUUGCUUCUGUCUAUGAGAAGCUCAGAUUGACAGCCAUGAAUCAGUCUGGAAAUAAGUCAGCAAACAUUUAAUGGGUUUGUGCACACUUGUGUUUCAUUUAAUCUUCCACUCUGAUUUAACAAAGUAAGACUCUUGAAGAUCUUACCCGUGUCUGCAUCUGUGAACACAAUCGCUGCGUCUGUUCCUUCCUUUUACUCUAUUACCACAUCACCUCUCGUUUUCUAUCCCUGCUUUUUAGAUUCUUCAUGCCUUUUCAUUUCUCUGGAGUCAAGUAAAUACAAAAUGCCAGGAGCUCAUUUUUUGAAGCAAAAUGAAAGAAAAAUACGUUUGGAAAAAAAGGUCACACAUCAGGGGGUGGAAUGUAAUACCUUUUCACCUAAACCGUCAUUUGCCUGAGGGUCCCUGAAAGAUGACGGUGUGCACAUGUCUCAGGCUUUCGAUGAAAUUUUGUAGCAGAUUAAACUAAUUUAAAAAAAAGCAAUAACAGCCUCUUACUGUAAAUUGUUAGUAAUUCCUCUGAUCGGAUCACUCUAAAUACCUCUCCCUCCUGCGCUGGGAUGAAUUACUUUGUAUGUUUCUACAAAUGAGUCAUGUGUUCGCUAAAUACUUCUGAUUUAAAUUAAAAGCACAAGGAAAAGAAAAGGACCAGUAAUAAUGUUCAUGUCAGCACUUAAACUGAGUUACUGAAUUACAAAAUUAACACAGCUUCUCCUCGUUUCUUUUAAAGGCUCCCUGAUGGGAGAACAAUUUAACACACAACCCUGUGAACAACAAAAACCAAAACAACAAUAAAGACAUAAAAUGUGAACAACACAAGGACAAGGAUAUGCGUGCAACAAUAUCAUCAAGCUUCAGUGGGGAUUCUGGAAACUUUCUGUUUACUGGAUUGUUUCAUAUUAUGCAACACCACAGUCAUUCUCCUUUAUACUCAUUAACUCUGACAACUUUCAGAUGACAAUCUUCCUUGGAUCCUUAAGUUGGAUUAUUUUGUGGGGGGGGGGUUUCUGAUUAACAGGAGAAUAAUCUGUUCUAUAUGGGAUUUAGAGGACCCUCUCUUCUUUGUUAGCUCUUUGAAGCUUCUUGUGAUUUAUCAGCAACAUACCGAGUGCUCUCAAUGGUCGCAUAAAUAGAUAUAACAGAUAUUAUAACACAUUAAAUUACCAAAGCAGUAAAAUACAGUAUACAAGUAAAUGCAGCAGUAAUAGAUCAUUAAACAGCAUUUAUGAUACUAAUUGUAACUGCAUUUCCACAGUUUGGUACUUUUGGCGUUAAAGCAAAAAGGAUUCAGCUUUUUCUUGAGGAUAGAUAGAUCUGUCCGUCUGUCAGUACGUUUACGUGCACAGCAGUUAAGUUGAGUAACAAUCAUAGCUCAAUUACUUCAUUUAACUGGACCACUGUCCCGCAUGCACCGGUAGAGAAUCAAGUUGUUGACAGAAGCAGGUCUGCCUCCUCUACAGUAGAUGGCGACAUGUCUUCUUUCAGCUCACUAUUAUUGGGUCGUCUCUCAGUUAACUUAUUACGUAUCAAAGCGAUCGAUAAAGACCAUAGACUGUAUAUAGAAUGCCUCCUCGCAGGGUGAAGCCACUCCAAGAACAGCACCCUCUGUUGAACAGAACAUAAUUUUUUCUCCCCCCUGCUUGUGAUGUUGACAUAUAGUUAUUGUAAGACUGGUUUGUGCUCAAGUCCUCUUUUUUCUGCGCAGCUCCGUUUUUAAAAGUUAUUAGGGGGUUCAUGUUUUCUAUGAUUGACACCUGAUACAGCCUAUGGGCAUUCAGGGAUUGUGUAGCUCACCCGGGGGGAUACGCUGUUUGAGAAGAGCGUCAUCACAGUGACUCUCGGCGGCUGCGCGGCCGAACGCGCGCAUCGCUACUGCGCAGCGCUGGUUUCAGGAAAUGAAGAAAAAAUAUCUAGAGCUUUUUGGCUUCAAAUCCGUAUACAGGCGGUAGGCGGAACCAAGUUGUCCAUAGUAUAUACAGUCUAUGAUGCAGACACAUUAGCGAGAGGCUAAUGGGAUGCGAUAAAAACACAGUAACUUUAACAGCUCUGUACUGUUUAUUUGUACAAUAGCAAAGUUUCAUCUUUUUUAUGUCCUGUCUGUGUGUCUAUAGGUUUUAUUUACUCCCCAUCUUCCUAACAAUGCAUUUAUACUAUUUCAACAGUAUAACUCCCACAGUAGCAGAUGCUUAGGCCAGUUUCAGCGUGAUGAAGCCAUAGUUUACAGAAAAGAGAAAAUCUAUCUCUGACCUCAUUAUCCAUAUGUGCAAACUUUGAUUUAGUGCAAUUUUAAUCAAAUGAAUGUGUUUACAUGUAUUCUUAAAGUCCGGUUUUAGUCAGAAUCUCUUUUUUUUUGUACCACAUGCAGACAUACUGUUUCUGUGUGUUUCUCUGUGUGUGUGUCUCCAUCUCUCACUUUAUGCCUUUAUUUGUCUUUCCCAAUUUCUCAGCUCAUCCUGUCCUGACAGGUGGCUUAUCAUGGAGAGUCUGAUUCUACUCUAGUUUUUUUUUUUGCCUUUUGAAAAGAAAGUCUGUCUUGUAGCUUUUUGCAAGUUCUUGCUCAUGGUAGAUUCCUUUUGAGUCUCGGUGGAUAAUAUGACUGAGACAAUGAUCUGGACCUUCGUGGAGUGUUUUCAGUAGGCUUUUGUUUUUAUCUACAGCCGUCCAACUGAAACUGGUUAAUCCUUUUAGUUAAUUUACUUCAUAAUGUACAGACUUUGAUUUUGAGCUGAGGACUUUGACUUUUGUUUUUACUUUAUCAGAGUGUCCUAAUAACGGAGUAUGGAGUAAUACUCAUCAAUUUCCUGCAUAAGGCAAUGGAUGCCUGGAAAAUGGGAGCAAAGAGCAUCAAUAGAAACGAUGGCAGUAUGAAGCAGCAGAGGAAUAUCAUGAUGAUGCCAAGAUUCCCUGAGGGAGAUGGAGGGGGAUACGGGGGUACAACAGAGGACAGGCUGAGCAGAGUGCACGUGAGACUGCGUGGGGUGCGCUUAGAGAUGAUGAAUGUGCUCAAAGGCAUUAAUCUAUAAGCUGUGUGUGCAGGCUGGAAGUGGACCACAUGAGCAUGUGAGCCCGAUGAUCGUGCAUGCAAAGCGGAGAUUUCCUGGAAUGGAAGAGAGUCUGAUGAAUGUGGAUGCACGUGAGGAGGACUCUGUGUGUGUGUGUGGGUGGGUGUGUGGGUGUGUGGAUGUGUGGGUGUGUGUGUGUGAAGGGGAUAAGAUGGAAGAAGGAGAGGAGGAAAUGAGAGUCUUGCUCUACUUCCUUCUCAAGGGAAGAGGAACAGACUGGGGCUGGGUUACAAAGUUUUUUAUUGCACAAAGUGCCAGAAAGAAAUCCUAAUGCUUACUUUUAAAAUCUGAUUUUGGAUCUUGAUUAAUCAAAUUUGCUUAGUCACAUGUCCUAACUCAUGAUUGAAGUCAUAGUUUGUACAGCUAGAGAAUAUUUCCAAAUAUUAUACCUCUUCUUUCUGGCCUUGUCUGCGUGUACUCUCGCUGCAUGGGCAACAAUGGUCAUGCCGGGCCUGGACUAUGUCUUUCGAUACGGUGCAGAUGUGUUCCAACCUUAAUGUGUGCGGAACAAAUCCAAGUUUCCACAUGGAUUUCACACAAACACACAAACAGAGCACGCUCAGCCCAUCAUGGCAGCCACAGCAAACGAGGAAACAAGGGCUUGAAUAUCCUCACCAUCAUGAAGGUGUCCAGUUAGAAUCAGUAAAGCACAGAGACACUUUGUUCAGAAGUGAUCAGGUACAUUUCUAGCAACACAGCUGACAGAAACACAACUUUCAUAACUUUGAGCCGAUAAAGACAAACCAACCUUAUGUGAACAAGUAAAAGUCACUCAUGUUCAUUUAAAGUUGAUUUAUGCAUAUGUAAAAUUCUGUUUAAGGUUCAGCUUUACUACUGGAAAGGUGAAUGUGUUGAUCUCAGUCUUUUGAAAGAGACCCUUAUGGUAGCAGGUUGUUGCAUUGUUCUCGAAUUCCUUCUAUUCUUCCUUAAUCAUAUACUUGGUAAGAACUGACAAGUCAAACUGUUCAAUAACCUUAAGUGAAUGAUAAGUCAUUAAAUUAAUGUUGCUUAACACAAUGUAAAAAAAAUUCUCAUCAUGUUCAGCAUAAUUUUUAGUAUUUGCCACAUUUUGUGUUGACUUAAAGCUCCUGUAGGGAACUUUUGGUUUACGUUUCUGUCAAAAAUCGAAUCCAGCUGACGUUUGACUGUCAGAUAUAUCAUUUAUUGUGAAUACUUUAAAUGUAUAUGUAAAAUCAAAGUUAUCUCCUCAGUUACUCUGUUGACACUAAUUCCCCUCACACCAACCUAAGGCCUCAAAAAUUACCCUUCAAAAUGUUUUUUCCACUGAUAGUCUUAUUUGUUUUUGGAUAUCAUGAAAAAGCACCAAAAUGAAUUUCAGUCUUUGUCAUUGAUGUUAAAAAAUUUUCAUAAGAGCUUUAAAUACUUUUUGUAAAAUUAGUAUCAUGCAGGUUACAGCAUCUUGACCAACAUAUCCAAAUGGAUCAGUUUUCGAAACAAAACACACUGUGUUUGAAAUUGAAAUAUUAAAAAAAUAUAUUAAAAAAAAAUCAUUAGCAACAACUAGGAAAAUAUUUAGAAACAAAGUGAUGCUACAGAAAACGAUGAGAUGCUUAAGUAAACGCUCCAGGCGGUAAUAUUGGUAAUCUUUGUGCGUGCGUCAGAGAUGUGUCCUCUCUUGUUAGAAUAAGUGAUCUUAUCGUGGGAACUGCCUGGAGAAAAAGUACAACAGAUCAUUAUCUGAUUAAAGGUGUUUUCUGGUUUCUACAGGGAACCGCUGACACACUCACACACAUUCACACACAUGGAUAACCUGCUCAGUGACUUUUAUCGGAUGACUCAAAUGUAAAACACCCCACCACGUUUUGAACACACACAAACUGUCACUUCAGUUUUAAAAUGAUUUUGGAUAAUCAGCGUUAAAGUGCUUUUAAGCUCUUUUACAAUCAUUUUAAAUCAAAGCAAACAUUGUGCUGUUUUGUUUUUAUAUUAAUCUCUAAAAACAGUGUGAAAGAACAGAGACUGAACACAAGUGAUGGGCAUUUUCUUGCACAGGUUCACACAUACCUGCAUUUAUCAUAAUAAGCAUCUUCAGACCCUUUUAUAGACAUUUGACUACAUGCUGCACUCAGCACAUUUUCCUAGGUGCUCUAUGGAUUGCUUCCUGUUGUAUUCUGCUCGUGAAUUUUCUCUCUCUGCCUCCAAAAUGUUUUAACGUGUUUAGGAAUUUCCACCUUAAGAAGACAAACAAUCAUUUUUGCGAAGUUAAAAUGAUUUUAAUCACUAUCAUUAUCUCUUUAGACUGACAUAUUCUCACAGACACGCUGACUGCUGGGUGGAUAUUUUUCCAGAGCAAAACAAAAACACUGUGGUUGCUGUUUGCGUGGGCAACGCCAUCCAAACUUUGUCUUUUCUUUCUGCUGCUUCUCCUGCAGUCACUGUGACCCCUCAAACUUCAAGUGUUGAAAAGCACCAUUUGAUUUCUUACAGAACUGUGUGCGUAUUUCUCCUACACAUUCAUCAAACUUAAGUACUUCUUCAUACAUGUUAAGUAAAUAUAAGGACAUAACACGCAUGCUACAAGAUUAUUUGUUUUCCCUCACUACGGCUCCAUUUUUCUAUGAUUUAUUAGUGUGAUUUUGCAUUUCUUUUGGCAUUCAUGAAGCAUUAUAAUUGGAGUCAGAGGUUUGUAACACUUCAAGAUUACAAACCUUAGCUGUUUAUGUCAUACUUGUUCGAUUGCACCAAUAAGGGAUCUUUGCAAUAUGUCAUCGUAAUGAUUAAGUGCCAUCAUCCUUACCAGUCGUAACCAAAAUUACCAAUCAGUUUACUAAUCAUUGUUAUUUUAUCACAAUAGGCCUGAAAUGCUGAUCAGAUAUUGUGUCCAAGUCGUAGACAAUCCACCAACCACUGGUCAGAGCUGUAGCUCUGGUCAAAAGCUAAUGCUGUUAUAUUCUACAACCCAGAUACAAACAAGCACAGGUGAUCGAUGUCAACACUUGUUGCUGCACAGUUUGGCAGUACAUUGAUCUAGAUUAUGUAGAUAAAGUUGUUGAUUGGCUGUGUCCAGCUAAACUGACAAAUAAACCUCUCAACUAGAGCAAUGCAGAACUAGCAGGCAUAGAGACAAUAGCCUGUAAGGGAGACUGAAGGCUGGUGGUGCUAGCACACUUGGCGCUAACAUUAGCCAUACAUACAUUUUCUUACCUUUGGACGAGUCAGUUUGAAUUUAAGUUUCUGUUGAAAUGACAAGAAAUCAGUCACUCCAGAGUUUCCCCAGGGUGAGUAAUUUUUUCGAUAUGACUCAUCACUGUUCAUCUUGGCCCGAUCCACCUAAUAGACCAUAGUUUUGGGAUAUCUUAAUCUGUUUUUGGCAUCUCAGCUGAAAACAAGUAUUUUGCCCCAGCAUGUUGAAACACAGCUGUGCUUCAAGCUCCAACACUUCCACGGAGAUUGGGUUUAACAGUUGUUGUUAUGUUUUCCAUGUUGAAAUAUGGAGGCAGAAAAUAAAUUGUCCACAAGGGAAAUUUUGUUGUUAGGUUCCCAACUGCAGUCCCUUAGUAAUUUGACAAAGAAACCACACACAACGUGCACAUAAAACCAGUGGUCGUAAAAUACAUGAAAACAUGAAACCAGCAGUGUGAAAACAUGAAUAAUUCACACCAUAAAAUGUGCAUAAUGAGAAAAAACAGGAAUCAGUCAACAUAGUUAAACAAAACAACAUCACCAAUAAAAAAGAAGAAAGGGACUGCUACCCCUUUCCUAAAAAGUGAAGCAUUAUUCAUUUUUACAAGUCUCGUAGAAAGAACUAAAGAGGCCAGUAGACUUAUGAAAAUCAUCGCUCUGUCGUCACAUGUUGUUAAUUCUUGGUUAAAACCGGAUUUCCCAACAUUGUUAGUUCCAAUACCAUCAAACCAAAACCCUGUUAAAUAUAAAAGUAGCUCAUAAGUCAGACACAGAGCUCAGGCUGUAUAUGUGAUGUUGAUUCUUCAGCAACAAAGAAAGCCUCAGAUCUCCUCUCUAAGAGGAUUACAUAGGAGGAGCAGUCUCUGAUAUCUGGAAUCAGCGUUGGAAAAGUACAUUAUGUUCAUUAAUCCCUCUGUCGUGCAUCCCCUCUGGGCACAGGAUGACUCCAAGGAUGUAACUCCCCUACCAUAUAUUUUUAUCUUAACUCUAAAAUAUAAAUCACAUGGAUUUAGCAGGGGAGUUCAAAGUAUGUAGAUGUUGCAAACAAGAUAAAACUCAUGUCUCAGCAGCUCAUGAAUACAUACUUUUACAUCAGCACCAUGCAAAACUGCAGAUGCUGAACAUGCAGCUGCACCCCUGAAGACCAGAUAGAUUUUCUUGAUGCACAUGUGCCUUACGUAAAACUGUCUGUACGAAGAACUGCAACAAGAAUAAAUCAAUUCUCAAUCAGCUGAUUAUAAAUGUAAAGGCUGUCAAACAUUAACCCUCUUGAUGCAGUUGCUGAAGUCAGUCUGGUCAGCUGCAUUUGUAUGCCUAGCUUAAAGGUUGUAGCACUGGAUACUUAUUGCUAAAUUUCCACAGGUCUAAAUCGUAGUAGGAACACCAUGGGCUCAGCUAAUGGCAAUGUUUGAGUUGCAUAUCAUAAGAUCUACCUUGGGCAGAAAAGGUGCUCAGAUUUGUAACUCACCGCUAACCAAGUUCUCCGGUCUUCUUUUUCAUUCUGAAACAUUUUUCAUUGUGCGCAUGUUAUUUUGUGUAAUCUUUAUCUUUAUUUUGAUUAACUAAAAGCCAAACUGAGGACAAGAGUUAAAAACUAGCAGUAGCAGUUAUCUCUAAAUGCAAAGUAACAGAUUCGGCAGCUUGUUUACAAAAGGGUCAAGUUGUACUAUGUAAUUUGUAGUAUCCCUAUUCCAUAAACUAUUUAAAAACAGUAAAAUAUUAAAUUGCACAAGACAAACACAAUCAGUGAAUCCCUACAAAUAAGUGCUUGAAAUGAAUAGCUUGAAAUCAGUUACCCAUUUGAUUGACUAAAGCACUUAAACUCAAACUCAACAAUCUUAAAACUUUCUAUAUAAUAAUAUAAUAUAAUAUAAUCUCUUGGGAAAUAAACUCAACAUAUGGACAUUGAAUGCACAGAGAUGAGUCCUCCUCUCAUCGAACAGUCCAUCCAUGUCGCAGCUCUACUACCUGAGGCGACUGAGGAAGCAGCACAUCAGGUCCCGUCUGGCUCCAGCAGCAGCCUGUGAUGCCCUUUCAUGGGACAGCAGCCUAGGAUGGAUUGAGUUGUCUCCGCUCUACCAGGUGAAACCAUCCACCUUGUCUCAUCUCCCCAGGGGCAUUUUUGGUGUCAGUGAAAUAAGGUGGUGAUGGAUCUAGUGUGACUCCUGUGCUGUCAUGGUGCUGCAGUUAGACUCCUCAUGAAAGUGGCAGGAUUGUGUGCUGGCCUUUUCCAUGUACUUAUCUAAGUGAUGGGUGAGUGAUGCAUGGGUGAAAACACUCUUGAUGGGUGUCCUCUUCCAUUUUCUGAUCUUGGAUAAAGGAGUUAACUCCUUAACCGAGCAUCCCAUUGUGAAACAAACAUUUCGAGGACACGCUCCAUUUCUUGUUUCUUACGUUGUUACCCCGCUCUACUGGCCUUUGUGGGCUUUAUCUGGACCAUUCCUGGUAUUUUACAUCCCACCCUGUCACUCAACUCUCAAUUUCAAGAAUUUUCUGCAGUGUUUUGUGUUCAGUCAUAACCACAUGCUCAUGUGGGUUGACUUUUCCAACUUCCGUCCUUCCUUCAGCAAAUUCCUUGACCGUCUACAUGCAGAUAUAUCACAGAGAUGAUGCCAAAGAUAAGAUUCUGAAUGGCGGCCCCGCUCUGGAACCCACUCAGGCCCGGUCAGCAGCUGAAAGUGUGUCAUGAAAAAGUAUGCGUGUUGAGUAGGCGUGGACCCGUUCUGAAAUACGUCAAUCGUGUCGCUCUGGAAAGAAAGGGAUGCUUUGUUCCGAGUUGAAUUGUUACCCGUCCAGUCAGAAGCCACAUGAAAGCAUUAGAGUGACUCAGAUUUAUGAGAGAUUCACAUUCAGUCAUCAUAGCUUUCUGAAGAAGAAACAACAGAGCUCUGACUCAAAACAGAAGCCGAGUCUAUUGUUCUUUGCUCUUUUUCUGCAGACCUUUUUAAUGUUCAUCUCUGGCCUCAUGACUCACGAUCAAACCUAAUUGUUGUCGUCAGAGGCAGCUCAAAGUGUGGCUUUGUUGUCGACGCUGCUGUGUAUCUGAUGUGCGACGCCGCAUUUCAUUCCUUGUUUGGCUACCUACAGUGCUGCCUACGUUCUUCUAUAUUCUGUGUGACUCAUUAUAUAGCAAAAACCUACCAAGUUGAGCAAAGGAGCACCUAUAUCUGAGGACAUGUGACGUCUUCUCAGCAUGUCAACCUACAUUCAAAAAAUGGGAAGCAAGAGCAAAAGAACGAAAAGACAAACCUUGAAGCAGCGGUGAUUUAAGAUUGGACCUUGGUGGUGUUCAGCCCCUCAAGACACUGAGAUAUGGAGAGGAAAUGACCUGGAAAGAGUACAAUAAACCACACUUCACUGAACAACAUAAAACAUUUUCCAACAUGUAUGGUUUUUAAUAACAACAAACAUACUUAAUAACCCGAGUUUAAUGCCACAAAAUAUCUUAAAAGAAACUUAAAGAUGGAGUAUGUUGUUUAUGCAAAAGUAUUUUUACCGUUACAAUGAUUAUUAACAGGUAUGAAGAGAUUGGGAACUAUAUUGAAUAACACAAAAGAUGUUAACAAUCCCUAUUUUUUUAAAGGUCUAAGGUUUAAAGGUAUUUUACUGCUGUAUAAACCCAUGCCUUUGUAAAUUAUGAUUCAGUUUGCAUGCAGCCUAUUAUUUUGACAAAAUGAGGGAAGGUUAUUGGGUGACUUACCACCAAUUACUGGACACCCCAUUCUCAAAAUGUGGACAUUAAUUUUGGAUUGAAUCCCUUUAUGGCUUUGAAAGCCACCACUCCUUUGACAAAGAUUUCCUCCAGAAUUGGAUUGCCUUUGGGGAACUUGUGCCCACUCUGCCAAAAGAGCAUUUGUGAGGUCAGCCACUAAUGUUGGACAAGAUGGCCUGGCUGGGAGUCAGCUCUAAUUCUUCCCAAAGGUGUUCAGUUGGCCUGGGGUCGAGGCUCUGUGCAGGCCAGGCCAGUUCUUCCAUACCAAACGUGCCUAACCAUGUCUUUAGGGAGCUGUCUUUGUGCGCAGGGGACACCAUCGUGUUGGAAAAGCAUGAGCCCUUCACUCGAGCAAGUAACCAUGACAAAUCCCUGCAAAAUAGUCCCAAACCAUUAUCCAUCCCCGAGCACAUGUUGGGCACCCAUCAUUCCAGUAAAAUCCCACAGCCAGCAGUGAAAUGUGAUUCCAGUCCAUGUCAAAAGUAAGUUUUCCACUAAAACAGAUUAGUUUGCUCUGGUACACUUUCACUGGGGUUUGCAUGAUAAGGUGCAAUCUGCAUGAAACUUUGCCAUGCUAACCCUUCCAUAAAGAUCCCAAUGCAAAUAAUAAAUAAAUACAAAUAAAUAGAUAAUCCUCUGUCUUGAUUUGGAAACAAGAGACACACAUUUUCAAUUCAACUCAUAAUGCCAGGAGAGAUGACCUUUUGCGCUUUGGCUGCAUCCACAAUUACAGUGUUUCCUGUGGGGAUGAGAUUAUUACAGCCAUAACUGCAAAGUUUGGUUGAUGCUCUAGCAGUGAUCUGCAUCACUGUAAACAGAAUAACACAAGGGAACCUCCUGGAUGUUCAGACACUUUCUACCCUUGUGAUGAUCGUCAGCAGGACUUUUUGGACCCCUUUUAAAGCAAACAGAUGCGCUUCAGUUCAAUGUCACUGACUGGCUGACAAUGUUGUUUGCAGCCAGGCAGAAGCAAUGCUUUAUUGUGAUUUCAUACUUGAAUAUUUGUACUUUUUUCUAUUAAAUAUCAAAUAUUUUUAUGAAAUGCCCACAUGCUCCCGUGGCCUUACUCUGUGUGUUUGCAUGGUUUCUUAUUUAGUAGCUGAGCUGUUUUGGCUCCCAGGUACUUCCACCUCACGAUCAAAACACAUAUAAUAUAAAUUGACAGUGGCAGGUGUACUGUAAUUGAUUUAUUCUCCAUAUUUGGAGCUACACAGCUCUUAAAAUGCUUUCCUGGUGCCUAAAUCCUGGUCUAGCUCUAAAAUGUUCCACAUAUGUAAAGUAGAAAGUACUUCAUACUUACAUACAUACGUUUUACAUAUAUAUACUGUAUUUAUAUUUUAUAAGUCACAACCUACUGUGCAAAAAGUUCCCUGUAGAACUCACAGGAUGGAUAGUUAUGGUAAAAAUCUAGUUGUGGCACAUGGUCCAACUUGCUGUGGUAAAAAAAGAGGUGUUGAUUUUACAAAAGCAAGAAACACAGAAGAGUAUUUUCAUUAACGGGUUACUGUGGCUCAUCAUCUCCCAAUCAGAGGGUCGGGGAUUCAAUCCCAGGUUCCACUGUUCACAUGCUGAAGUGUAAUUGGGUAAGACACUUGACCCUACCUGCCCCCGCUGGCUGCUUCCACUGGUGUGUGAAUGGGAUCAGUCAAAAACUGGUGUUCGCUUUACAUCGCAGCCUCUGCCAUCAGUGUGUGUGAAUGUAACUUUUGUGCUGUAUAAACAUGGAUCAUUUACCAUCUGUAAUUUCAUGCAUGUUCUUCUUGACUGUUAGUUCACUUGAAUGUCAGGUGGUAGAAAUCAGUCUCUCAGAAGGCUGUUAUGCAGUUACCCAAUUGCUGUAAUGUGAGUAAAUGUGAUUCGUUACUGCCUUGUUAAACAACAAAUUGGGCGUCCACUUAAUCAUUAACAAAGUGCAAACAGUACUUCCACAGAUCUAUGGGAAGUGUGAUUGCUAAUGCUAGCUACAAAGGUCCCCUUGCUUCCGCUGCAGAAACUCAAGUAUCUUCAAAACAAAUGACUAAUGCAUCACUUCCUUUAUUUCCCUGGAAAAACAUACCUGACACUGAGUUAAUGACACAAGGACGAAUGCUCAAUUUACAGAGCGUAAAUAAAAGAGGACAGUCCAUCUGUGUUUGUGCGUCUGUGUGUGACUGCCAUCAGAACUAUAAGUCUAGUGGACAUCUGCUUGGCCCGUGUUUGCAAUCCUAAGUAGCCCGAACCCAGCAGCUCCAUAAUGAGGGGACAAAGCAGCUGGUCUCUGUGUUGAUGUGUGAGUGUGUCUUUCAAUGUGGACACAAAGCAGUCAUUAGGUGUGUUUGUGUGUGUUUAGUAGAUAGUCAGGACACAAAGCAGCCUUUAUAGACGGAACGAAAUUGUCCCAUUCCCUGCUGAGAGGGCUGUUUCAGGACAAGAGUCUGUGUGUGUGUGGGUGUGAGUGUGUGUGUCUUUCUGCCUGCCUGAACCGGCCAUUUAGAUGCAGUGUGUGUUUCAACAGCGCAAAUGUGUAGUUUAGAUGCAAGUUAGGCGUUUGUGUCCAUGCCUGUUUGUGUGUGUUGGUUAAUGUUUGAAUAAGUACCACUCAUUUCUAUAUAGUUACAUAUAUCUGAGUGUGUACGUGAGUAUUUUUGUGUGUUUAUUAGGGCUGGGCGUCUCAUUCACAAAUAGUUUCCACAGUGGUCAAUAGCAGUUGCUUGGAUGCUUGUGAAGUCUGUGUGCAAGUGGACUCCAAACACACACACACACACUCCUUCUUGCGCAUUCUCAGUCUUGUUGUCUUUCUCUCUUUCUCUCUCCUACUCACACACACUAAAGCGCACACACAAACACACACACACGCGCAGACACUGCUCAGACUGAAGGUGUCUGUGAUUUUACACCAAUUUAAAAGUCGCAGCACAGACUGAUGUUACAUUUAUUGCAAAAUAAAAACUUUAACCUUUAUGGUUAGGGUUAUACGGAGUAUGCAGCUGCAUCUAUGCAUUCAUACAGCUGUAUCCAAAAACCCAGUUUUUAUGUGUCUGUGUUUGUGUGCUUGAUAUUCAAAUUCAGGUCCUUCCUCCAGGUUAGAGAGAGGUUAAUGUUAGUGUCUGUUUUGUAACAUCCUUCAGACAGCUUUUCUUACUGAAAUAUGUAGAUGUUCAAAUUUUUUGUUAUUGAACUUACAGCUGAUUGAUUUUAUGCACAAAUUUUCAUCAAAAAUCCAAACUUGUCACAAGUACUUGUAUAAUAGUAAGUAGGUUAAGGAAAAACUAAAGUUCUUUUAUAAAGUACAGUGUUGAUACUCUACAUGUUUAACCCCAUAGAUUUCAUAGAUAAUUCCAAUUCCAAAAUUGUUUGAUCGAUGUUUACAAUGAUGGGUAAAAACAUUUUUUUAUGGUUUGCAAAUCAUUAAAACUCCUUUGUUUUCUAGAAAAGAAUUGAAAGACAACAUAUUAAAUGUUAAAAUUGAUGAUUUUUUACAGUUUUAUGGGAAAUGCAUGCUAAUUUCAUGUUUGAUUUCUGCUGUGGCAGGACUGACAAAACAUUUUUUUUUAAAAUGGAGAAAGAUCUUCCAACUAAUUAGUUUGACUAACAGGCUGGUAACACGACUGGGUAUAAAAGGAUUUGCCACAGAGGCUGACUACCUCAGACGAUGAGGAGAGGUUGAUCCCCACUGUGAAAGACUGUGAGCAAAUAGCUCAGCAAUUUUAGGAUGAUGUUCCCCAGUAUGAAAAUUAAACAAAUGUUGACAGUAAAUAAUAUCUUCAAAGAUUUAAAGACUCUGUAGAAAUCUCUGGACAAAAAGGACGAGGCAAAAAACUAAUAGUGGAUGUAGAUGAUUUUUAAGCUGUCAGAUGGCACUGAAUCAAAAACAGGCACAACUCUGUUGUGGAAAUCACUGCUUUGACUUAAAACCACUUCCACAAACCAUUUUCUCUGUAUAAAGUUUAUUGCUGCAACUGCAACUGCAGGUUUAAACUGUACCAUGAUAGAGGAAGACUGUCUCUAAAUCAGAAUUUGACAUUCUUUUUGGAAAUGAUGGAAAACGCAUCUUCUUCUUCUUCUUCUUAUCCUAAAGACGUAAAGAACCAUUUGGCUUGUCAUCAAUGAGCUCAAAUGAAUACAGGAUUAAAUAAAGGGUUUAAAACCACAAACCAUGACAUUCUAUUUUUAUUAACAUUUUUACACAGCAUCCCAACGUUUCUGGAGUUAUGGUUGAACACAUUUCUGAAAGCAACUUUCUGCCUCUCAUGUAAGUCCUGCUUUUCUGGCCUGUGUGAUCCAGUUCAUUCAUGUCAGUGUGUGUUUGUGGGAGUGGAAAAAGGUGAAUGAGCGUGCAGGUGAAAACUGACACUGUUACGUUGUCUCUUUCUGUCAGUAUAAAUUAUAGCUGCAGCUCAGGCGCAUCAUUUUCAUUUGUUCAGCCUUUCUUCUCAGCUGGUCACAGAGGUUCCUCUGUCUCAAUGAGUUCGGAGUCGUAGUGGUGAGUAUCUGAAUGACCGAGUUUAUCACGUGCCCCUGUUAAAGUUGAGAAGCUAUCUUUGGCCCGGCACAAUAGCAGGAAGUCUCAGGUGUCUGUGUGUGAGCGAGUCUGCUUACCCAUGUGCAGACUCCCGUGCUUUAAGUGUGCGCGCAUCCAUGUGUAUAUGUGUGUGUGUGACACGUGUUGCCGACAGCCUUGAGUGACAUCAUUCUUUAUUGUGACUUGAAUGGUUAAAGGUCACUGCAGUCAAAGUUUACCAGGACAAACCUGUCAAUAAUUAACCAGCUUAUUAAUAACUAAUCAACACGAUGUAAAGCUGUCUGAGGUUCCUCUGCAACAGGACUCACACAAACAUCUAAAAUGGAAAAUAAAGGAGAGGAAAAUCUGUUUGUUUCAUUUUUUACUUAAAUUCAUCAACUCAAACAGUACUCCUUUUUUCAGGCCUGUUUGAAAACAUUUAAAUUACCGACUACUAUAGUACUACUUACUAUUUCCCAAAAGAAAACAACUAGGGCUGUUGCAAUAUUCCCGUACUCAAGGAAACCAUCUUUUCAGAGAUUAAAAUAAUUAAAAUCAUGCUAAAUAAUUAGCAUACCUUAAACCACUAGGCUCUUCGCACUCCUGCCAAGAAAGUAAACUUUAAAGCUACAAUGAAGAGUUUUUGAAUAGUUAAAAAACUGGCUAAAACAAACAGAACUGCUUUUUUUUAUGACAUCCAAAAGCAAACAAAAUCAUUAGUGAAAAGGCUGAACAUGUCUUUGUCCUUAUUUUAAAGCCUGUUACCUCUGUGAGAGGGUAGGUGCCGAACAAGGCAACUUGAGGUGUCACUUUUUAAACUUUUUUCACUGCAAAAAUCCAAGAAGAGUAGACAUUUUUCAGCAAACACAGUUACAAAUAUGCAGAACAAGAUCAGCAAAAGAGAUACAUAGUGCCAUUUCGUCCACAGACUGAUGCAAACGUUUCUCACAGCAGCUUUAAUUCUGCACCAACAAAUAGACUUUAAGAUUACCCUGAAAAAAAAAAUGUCAAAGUGAUGUGUCUUUUUCAACUGUACUUUUAUUUUUCACAUUUUUGACUGUAGUGUCACAGCAUCUCAGUCAUGUGUCAUUUGAAUGGAGUCUUCUCUUAUUAUAGAGUCCACUCCAUUCACUCAGUUUGUAGGUUUCUAUCUGUGCCAACGCCUCAAUGUAUGUCCUGGAGCUCUGGAAUGUGAAGCCACACUAUGCGUGAGACCUCCAAGCUAUCCCUUUACAUGACACGUGAAUAAUUCAGGAGUCUGGUCACGUUUCCAGGGGGGUGCACCUCGUCUCGUGCCAGCAUUAGCUGGGUGACCUAUAUCAUGAUUUCAGCCCUCGUGUUUACAUGGACAGCAAAGGCUCUUCACCAUCGUACGCACUCAGGGAAUAUGACAGAACCUGUCAGUUCAGAUAAUAAAGUUCAACUCUUAUCCUUUUAUACUCUAGUUACAUGUGCUGUAAGGUUUCUUGAUCUCCUUGAGAUAAUGGUUUUCAGAUGAGAGCGGUAACUUCACAGAUUGACAGUCAGCUUAAAGCUCCUGUUUGUUUCAGGAAACCUGUAAUAGUAAAAUGGUUUGAGAUGUCAUUUCCAAAGAUGACACCUGUCCCUCUGGCUUAACUCUAAGCUCCUGUGAGUUUUUUUUUUUUUUUAAGGUAAAAGCAGACAGGAAUGUUGAGGAUUUCAGGUUAAGUCGGUAAAGCUCCAUAAUUACUUUACGGAUCAGACUGUUUUCCUCUGACAGCUUCAGUGUUUCAAAGUAGAAGAAUAACUCACAUUAAAGUAAGGUUGUUUACAAUAAAUGUCUCUUGUUUCUUUACACUUUUAUCUGAAAAAUAAAGAAACAUUUUUCUUAUUUUUCAUAUUAUUCUUGAUUUUCACUGUUUUCUCCUUCUUCUUUUUUUCUUUUUUUUUUUGUUUUGUUUGUUUUAAACCAGCAUCAGAUUUUUUUUAAAGCGAAGAUGUCCAUCUUUUAAAUGUUUUCCACUCCCUUUGUGCAUUUAACUGCAAAGAAAAACUCCCUCUACCAUGCCCAAGCUGUACCAAAUGCUUAAAAAUAGACAGGUUUAAAGAACUUUGCUGAAAUAAAUAAAAGGCAGAAAUUAAAACUAACUCAAAACCUAUUAAAGAAGGGGAAAUUAUAUCAAAAAGGAUGAUCAAGGGGCUUUUAAAAUGUAUUGAAGCUCAAAGAAGUUUUUCACUGUUGAAGUAGAGGGCAGCCCUCUUCUGUAUGGAGCUGAUAAUGAACAUUUCAGUGAUGAAAACCAAUCCUGGGUUUCUGGUUUAACUCAGCAGUUAAAUAAUAUGAAAUGGCUUUUCAUUUAGAGAGGCUUCAGUCCUAGAAGUGGCACAUGCCAAUUCUUCUCCCAUCCUUGGCCCUGCAUGUCAUCGUGUAAUCUCUCAACCCUGUUCCUGACUCUGUCCACCAUCCUGUAUCUCACCAACAGAAUAAAAAAAGACCCCUAAAUUAUUAUGCUGUAUCUGAAAGCAACAUAUGACACUUGUACCUUUGUUUUAGAGUAAAUUGUUUGGGAAUUUACGCGUUAAGAACCUUGAGUCUUACAAUUGACUAAAGCCAGGGGUGUUUAAAGCUGAAAAAAUUGCAGUUUUUACUGUCACGUAUAAAAAUAAAGGAUGAAAAACAAUAGAAAUAUCUUACAAUGAAAUAUGUCUUAUACUGUGUAGUAUAUACUGACCUGCCUCCUUUCUCUCUUUGUUUUGUGGCUCUCUGUGUCUGUGCUGUUGUUGUUGUGGUAAUCCCAACCAGACUCUCCUGGCUCCUGGAUCCUUGCUGAUGACGCACAUCUGUCUGACCUGUCUAUGUAUUCUUGAUCAGCUCAUCAGCCUGGAGUAUUUCAACCCUGACUCCUCGACCAUGUAGUGCCAGAUCAGUGUCUCUACCAUGGAGGUAAUCACACACUGCAGGCCUCCCUGGUUCGUUUUUUGUGACUUCAUGUUUGCAUUAAUUUCAGCAUUUGGUUGUCUGUUACUCCCUUAUGCCACGAUAUCACCUCUUCUCUCUUUGGCUCAAUCGCUGGCCUUCUUCCUAAUGAUGUUAACAUUUACACCGAUUUAACCUGGCUCUACAGUCAGUCAACACCUCUCUCUACACCAUCUAAUGUAUCCAUACUUUUAUAAUGUUUUCUAUUUAAACAAAUAAAAACAGCUUAAAAUGAACAGAAAGAAUACUUUUAGGAGCUCUGACACAUUCGUAUUACUAUGUUUGAGCUAAACUGUAAAGUUACUGUGAAGAGCUAUGAAGAACUUUCACUUUCUGCCCUUUGCAAACAAAGCUGUCUUUGCUUAUCUUGUGCUCUACAUGCUUAAGUAGGGACUUUUGACAUCCUGAUGACUUGAAUGUGUCACUUAUUGGAAGUAUUUUGUGUUGUGAUUGUAAAAACUAGGGCUUUUUCUUAAGCUGCCUGGUUGAAACCUAACCCCUUACGCUGAUUUCAGGCUUUAGAAAACUCAAGAUUUUGUUGCUCUUGGAGCUGCAGAAAGAAGUUUUAGAGAUUCAUCAAUGUAAAACAAUAUGAUGAGCGAUAAUGUCAAAAAGAGUGACCAAAGGUUCUUUUGUAUUCAGUAGUUAGAUUUAAUGAACACUGUCUGGACAUUUCGCUAUGAUAAGCUCCUCUCUUUUAUUUUUCACUGACUCACAGACAAAACAUCAAAUCAUGUCAUUUAAAUUGGACUCAUAGUAAGACAUUAUAAUCAGCAGUAAUCAGUGUGUUAUGGUGAAGUUUGGAUUCAGGACAGAUGAGACAAACAGAGACAGACACAUGUGGCUGUUAUUACAGAUGAAAGACAUUAAUAUUCAAACAGUAUUAGAGCCAGUGGACAGCCUAUUAUUGAAAAUCUUAUCACAUGAUUACAACAUUGAGACUGAAUCAAUGGAGUCCAGUGAUUAAGGCUGUUACAAUCUUUCUAGUAUGAGUCAAUACAAAUUGUACACUCCAAUGAAAACAAAUAAGAAUUUUUAGGGUAAGACCAGAUGUUUUCAUGUGAAUCUUGGGAAGUUUUAAGAUUAAUCUUAUAUAUGUCCAUCUCAAAAGUAGAUUUGUUCAACACAUUUAUGCAACAAAAAAAAACACCAACAAAGUUAACUUUAAGCAACACGGAUAAUAAGUAAUAGUUGAUAGAAGCCACUGAUCUGUAAAGGCUCUGUCUGAUUGAUGAAACCACAUGGCAAUAAAGAGGUGAGAGAAGAACAUCUGUAUCUUAUUAUCUUUUAUUUACGGUUUAUUUGCUCGUGACAGAUACAGUAUAGAUAAACUAACUGGGAACAGCCAUCUGACACAAGUGUCAUUGUGUUUAUAGUGGAUGUUAAUUUGCUACACCUGUCCCUAUAGAGUUUUUGUGAGAAUAAAGGAUACCUACAGUAAACGCUAACUGUCCUGUUGUAGAAGAAAUGCUGUAGAGCCUGUUUGGUGAAAAGAGCUCGUGUUUAUGUUCCAUAAUUAGAGUGACCCUGAGCAGACCUACCUCUCUGUGCUCCAUUAACAUCAGACUAAACGCUGUUUAUUUAGAGAGGACCAGACAGUGUAUUUUUCCAGAGUGUGUGUGUGUGUGUUUUUCUGUCAGCACUGAACAUUAUUUAUCUGGAUCACUUCUGCUUGUUCUCUUGUUUCAGUAAUUUACAUUUCUGGAUCAUUUGGUCCAUCAUCUUGAGUUCAACCUGACAGUAUUUCUGCUCUGUUUCUUUUCUAACCAGGUAGUUCUGGCCUUUUACCUGAUGAUCUUUCCUUUUCUCUCUCUGUACAUGUUUUCUCAAAGCCUGAUGAAGCACAGAUACAAACAGGGUUCAUUUUAGCAGCUAUUUUUGAUUUGGUCUUAGUCGUUUGACUGAAGCCAGGGUUAAAAAAUGGGUCUUUGAAAAACAUUUAACAUCGCACAUUUAAUAGUGGAUGAAAUUAACACUGGAGACAAGUUUUGAGAGAGCUGCAGGUUAUGGAACUAUACAUGUUUGCUCUCUUAUCCACAGUCAAAGAAGGAGAUUCGUACCUGUUUCUUUUGUAAUGCAAUUUGACCUUAAAGCUCCUGUGAGGAAAUUUAUGUUUGUGUCUAUUUUGGCGCCCCCUAUAGGGACAAAGCAGUCUUUGCUAAUCUUGUCAUCAGUAAAUUUAAUUACAAUUUUCUGGCAUAAAUGUCAUCCUGCUUACUUUUGAUAAUCUUAUGUGUUAUUUAUUGUAAAUAUUUAAUGUGGAAAUUUUAAAUUUAGAUUUUAAAAACAGGCUGUUUCCUCUGCUGCCUAGCUGGCACUGAUCCCCUCCUACCAAUGUCAGGCAUUGAAAACAACCAUAUAAAAUGGUCUUGUUUGCUUUUGUUCCUUAUAAAAAAGCAUCAAUAUGAAUUUCAGUCUAUUGUAGUUACAUCAAAAAAUUCCUCACAAGAGCUUUAAUGAACACUCAAAAGAAAAAAACUGCUUUAAACAUUUAGAUUUGCCUACUAACAAACUCUACUCCUAAAAAUUAAUCAUCGUCCAUCGACUGUCUGAGGUUAUUAUAACAAACUUUGCAUUUCAACAAGAUUACCUGCAAACAUGUAGUUAUGAAGACUAAUGAUUUUAUGGAUUUCCAAGUGCUUCUGUGCCAGUAGACCUCUUGUUUUUGUUGAGCUACACUUAAGCUAACAGGCGUCUGGGAGAAGCUUCAUGUUUUCUCGCUGACAUUGUGAUUCUUUCGUCAAGAGAGCUGACGGGUCUGUCUAAAAAAUGUCAAACUUCUUUCUUCUAAAAACAGUUCAUCGUCCAAACCGCACUGCCAUCAUGAGACAUCUUGUCUCUUUAUUUUGUUUGGUAACAUAGUUCAUGUAGAGACACCGCAGGUUUCUGAGCUUAACUCCGGGCUGCUUUUUUUAUUGCCCAGGGAAACACAUGGAUAACAUCUCUGCUGCAUCUGUUCCCUGGAAACUUCCAUCUGCCUUGGCAACAACAGAGAUCAUCAAAAGCAGGGAGAGACGGGCAGAGGCAACACAAAGGUAGGCAAAACAAAAUAAAAGAGGGCUAAAGGAUGCUGGGAAAUCAGGGAACAAGAGGAGGGGGGAGAAAAGGUAAGACAAGCCAGGAUGUAAUUAUUUUGAGAUGAGUUUCAUUGAAUCUGAAGAGAGGUUCGCCAUUUUUGUGAUAUCUUGAGAAAAUCUUUUUGUUUUAUGAAACUUUCAGGUUUAGUUUGUCAGCAUGAAUAAAUGUUUUUACACACUUUUAGUCCUGUCAGAUACAGAACGUUGUUAUUACUCAAAGCAGCCUCACAGGCCUGAAAUGUGGAUUUACUGAAACAGAGGGAUGCUGUCCAGCUCACAGUAGUUUAACAACUGUCAACCUUGAAAAGGCCUGUUCCUCACUGUGCGGCCAAAAAAAAAAGUCUAAAAAGACUCUCCAGGAAUAUUUCCAGAUGCCACUGUCAGUCCAAAGCCCUUUUCCAUGGAUUUAUGCCUCUGUCACAAUAAUUUCAGGUCAUUUAGGAUCACAUAUCCUCAAAAACUGCCAUGGACCCCACAGUGGGAGAUUGUGUUUAUUACAUGCUGGGUUCACAAAUCAGCUCACCAUGACUGUAACCUGCUAUAGAUGCCUUACAGGAAGCUGGCAGGUAAAAGUCUGGACGAAUUCAGGAUGAAAAUAUCCAGCCUUUUGCACAUGAAUACUCAGAGACAAUGAUAGGGACAUUUUCAGGAGUACAGCUUGUUCAGGUGGGUAGGGGCUCACCAUACGGCUAACCUUGUAUUUAAAUCAUCAUCCUGUCAAAGCCAUAAGUAAUAAAAAGCUCCUUUAACUUUUUAUCUACACUGACCUGUUCUUUGCCAUGUCUUAUGUAACAGGUAACAUAAACAGAAACCAGGUCACUGUAGCAUAAGUGUGUCUGCAGCCGAGGCUAAUUCAAACAUUCAGGACUCUCACAAAUGAAGGUUACAUAUUUUCUACCUUUGGCUGUGAUCCAAUCUCACUUUUAUGUCACAUCACAUCAGUGCAUAUACCGUGCAUUUUACUCAGCAUGAACUUAUUUUACUUUCACCAUAAAGCUCUUUCAGAUGUAUAUCACAUCAUUAUACAGGGUGGGUUGCACUAAGAUAAACUCAAACAGGAACAUACUGUACUCACAUACCAUUCAGUUUUGUGGUGUCUGUGACCCUGAGGGAACUUCAGAGAUGGAAAAUCUGUGCUGUCAGUAAGGCAAGGAUAAUGAGGACAUGAAGUUUUAAAGAUUUUCAUAUUUACAAGCCAGGACUUAUGGAAAAACACACUUUUAAAGUACCAAUCUGAGUUUUAAUGGCUGUUUUAUUUAAUUUGGCAGUACCAUAAAUGUAAGCAGUGAUUGCCGACAGGUUUAAACCUCACAGAGAUCCAAACCUCUUUAUUUAUUAAUGGUUUCUAUUGAUUCUUAUGACUUUUAAAAUGAAACUCAAGCUAGUUUAAACUCUAAAGAUUAGCACAGCUAUCGUAAGUUCCCAGAUCUACAAUCUUCAAACCCAGCAGCUAUCGUUUUGCUUCAGGGUAACGGCUUAUUUUUCAGGGGCUUUUGCAACAUUUCCAAGAAAAGAAAUCCAAGAUUUACUGAUUUAUAUGCUGAUUACUGUCAACAGGCUGACCUGCAGCUUUAGAAAUACAACCAAAUUUGACUUGAGGGAUGACCUUUCAUACCAGAUGGCUGUCUGCAUCUAUGUUAUACGAAGAAAUUGUCCCCAGCCUACAGACAACAAUGAAACUGUUAUCUAUCAAAGUAACCUCAAAACUCUGUGGCCAAUAUAAAGAAGACAGCAUGAAGGGUAAAUACUGGGCUGAUUAUGUUUUUAGUGGCUGAAUUUUCACCAGAAAUUUCUCAGUCAUUCCAUGUCAUGCUGGACCACACGUCUUUUAUGAUUAUUAGAUUUUAUCUGAGGCCAAAAUUGCAGAGGAAAAACACCAUUUGUGGUUCAAUUCCAUGAAACUCUUACCUUUCAGUUCAUUGUUUGCAAACCACAAAAGCAGCCUGUGUUUUCCUGAGCUGUAAGAUGGAUAUGAGGGUUGGAAAAACAGCUUCAAGUGUGGAGGGAGCCUAGGGAGAGAGUGGAUUAUUUAUUUAUUUUAUUUUGGUGCAACUGUCUGACCCACACACUAACACUUACUGAAUCCACAGACCAUUAUAGCAUGCUUCUGUUUUGGUUGUAUCAAGUUUAGUAGAAUUUCUGUAUUAACCUAUCUCAUUUUUAGACAUCCUUUUGAAAUGUUAUAAUUCCAGACUGACAGCUGGAGCGCAUAAAGCCUGAACAAAUACCAAAACAGUGCCAGUCUGGAAAGAGAAAUAUGACCUGUGAGGGUUAAUAGAGUAAUGACUGCUGGGAUUGUGACACUGAAUUAGUCGAGAAAUGAUGUCCAAUUCCUCAAUUUUUUUCAUGAUGGUUUUGUUCCUGCCAACAGUUCAAUGGCUGAAGCAAAAAAAUGUGAACUGCAGAUCAAUGUGAAAUAAAACAGACUGUUUUUCGUCGUCCAGUGGUGAUGGUAGAUGACGGCACUUCCUGUCUAAAAUCCAAAACUGACCACAUCAUCCACACCUUUGUCUUACUGCCACACAAAAUACACCCUUUUAUUUUAUUUUUUGCCUAAUACCAACAAAAAAGCCCCCCUUAAAGGUACAGUGUGUAACUUUUUGUGGCAGUAGAGUUAAUAGUUAAAGAAAAAGUCUCCUUCAACAGAGACCAAUUUCUUGCACCGUCAUGUUUCUACAGUGGCUUAGACAAACUUGCAAAGGCCAUAAGUGUUAUUCUUUAAGCAGAUGGCUGCCAAUAAAUGGUAAAAACUGGUGAUGAUGGUAUAAAAAAAGAGAGGAUUACACGCAUCGUGCAACACAGGAGCUUCUUGUCCUUAAGGGCCACCAUAUUUUCUAGAGCUUUACCAAUGGGAGUGUUUCAAUCCAGAAUUUGACCUCUUGUUAUCACUAUACAUUUCCAUUUCUACAUACUGUACUUUUACUGGCAGCCCACAUCUCAUUUACUAAGAUGAUCACAAACGUCCUUAAUUUUGGCACUCUAAUGACUGCCCUUCAAAAUCACCAAUUCUUUCCAAUCAAUUCUUGACAUGGGAUAAAACUAUGAUGCUGUUUGUUUGUACCAGACCCUGAAAAUAGCAUCAGACACUUAAACUGCAGUAAUCCAGAGGAUCAGCUCCAAAUUAAGCAUGUGUGUUGAACAUAUGCUGUAAACAUUAGGCUAAUUGCUCCAAGUAACCAUCAUCACAGCUUCUGUUUUAACUGAAAAAGAUUUCAAACUCAGUGGGUGUGAGAGUUUUGAAGAUUGAUCACAGUAGAGCAAAACAUAAAUCUGGAUGAGCUCUGAAUGGAAAGGAUUUUUUUUUCUAUAGACUGUAUAAAAAACACAGGGGCAUCACUUAUUGGUUUAAGAGGAAGAGCGAUUAGCCCGAAGAUGGGGGUCACCGUGUUGAUGAUCUGUGAUCAGUUAUUGAUAAAUUACAAACAUUUUCAACAGCAACAUAAUGAAUAUGACUGAGCUACAGGACAAACAGAGGCUACACACCGUUCAACACACCAGAUAUUGACAUGUAGAGCAGGCUUGCAGAAAAUAAUCUUAUAAUCAUUUCAAAACUAAUAGAUAUGGAUUUGCUGCAAAAAUAUUUCCAGAGUCCAGUUUUCCAUGCUUGUAAUUUAUUUAUUUUUUACUUUUUUACACGUUCAUAAUCAGUCUGGCAGCAGAAAGUUGGUUUGCACUGAAAGAGGCAUUAAACUUAAAACAUCAUCCAUAGAUAAAAGUCAUAUGAGACCACAUACUGUUUAUCUCUACCUAAAAGAAAGUUGGGAAAAGAGAGGUUCAAGGAUGUUCUUGACGAUCAAUUACUCAAUAUACAAUUUGAAUUUUCAACAUCCCUUUCUUGCUCCACCUAAUAUAGGUCUGAACUCGUACUUCUCAUGUAGGUAAAAUCCUAACCUACUAUUCUUCUUACAUCCUGUUCCCAUCAUACCAUUCGCCCCCUCUCUCAGUGAAAUCUGCUGCCCUUAUUUUACCCUGAGUAUUUCUGUGCUCCAUCAGCUGUGUCUAAUGAUAUGAGCAAAAUGAGCAGUCAGUUUUUAGGAUCUGUCUCGGUGUAUGAUGCAAACAACAAUUACAUAACAUCAACCUAAGCCAGGAUCAAUGUCAUAAAGGGUCUAAAAAUAGGAUGCUUUCUGAAAAUGAACAUUUGCUGCUUUUAUGGUGAAUUUAAUGAGCGUGAGUUUGUUUUUCCUGUUGACCUGACUUCCCCUGUCAUCUGAGGCCUCGAUCCACAUUAACACACCUACAGACAUGUCUUUGAGAAAUGAAUUGCAUAAGACGAUUUGUCAUCAUUUAAAAAAAAAAAUAAGGAAUAGUUUUUCAUCUUGGGGAGUACAUUAUUUCCAUGCUUUGAGGUUGAUGGAGUUGUUUUGUCCUGAUUAAGUUGGAUGAAAUCUGUGAUGAUGGUUUCUGAAAGAAUUUGGCAGAGCUAGCUUCACUGUUUUCCCUAUUUUUUUCAGUUUCUAUGCCACUCUAAGACUUUUGUAUUGUUUUGGUUAAGAGGAGGGGUAGUGAAGGGCGCUACAUGGUACGUGAAGGAGUUUGGAUAUCCACAGCCACGUAUCAAUCACUGUUAGUAGAUUGGGUUCUAUUAUAACAAGACAGGUAGAAGGUACGGUGAAUUGAAUCUUGUAAUUUUUAACAAAACAAAAAAUUACACACUAUUCCUAUAAGUCCACUCCAAGCUGUCCUUCUUACUUGCAUUUGUCAACGUUUAUCUAUACGCAUUUUCCUGUUUUUAUUAGCUUCUUUCCCAAUUUUAAAUCCACUUUAGUAGUUUAUUCCAACUAGACAUUUCACUUUGUUUUUCUGACUUUGCAUAUUUAAAAACAAUCUUAUUACCGUUCUUCCUAUGCAGUUCUGACCCUUAUCUGUCUAAAGCGUUUCUUCUAAUUGACUUUUGACAUACAUGUAGACAUGCUUUUCAACAAAGAUAAAUGAUUAUAUGCAGCAGUCACUCUCUUUUCUCAGCGCUAAAUGCCUGUCUUUUUAUGUGUGGAGUGACGUGUGUGUAAAGGAUUUAAAGUAUGACUCUCCACACAUGCUCUCUUUGUCUCUCUGCCUUUGUAUUGAACUGUUAAAUGUCUCGUGUCAGAGUUAAAUGUAAGAAGAGUUUCUCUUGUGUAAGUUCUGAAAAUCCAAACACACUAGAACUGAUGGCAUGUUUGUCUUUUCUGUUCUCUUCGUGUCCCAGCAGGUGAUGUUUAUGUCCCUGCAGGAGCGUGGCCUCUCUCAGACUCAGGACUGUAUAAGGAUAGUUUCUCUUGAGUCCCUGUAAGUGAUAUUUCAGCCAAAGGAUUUCAUCUUGAUGGUGUCUGUGGUGUAAGAAGGCUGUUUGUGAAAUUAAUAACCAAAAGCUUCUUUAAGUGCUGAUCUAUAAUCAUUUUAGGCUCCAUAUUUUAAAGUAUUUUCAUUAAAGAGAUGGCGUUGAGCUUCUUUCACAUGUGGAAAAAUUGUGAGAUUAAAGUGUUUAAGGCUGGGUUGAACAGCUUGCUCAAAGAUAUACAUGAGAACUAAACAAGAGCCACAUGAGAUUUGCUCAAUUCAUGACAUCACUAAUUAGUGAAUCUCCUUAAAAGGGC
RNAcentral lists this long non-coding RNA (181387 nucleotides) under Xyrichtys novacula (pearly razorfish). Lineage: Eukaryota; Metazoa; Chordata; Actinopteri; Labriformes; Labridae. The record is from RNAcentral.